AAAAUUAAGAAAAUACAAAGACACAUAUAUGAUCAUCAGGUGGUCUGGGAGCCAGUAACGUGACCUUCAGCUCCUUGUUUUUACAUUAUUACAGCGGAAAUCACAUAUAUACGUAAAUAAAGCUACGUAGUUGGAGGAGAGUGUACGAAGAUCUGUUUAUUAUAUAAGUAAUGCAUGAGCAGGGGAGAAUUAAGUAUGGAUGGUAAAAGGUAGAUGAAAAUAAUUAAUAGUUUAGUUUCGUACAAAUGUGCGCGGGUAGUAGAAGAUGGACGGACGGAUGGGUGGACGGAUAGAGGAUGAGGGCCUAUAUAUGUAUAUAUAUGAGUUUAAGUUUUAAUGGAAAUGCCAAACUGGGGAGCUUGAAUUAGGAGAUCUUUGAGCUCUUCGAAGGAGAUUUUGUUUUCUCCCUUUUUACUGCCGUAGGCAAUGGCACGUUCAGCCAUGAAACUUGGAGUAAGAGCACCCAGAUCGUCGAACAGCUGCUUCAGCUCUUCCUUGUUUAUAGUUUUGUCGUCGUUCGUAGCCAACCCUUCGAACAUCAUCUUCAACUCGUCAAUCUUCACGUUUUGGCUUAUCAGUGCCCGUCUUCUUGCCAAACGAGCCAUUUCUUCUUCGUCUCUUCCUUAAUUCUCUCUCUCUUUUCUUUGCUUAUCUAAUCUUUGCCUGAUUUGCUGUAUACUUGCAUGGCGCAAGUCUUUAUAUAACCAUCCUCAAGUGCAUGCAUCAACGUUACUUUCUAAAUUUCUAAGCGGAAGUCUCUAGAAGAUAAGUUUAAAUUUUAUUACACGCAUACAUUAAUUAUAAAAUAAUUAUUUAAUAAAAAAUAUAUAAAUAAAGUAUUAUUAAGUGUUAAAUAUUAGAGAUAAAGUGAAAUUACGUGUUUUUAUCUCUAUUAAAUAAAGUAUUAUUUAGUAUACGAGGGAAGUAAUUUAAAAAUUUAGAAAAAAAAUAAUAAUAAUAAUAUUUUAAAAUAUUAUUGUAAUUUGUAAUUAAUUAUAUAAUCUGAAUUAGAAAAGAAACGUCGCCGUUUGAUGUUAUUUGUCGAAGUUGGAAAGAAUAAAAAGUAGAGAUUAGUUUUGUGAAGUGAGAAUCUUAGAAAAAGCAGAUGCUUGAGUUACUUGUUGGAACAAGUGGAGAGGAGGUGGCAUCAUUCAUUGCGUCCUCAACAAUAUUACUCCAUCCCGAAAAGAAAUUCCAAGAAAAUUAAUCGCUCAAAUCUUAUUUAAGCAAUUAAUUAAUUAAAAAUAAACCUUCUAGAACAGUUCUCACAUAGUAUAUAACAGUUUUUACUUUUAACUUAACAAUUUCUAUAUAAUAAUUACGUACAAGAGAUGAUAUAGACAUGUAGGAGAAUCCUUUGGGUGGAGAAUAAUUAAAGGUGCACCGAGUUGUUGUUAUCUUGUAAGAUUCUUUCAUCACCACCUUUCGGUUUUUGUAUUUUUUUGUUUGAUUUAAUUUGAUUCUAUUCGAUUAUAAAGAUAUCAUUUUUUUCGGUUUAAUUUUGUAGACACGAAUAAAUAAAUUAAUUGUCACUAUCUAUUUCAAUAUGCGAUUUUUAAGAAUGAGUGAUUCAAAUAAAUUUACUUAAAUAAUAAUAUAAGUAGGAUUUUUUUGUAAAAAAAAGAAAAUACAAUCCUAAAGUAUUAUAAACUCUUUCUAAAAAAAAAACAAGUUUGUAAUUUGAUUAUAAAAUUUAUAAAAAUCGAAUAUAAAAAUUUACUUCACUAAAUUAACGUAGUAAUUUAAGUAUUAAGUGAUUUUCAACCAAUUUAACAAUGUUUUGCACUUUCUGCGAUUUUUACUAAAUUAUGAGUUAAAAUUAUCCUUAUAUUCUAUACAUAUAACUUAACUAAAGCAAUCGAGAUAUAUUCAACCAUAUCGAUUAAUUGAAGCAUCAAAUUUCAAUUUGUAAAACUCCAUUUGACUGAGGAGACCAUACUCAUUGGUGGAUCGAUGCCUUUACUUGAACAAGCAUCCCCUAAAACAAAUCCUCUACCCAAAGGCUUACCCCUCCAUAACACUAAGACAGAUACACAUACGUGAAAGAUAUGAUCGAUGGUCUAUAACGCUUCCCCAUGCAUCAAACAUAUAGGGUUGACUUGGACACCUUUUUCAUUCAACCUAAUUUGCACUACUAAUAUGUCUUUGUAGAGUCUCCAAAUUAUAUGCUUGACUAGAGGCCAAACCCAGUAUAAUGCUACAUAUGUUAGUUGGUUUCUUUUAUAUAUACAUAAGUCAUAUUUGUUGUAACAAAGUAUUUAUGUUGACAUAUAAGUGCUUUUUAAGAAAGACCAUUUGUGCUUGAAUGAAAGAUAUACAAGUUGGUAUUCGUCAUCAAUAUAAUUCAUGUUUUAUCUUUCAAAUUUUAGAUGUGAAUCUACAAAACAAUUGCUUUUCUUUUCAAGAAAAAGGAUUUAAAAAAUCUACGAGUUGGUGUUCAAAUUUUAACUUCAAUUUAAUUUGAAGGUUUUCAUUUCUCUUUUUCUUUAAUUUUCAUUUAUUCCUUUGUUGUUCGUUCCCUUAGUGUGUUCCUUUCUCUCUUUCGUUUGGCUUUCAUUCCAUUUUCUUUCCUCCAUCGCCAGGGCAGCGUCGUAACAGGUCGAGUAUUCCUCUCUUGCAUGUCCCACUUCAGUGUUUUCCCCAUUUUCCUUCAUCAACUCAGCUCACGCGAAUUUCUCCUCUGCACAUGCCAUGCCAAGCCUUAAAAGAAAUCUUCCCCUUCACAUGGCUCAGCCACCACCUUCCAUCUGGUGGAAGAAGACAAAAGCGAGUCUCCCCAAACUCUUGCGUCCGAUUGAAAGGUUUCUCCAAAACGACGUCGUUUUGUAGCAAAUUAAAAGAAUCGAACUGAACGGUGCCGUUCGGGCUUCUUCUGUUAGCAUUGGCUCCUGUUAAGGCUGUUAGUUUUUUUUUUUUUUGUUGAAUUAUAUUGAAACGGCGUCUAUUUAACCCCUUAGGGACUGGAUCCUCUAUAUCUAGGCCCGCUUUGAAUUCGACCUGCUGUUAUUCCUAAUUACGAUAUCAAAUAUAAAAUAUUUAGUUUAAGAUUGAAUAAAGUUUAUCUUUUUUUUAAAAAAAAAAAAUUCAUUAAAUGCACUUAAUAUAAAAAAUAAAAGCUUUUUUUCCUCAUAAAGUUAUAAGAGGAAAAAUAAAUAAAGAAUAUAUUGAUUUAAAGAAAAAUUAUUACAUUUGGUAUAAGAUAUAAAACUUUAGUACACAGAUAAUUAAUUAGGAAAUGAGAAGUAAAAUUCAUUAUUUUGGGAAUAGACAUUAGUUCUGGUAUGAGCUCUCAAACUUAUCACAGUUUAAUAUGAUGUUUUUAUAGUUAUUUUAAAUAUAUAUACCAUUAAUUAUACGAAUUAAAUUGAUAAUAUAUUUUUUUUUUCAGAUAUAAGAUGCUUUUAUUUAUUUAAAAUUUUGGGUGUUUGUACAUUUUUAAAUAUGGGUUUUGUCAGUAAGAAAAAUUGCACUCAUCUUUUUAGAGGAGUUGAACGAACCCUCCCAUGAAUAUGUCUGUGUGGUUGAUUGUGAUAUAGAAGAAGUAGAAACUUUCAAGUAGAAUAAAAACAGGAGAAGAAAUUCAACGUAUACAAAUACACACACACACACAUAUAUAUAUAUAUAUAUAUAUAUGGAGUAGAGAGAAAUUAGAAACUUUCCAUUAGACAGCAGGAAGUAACAAAAACAAGAGAAAACAUUCAUUAUAUAUAUAUAUAUAUAAAAUAAAGGGUGGGAGAUAUAUUAUUGGCUUAUUGAUGAGUUUGGAAGAAGGGUGCGGAUGUAACUUAUAAGUUUGCUAGGCCUUAAUGGUGUAUCCAAGAGAAGAAACGUAUUUGAUUAGUUUUGGAAGCUCAUUUUCAUCGACGAAGCCAUCUCCGUCGCCAUCAGCAAACUUCAUUCCACGCCAAGCUCUGAAUCCAGGAACUAAGGCACCCAAGUUCAAGAAAGCAAUCUUUAACUCUUCUGUACUCAAACGUUGGUCGCCAUUGGAAUCAAAUUUCAUCAAGGCAGCCUUUAUGUUCUCCUCAGUUGGGCAUUUGAGUGGCGCUGGUGCUCCCUUCCCAAUUAUAUGAGGCAUCUUAAACUAAUUCUUCAAACAAAUUUUAUACUAUUGAUUUUGUUUUUGUUGCUAUGAUCUUACAAAGCAAAUCAACAAGGCUAUUUAUAGAUCUUUUGCAAGUUAAUCUUUCUCAUUCAAAAUAUUCUCGCUUAUCUUCAAAUGGUUGAUGGAUAUAUAGCUAGAAUCUUUUUACUUCCUCAUGCACUGGCCGUGCGCCAAUGGGUAUAUAUAUAUAUAUAUGCUCAAAUCUAUUUAUAUCUACUUGGGCUCCACAGCAUGUAAUAUGUGUUCCAUUACUGAUUAAAGUGUGUUAAGGGAACACUUACAUGGGUGUGUGUAUAUACAUAUACAUAUAUAUAUAUGUGAUCACUUGAUAAUCAUCAAUUUAACAAGUAAACUAAGUUACAACUUACUUUUAUCUUUGGAUUGUAUUUAUACCUUAUUAUUGUGCACUUGGAGUGUCGGCCUUAAUUUGAAUGCAUUAAUGCUUAAAUGGAAUUAUUGCAUGGAUUUCAAUGUUUUUAAUGUGUCAUGUCAAAAGAUUCGGUAAUCCAAUUAAAAGAUUAGUUUGAUUAAGACAAUCACGUAACUAAUUAAAAAUUAAUAUCACAAUUAGAAUUAUCAAGAUAUUAUUAUCAUCACUAUUAUUAUUAUUUAUUUUAUUUUAACAAGAUUAAAUUGAGAUAUCAUAAUUAAAUUUUUUUUAUAAAAUAUGUAUCAUCUUCCACGGUAUCAUUUUAAUGAGGCAAGUUGACACUUCAGUUUUAAAGCAUUCAUAAUUAAAAAAUCUCAAGCACGAUUUAAGAUGGAGAAUGAAUUAAAGUAUGAUAUGAAAAAAAUCUUAAUUUAUCUUAUCAUAGUUAAAGUACAAAAAUAUCAUUAGGUAUUGGCCAAUACAUUUGGUAUCAAGUAAUAGUUGAUGUGACAAAAAAUUUUAUAUUAAUAUUAAACUGAUAUGAUUCGUACUCACUCAUAGAAUAUUAUAUUCAAAUAAUCUCCAUUCAAAAUUUUAUUUGUUCUUAAAGAUUACACUUUUUUAAUGUUCAUUGAAAAAAAUUUCAUAGUUUAUAAUUUUAUGACGUUAUUUAUAUUUAUAAUUAUUUUAAAUUUGAGAAAGCAGUUAAUAGAAAUCAUUUAAGCAUUAUUGUCUAUAUGUAAGAAAGUAUAAAUGAAAUCCAUCACAAUUAGAGAUGAACCAAAAAAAAAAAAUUGUGACCCAUCAAACCUGUAUUUUGAAUUAAGAACAAAACAUGUGUGUGUGUGUGUGUAUAUAUAUAUAUAUAUAUAUAUUUGAAUCAACACUGAGUUUAGAGUAGAUUCUGAGUUUAUGUAUUAUAAUUAUGAAUUAGAUUCAAAUUUUACAAAAAUUCCUUAUGAACUUGAUCUAUUACUAUCCCUAAUUAUAAUACAAAAUAUAAGAUCCUUACUUUAAGAUGAGAAAAAAUGAAUGAAGUUUACCUUAUUUUAGAUAUAUCAAAUUUCAUUUAAAAAAAAAAGUUUUAUCACAUUAUAACACAAUUGUCAAGUUGAAGCUUUUGUAAUUAUCUAAAAUAUACGUACUUCUUGUUAUAAGAACUAAAUUACAUAUAUUCAAGUAAGAAAUUUGUAAUAUUUUUUCGCAUAAGAUGCUUUUAUCUAUUUAAAAUUGACAGUGUUUGCUCAUUAUUAAAUACGUCUUAUUCAAAAAAAUUUAUUCGGUAAGAAAUUUUGUACUCAGUCAUCUUAGCUAUAUAUUAAUUUUUGGGUCGAGUAAGAUUUUGAAUAGAUAAUCCAAAUUGAAAUAUCAUCCAAAUUGAAGAAAUAUAUUUGGUUAAUAUAAUGUAUUGAGUUUAGAAAAAUCAUCGUCAAAAAUAUAAUAUAUUAUGAAGGUGUAUGAACUAUCCAUAUAUUUUUGUGGGUAUGUGUGGUAUACUGGAAGUAGAAAGAAACUUUGAAGUAGAAUAAAAAUAAGAGAAGAAAUUCAAGGUAUAUAAAUAUACAUAUAUAUAUAUAUAGAGAGAGAGAGAGAGAGAGAGUAGAAAGAAGGUAGAAACUUUCCAUUAGACAGCAGAAAGUAACAAAAAUAAGAGAAGAUAUUCAACAUAUAUAUAUAUAUAUAUAUAUAUAAAAUAAAGGAUGCGGGAUAUAUUAUUGGCUUAUUGAUGAGUUUGGAAGAACGGUGCGGAUAGAACUUAUAAGUCCUAGGCCUUAAUGGCGUAUCCAAGAGAAGAAACGUAUUUGAUAAGUUUAGGAAGCUCAUUUUCAUCGACGAAUCCAUCUCCAUCAUCAUCAGCAAGCUUCAUUCCACGCCAAGAUCUGAAUCCAGGAACCAAGGCGCCCAAGUUUGAGAAAGCUUUCUUUAACUCUUCUUUACUCAGACGAUGAUCACCAUUGGAAUCAAAUUUCAUCAAAGCGGCCUUUAUGUCCUCCUCAGUUGGGCGUUUGGGUGGCGAUGGUGCUUUCUUCCCCACCAUAUGAGGCAUCUUUACUUAAUUCUUCAGACAAAUUUUAUAAUAUUGUUUUUGUUUUUGUUUUUGUUGGUACGAUCUUACAGUGCAAAUGAACAAGGCUAUUUAUAGAUGUUAUCAACGUCAAACCUUUCUUUUUCAAAAUAUUCUUGCUUAUCUUUCAAUGAAUGAUGGAUAUAUAACUAGAAUCCUUUUAUUUCCUCAUGCACUUGCCAUGCACCAAGGGAUAUAUACAUAUAUAUAUAUAUAUAUAUGUAUAUGUUUAUAUAUGCUCAAAUCUAUUUAUAUCUAUAUGGGCUCCACGACAUGUAAUGUAGUAUGUUAAGGGAACACUUAUAUUUAUAUAUAUGUAUAAAUGAUCCCGUGAUAAUCUAACUUUUAAAUUUGAAUUGCAUCUAUACUUUAUUAUAAUUAUUUUAGAUAUUUCUCUACUAAGAUAUUUUUAUGUUUAUAGUAAUUUUAUUUGUGAUUAAAAUAAAAUUUAUUUUUAAAAAUAAAAAUAUCAUUUACAUCACGUAAGAAUAUAUAUAAAAAUUGAAUAUUGAAAAUAAUUUAAACAAUUUAAAAAUUUAAUAAAGUUUUUAAGCCAAAGAAAUUUUAAUAUAAAUUAUUUACGUGGUAAAACUUUUUAAAAUAUUUUAAAAGAUAAGCGAAACACGAAAACUUCUCAAAAGAUCCUGUGCAUUAAUGCUAAUGCCAAAACUUUUAAUAUUUAAAUAAUCUGUGUUUAAAUUGAUAAUACUAUAUUAUCUUACUAAUGAUCAAAUUAUAAAUACUAUUACGUGCUAAAAAUAAGCCGCAUUAAAAAUUCCAACACUAUAAUUUCCCAUUGGGCUUUAUCAAAGCCCAAGUGGAAUACGCUAAAGUCCAGGCCCAUUUUUACGAGUCUCUGUCUAACUCUUAACACCGACCCCAAACUCGACAUGUUCCUCUUCCCAAUUCACAAAAAUGGAGUUACCAAAGCCCGCAUUUUCCUUCAAUCCUCUCUCCUCACUCCCAACAUUCAUCAAUCACCAUUCCCACCGACUUGGUACGGAGCUUUCAAGCCGAAUCGACGAAACCAAGCGGCUCGCCGGAUCCCUAGCCGGAAACUUCUCACCGUUUCCGGCUGUUAACUGGCUUCAGCGUCCCGCUUUUCGGCCUCCCUUCGCUUCACUUGCACAGCCGAAGCAAGCUGCCGUCGCAACACUCAGCUCGGAGCAAGUUGCCAAAGCCCUUGCUGGCACUCCCGUAUACACCGUGAGUAACUCGAAUAAUGAGUUCGUGCUCGUGUCGGAUCCCAAUGGAGUCAAAUCCAUCAGUUUGCUUUGCUUUCGACAAGAGGAUGCGGAGGCCUUUCUUGCUCAGGUUGGUGUUUUCCAGUAAGAGUAAGGAAAGGAAUGGAAAAAGAGGGGAAGUUUAAACUCGUGUGUUUUCUGUGCGUGCCAGUGUAUGUGUUUGACUUUUGUUGUUACGUGGCAUUGGGUCUUCAGGUUCGGUUGCGAAGGAGAGAAUUGAGGAGUAAUGCUAAGGUUGUUCCCGUUAGUCUUGACCAGGUAAGGUCUUUAAGCUCACUUACAUUCUUAUUUUCUCGUGUUAACUCUCAAUUUGGUCUCUGUGCAUCUUAAUAUGGAGCCGUACCAAAUGAAUGUUGAAAGUUUCUCUUUCUGUGCAUCUUAUAGGUAUACUCGUUGAAGGUUGAAGGUAUUGCAUUUCGUUUCCUGCCUGAUCCUGUUCAAAUAAAGAAUGCAUUGGAGGUUAGUUCUUCAUAUUGUCUUGUAUUGACUGUUAAUUUAGUCUUCAUUAAAUAAUUAACAAGAAUUAAGAAAUUGUUCAUGAUUUUACUUUGAAAGUUGAUAAGUUUAUUAGUUAUCCUACAAUUCAGAUUGAGCAAUUAUGAGAUCAAACUGACAAUAUUUUCCUUUGUCUAUCAGCUGAAAUCUGCAGAUAUCAAUAGUGGGUUUGAUGGAGUUCCUGUUUUUCAGGUAUACAGUUAACAUGUUGAGUAAAUGCUGGUGCUUCAAACCGGAAAAUAACUAUCCUUCAGAUGGCAUGAUCAUUACUUGUACUUACAAAAAGAACAGCUUUUACAUAUGCUUAUGCAUGCAUGAUCACUUACAUGCAAAUACUUGCAUAGAGGGGUUAAGUGAUUUAUGAUUGUGUUUGAAUGCUUGCAAUUCAUUUAGUUGAAAAAUAGUUUAUGAAAGAAGAUUUAAUAACAGUGUCAGAUUUCAAUACUUCUCCAAAAAAAAAAAUGUUGGGACUCCAUUACCUAUUUACUUUUCUACAAAAGAAAUUAGAAACUAUUCCCUGAAUUCAUUUUAUUUGAAUGGUUAGACUUCUUAUAUUUCUUAUUUUCCUCUAGCAAUUUGAAAAUAGUUUGAGAUGAGCCUUUUCUUUUUAAGGUGCAUUGGUACAAACUGCUGCACCAUUUGCCAAUGUACCAAAAGAUCUAUAUGGUUUCUUACUUCCUUAUCACUGUGUUUGCAGUCAGAUCUUCUGGUAGUGAAGAAGAAAAAUAAGCGUUACUGCCCAGUAUAUUUCAAUAAGGUUCAUUUGUCCCAUAAAUCACCUUUUCUUAAGCUGUUUUAUUUUUGGAACAAUAUUUUAGAAGAAACAGCUUAGAAGCACAACAUAUUGAUUUUCCCUUCUCUUCCCUCUCUUUCCCCCAUGCAGGAAGAUAUAGAAAAGGAACUCUUGAAGUCCUCAAGGGUAUCAAGAGGACUGGGUGUUUCACAGCAUAUUAUGGUAUUACUUUAGCGUCAUAUCCAUUCUUUUUGCAGCUUUUUAAACAUUUGGACUAUAAAAUUUAAGUGGUCAAAGAAUAAUUACUGUACAGAAGAUCUAUGCAAUAUAUGAAAAUUUUAUCUCAUUUGUUGAAGGGAGGGUAGCGAUGGACUAAAAAGUUUGUGGAGGGAGAAGUGACACUUCUUUUCAACUGUGCUAUUCCCAAUUUUUAAAUCGAAUUAGAAGUCAAUGUAAUAGUGACGAUAAUAGUUUCAAUGUUCUCAUUUCAAAGAAUUGUAUACUCUAUUUGGUAGGUGAAAAGACUUUCUAAUUUCAUUUCUAAAUUGGUAUGUCUUUAUUAGUACAAACAUGUGAUAGUUAAACAUGAAAAUCAUAUUUGGAAAAUGGGAAUAAAAAUGUAACAUGAGUUGAAACGAAACAAUUAAAAAAGCUGUGUCCAACAUCUUCUAGAAAACUGUUUUUAUUUAUAUUUAAGUUCAACAUAUACAUCCACCACCGUACAUGUUAUUAUAUAGUAGUGUUUUUUAAUUUAAUGAAAAUUAAAAAUGUUUCCUUUAUGAAGUGAAGCUGUUGCCUUUCACAUCAUGUUUCUACACAGAUUUCAUUAUUUAUGCAUAUAGUAUUUAAGUACGAAAAUAAGUGAUUUGGUAAACAAGAUAAGAAACUUCUCAAAAUAAGUAAUUCACAGGUUUUGCAAACUCGAUGCGGAUUGCAUGUUUAUGUGGUUAUACUGGAAUUGCUCUUUUAUUUUUAUUACCUUGAUAGAAUCUUCUAGAAUCCGUGAUCUUUGGUUCUAACCUUUAUGUAUUUCAUUUAAGGGCCAUCCUCUCCUCAAUGAAGAAGAUAUAGUGCCCUCUUUCUAUCUAGGCCUCUGAGUAUCUAAAGUAUAAGUAAAUGAUUUGAUAAACAAGAUAAUGAAAUUUAAAGGAAAAUAAUUCAGAGUUUCACAAAAUUCGAUCCAAAUUGCACGCUCACGUGGUUAUAGUGGCAUUUCUCUUUUAUUUAUAUUCUCUUAAUUGUAUCUUAAGAGUCAGUAAUCUUUUGUACCGAGCUUUAUGUAUUUUGUUUAAAAGUCGUCCUCUCUUCAAUGAAGAAGACCUAGUGAACUUUGUUGAUAUUUGACUAAUUCUGUUUUCUACUCUCUCCAGAGGCUCACUAUCUUGUAUAUGAGUGAUAUCCCCUCAGUACCUUUUCUCCUCCAAAUGAAAUCUUCUUUUUUUGUUGAAAGAUAUGUGAUAUACUGGCAUGGGUUCAAAUCUUUCUUUGUACUUAACUGAUAAACAUUGGGCAUUUCCUGCCUUAAUAUCCACCAUGUUUAGUUUGUUCGUACCUUAGAUGAAACCAAUAAACUGAUGUGUUCAUUUGACAAAUGCAAGUGCAAUUAUGUAUACAACACCAGGAGUUUCUUAUUUUACUUUGAUCUAUUCUUUUUAAACUUUUAUCAGCACUUUACGCUCUGUAUAAUAUUUGUUAUCUAAUUCAGUCUGUUGAACAGGUUGGAAGUCUAGAAGAUGUCUGAGAAAAAUGGAGGUAAUGAGCAUGAUUAGAUUUAGUACAUUUCUGAUUAGAAAAGGAUUAGAAUCUGAAUCAGUUGCUUUGGUUUUAUCUAGAUGAGUGAGAGGAACUCAGGUUGGGGAGAUCUGAUUUUUAUUCCGCCUGGUAAAAGUCACUCCCAGCACAUCCAAGAGGUGGUCAAAGGAUGAGAUCAUGGAUAUAUUGCUUCUACUGAUGAUGUGGAGCUUCAGAAGACAGUGAAUAUCUUUUUUUUUUCUGCUUCCGAUCUCCAUGGUAAAGCAGGUCAGUCAUCAACACUAAAUGAUAAAUUACCUGCUUGUUGACACCCUUUCUCUCUCGCAAUGGAGAAAGAUUUUGGAAAGUAACAGCCUGUAUGGUAACUUGAUGAGGAUGAAUACAUUUUUAUUGAAAUUAAUACAAGAUAAAUGGCUCGCAUUUAAGUGGAAGAAGUAAGUGAAAUGCUAGCAUGUCAAUGCUGGUCAUUGGAAAUUGUUAUACUGUACAGUUUGAUGUUUUUAAUGAGUACUUUGUUAUUUAGACAUACUGUUGCAGAUGAAUGGACUUAGUCAAUGAAAUGCUAGCAUGUCAAUGCUGGUCUGGAAUUUUCUAGUUGUUUUUCAGCAUCUGAUGAAGCACUACAAAGGAAAAUUAGAAGUUGGGGGAAACUUAAUCUCAACAAUAGGAAGUUGUGAUUAUUGUCCUUUUCAACACUAGACUGAGUUUUAACUGCUUGCCAUUGUGGUUUAUUUUUCCAUUUAAAAGCUUUUUUUGCCUCCUUGGAUUUUUUGUACCCUGCUCUUUCUUGGGAAAUCUAGUAUGGUAUUCCACAAAUUUAUUGGGAUGAGUUUAUAAUGUGAUAGAAAUUUAAGUGUUCGUAUAAAAUUGAGAUCUCAACCACUUGGUUUUCUUUUUGUUCUCAUGUUUUUCCUAUACACUCUUGUUAUUGCAGCUGUGAGUAUUAUCCUGGAGCAGAUGAAUGCAAUUAAAAAUAUGUGGAAUUCCCUUUUUCAAGGCAAAAUUUCUAUGUUUACAAUUCUUUUAGAAUUCGAAUCGAUUUCAAGAUGAAUUUAGCAAGUUUAAAAUUCAUCAAAUAUGAUAUAAUUUGAGAAUGACUUUGAAAGACUGGAGGGAAAAAGGUUUCAGAUGUCUUUUGCAACUGGUAUUCAUGCAUCACAAAAAGAGACUACUGAAACAACUGGUGAGUAUGAAGUAAAUGUGCUCAUAUCAUUUCAUGAUAGUGAGUAUGAACGAGGGUUCCAAGCCUGCAGACCCCCGCACCUCAUACUUCGAGGGAUUCAGACUCUGUUUGGAUUUGUUUUUUUGUUGAAAAAACAUGCUUUGAAGUAGUAGAAUGCCUAAUUACUUACGUGCUUAAAUUUCAAAAGACUAGUACGUAUUAUAUUUUGUAUUCUUUGCAAAAGAAUAAAGAGAUGAUCGCUAAACAAAUGAUUGAACAUGUUAAGAAAAGAAAAGAAUGUUAUAUGUGAGUACAGAAAAAGUUGAAAGCAUACAGGAACGAGUAUGUGUUUUUCAUUGGUUAAAUUUCCUCUAGGUACAGAGGAGGCAGCUUAAUGCGUUACCAGACAUGUAAAUUCGACCUCUGUCGAUUGUAAGAACUCGUCGAGGGAGGGUGUUGAUUCUAAAAAAAAACAUGCUUCCAUUUUAAAACAUGUAAUUAAUCUUAAAACAAAAACUGGGAACGUGAGUAAAGAAUUGGGUGAGUGAAAUGGUGACUGUUCACCAAACCGAAAGGUCAUAGGGCGUGCGUAUAAUAAGCUGUGGAAAUAUGUUUUAGGUGAGGUGUGAUGUCUCAACUUAAAUCACGUUUUGAAUUAUAAAUUAAUGAUUUGAGUUUUGGUGGAUUUCUGGUAACGGCCAAAUGUGACCUUUGCACGUAGAGGAGGUCGACAGGCCAUCCGCAGAGUUGUUGGCGUCCUCGUCUACUUUGACCCGAUGAAUCUCUUUUACCAUUUUAACCUUUUUUAUUCAUAAAUGCUUUUAUCCUAAAAAUACUCAUUAAAACAUUAUUAUGUUUUCUAUAUACUAUUAAUAUUAAUAUACUAAUUGUCCCGGUUGAUAUAGUGACUUGUGUUAAAGUUAUGUAGACAACAUGAAACACCUAAAAAAUGCUUAUGCAAAGUUAUAGUUCCCAGUGCAAUUUGUUCAUUAAAAAUAACAAUAAUUCUUGUUUAUAUUUUUAUAAAAUUAUAAAAUUAUUAAAAUAUAUUUAGAAUUAGAAUAUAUGUAAAUACACAGAGAAAAAAUUUGAAGUCUAUUGUCCAAAACAUGAUAACAAACAUGAGAACACAGUUAUAAAUACCUGACAACACAAUAAUGUGAUUGAAAAGAUAAAACGAACUAUCAUUGAGAAUGUGAGAUGUAUACUCAAAAUGACUACCCUACUUAAACUAUUUUAGGUCAAACCUCUAUUUAUUAUAUGUUACUUACUGAAUCAAUCUCUUUGGUUCUUUUAAAUUAUGACAUCUUUGAAAGAGGCGGGAGGGCAUAGAAAGAAAUCUCAUACUCUCACUUGGUGGAUGAACAUAUCAUCCAAGUAAGUUUAGACCUCAAAAGGAGAAAAUUAAUAAGCAAGAUAUAUAUAUAUAUAUAUAUAUAAAUUAAUCAGCUGGGUAAAAUGAGUUCUCAUAUAAAGAUAAAGAUGGGAGAUGCCCACUUCUUGAUGUUGUUGGUAUUUCACUGGACCAUGUAGUUUGACUACGGUUGAUCUAAUGACAUGCAGACAGUCAAAACAUUUGUGUUUUGAUUACAACUUAAAUGAAUUUUACUUAAAAAGUAUAUACUAAAAAAAAUAUUAUGUAUCUUUCAUUUCUAAUUUUCUGUAUAAAUAAAAAGUGACAAUUUUUAAUAAUUAAUGCCAUGUGUUUAAAUUUACUUCUGAAAUAAUUAAAACACAAUAAGACAAGAACCUGCAAGCUAGAUGUAUAUAUAUAUAUAUACGUGUGGAUAAAAUUGCGUAUACGAAUUAGAGAAAAUCAAGUAUAGACUGUAGAGUAGUUGUUGAAGGGAGAAGGUCAAUUGGGGAAUUGUAGAUUUUGAGUUUCUUUUAAAUAAAAUUCAAGCCGGACCAACAGGCAGGCAACUGCCUGAAAAGUGAAAACGAAAUAAAAGCUUUAUUUCCUCAAAACUUCUUGUCCACAAGCCAAGCAAAUCCUAAACAAGGAACCUCUUGACACAUGUACCUCCCUCGUUGCUCCCAUUUUCCUUUUCCCUUCUUUUACUUCUCUCGUGAUCUCUUAUGUCUAUAUUUAUGCAUGUAUAUAUAAAGAGGUGGGUACUGGUAUAUGCUAGAAUAUGUACAUACAUGUACAUAACUCAUCUGCAGCCGAGAACAUGAAUAAACCCAGUUCAGCUUUAAAUUAAAUCAUAUCUUAUUAGAAUGGUCAUGGGUGAUAGUGCAGUCAGCCUCGAGAAGAUGAUCAUAAACAAGGCCAAUAUUCCUUCCAAGGCAUUGAUCAUCAGACUCAACCUCAUUUUCCUUGUUUUCUUCUUUCUUGUCUACGCUGCUCUUCUUCUCAGACCAUCUUCGUCUUUAUACUUUUACAACGCUGCAUCACUUGUUAGGUGCUCUUUGCGCGAGUGCCAUCACAAGGUAAGGUGAGCUAAAACCCAUUUUCAUUCGUAUAUUGAUAUUUAGGAAUUGUCGUAAGAGGAAGAUGUUGUGUUUUUCAGGUGGAGAGAGGAGUUAAAAUGCAGGCAGAGUUUGACGGGAGAAACCCCAUUAUGGACAACGCUGUAGAGCGUAAGAGUAAUUUGAGUAAGCUAGAGGUGGCUAGCUUCAUGAACGAGAUGGGAAGAGGAUUAAAGAUUGGGAUGAUUAACAUGGAAGACGUGGAUGUUAGUGAAUUGGAAGUUUAUGGAGAACUUAUACAAAUUCAUUUCAAGAGAGUAUCAGAGAAUUUGGAAUGGAAAGAUUUAUUCCCAGAAUGGAUUGACGAGGAGGAAGACAAUGAGAAUCCAUGGUGUCCGGAGAUACCAAUGCCUGAGUUGAGAAUAUAUAAGGAUGAUAUGGACGUAAUAGUAGCAAAGUUGCCGUGCAAGUACCCAGAUGAAGGGUGGUCCAGGGAGGUUUUUAGGCUGCAGAUGCACCUGGUGCUGGCAACAAUGGCGGUGAACAAGGGGAAAAGAGACUGGAAUAGGAGGACAAAAGUGUUGUUGUGGAGCAAGUGCAGACCGAUGAUGGAGAUUUUCCGGUGCGAUGAUCUGAUCAGACAUGAAGGUAACUGGUGGUUGUAUCAGCCGGCCGUCGCAAGGUUGGAACAGAAGUUGAUGUUGCCGGUUGGAUCUUGCAACUUGGCUCUACCCUUGUGGGGACAAGGUUUGUUUCCUUUUUUCAUUUCUAUUAAUUUUUACUUUCCUACAGGUUUCUUCUUACCUCAAAUUUUAAUAAUUUUCUUUAAAUAAAAAUUUUAUAUAUUAACAAAUAAAUAAUAUAUAACACUACUUAUAAUACAAUAAAAAAUAGUUUUUUAAACAAAAAUACACGAAAUAUAAUUAAACUCAAGAAUUAUACCAAUUAUUUAAAUAAAUAAUUAUUAAUAAAUAUUAAAAAAAAUUAUUUCUCAAAAAUUAAUGAUAAAUUGCUUUUAACCAGGGAUUAUUAUGCAUUAAAUAUUUGGAGAAUACAAUUAAUAUGGUCUCCAUUAAUUGACUUUUUGAAUUUUUUUAUAAUAAUUUUUUUUAAGAAUACUCUUGAAUAACAAAAUAAUUUUUUUCUGUAGAUAUAUUGUUAUAGUAUUAAAAAUGAAGAAACUAUAGUAAUAUAUUGUUAUAAUAUAAGGUUUGGUUGUGUUUGAUGAUGUGAAAAUCAUAAGUCGUCUCAAAUAAAGGAAAGAAUAUUAAUCAAGAAAAUAUGCGGGUUACAAUUAUUAGGUACUAACAAAUCUUCACAUUCACACAAUUUAAUCUUUAAUCAUCAUAGGCAUAUUUUCUGUGCGUAUUAUUUAGAAAGUUAUUAUAUAUAUAUAUAUAUAUAUAUAUAUAUAGUCUAUGUUUGGUGAUCACAACAUACCUUAUUAUUAUAUUGGAUUGUAUUGAUCAAUACAAACCCAUUUCUAUAUAUUGCUGUAUAUCAUCUUUCAAGCUAAAUCAAAAUGAUGAACUAUAAAUAAUUAUUUACUUAAGACAUUAUUGUAGCAUAAUUCUUUCUGAAAAUUUCAGAACUUUGGUUCUUACCUUGGUCUAUGAGAAUUAAGAAGAAAUUAAUUAAAUUAAUCAAGUUAUAAUUAAUUACAGGUAUCCACGAAGUCUACGACACUUCCAAGAUCGAAAGCGCCGUAAAAAACCCUAGAAGAGAAGCCUAUGCAACGGUUCUCCAUUCCUCGGAAGCGUAUGUUUGUGGUGCCAUAACUCUCGGCCAGAGCCUCCAAAAAACCGGCACCAAACGCGACCUUCUAAUUCUCGUCGACAACUCCAUCACCGACGCCAAACGUCAAGCUCUGGUCGCUGCCGGUUGGACCAUCCGACUCAUCAAAAGAAUCCGUAACCGCAGAGCAGAAAAAGACUCCUACAACGAAUACAACUACAGCAAGUUCAGACUCUGGCAACUCACUGAUUACCAUAAAGUUAUCUUCAUUGACUCCGACAUCAUCGUACUCCGAAACCUCGAUCUCCUCUUUUACUUCCCACAAAUGUCAGCAACCGGAAACGACGUCUGGAUUUUCAACUCCGGCAUUAUGGUGAUCGAGCCCUCCAACUGCACUUUCAAACUACUGAUGAAACUGCAAGACGACAUCGUUUCGUAUAACGGGGGUGACCAGGGGUUUUUGAAUGAGGUUUUCGUUUGGUGGCACAGGUUGCCUCGGAGAGUCAAUUUUCUCAAGAACUUCUGGGCUAACACUUCGGUUGAGGCCAGCGUUAAGAACCAUCUGUUUGCGGCUGAUCCGCCCAAGCUUUAUUCGAUUCAUUAUUUGGGUUUAAAGCCUUGGUUGUGCUACAGAGACUAUGAUUGCAACUGGGACAUUGAUGAUCAACGAGUUUAUGCCAGUGACGUGGCGCAUGAAAGGUGGUGGAAGCUGCAUGACGCCAUGGAUGAGAACUUGCAGAAACAUUGUAGAUUGACGAAACGGAGGAGGAUCGAGUUGGAUUGGGAUAGAAAGAAAGCAAGAGAAGCUGGGUUUAGUGAUGAGCAUUGGCGGAUCAAUAUUACUGAUCCUAGACGGACCCUUUUGACUUAGAUACUCUAAUUUUCUUAUAUAUAUAUAUAUUUCUUUGUUGAAGAUUUUUGCUAGCUAGCUGUAUGUAGAGAAUUGUAUGGAAUUCUUUUUCUUUAUAUAUAUAAUUUAUGUGUGAAUAGAUGAUCAACACCCAGGAAACCACUUUAUAUCCGUUGUCUAUUCCUCCUCAUAUUAUUUAUUAUUAUAUAUUAACAUUUAUCAUACAUGAACUGUAUAAAAGAAUAUAAAUAUAUACGUGUUUGGGACUGUUAAUUUUGUUGCAGAUUCCUUCGCGAUGUUCUUUAAAAAAAAAAAUUUUUUUUAAAAAAAAGAAAAAGGUGGACCAGCUCCAUAACGGAUUAGGAAACAAAAGUGUUUUCAUUAUUUUAAAGGGAAAAAAUAUUUUUCAUAAUUGUCUGUUUGACGGUGACAGCAUUUUACUUAACCUCUUGUUCGUCGCGCGUGGCCUUCAUUUUGCUGUCACAUGCAUAUUUAUUUACCAAAUUGCCAAUCUCCGUUGAGCGUUUCCGCUACGUUUAUUUUGGUAAUUUGAAUAAGUUAUGAGGGUAAAAAUGUCUUUCGGUCAACGCUCAUCUUAACGGACGUUGAAGAGACAACUUUCCUUAAUGGACGCCGCCUUUUUUUACUUAUUUUCCUUUUUAACUGUAAAUAAUUUUUUAUUUAUUCGCUUUAAAAAUUAGGAAACCCACAGCCUUUUGAUUAUACCCACCAUUAAUUAUUAAGAAAAAAAUAUAUAUAAAGCUAAUCUUAAUAAAAUAUUAUAAGAACAACUUUCUUGUAUUUGUUUUUAAUUGUAAAUUUUCAAAACUCUGUGAGAGGUUGAAAUGAUGGAUUAGAAAUAAGUUAAUUUGGUUAAUAGAAUGAUUAAAGAAGAACCAUUUAUAUAGUUCUUCAAAUCCAUAAUUUGAUUUGUUUUAUGUCAUUGUCUGUCUUAUCUCUAAUGACGUUGUAAAAAAAAAAAAAAAAAAAAGGAAGGGUGGGCAAGCUGUCAAAAAUGUCUUCUUCUGGUUUAAACAUCUUGUGGUCAAAAACCCCGAAAGGGGAAAGAACAAGUAUGAAAGCCAUUACUAUUUUUAAACCCUAAACGAAUUUUCUUUUUGUUUUUGUUUUUUUGGUUUUUGGGUGAUUUUAAUUUUUUUUGUGAAGUUAAGAAAAAUUUAAAAAUCUCAUCUUCAAAGAUAGAAAUGGCGAGCAUACAGAUGGAUCUAGUCUGUGAUAGAUGAGCUAUGCUCCACGCACGUGUUUCCUCUCCGUUCUUUUCUCUUCCUAUUUUUGCCUCUUUAACUUUCCCACCUCUCUUUUCACUAACGUAUAUAUUCUCUUUUCCUUUUUUCCUUCUCUUUUUACUCUCUGAAUUUCCCGAAAUUCAUUCAUCUAUCUUCUUCCUUAAUCCUGGUACGUUCUUUCUAUUUUCUAAUCUUUCUUUAAUUUGCUUGGUUUUGGAUUCUCUUUUCUCUUUAUCCUUUGCUACCUGUUGAUUAAUAUCGACUUCACGAGUUUGAAUUAUUGGUGUUUCUCGAUCGGAUGACGAUAUAUACGUUGGCUUUCACAGCUACAAGAUGACGAAUCAAGUUUCAACUUCAAUUAAUUGAUGAUGUUUAUGUUUAUCAUUUAUUUCCACUAACCCUCCGUUUCUUAAAUGGUUGCUUUGAGCAUGUUGGAAUUUAUACCAAUUGGGUUUUUCUUGAAUUUGCCAACAAAAGCAGGUUUUGAUCCAACACAAGGUUUUGUUUCCAAAUUUGUUCUCAGGAGCUGACAUGUUGGGUAAUCUAGUUAUUUUAAGAUAAUGAGUAGUCUAAUUUACUCCCCUCAAAUUAAUCAAAUCUUGAAAGAGGGUUAUUUUCGUUGUUCUAUUUUGUUUACUGCUAUUCCCUUCUUUUCUCAGCUUGCAAACUUUCAUGGAACUUAACAUUCAGUUAUUUCUAUUUGCAUAUUAGUUUCAUAAUCCAAUAGAUAAUUGAGAGCUAGUUAGUGAUUAUAAUUAAUUUUGUAGCUCAAGCUUAUAAUAACAGUAUUUGAUCGCUGUUUGCUUAAAAUUCUUGUGAAAUCAUGCAUUAUGACUUGAUUGCAUGUUUGAAUCAUACCUGGUCUCAUUUUGGCAGCAUCUAAACGUGGAAAUUAACAUUAGCUGUGGAAAACAAAGAUCUAAUGCUAAACUCUUGAUACAACAAGGCUGGUUUUCUAUAUAACAUUUUGAUUUAUUGAUUAUAUAGUGAAUUAAAUCCAAAUCAUUUCUUUGGCUAUAAUAUUUUCUUUAAUCUAAGAAAGUCACAUAAAUUAUUUUUUUUCGUUUUCCAAGAAUUACUUAAAUUAAACUAUAGUUUCUCUGCCCUCCUUUUGCUGCUCCUUUACUAAUUUCAUUUCCAUUUUGUUGGAUAUUUCAGUUAUCUUACGUGGGCUACCUUGAAAGACUCUUCAAAUGGAGGAUGUAAAAACUUCUGAAGCAAUAGCUCCUCUAGGACCCUCUUCAUCUUCUGAGGAUAAUGCUCAUGCUUCUACCGAACCUCCAAUGAACCCAAUUAAUGGUAAACUCGGACCUGACUCCCAGUCAUCAGUGGUCGAAAAUUCGAAAUCAUCAUCUGCAAAAGAUGCUUCUGGUGAUUCACUACAAACUCUUCUGACGGAUAAUUCUACUUCCACUUUGGCACUUCCUCAUGAGAUCAAUCAUCAUAAUAUUGCGUUGGAAGGUUCUAAGACUGAGCAAGACACACUUGAUGGUCAGAGAUAUCGAGAUACUGAUUCUGUUGUCAGUGUUGAUGCUCGUCCUAACGAAGUACUUAUAGCCUCCACUUCCUCUCCUAAGGGAAGAGAUAAUGAAACUAAUCAACAUGUAUUGCCAUGCUAUGAAGUUACCCUGCCUGUUUUGAAGGUUAACAAAAUUGCUGUUGGAUCACCAAGAGCUAUGGGAUCAACUAGAGCUGUGGGAUCACCAAGAGCUGUGGGAUCACCAGGAGCUGUGAUAAAUAAUAAAGGUGUGUUGAUGGGAGAUUCUGACAGUGGAGGCACAAAAGGUAAUUGUCAAGCACCAAGAGUAGCUGAAUCACCCAGAGCUGCCGGAUUUCCAGGAGCUGCCACAGGGGGAUCUGUGACAAAACAUCCUGGGUCAGUGAUAGAGGAUUCUAAAGCCAAUUUCAUGCUUGAUACUUCUGAAUCUAUGGGAGAUGUUUCAUCACCGAAAGCUCUUACAGGCCAUAAAAUUACAGGGACCACAGAUUCUAAAACUGAAGGCACACAAUCUCAUCUUGCUGGUUCUAUUAGUUCAACCCGAGUUCGUACAGAUGACUUGAAUGUACCUUCUACUUCAUCUCCGAAAGUAAGAAAUUCCAACAAUGAUCACCAAGCACAGAUAUCCAAUGACCUUACUGAACCCCAUUUGAGGGUUGCUGGGGCGACUGUUGGAUCACCCAGAAGUUUUGGAUCACCAAGAGUCAUUUCACCGAGGGCCAUGUCACCAAGGGCAAUGUCGCCGAGGGCCCUUGGAUCCCCUAGAGCUGUUGGAUCACCAAUAGCUGUUAGAUCUCCAAAAGUUGUUGACUUAAACAGAGGCCUUAUUGAUACAGCAGCACCUUUUGAAUCUGUUAAAGAAGCAGUUUCAAAAUUUGGAGGAAUCACUGAUUGGAAAGCCCAUAGGCUCCAAACUGUAGAGGUAUGUUUUUCUUGGAUUUCAAUGUAAGAUGCUGCUUCGUAUCAAUUAAGUAUAGCACCUUCUAAUCAGCUUAUGGAGGUAUUUUCGUAAAGGGAUGUAAAAGGAAAUCCUUUCUCAAAUUUGUUACUUUUUAUAUGAUGAGUAUGUUUGGUCGAUUCAUAUAUAUUUCUAAUAGUAUGUUCUUGGAGUCUCAACUUGGUUGCUAUUUCUCCAAAACUAAAAUUUUGAGCAUAUUUAGUGAAUUAUUGUAGGUCUAAUUGUAUUUUAUUGGAUAUAGUGUAUCCUGGAUAUGUAGUAUAGUUAGGUUUAUUAUUUUGGUUCCCUUAUCAUCCUAUUUGAGUUUACUCUUUAAUUUACCACAAUUUUAAUAUUUGAAUUAACGUAGUGACACCUUUAACUCAUUGGAGGAAGAUUGCCAAAUCUACUUCUCAAAAUAAAAAUUGAAAAUUCUCCUCCAAAGGAAGUAAAGUGGUCCAAACAUUAAAGUGAUGAUGCAAUCAUAUAUCAACUAUUUAAGUAAUUAGUUUAGAAUAAAUUAAAAAGUUGUGCGGAAUUUAUUUUUUAAUCCAUAUUUAUUUUGACUAAGAUGAGAGGAGUCCUAACUAAAAUGAUUAAGUUUGAGUUCAUAUGAAAUUGUAUAUAGAACUUUUUGAGAUAAGAAAUUGUAUAUAGAAUUAAAAUAAUACAUUUUAAAUUUGAUGAAAUCUAUAGUACAUUGUCUUGAUUUCAUAUGGAAUUCCCUGUGAACUCAAUUGUUUGUCAUCCUAAAGAUUUUACAUCGUCUCCUUGUUGAUUUAAGUGUAGAUUUACAAAUAAAUUUCUUGACAUUUUUAAAUUUGUUCCAUACAUAGUGUUAGCGAACGAACAAGGUAAAAAUUAGGAGGAGAAUAAACUAAACUGUGGAUUUGUGAAUGUUUCUUUUGUAAUGGAAAGUUAUUGCUGUGAGAGAAAGUUUGUUAUGGAGAAUUGUGGCAUAUUGUGAUUGUACAGAUGAUUGUGGCGACAGAGUAGUGGUCUUGAAAUGCAAGACUUAUCUAGAUGUAAGGUAUUCUGUAGGAUCCUUUACAAUUCAGCCCUAAAAACAUUUGCUUCCAAAGCACUUGCAUGACGAUGUGCACUAUUUUCUAUAGGCCUAUCUGACUCAAAGUUUAAUGGAUUUAGUUGCCUUGGCAUUUGAUGUUCUGUGGUUGUUUAAUGGACAGUUUUCAAAGUUGCAUCUACAAAUCUCAUUGGGUCAUGAUUUGAUUAUUGUAAUGCCUGGAUAAAAGCAGCAUGGGUCCGCCAAUUUUUUCAUCCUUCCCUGGCCUUGAAAAGGUCAAUUUUAUGUUGUUGACUAGAGCUCUUAUAUCAAAUUCUAAAAUCACACAUUUCUUACGUGAAAUUGGAAAAUCAUGAUUAUGGUCCCUUGUUGUGUUGGUCACUGAAUGUGGUUACUGGCUACUGUACUGCUGUGCCUUGAUGCAGAUAUAAUGAAGGCGUCUUUCUAAGCAUGCAAGUAUUACGAUUUAACAAAUACUUGGUACGAUUAGUAGAAAGAGAAAGAGACAAAGGUCCUAACUCUUAGUGUGAAAGUUUCAUCUUUUUCCUAUCGCUGCUUUGCUUCUUGAAUUGAUAUGCAAAUAGUACAAUGGCUUCCCAACUUUCUCCCUAAUUGCAUUUGAUUGAGCACUAUCCCUGCUUAAGAGAUUUUAGCAUCCUCAUGUUCAAUAAAAGUGACAUGAAUUUCUUUCUGCCGUAUAGAGACGUAAACUUGUAGAACAAGAACUUGAUAAAGUACAGGAGGAGAUGCCCGAGUAUAAGAAACGGUCUGAGGUUGCUGAAGAGGCAAAAAUGCAAGUACUCAAGGAACUAGACAGCACAAAGAGACUCAUAGAGGAUCUAAAGCUAAACCUGGAGAGGGCACAGACAGAAGAGCAUCAAGCAAAACAGGAUUCUGAGCUUGCCAAGCUUAGGGUGGAAGAGAUGGAACAAGGGAUUGCUGAUGAGGCUAGUGUUGCAGCCAAGGCACAGCUUGAGGUUGCAAAAGCCAGACAUGCAGCUGCAGUUUCAGAGCUGCAGUCUGUCAAGGAUGAGCUGGAAACACUACGCAGAGACUUUGAUUCUUUGGUGGCUGAGAGAGAUAUGGCUAUGAAGAAAGCUGAGGAGGCUAUGUCUGCGUCCAAGGAUGUUGAGAGAACAGUGGAGGAACUGACAAUAGAGCUUAUUGCUACAAAGGAAUCCUUAGAAUCUGCACACUCUGCACAUCUAGAAGCAGAAGAACAAAGAAUAGGGGCAGCCUUGGCAAGAGACCAAGAUUCUCACCAUUGGGAGAAGGAACUGAAGCAUGCAGAAGAGGAGUUGCAGAGGCUAAACCAGCAAAUUCUUUCUGCCAAGGAUCUCAAAUCAAAGCUAGACACUGCUUCAGCCUUGCUUCUUGAUUUGAAGGGUGAAUUAGCAGCUUAUAUGGAAUCUAAACUGAAGGAGGAAGCUGAUGAAGACUCAAAUACUGAAUUAGAUGCAGCAGAGAAGAAAACUCAUACUGAUAUACAGACAGCAGUUGCUUCAGCAAAGAAGGAGCUUGAAGAAGUGAAGCACAAUAUUGAGAAAGCAACGGCUGAAGUGAAUUGCUUGAAGGUGGCUGCUACAUCAUUAAAAUCAGAGCUUGAAGAGGAAAAGUCAGCACUUGCCACCAUCAAACAAAGAGAAGGAAUGGCAGCAAUUGCAGUUGCUUCUCUUGAAGCUGAAUUGGAUCAGACAAGGUCAGAAAUUGCUGUUGUUCAAAUGAAGGAAAAAGAAGCUAGGGAAAAGAUGGUAGAGCUCCCCAAGCAACUACAAAGGGCAGCAGAAGACGCUGACCAGGCAAAGUCACUUGCUAAGUCAGCACAUGAAGAGCUGCACAAGGCAAAAGAAGAAGCAGAGCAAGCAAAGGCUGCAUUGAGUACCAUGCGAAGUAGAUUGUUUGCUGCUCAGAAGGAAACAGAGGCUGCCAAAGCUUCAGAAAAUUUGGCCUUAGCAGCUAUUAAGGCAUUGCAAGAGAGUGCGUCUGCUCAAAGCAGCAAUGAUGUCAAUUCAAAUUCAAGUGUAACACUUUCUUUAGAAGAGUACUAUGAGCUUAGCAAGCGUGCUCAUGACGCUGAGGAGCAGGCCAACAUGAGGGUGGCUGUUGCCAUUUCUCAAAUUGAGGUAGCUAAGGAGUCUGAGUCAAGAAGCUUGCAAAAGUUGGAAGAAGUGAAUCGGGAGAUGCUUGCUAGAAAGGAAGCAUUAAAAAUUGCAAUGGAAAAGGCUGAGAAGGCCAAGGAAGGAAAGUUGGGUGUUGAACAAGAGUUGAGAAAGUGGAGGGCUGAGCAUGAGCAACGCCGAAAGGUUGGUGAGUCAGGUCAUGGAGGGAACCCCUCAAAAAGCCCAAGAGCAAGUUUUGAGGUGAAGAAAGAAUCAAAGAACUUUGACCGGACACCAUCUGCUGUUGCCCAGCAGAUGACAAGCCCAAAGGCAUAUGGGCAUGGAAGUAACCCUGAAAUUAAUCCCCUCCCUGAAGCAAAGAUUGGAAAGAAAAAGAAGAAGCCUUUGUUCCCUAGGAUUUUUAUGUUUUUGUCCAGGAGGAAGUCACAUUCGUCCAAGUGAUGUAGCUUUUGCUCAAACCACAUAUAUAUGGUCUUUACUGUUAUGAUUUUAUAUCUCUCAUUGGGCUGGGUAUCGUUUAAUAGCCCUUAGUAUGUAAAUGGUGGUUACAUUUUUGUCAUGUAUGAUAUAGUUACCAGAACAUAUUUUUACUCAGUGAAAAAGGAUGAUGUUGUUGGAUAUUGGUGGCUGUGGAGGAGAGACAAGUUUGUUGGUAGUGUGUGGCUGACGAAGCCAUAAGAUGGUUUUAUCAUGUAUGUAAUUGUGACAGUUUGAACCUACUCAUGUAAAAAAUUUGAGUUUGGUCCAAUGAAAUAACUCUUUUUUGCCUGGUUUUUUGUUUAGUUGAAAUGCAAAAUUAUAGUGAUCUGUUUCGGAUGGCAUGAUGUGUGGAUGAAGUAGAAAAGUUUUCCUCAAUAUUGUGAAAAUGCUAUUUUAUAAACUAUGAAAAAAAUUACAGUAUAGGUUUUGAUUGACUUUACUUGCAGCAUCUUGCCAAGGAGCUUAAAUCUCUCCCCAAUCUGAGAAAGCUUAUUACCAAAUUCGGAAAAUACUAUUUCACCAAACAACUCAAGAAUGCUGUCAUUGCAGACAUUGAAAUGAAUUGGAAUAAACACUAAAGUGAGAGAUUGAAGAAUUAAACUUUCUUGUGUACAAAAUCUUGGAUGAUGAAUCUGAAAAUAAAAGUUUGCAGAACUUGUUUGUUUCUUACAAGCCAAAUGAUAUUGCAAAGAUGCCAUUUUACGGAAUACAUUGAAGAAGCACACUAGUGGGUGAGGACCUGAAUGAUAGUGUUGUGCCAUGGAUUUGAGAGGUGCUGCACAAGGUUGUCAAUAGGUCCUGCAUGAGUCACAUAAGCUUGGACAAAAAUACCAAGCAUUGCAAUCAUUGCAAGUCUUCCUGCAUAAAGACUUUGAGCUUAAAGACAGAUAGGAUAACUAUAAUAAUGCAGCAGCAAGUGAACAAGCCUCACCAUUCUUGAUUUCUUUCAGUUUCCAAUCAUGGGCAUUUCUGAUGUCUUUGGCAAGACCAAGUGGAUUUAGCAGAGGACCUCCAGGGUAGCUGAAUAAACAGAGUGCAGUUAAACUCCAUAUUUUCUCAAGGCGUAUAUGUGUUGGAUCAAUUUGGGUAAAAAAAUCCUGUGUUCUUAUAUCAAGAAUGGUAGAAUCUUCAAGCUGGUAGGAUGAGCAAGUGAGGAAGAAAAAAAUACCCAGGUUCAAGUCCUUCUAAAGCUGCUUCCAAUCCAAAGAAGGAUCCCUCUUUGGCUUGAGAUCCAGGACUAAUGAAAUCCAUAUACCUUUUGGUUUCCACGAAUCUGUCCAGAAUUCCAAUUCAGAAUUUACAACGAACAAGACGCAGAGGAAGAAUUAACUAAGUAAAUUUACCCCAUCAACAAUAGCUGGACGACAAUCAAAGUCGUUGUGCUGGCAAAUUCAAAUUUCACGGCACCUGCUUCAUACCAUACUGGUAUGUUGCUGAUUCCUGUCACACGAAGUAUCUGCAAACAAACAGUCACUACUCCCCAGAAAAAGACAUAUUCAUUUAAAGAUGCAAAUGGCACUUACAUCAGUGAACAAAAUUCCAGCAACUCCAACCAUGGCAAAGCGAGCAUGAACUAGCUCUGCCUGCACAUACCACUUCAAGCUUUCCGGAUCUUCCCCAAGCCCAAGUGGGUCAAACCCAUAAUCUCCAGCCAAACUUCAACCAUUCAAAAAAAAAAAAAAACAACCUCAAACAAUAAAUCGAUUACGCAAAUCAACUCCAACCUCAACAUAGACAAAUGGGGCUCACGUUCCAUCGAGAUAGGGAGGAGGGUCGAGCCCAGGGAGCCACGUGGGUCGCUGCUGAGCUUCAACUACCACUGCGCACGUCCUUGGCUUAGUAGACCAAGAUGUGCUUGUGACACCAAAUGGCUCUCUGUGUAUGUUGUUGCAGAAAAAAGAUGAUGAAGAAGACGAGCGUGGCUGGACAAAGAAGCUUACUCCUGCAACCGCCAUCUUCUUUCGUCUCUAACCACUUACACAAUUGUCAUUCAAUGAAGAAACUUGGGUCCACUUUUCUAACGCUUAGCGCAACCCAUUACAGAUAGGGUGGCUGAGCCUGAGGUAGACAACUCAAGUAAAUCUUAUUUAACAAGAAUGUAAAAUAGUAAAAGGAAUUUAUCUUGCACUAAGAGAGUCUCUACAUAAAUUCUUUUCAUACAGAGAAGAGAAAGCAAUAUCUGCUUUCAGUAAUAACUAAACAACCAAAUUGAAAAGCUUGAGUUGGGAAUCACCCAAAGUACUUGACACAACAACAGAUUUAUCUGCAGCACGACUACAAACCUAAUGAAACAGAGAUCUAAAAACACAGUGGACAAGUUCUUCAAAAAUCUAAAAAUAAAGUGGUCAUGACUAGGGUGACAUCCCAGCAUGUCAUCGCCUGCUAGACAUGCUGAAGGAGCUGACUUUCAAUGGCGUUGCAAUCACCAGUGGGGCAUCGGGAGAAUCAGUGACUGCAAAUUUAUCGUGCAUGAAACGACUAUCGACAAUUGAGUCAUCCUUUAGAACUAUCUUGUAACAGUAGCAGCUCUUCAGACCUUCUUGAUUACGGUAGCAUUCAUGAGACCCAUUCUUGACCUGUUGAAAGUUCCAUAUGACACUGAACUUGCCCACUGUUGCAACCAAAUGGCGCUCCUGCUUCCCAUUUUCUGUGACCUAAGUUAUUUAAACAUACAACUGUUAACAUCCGAUGACCUAAGUUUCUAACAAAUAAGUACCCUUAUAAAAUAUAAUCCUAGAAUUCCUAAGUAACAACAGAGAAGAACAAAAAUUUAAUAGGAAAAAGGAAAAAGAAAAGCAACAUCAGUUACCACAUAAAGCUUGUCAACGGCACUCAGAAACCAUUGUCCAAAAACAAAGCAAAUUGCGUAAUUUGAAAGGAUGGGCAAAGCACUUAAGCACAAAACAAAAUGGUCAUAGUAGGCAGAAUAUUCGAACAAAUCUCCUAGUUCUAAAUUAAAUGUUCAGAGCAGGAGAUAAAAGCAUAAGAUAUAUGUAUCUGCAUAUGCUUACCCACGAAAACUGAGCACUACGGAACUUGUUAUUAACUCCGGCUAACUGCGAAUCUAAGGGAGACAACUUCAACAAUCGUGGAGCUGCAAUUCUAUUUCCCAUACGGCCAUUAAAGCCAGUCUUCAUCUUACCAUCUUUGUCAGUAAAAAGCGUGCAGAUGAGAAUCAAAUAUGUGUCAGUUGUACCCAAUAUCCAUUUCCCAUCAAAGGUAACAUCCACAUGAGUGAUAGGUGAACCAAGACCAGGAAAAGCUGUCUUUGCCUGUCUCAUUGAAUUGCUAGAGUAGAGUCUGAUCUUCCCAUCGAGAGACCCAACAACUAUUGAGCCAUCACCAGUCGAUGCAAAGCAUUGGAAGUUAGUCCCUCUGGAAAAUUGAUGUCCUUGGGCCCAAUUCAAAACAGGGGUAUCGGCAGUCGCAAGAUUUUGAACCAUGCCUUUCCGAUCACGCAUGUCCCACCUGCAAAGUCUGUUAUCAUCCAGCCCCAAAAACGUUGAUCCAGAUGGGUCCAGUUGGGCUCCUUUGCUAUCAUUUGCAAUAUCCCUCAUGGUGAUAUCCACUCCAUCCUUCUCAAAUCUCCACUCUGUAACAAUUUUACCGGUUUCAAUAUCAAGCUGAUGGAGUCCAGUAGAAUGAGGUUUCUUUACAUCCAUGGGGCUCAUGAGCAGCAUAUUAGUCUCAGCCCUCAUAAGAAGAGCCUUUUUGGGUGUUGAAUGAACCAAACUCGAGCCACUUCUAUAACUCUCCGUAUCAAAAUUCACAUACACACCUUUUCCAUGAAUCCCGUGACUGAAAUUCUUAACAACCUGAAUACCAGAAUUACCCACCAAGAAACUGUUAUCCAAAGCACCCAGCGCCAAGCUUUGUAUGCCAUCAUUCGCUGCCUCUUCAAAUUCCUGUCUCAAAUCCUGACUUGCCCGAACUGGCGUUGAAGCUUCGGGGCUUUUCAGUAAACUAUCGUCAGCAUCUUCCCACAUUGAAUCAUCGGCGAUUUCAGGGUUUGCCCACCCAAUAAAAUCUUUCCCAUAUACCUUAACUUUGUUGACUUCGUUUGAUUCAAACCCAUAUACGUUCUCAAACAAACAAUCAUUAUACUUGGUUACGAAACCUUUAUAAUCCUCAUCAGAAAAAAAUUUCAUAGCCCAAACACCUUGAGCAACAAAAUCAACUCGACGUUGUUCUGGAAAGGUCUUCAAAUACGUCUCUUCCGACACUUUCACUCGAAUCUUAGAACCAACCUUCAGGACCCACCAAGAUUCUCCUUCUCCAGCAUCUUCAUCAUCCUCGUCUUCGUCUUCCUCUUCUUGACCGUCUAGUUUUGAUGUCUUGACGAAAGAGUAAGAUGCAAACUUCUCUGAUGUGAUCCAUUUGGAUUUGGGUGUGUUUGCACCGACGUGAAGGUAAAGCCUCACAGCAUUUUUGACAGAAGGGUUCUGGCUUGACGGGUAUUUGAGCUUCAAAGCUUUGAGUUUGGCCUCUACUUCAUCAAGAGAUGAAGGAGUUUUGGCCCUGCGACCUGAUGAUCUGUCAGGGGUGUCAUCUUUGGAAUCUUGGUAGUCUUCCUCCUCUUCUUCACCUUCCUGUUCUUCGUCUUCUGCAUCCGAGUCUGAGAUAUCAAGAUCUUCGCGACUGUGAGCGCCACCCAUUAUUGGGAUGUGUUUAGAAUCAAUUAAAGAUCAGAAUUGAGAGAAGGAAUUGUUUGCUUUUGAGAGAUCGAUGAGACAAAUAAUUUUAAAAAAAAACGGAGAUUGAAAAGUGAAGAGCGCCAAGUUCAAAUUUUGAAAUUGGAGCCUUCAAGCAUGGUUUAUACAAUAAUUUAGGGUUUUGAAUGAAUGAUGUUAGCCAAUCGAAGCGUUGAGGCUGAGGGGGUCACCGGCUACUCCCGGUGUCCGGGGAUCCUACAUUUGUCCAAUCGGGUUAUUCUGUCCAGAUCUGGACCCUGUAUGUACCCGGACUCUAUAUAUAUUUUAAAUUGAUUAUAAUGUUUAAGCAACAAAAAAUGAUUAUGGUUCGCAAUUUAACUCUUAACUUAUAACUAUUUAAAUUAUAAAAUUAAAUUUUAUGACAUAUUAUAAAUAUAGGCCAACAAGAAGAAUAAAUAGUAAAUUGUAUUAUUCAAUUUAAUUGAUGUAAUUCACUUAAUUUUAACUAAAAUAUAUUUAAUAAGAUAACUUAGGUUAUGUUUGGUACAUAAAAAUAUUUUUAAACUUUUAUUUUUUAAAAUUUUUUUAUCUUUAUUUAUGAAAGUAUUUGAAACUUGCAUAUUUAUAGAUUUAAAAAAUAAAAAAAAUUAAUUAUAAUUUUCUACAAGCACUUACACAAUUUUUUAAAAUUAAGAAAUCUUCACCAUCAUUAUUUUUAAUAUUAAUUAAAUUAUAAACUUUUGUAGAUGAACACAUAUAUGUUUAAAAAAUAUAAACUAGUAAGUAAUUUCAUAUACUAUGUGGCAUCAUAAAACGAACAAAAAAGAUUCAAGGUUGUCCCUUUUUUUUUUUUUUUUCUUUUUCGAAGUAAAACCAACGAUCGUUUUGCCACCCGCUAACAAUUUAGUGUAAAUCACAUAAUUACAUGUAGGAAGGUAGUUUGCUGUGUGCAAUCUGUAGACAAGGUUGGUGUAUGUAUAAAUAAGUCAUUAUGAGAAUAAAUGGUCAAAAGAAUUAGCUUUAAGAUAAACUUCCUUGAAAUGUAAGUGACUAACUCCUGAAAAGCCAUCGCCUCCCAUGUCCUUCAUCAUCUCUCGCACUCUCUCUACAUCAUCCCACAUUCCUUUAACAGCAUACAGAUUUGACAUCAAUAUAUAAAGGCCACCAUUUUUGUUAUCCAUUAAAUAUAAUUUCUUAGCUAAACAUUCCCCGAGCUUGACCUCUCUGUGAAUGCAACAAGCACUAAGCAAUGCUCCCCAAACUGCUGAAUCAGGAUCCAUCUUCAUAUUCUUGAUAAACAGAAGUGCCUCCUCAAAUAAGCCUGCACGACCGAGAAGACCAACCAUGCACGUGCAGUGUUGCAAAUCUGGGACUAUACCAAAUUCUUCUGUCAUCAUUUUGAAGUACUUUCUUCCCUCAUGAACAAGACCCGCAUGAGUACAAGCAGCCAGAAGUCCUAAGAAAGUGAUAUCAUCAGGUUUUAAUGCUUGUUCUUGCAUUUUAGAGUAACAAGCCAGAGCUCUGUGCUCAAAUCCACACAAACUGUAGCCUGAUAUCAUUGCAUUCCAGGUUGCCAAACAUGGAAAUUUUAUGCACUCGAACACCCUUUCUGCACCCUCUAUGCUCCCACACUUGGCAUACAUGUUGAUAAGAGCAGUACCAACAAAAUCUUCCACUUGUAGAUUAUUUCGAAGAAGAUAACCAUGAAGUUCCUCUCCAACCUGCAAGUCUCCAAGUUGCGAACACCCUGUUAACAAACUGGCAAUAGUAACCCCAUCUGGACCAUGUCCACAGAGAUUCAUUUGACGGAACACCUCCAUGGCAUCCCUCGCUUUUCCAGCCUGCACCCAGCCAGAUAUCAAUGAGUUCCAACUAGUUAGAGGCUUCUCAUGCAUGUCAGAGAACAAACAGACCAUAGCUUCAAUGUUGUUGAACUUGCAAUACAUAGUUAUCAGUCCAUUUGCAACCAAAUAGUGAGUGCAUAGCCCACUUUUAAUUGCAUAACCAUGGAAAGCAGCCCCAAUAUCCAUGUAACUGAGGUCUGUAAAGCCAUGGAGAAUGCUAACCAUAGCAACAGCAUCCACUUUCAUUUGCAACUGUUGCAUUCGUGCGAAACAUGCCAUGGCCGACUCUGUAUCUCCUUUUUCAACAUAGCUUGAAAUAAUUGCAGUCAAUGAGACCAAAUUCUCCUUGGGCGCUGACCAGUAAAGCCAUUCUGCUGAGUUUGUCUUUCCAAAUCUUGCAUAUGCACAAAUUAAAGAAGUAAGAACAGAAGCAUUAUUAAUGAGGCCAAUUUUAAUAGCAAAACAAUGAAUAGUCUCAGGGUUAGGAUUAGCCAACAGAAGGCUUACAAGACUGACUGAAUUUACUUCCACACCCUCCUCCAGCAUGUAGUUGAAAACAAGCAUAGCCUCAUCAAAAUAACAGUUUUGUCCAUAAGCACCAAUCAUGGUAUUCCAAGAAACUACAUCUUUGGCAAACAUUUCCUCAAACAAUAACUCCGCUGCUUCCAAAUCCAUACACUUAGCGUACAUAGAGGUGAAAGCAUUCUUCACUUGAGAAUCAAAGUGGAGGCCAGUUUUAAUUCCAAAUCCAUGAACGGAUUUCCCUUGAAACACAAUCUCCCGCUGCGCACAAGAAGGAAUCAAGCCAACCAACGUCGUCUCGCGAGGAGAAAAACCCUCUCUGAGCAUUUGAACAAAACUCUCCAGUGCAUCAAAAUCAUAUCCAUUACGUGAAUACCCGCAAAUUAGGGCAUUCCAUGCGACAACAUCUCUCUCAGGCAUAUCAUCGAACAACAGUCGUGCAACUUUAACGCAAUUCAAUUUCGUAUACAAGUCAAGGGUAGCUGUAGUUAUAUAAACAAACUGAUCAACACCCGAUUUUACCAUGUGCGUUCGAAUUUGAUCGGCUUCUAGCGUUGGACUAAUUGAAUCAUAAACAGAGAAUAGUGAAGGAGAUGAAGUAGAGGCUUUGAGGAAUAAAGAGAAAGUGAAGUCAUUUGGUUUCAAAUUGAACUGUAACAGUUGGCGGAAAAUAAUCAACGGGGAUUCUGGGUUUUUGCCUUCAAUGCAGGAUUUGAGUAGAGAGUGGAAAAAAGAAAGAGAACUGGAAUUGAUCAGAUUCAUAAGAAUAGAAUCAAAAUAUCCUCUGUUAAGACAAGUCCAAACGGAAAAAAGACAGUCCAAGUCUUCCGCCCAGUUUCAGGAAGUGUUUUAAGUGAAAACUACUUUGAUAUAUAUAUAUACACACACAUAUAUGUUUAUAUAUAUAUAUAUAUAUAUAUAUAGUGGCGAAAGUAGAAAAUUGAGCUUUUCUUCUUUUUCUGAAGAAAGUAGAAAAUUGAGUUAGAGGAGAAAAAUUUGUCAUUCAAAAUAAAUUUGGGUCUGACAUGAUAAAAUAUUAUAUUAUUUCCCGUUUAUUUUUUUUAUUUUUGGUUGAAUGGUAAAUAUUGUUACAAUUUUGUGUGUUUUUAUUAGAUGUUGUUUUAUAAUUAGUAUAUAUGUAUUAAUUAAUUAAUUAAUGUACGAAUUUUUAUUUAAAAAACAUUUAUUUACGUUUUCAUAAAACUUUUUUAUUAAAAAUUAGAGAAAUAAGAUAUUGAAAAAUACUUUUGUUUUAUUUAACGUAAUUCUUUAGUAACUAAAAAAUUAAAGAGAAAAGAAUAAGGGAAUUAGAUAAAAGUUUAAUUUUAUUUGAUAUUAUAUAUUUUUAAUUUCAAAAAAAGAAUGAGAUUAUUCAGUGAUUUUUGAAGAAAAUGAAAAAUUAUUUAUUAAAUUUUAUUACUUUUACAUAAACUCAUGUUUUGGAGGAAUCUCCCCUCCAUAUUACUAAAUUAUUAUUAUUAUUAUUAUUAUUAUAUUGUUAUUAUUACUAUAAGGGCAUUCUUGUCAUUUCAUAUCUUCUCCCAUACAGCAUAGUCCUUUCCGGCGCCGUUUGGAACCAGCUUGAAAUUCGGAGGAAUAAGAUUUCCAAGACCCCCAUUUGGCCCAAUUUUCAUUAUGAUUUUCUCAUCGAUCUCCGCCACGUACAGAUCAGAUUGUGCCGCUAGAAUCUUAACCCUGCUUCUUUCAUUGAUCCCGUGCUUCUUCCUAAUCGCCAAAAUGUUGGUAAUCGGCUCCUUUAAGCCCCACUCAAAGUAAUGAUCAUAAAACUGCAAAAACCAGAACCAGUUUAUUUUUUCCUUGCGAAUUUCAGACCUACCUAAAUACUUUCCGAAUCGGCCGUGGAAUAUGAGUAAAUUAAAGGGUAGAGAACAGGAAGAACUUACAAUGGUGGGAGUGCCAGGGUGGGUGAGGAUAUAAACAUAACCCAGCAUCACUUUAUCACUUGGGAAUUUGCAAAAAUCUUGAGACCAAGUGUCGUGAUUGUCGAUGAACGUCACCGCUUUCUCCGGCAAAACUCCGAGCAAUCCCGGCGGUUUUCCGUCGGUGUUAUUCAACCGGAACAACUCUCCCGUCACCGCAACCUGAAGAGAUUCCUUCAAAGGAAAAUCAAAUGCAGCCACCACUCCGCCGGCAUCCUGAAUCCACUUCCGCAGCUCAUCGCGCUUUCUGUUAUCUCCCGGAGGGAGCUUUUCGUUACAGGGAGGAUGCCAAUACUCUGCAACUGCCAAAUCGGGUUUUGUCCGAUCCACGUAAAUUUUGGUAAUGCUUGGCGCGAACCCUACUGCGUAAUCAAUUCGCCAUCCGCCAUUAAAACCGACUUCUGUUUUCAACCAAUUGAGCCAAUCCGAUAGCUCGUUUUGCACUCUGGGAUUGGUAUGGUCAAUGUCAAUGGCGAAAGGGAAGUCAUCGCCGGUGUCUGGAUUGCCGGUGCCGUGAGGGAAGUUCUUGUCGGUGCUACAGACCAUGGCGGGUCCCCAGUCAAGACGAUCAUCUGGUGUCCCUCCUUCGAAGAAUAUAUCGGUCUCUGUCUGGCGCUCUGGGCUUCUGUGGUUAAUUACAAUGUCAGCCAUGCAUUUUAUCCCGCUUUGAUGAUAAGCUGCAAUGAGUGAGCUGAGUUGAUCCCGAGUUCCGUAGUUUGAGUUGAGAUCAUACAGCUUUGCUGGUUUGUAACCUUGGGGUGCAUCGGCGCCGGAAUUAGAAGGAGGCGGCAGCCAGACAUGAGUAAUCCCGGCAUUAGCAAUAUCAGUAGCAGAGUUCUUCAAGAAAUUGUAUAAUUCUCCUCGUUUUUCCGAUGAGGCCCAAGUGAAACCCUGUUACAUUACACAGCGAAGGAGUCUAACUUCGUAAUAUGGCAAUACCAUGACUAGAAAGAAACCUAGAGAAAACGAAGAAGAAGAUGGAGAGAUACCUGAAACAGAACUGCUGGAGAUACGAAAGCAGGGAAGAUAGAGGAUAAGAGGAAGAGGAAGCAAAGUGAAGUGAUGACUGAACUCAUCUUGUUUUAUUUUGUGUUUGAGUAGAUGCAUAUGAUGGUAUAUUUAUAGGCACAUGAUGGAUCCCAUGUUGAUGACGCUGUAAUAUCUGUUCGUAUGCCACCUUUGGGUAAUUUUCCAUUGACUUUGGAAAUAAUUUUUGGUUAUAUAUAAUACAAUUCAAAAACAAAUUAAUCUUGCCCACAUUGAAAUUUUACAUACAUUAAAAAUAAGAACCAACAAAAAAGAAAAAAAAGAUUUGGAUGAGGUUACUCUUGUUAUAUUUUUGUUCUUAAAUCCUAGUUUGUUUUAUAUAAAAUAAUUAUAGUAAUUUACAUAUUCGAUGCAUAACGAUAUCAAAAUAAUCAUAAUUCAUAUUAUGUUUUUAGUUAUGUUUUACUUAUUUAAUAAAAUAAUUAAUGUUUAUAAAUAUAUUUAUUUCUUUUAUAUCGACUCAAAUUUAUAAUACUAUCAGAGUGAAACAUAAGAUUUAAAAAAGAAUAGAUGUUAAACUUUAUUAGUGACAAAUAAAUUUUUUGCAUGUGAAAAAUCUCAAUAUAAUUUUAAAAAUUAAGAAUUAAUCGCAAAAAUUUUAGACGAUCUAAAAAAUACGAAAUUAUGAUUAACUUUAUAAAUUGUCUUGGGUACUGAGCAUUUACUUAUAAGAAUUAAAUUUCUCGCAAUAACUAGCUGCAACAACUUCAUAACUAGGAAUUUGGUAGAUUAUUUCUUACGUAUAGAAUCAUUCAUAUUUUAAAUUAUAUAUAAUAAAUUUUCUAAUCUCGUAUGUUAAUGAACAAAUUACAAAAACAUCUACUAUGAAUUUAUAUAAUUAAAUUAGAAUUAUGAUUUUAUUUUAUUUUUAUAAAAUUUUAUAUUUUGGAUCUUGUAUGUUUAGAUAAAUAUAUAUUUAUCUAAAAUAUAUACAAUAAGAUGAGAUCGGUUCAAUCUUUUUAGUAACAGAUUAAAUAGACUUUAAUUAUAAUUUAACUAAUAUAUAAUAAUACGAACAGUACUUUAUUGAAAUCAUAUUAACAUAGAAAUCUAGAAACAAAAUAAUAAUAAUAAUAACUAAUACAUGGAUCCUUAACCUUCUGUCGUUCUUCGUGAACGAUUAAUACACGUAUCCUUAAAGUGUUUAAUCCAUUUUAACUUGCGUUUGAUAGUCAAAGUUAUGUUUCUAAAGUCAGUAUAAUCUUCCUUGACAAAACUUGGUUUUAAUUCAACGUAUUCUGGUUGUAAUCUUCAUUUAGAAAAACCAACUCUUUGACUAGAGACUGAUUCGCAGAUUCAUGAUUGUAUAAUACUGUAAAAAUAGAAAAAGGACCCAAAUAUAUAUAUAUAUACAUAUAUGUGUGUGUGUAUAAAGGGGCAAGCUUAAUUAUUUUGAAUUUUCACCAACUUAAUUCGGCAAUUCCUUUCUUGACAAGUUCAAUUUCCAAACUCCAGGUCACAAAGUUUGACUCAAGUGUAUUACACAAAUACAAAUUAGAUUUAUCUUCGUGUCAGCUUAAUUUACAGUAUAAAAAUAAUAUUUAAAUAAAUAUAUAUAUAUAUAUAUAUAAGAAUUAAAUUUAUAAUCUCUCAUAAAUAAAUUAUUUAAUUAACCAAUCGGUAAUCACUUUCUAAUCAUUUUUGAUAAAUUUAUUAUAAAUUAAAACUAAAUACAAUCACGUUAUGCUAUUCGUUACUAAAAUGUGUAUUCACAUAUACUAUGGUUAAACGAAUUAACAGAAUUUUAUUUUUUAUUUAAAUAAGAUGCAAUAAAAAUAAUUUUCUAUUUCUAUUCCGUGUAAUAAUAUUGAUUAAACUAUUUACGGAAUUAAUUAAUUAAUUUCAUUUAAAUUAAAUGUAAUAUAUGAGAUAUAUUGUUAAUGUCACAGUAGUUCGNNNNNNNNNNNNNNNNNNNNNNNNNNNNNNNNNNNNNNNNNNNNNNNNNNNNNNNNNNNNNNNNNNNNNNNNNNNNNNNNNNNNNNNNNNNNNNNNNNNNNNNNNNNNNNNNNNNNNNNNNNNNNNNNNNNNNNNNNNNNNNNNNNNNNNNUUAAUGCACAUCUCUUGUGAUAUGAAAUUUAUUUGUUUUUAAAUAAUUAAAGGAUAUAAAUUAAUUUACAAAUUUAAAAUAGAAACUAACAGGGUUUAGUUCGCCAUCCUCUAUUGAUCUUGAACUUGUUUCUCAUCUCCCUCUCACUUGAAUGAAGAUGAAUUGAGGUGAGUUUCACGUGCUAAGUAAGAAAAAAAAAAUCUAUAAUGUAGGAUUUACGUACAUACAUUCACGCAAUAUAUAAAAUAUAAUAAUUUUUAUCAUCAAAAAAAUGUCAAAUAAGCAUCACAACCAAAAUACAUAAUAAAACAAAUCAUCGCACAAAAUAUAUUUUAAUCUUCACUUUUUAAACCUAAUUCUUGUUAUCUUUUCAAAUUACACUCAUGCAUUCAUAGAUUCUUCAAACAAAAACGGAUUUACUCACACACACAUAUCACUCAACUCGAAUUUAUAAUUUUAUAUUAUUUAGCCUUUUAAAGCUUAAUUAGAUUACCAUCGCGCGAUACCCGUUAUAUCAUUAUCGAAUAUAGGAUCCCUCCAUCGCAUGUAUAACACAAAAAAAAAAAAAUCUCAUAUUGGCCACAGAAGUUACGUUUGCUAGGUGACCUACGCUCAUAAACACAUAUCCACGUAUAGACUAAGUUUCAAACUCUAUCUAUGUGCAGGUUCACCAUACCAGCUGAACUUCAGCCAUACACGCACCUUUCCCUCCUCGAUUUACGACUAACAAAUGACGUGUUUUAUUUACUCUUUACAGUUUUCUUAUGAUUGCCUUCCUAGUGGCUUAUUAAGUCUAUUUCUCUAGCUAACUUACACUUAUCAAUUUCUUUGGUGUUUGUUUUCCAGAUGUAUUUAACUUAUUUAGUUUUUUAUUUAAAAAUCUAAAAUUUAUAUUAAUUUAAGGUAUUAACUUUCCAUGCACAAUUAAAUACAAACAUACAUAUAAUAUACGAUAUUAUCAUGCACAUCAGAACUAUACAUGUCAAAAAACUUUCUGAAUCAUCAUAUAUCAGAUCACACAGCAAGCACAAGAUACUCAAAUUUUUCGCGCAACUGUACCAGAUCAUACAGUAAGUACAGUGCACCAUACAUCUACAUCAGAUCACACAGCUAGUGCAAUGUAUCCAAAUUUCAUAAGUACAUACACUGGUUAUACAUUUUACAUACAUAACAUAUGUACACACAUUUUAAUACACACAUAUAUUAUAAUACAGAUAUGUACCAUCACUACAUGUCUCACACAGAAUAUAUAUUUAUAUUUACAUACACACAAACAAUUUCUAUCGAUAUAUAUACACACGUUCAUAUUUAAACAUGUAUACACAAUCACACACAACAUACCAGAUAUAUAUAUAUAUAUAUAUUUAUUCAUGCAUUUGUUCUUAUUAACUCUAUUCAAAUUAAUUCAUCGUAUAUUUUUAUCUAUAUACACAUAUACAUGCGUAAUAACGUGUAUAUAUACACUAUAUAAAUAUAUACAAAUACAAAUUAAAUAUACUAAUUAUAUUUAUAUUACAUUACCCAUACAUUUAAAUAUUCAUACAUAAUGCAUAUUAUAUAUACACAUUUAUAUAAAUAUAUAAUUUAUGUAUUUGUACAAAAUACGCAUAAUUUUUACCUAUGAUAUGAUCGGAAAAACUUUAAAAAUUAUUUUUACCUUGAUCUACAGUUAUAUCAGAAAUUCGAAUAUGGUUUGAAUAAUUUUAUUCGUUUAUAAUAAAAAAAUACAUAUAUUAAAUUAUGAAUAAUUUUAAAAAUUAUACCGAAAAAUGAAUUUUACCUUGAAACACGUGAUCUCGAUUGUUAACAUUACCACGCGACAUCAUACGCAUGUCACCGAAAAUGUUAUACAAUGAUAAUCGAAUCAACGCGCGUUGUCGCAUGUGACACACCAACAUUUCGCCGCACUUACAUUUUUCUUCCUUAAUUUAAUUAAUUUUUUUAUUUUUUGCCCUUUUUUUAUUUUCUUUCAUCAUUUUUUUUCUUUUAUUCCUUUUUUUUUUUUCUCUUCUCCUUUUUCCUUCCUUCUUCUUCUUCCUCCUUUCCCGUAGCUUCCUUUUUUUUUUUUUUCUUUCUUCUUCCUUUUUCUUCUUCCUUUGUUUUUUUUUUCCUUUCUUCCUCUCUUCUUCUUCUUCUUUUUCUUUUUUUCUCUCUCUCUCUCUCUCUCUCUCUCUCUCUCUCUCUCUCUCUCUCUCUCUCUCUCUCUCUCUCUCUCCUUCCUGCGACGUCUCCCCUUCUGCCGCGUCUCACCUCCGCGACUGCCACUCACUCCUCCUCCUCACGCGGCCACGGCUCCUUCCCUCACUCCGCUCUCCCGGUCCCGAUCCUCACUCAACUUGGCCUCCUCUCUCACCCGCUCGAACUCAGCUCUCUUCCCCUAGUUCUUGUUUUUUUCUUCUGCUAUUUCAUUAUAAAUCUAUUUUUUUUUUUUUGCGGCUUGGUUUGUUCUCUUUCUUUUUACAUUCUUUUUUUAAAAAUUAAUUAAUAUAUAUUAUAUAUAUAUUUUUUGUACCCAGCUGGUGCUCGAGCUGACUAUUAUUACACACAAUUAUUUGCUAAACAGUUUUCAAUAUAACGAAUUUUUGAUAAAAUUUGAUUUCAUAAUUUUUUUAAGUAAGUAAAUUAAAAAUUUAACCGUAUAUUAUUAAUAUAAGUUUAUUUAUAAAGUACUACACGGAUAUAAUUAUGUAAGGAAGAUAAGAAAUAUAUUAACUAUACUUUAAAAAAAAUAUUCCCACGCCAUCAUACAGAAUAAAAUUGUAGUAAGAGGGAGCUUUAAAAUUAGCUGUUGCACAUCUAUACAAUUCUUAAUACGAAUUACAUGAGAAAAAUAUGUUGGACAUUAAAUUAAUAAAUUUUUUUUCAGAGAAAAUGGAUUGAGAUAGUUUCUCCAAUUGUUCGCCUUUAAAAGAAUAAUUGGGUUUUAUGUUUGUUCAAAAUUAAUACAUAUAUGAAUUUUGUAAAUAAUCAAAGAGCAAUUUGGUGGCAAAAUGACAAAAGAUUGACUAGAUAUAGUGAAGGGUUCUUCUCUAUAUGUAAAGUUGGGAAAAGUUGAGCUAAACCAAAUAUGGGCACACCUUCAUACGGGUUAGAAGUUUCUAUCUCAUGGGGUGUCAUUGCACAUUUUUUUUUUAUAAAAAACUUUAAUCUAAAAAAUAUCUCAAAUUCAUAUGAAUUUGGUAUAUUAAUUGAUGAUAUUAAUAUUCUAAAAUCAAAAUUUUUGGGUUCAGUCAAUUUAUGAAUUUUUAUAAUAAAAAUCCCAUAUGUAUUAUGAGGAUAUUGGCUGAUUAAAAAAGGUUGUGGCCGCCGAUUUAAUGAAUAAAUAAAUAUCUUUUUUUAUGGCUUUAUAUUUAUUUGCUGGGCCAAAGGAAGAUAAAAGGAAGGGAGUGUUCGGGAAGAAUGGUCAAAAAAAACAAAGAGCCGCCACGUAAUCUCAGACCUCAAGCAAACCCAACAGAUAUUUUCCAUUCCCAUACAAAAUAUCUGAACCUCUUCCCCCCCACCACCACCCUGCGUCUUCACGUGGGACCCGCGCGUCCCCAUUCCACGUGUAAAGCGAUUACUCUUUUCUCUCCAACAUCACUCCCUCCCUCCCCCAUUUCCUCUCUCUCCCUCCCAGAGUUUACUCCUCUCUGAGUUCGAUUCUUACUUCCGGGGUUUAUGGUAUGCAAAUCGUUUGGAUUAGUCUUCCAGUGAAAAUAUGCUCUUGCGAGUUCGUUAAUAUCUGAGUUUACCGGGGGACGAGUCGCGCGGAUUUUCUCAGCAGGUGGAUCUCAGACCUCGAGCAUGGUACUGUCUCUACUCGCUAUUGAUUCUACGUUUUACCUUCCGCAUGAUUAUAUACCUAAUCACCGCAAUUUGUUUUUUCCUCUGCACCUUCUUUUUCUCGAGUCUGAAGACUGAAAAACAAGUAUGUCGUGUGAAAUUGACCUGUGAAGCCAUAAACUGCAAACAUUUAUAUGUUUCUUCUGUAAGCUACGAUGGUAGGUUCUCUACUUUAUGGCUAUCAGACUUGAUUUCCAUGGAGGAAUAAUUCUGAAUGAAGAAAAUUUGGGGUUAAUUGGUAUAUUAUCUGAGUUGUUUGCUAUUUGAUUUAUCACUAUAGGCAAAAGAUCUUGUUGCUAGGGUUAUUAGUGACCUCGUAUUAUCAAUGUUAGGUUCUUUGUUUGUUUGUUUGUUUUUUUUUUUCUAAAACUUUUUUUCUGAAUCAAGAACGCAAUGAAUGUAAAUAAAAGUUGUUGGUUGACAAAUUCCGUUUACCAGUUAUUUCUGGAAAAUACCCCCCUUGGUUAUUAGAAUUUCCAGAGUUUCCUGAUGAUGAUUUUAAUGGCAUGCCAGAAUUCUCAGAUUGAAGAAGGUAAGAGUGCAGAAUGGACCAAUGAGAAGCAUAGAUUAUAUCUUGAAUCCAUUGAAACAUCUUUUGUUAAUCGGCUCUAUAAUUCUUCGGAUCUUCUUAGUUGGCGCCAACAAAAAGGGAACUUGUCAAACAUAAAAUCGUCCAGGCAAGCCUGUUGUAAUCCUCGUGUACCCUCUGGCCAGGUUCAAAAUCGACUUCUUAUGUUUCCUGCUUACUUCCUUCUGUAUUGUAUAUAUGUUUUAUAAACAAACAAAAUGUUUAUUCCAUAAUGGAUGCAUUUUUAUUUCUAUAAUGGAUUCCAUGUCAUUACUCCAGUUUAAGGUUCUUCGUCGUGGUUGCUGGCAAAAGGUCAAUUUUGAAAGACCUGGAGUUCAGUUAAACAAGGAAGAUGAAUCCCUUGGGUUUCUGGCAAGUCCUUGGAUUAGGCAUUUUAGUCCUGUGUACAAGCCCCAGGUUUUAGCACCAGCAAGUCUCCAAGGAAGUUCUGCAUUGAAAAGCCAAGCAAUUGCUUCAACUGCGAGGAAAGACGUGCCCUACAACCCCGAAUCAGCUACUGGUUCAAGGCAGUUUCAUGUGUAUCGCUCCCCCUUACAGGAUCAAGAUUUUAUUGACUCCACCGAAGGUAAUGUUUGCUGAUAGACCCUAUACUUUUCAUUACCACCUUCAUGAUGUAUUGCUCCUGUAGACAUGCUUGCUGAAGCCUAAGCUAUCAAUUUUGAAAAGCAAUGAGUAUUACUUAUGCUAGUUUGUCCCAGUAGAUGUGUUGGAUUAAUACUCUGGUGCCACUAUGAGGAUCAGAAAGUAUUUACCUGGGGAGUGUGGUAGAUCAUAAUCAGAAAUGGUCCAAUAUCUAAUCAGUCAGCGAGCAAUAAGAUUAUUGACUUAUCUUGGAUUGUUUACCAGUUCAUAUUUGAAGCGCGUCACUUUGUUUUUUCCAAAUCCAAUUUAUGUUCUAAGGUAGUUUAUGGAUUUUAAGUAAUAAUGCUGAAAAAUAAAAAAUUUUCAGAUAAUGAGUGCAAGAUAUUUUUGUAUUUACAACUUGAACUAUUGAAGGAUUGACAAAUUCAUUAUUUUAUAUAUCAUGUACUGUAGCUAACAAUGCCUGUAGUUAUUCUUCUUAGAAAGCAAUGAUUUAUUUAUUUAUUUUGAGAUAAAAGAGAAAGAAUAUUAUUAUACACAAAAGUAUUAAGGGAGUACCACCCGAAAACACAAAAUUACAAGUCCAUUAGGUAGUCCAUAACAACUCCAAUAUCUUCCCAUUCUAAUAUGUCACGACUUAACAAAAUAGAAUUAAAAGUAUGAAAUCAUCUAUCCCUAAUAUUUACAAUGUCUGUUUCAAUACCUUCAAAAGCCCUAACAUAUUUCUCCCUCCAAACUACCCACAUAAUAGAAAUCGGAAUAAGGAAUAAUUCUUUUUUCUUUUUACAUAAACCAACCCACACCCACAACUAUUCACUAACACUCCCCGCCAUGGCUCAAUUCAUCCCCAUAAUCCCAUACACAUACUCCCAAAUUCUGUACACCAUAGGACAUUGAAGUAACAAGUGGUUGCAAGAUUCUUCAUCGACCUUGCACAUGUAACACCUAUUAACCAUCAUCAUACCUCUUCUUCUCAACAUAUCAAUGGUCAAUAUUUUUUCUUUAACAGCAUCCCAAAUGAAAAAAAGCCAUUCUAGGUGGAGCUUUUGACCUCCAGAUUUGCUUAAACGGUGCUGCCAUAAAAUUAUUCUCACCAUUUUUUACAAUAAAAUUGUAUUAGGACUUCACAGAAAAGUCUCUUUUCUUGUCCGGUUUCCAUAUUCUUUUGUCCUUCAGAUUUCCCACCUUAAAAUCAGCAAGACAACGAAGCAGAUUACAUUAUUCAACCUCUUCGUCAUCCUUCAAAUUUCUCCUGACUCCCCCCAAACUCCCCUCUCGAACACCUUCUCCACAAGGAUAUCCCUCUCCCUAGCGAUCUCAAAGAUCCUCGGGAACUUGUCUUUCAAUUUGAAGUCACCAGCCCACUCAUCCUUCCAUAAAUUAAUUUCAGUUCCAUUACCCAGCUGCCAGCAUAUGCCAUCAUAAAAAUUCUUGCUGUCAAUGUUAAUUUUCUUCCACAAACGUUUUAAAUGGAAUGUUUUAAGAAAGCAACGUUUUAGUUCGUAAAAUUGAUUUGUUUAUGUUUAUCUUAAAAUGUAUUCUGAUUAAAUGGAAUGUCUGAGUCUUGAAGGUUGAAAAAGUGAGAAUAUAGUUUAUACAUGUCUCUAAGUGAAGCAGGAAAUUAUUGUUAGAUUACAUCAUAAUCUUGAUAGCUAUUAGGAGAGGAAUAAAAGGAGAAUAGGGGUGAGGAGAAGAUACUCUAAUCUUUCCCUUCAUUCCUUGUCCAAAAACUUGGAGAACCUUCAUCACCUUCUCUCCAAUGUAGACUUAAUUCGCUACUGAAUGGUUCUCUUUUCAUGGCCUAAGAGAUAUAAUGCAUGGCAUAAUAUUAUACUCAGCAACUGUUUGCUCAUGAAUGCUUUGGAAUACAAUCUUUCUCUGUCUUAGGUUAGUUUUCUUUUUCCAUUUUGGGUCUUGAUGGUGAUGAUGGACAUGUUUUAUAUGCCAGCAGAGGUGUCAGACCAGAAUUUUGUUGAUGAAGAAAUUAGAGGCGAGAAUGCAAGCGGUAUCUGCAGCUCCGAGAAAGACAAGAAUGUUGACAACUAAUUUUCCAAGUGAUUAUCUAGCAAUAUGUCUCUUUAUUUCAUUGUUAAUCAGUUGCCAGAAUCGGAAUAGCUUCAACAAUCUUAUCUAGCUGUCUAAAUGUUAUGCAUUUCUCGUUUUUUCUAGGCCUUCUUAAGCCUCUGGUAACAUGAACAUUUACUUCUCUGGGACUCUGUUAGAAGGUAAGUUACUUGCAUGUGGGGAAUUUAAAUGGUGUAUGAAGUGAUGAAAGAUUUAACGAGGAAGCUGUAUGUAUUAAAAAAAUAGGGGAAGACUUCUGUUACCGAGUUUUGUCUUCAUACUGCCUUUUCCUUUCAUAUUUAAUCUUGUCGCAGCCAUGGGUGCAUCAAUAUUACAAGGUUGGAUGGGCAAUAGCUAGUUGUCUACUGCCUUUGUGGUGUAAUAAGCUUGUCCAGAAUUAUUAGUUUUACUUCUGUUGCUCAUAUGGACAUGGUGGUCAAAAAUACACUAAAAACCUCUGUUUUAGCAGCAAAGUCAACUCUUGAAAAAUAUAUGGCCAAGUCAUUAAUCAUUCAGAUGAUCCUAAAACAUCUGCUAAGCCUUUAAAUUUGCCUGCGAUGAUGAUGACGAUUAUUAUUUUAAAUCAUAGCCCAAGACGAGCUAUUUCUACUUCGCUAAGGGAUUCAUUCAUACGAGGAAAAAGCCCACGCGAUGUUGCGAUAUAAAUUAUUAUUAUUAUUUAUUAUUUUUAGUUUGAUAUUUGAACAUAAUAUCUUAUAAAAUUAUACUUAGACAUUUAGAAUUUGAUUGGAAGAUUUGCAUAAUAGUUCAUUAAUGUUGGGUAUUAUAUGAUAGGUGUAAAGUUCAUUAAUGUUUAAAUUUAAUAAUGUUUGGAUGAUAGUUUAUUAUUAAUAUUUGAUAGUAAUAAUUGUUUUUAUUUGAAUUGACAGUAUGAUAUGAUUGUAUAUUUGAAUAAAUUAUUUAUUUUGUAUCUAUUUUAUUGUAUAUAAUAAUAAAUAAAAAAUAAAAAAUAUAUAGUGUUAAAUAUAUAGAUAUAUAAUUAUAUAUAUAUAUAUACACACACAAUAAAAUAAGAAGAAGAAGCGAUUUUUUUUGAAUUAGAAGAAAAAGAAGAGUAAAAAAUGUCAGGUAGAAUAAUUUAAAAUAAAAGAAAAUUUUGUAAAUAAUAAAAAAAAUAUAAAACCAUCUUAAAAUCAUUUUAAAAAAUAAAAAGAAUUAUAUUUUUAAAAACCACAACUCAACCAACAAAAAAUUAUAUUAUGCGAUUAAAAAUACAAACAAAUAAAAUUAUAAAAAAAUCAUGAUAAAAGAGAAAUACAAAGGUAUUUUGUAUAUUCAAAGGUAUUUUGAAUCUUACUAUUCAAUUUAUAAAAUCUAAAUUACACCUACCUCUAUUAUGCACCAAACCCAAUUAGGGUGACUACAAACUAAACACUUACAAGUACUUAUUAUAUAUAUAUAUAUAUAUGUUUGAGUUAUAAAAAAAAAAGUGGAGGUGUAUUUGCAUGGAAUUAAAAAACCAUCGACCUAAAAUGUUGAUAUCCAUCAAUUCAAAUUGCAAAGAGGUGGGAACCGAGUGUGUAGUGUUAAUGGGAAAAGUGGUGGAUUCAUGGGUGAUACGAUGGGGCAACCCCAAGUAUCUUGGGGAGAUUUUGUUGUCACGUGGACAUUUCAGAAUGUCAAGUCAGCAUCAGCCACGUGUCCACCAACCCAAUAGUGGAGGAUCGACACGUGCCAGUACCAAAGUGAAGGGGAGGGGACCCUUCGCUAUUUUUAUAUAUGUACAUAUAUGUAAUACAGAGAGAAAGAGAGAAACAGUGAGUGCAGACAUGAACAUUACGAGGCAUACACGUAUGGACGCAUAUAUACAUAUAUAUAUAUAUAUAUGUAUGUAUACACAGCAGUUAAAGGAUGCGGUCAAAAUCUAUUCAUUCAGAAAUCAUAUAUAUAUAUAUAUGUAUGUAUGUAUGUAUGUAUGUAUAUGGGUGCAUGAUUGCAGCAUUUGUGGAGAUAGUUAUAUUCUACUAUAACCAUCAUGACAUUAGAAUGAUCAUGUUCGAUGAGUGGAGAUUGAGCUUUGAUCCAUGCACCAAUUCUCUUAUUAUUAUUAUUUUUUAAUUAUGUUUAUUAUAUGCAAUUUAUAAUUUAAUUUGGCUAUAAUCUCUCCAUACAAAAAAUUAACAUUAAUAACUUAAAUGGUAGUUUAAUAAUUAUAUCAGAUUUAUAGUAAUAAUUUAAUACAUUACGAGUUUUAACUUGGUAUUUCUCUAAUUACUUGGGUGAAGAAUCUAUUUUAUUCUCAUAUAUGAAGCUUAAUUCAUCAAACCUAAAUAUAUAAAUCAACACAUUCUCUUUUGUAUGUAUAUGUAUUAAUAUUUGAUUAAGCAAGUAUUGAUACAAAAAAAUUGACUUCAUAUUAGAUUUGUAAACGUGGGUAUCUAUCUUAGUGGCUCUUAUGAUAUAUUAGGUAUGCAAUUGAUCAAUCUCGUAUCUCACUUCUGGUCUAUUUCUUCAUAACAAGCAAAACCCUUCGUUUUUUUUUUUAGUGUAAAUAUUCAUCAGUACAUUAAAAAUAAGUAACUAAAUUAGAAAUUGAAUAAGNNNNNNNNNNNNNNNNNNNNNNNNNNNNNNNNNNNNNNNNNNNNNNNNNNNNNNNNNGAUUAAAUUUAUAUCAAGAAAAGUUAUUUACUAUUGUAAUACCCUAAUUAAUUUUAAUUGUAAUUAAAAUUAAUGAAUAAAUAUAAUUUUUUAAUUUUUAUUGAAUGUAAAAAUAAAGAAAAUUAAAUGGAAGAUGAAAUUGAAGAUAAUUCUUAAAAAAAUGGGUAAAAAUUUAUGUUAUGUGGGUAUUUUAAAAGAAAAUUCAGAAAUUAGUGGUCAAAACGUAAUUUAAGAAAAUUAUGCAACGUAGAACGCCCAGUCAGCAACCCCAACAAACCGGAGUGCGCAGUGUGGCAAGAAACGAUGACGCAGUGUCACGCGGGAGGCCACGCUGGCGAUCUGCGUGUCCGCGAUCCGACGGUCCAGAUUCGUUCCCGUACGCACGGACGGUCCAGAUCCGUUCUCUCAUCAGAUGUGAUCGGAUGACCAAGAUUAAAUGCAAUGAACGGUUCAGAUCAACUUUCUAUUUAAACAUGAUCGGACGGUGCAGAUCAAAUCGUGAUAGACGGUCCAGAUUCACUCCCUAUUUAAUUGCAAUUGAACGGUCCAGAUGAAACGCGAUGGACGAUCAAGAUUAAAAGAGGACGAAUAUAAAUAACCCUCUUGACACCAAACCCUAACCCUAGUCGCCAGACACCCCCGUCGUAAAAGAAGAGCCAGCCACCGGGAAGGAAGCCGCCCGCCGUCCAUCGCCGUGCCAGAGCCACUUCCGAUUGCCAAAAGAGGUAAAAAAAAUUUCAUUGCUCGAAAUUUGAUUUUAAACACCCUCAUGGUCAAAUCGGAGUAAAAAGACUUAUGGAUUAGCUGAAAAUCACGGGUAAAGUCCGGCGGCACCGUCGCAGAAAAUUGCAAAAACAGCAUCUAAUGAGGCCCUUUUCGAUUUUCGUUCUACGUAAUUCUUCCACCAUUGUAUCACCGUUUCCUUCUCUACAGGUUGACUGAAACAAAACACUUAACUGCAAAAGUGAACCAGCGGAAUCGCCACAUCGGAGAACUCCGCCACCAGUAAGUUUCAGUUUUUUGACUUUUUUCAGUCAACCGAGACCUCUUAACGUAUUUUCUCGUAGGGUGGUCGAAUUCGGCCGAAAACGACCUACUCAAGGUAAACCGCAGGUGUGGGCGACGGUGUCGUCGCCGGAGCACGGCGGAGCCGUCGUGCCGGAAUUCUGGAAUUGGCCAAAAAGAGUUCCUAACACUGAAUUUGGAUUUUUUUGAGAUAUUUAUAGGUACUUGAAGCGCGUUUUAAUCUCCGAAGAAAAAUUCAGGGAACCCGAGGACUGCCAGUAGGCGUAGUCAAAAGUUUAGCAUUUCGGACAUCAAUUUGAGUGAGAAUCCCUCACCAUAUUUCCUGUUAUAGAAUUGAAGUUUAAUUUUAAAUAAUAUAGUAUUUUAUAAAAAUUUAGAAAAUAUUCAUAAUUAAUUACAUAUUAUUAAUGAAUGAGGAAUCAGUUAUUUACUAUUGUUUGCUAUGAUUAAUCGAUUACCUGACUGUACCGGCCCCAGAAAUUCAAAAACGAAAUACAUAUAAUAAUCUGAGUGCGAAAGCGAAAUAAAAGAUUAAGGUUAAUAUCCCUUACACAAUAACUUAAAAGUACUAAAUAACAUCACAGAAUAAGUUCUCUAAAAGAAAUAUGAGAAAUGAAAAAAAUAAAGGAAAUUAUGAAGUAUCUAGCAUCUACUCGCCGUCUUCUUGUGGAUCAGGCUCGGGAACUAGGUCCUCCUGAUAUGAAAUGGUUAAAUAAGGAAUGAAGUACACUAACCCAGUAAGAACAUCAUACUAUAUUACCGUCACAGAAGUAAAGGUUGGUAGAAAACCGAAAAUAACCAAUGGAGCAUAAAUUUUAAACCAAUACAGUUAUUUAAAAUAAAAACACUUACCUUUUUUCUUACCAUCGGAGAACCUGUGAAAACAACCUAUAAAGACAAUAACAUCAUACAGAUCACAAUCUCAUGUAUAAUCAGUAACAUAAAAUACAUUAUAAACCCGUAUUCAUUAACAAUAACUGACUAUCACCAUUUCUCAUUUUUCACCAGCUUACUAGUAUCCAUGGGGAUCCAUAGGGGGUCCUCACUACACGUGAACUAUUCCCUUUAAACAAUCUUAAUUCUAGGGUCAUCCCCAUACCCCGUCCGGUAUGAGCACCAAAACAAUAAACCUCAAUACCCCGCCGGUAUGAGGGUGAAGCGGGUCGUCCCUAUACAUUGUCCGGUAUGAGCACCAAAUGACUAAGUCUCCAUACCCCGUCCGGUAUGAGACAACGUUUACGGUAGGGUUCCCUAUGAACCUAGUACGUCCACCAUCUUCCAAGAUAUCUAGUGAGACUGUCAUCUUAUCCAUUUAUCAAAUCACAUCCCAUUCCUAUUUGUCAUUAGUCUCCGUUACCAACUCAAACAUAAAUAUAUAAACAAGUAACGUGAAUUCAACAAAACAAGCAUAUCUUAGAUUCCCAAAAUCAAACAGUAGUGAAGUAAGCAGUGAUUCAUGCAUUUAAAACCAUAGAAUAGAUAAACCAAAUACUAUAAUACAUUUAAAUUGUAAAAUAAAUCAAACAGGAAUCGACAGAGAAUAAUGUUCGAUUUCGGGCUCCAUUAACAACCUUAAUUAAUUAUGCAUAUAUAUUAAUUACACAAAAUACAGUAUUACUAUUUAUUUGAACUUUAAUUCCAUGAUAGGAAAUAGAGUGAGGGGUCCUUACUUGAUUUGACGCCGAAAACUAGAUUUUCAUUGCGCCUAUGGGCGGUUCCUGGGUUCCCUGAAUUUUUUUCAGGAACUGAAACGUGCUUACGAUACCUACACAUGUCCCAAAUAACCUUAAAAUCAGACCCAUGGCCUACUUGGCCAAUUUUGGAAUUCUAUCCGGCGACGGUGAUCUGCUUUGGGUUGGCUGUUUUCGGCCGAAUUCAGCUAAACUUACAUCGGUUCCUAUGAGAAAACACACUUAGGGCUCUCGGUGGGCCAAAAAAAUAUAAAAAAUCGAAACUUACCAGCGGUGGGGCUCUCCGGUGCGGCGGCUCCUCCGGCUCACGUCGCGGUUGAGUGUUUUGCUAUGGUCAACUUGUAGAGGAGGAAACGGUGAAAAAAAUCACAUUGAACGGAAAUCGGAAAUGGCCUCAUCGGAGGUAAAAAUUGAGAGACCAUGCUGCAGCGUCGCUGAGCUUCGACGGCAUUUUUUGACCAACUAGCCGGUCUUUUCGCUCUGAUUUGGCUAUAGGUGGGUUUAGAAUCAAAUUUUGAGCAAAGAGUGGAAUUUUUACCUCGUUUAGUGCCCGAAAAUUGCUCCGGUACCCAAAUUUUCACUCAUUUCCUCCAAAAUUAUUUUCAAUUAAAUUUCUAAAUAAUUUUUACCUAUUUAUUAUUAUUAUUAUUAUUUUCAUUAAAAUAAAUUAAAUUCUAUUAAUACUAAAUUAUAUUUAUAUAGAAUAAAUUAAAUUAAAAUAAAAUAAGAUAAUAUAAUAAUAAUAAAAAUGAAAAGAAAUUUUUGGGUGUUACAACCUGAUUUUACAGUUUUCGAAUGCAUGAUAAUACACUGAAAUUGGUAUAAUGAUUCGAUUGUAUUCAUUUGAUGCAUGUUUUGCUUAUUUUAUAUGAUUACAGUUGAAUUGGAAAACUUAAAAUUAAAGAUAAAUAGAAAAUUAUUUGAUUAAGUGGAUGGAUGAAACGUCAGCUUUACUGGAUAUCCUGGGAGAUGGUGGACGGAUCGGAUACAUAGAAAAUUCUACCGUGAAUGUUACCUCAUACCAGACGGGGUAUCGAGGUUUGAUAAUUUGGUGUUCAUACCAGUUGAGGUAUGAGGACGACCCUUUUCACCCUCAUACUGGAUAGGUGUAUCGAGAUUUGGUAAUUUGGCGCCCAUAUCGGACGAGGUAUGGGGGAUGACCUGUUAAUUGAAAAUGUUAAAGGAAAAAGUUUACGUAUAGUGAGGACAUCCUUAUGGACUCCCAUGAAUACUAGUAGGAUGAUAAAAGAGAAAAUUAUUGUUCCACCAAUUGCAAAUAAAAUUAUGAUAUGUGUUAUAUUAUUGACUUUAUAGAUUGUUUUUGUAAAGCUCGCUACGGUAAGUAGGCGGUAAAUGAUUUUGUUUAAUUAAGAGUUUCAUUAGUUAUUUUUAUGAUUUAUACUAACUUUCAUUUCUGUGUCGGCGAGUAGCGUGAUAUUCUCACUGGGCUAGUAUAGCUCACUCUUUCAUUAACCAUUUCAGAUUAAGAGAACCAUGAUGCAGAGCCCGAUUCACAAGAGGGUUGCGAGUAUGACGUUCAGUUUAUUCAUUUUUAAUUUAUUUUUUUGGUUAUUAAUUGUUCUUUUAGAAUGGUUAUUCCCGUAAGUCCCAUUUGAUACUUUCAUUUAUUGUGUAAGUAAUGUAAACCCUAAUUAUUUAUUUUGCUUACGUACUAAAUUUAUUAUUUUUCUGUUUUAGAAUUCUGGGAUCGUUAUAACUAUAAUAUAUAAAAAAAAAGAUGAGUUUUUACAAUUAAAAAAAAGGGAUAAAAAAAUAGUAAUAUUUGGAAUGCUUAUAAAAUAAUUCAAACUUAAAAUUUGGGAAAAUAUGUGUAUACUCACAUAUUUAUAAACAGCUGAAUUCUAAAGUAAUGAAAAUAUCUUUUUCUUUUUUGGUACAUGUGAAGGAACAUGGUAUCACAUUUAUAAAACAUGAUAAAUGAAGAUACAAAAAUAUCAUAUCUUUAUUCUUCUAAAUAAAAAAAAAGUCAAAAUGACACGACACAUUAUUUGAAUUUAAAAUAAUAAUAAUAAUAAUAAUUAUUCUAUAUUUAUCCAAAACCAAAUAAUGUUCUUUAAGCUUGCUUAAAUUACAUGCACUUAAAUUGAAGCUUUAGGUCCCCCUAAUUAUUGGAGUUUUCAUUUUUAAGAUUCUUUUUUUUUUUUUCUUUUUUCUUGAGGAAAUCAUUUUUAAGAUUCUUACAAAAAUUAGGUCAAAGAGGGUAGCCAAUAACUGAAAAAGCUCAAAGCUACUUUCUACUCCUACCACCUACAAAAUUAUUAUUAUUUCUUAUAAAAAAAAAAACCUAAAAUAAACUAAAUUUAACUAGAAUUAUAUAAUGUUUAAAAGGAAUUUAAUAUAUAUAGAAUUUAAACAAAAUUCUAAAUUAGGUGGCAUUUAUUUUAAUAUACUAGAAAUACCCAUCUUAUUUCAAAUAUAAUUUUAAUUUUGGUUGAGUUGAAAUUCGAGAAUUGAUAUGUAUAUGUAUAUGUAUAUAUAUAUAUAUAUAUGUAUUGGUUUUGAUAUUUUUGUGAUAAAUUUGAUUCAUUGUGGCUAGCUAGGGCGGCACACAAUCUACCUUAGAGGAUUUGGGUUCAAUGCUUUUAUCUUCUCCACCACAAAACAAAUUAAAAAGUUACUUCUUUUGGGAAUCUACAUUUCUCAUACGUUCCCUUUACUUUCUUUUCUUUUCUUUUGGGGUCCACACUAUAUAUUAUAUAUAUAUAUAUAUAUUAUAUUAUAUUAUAUGUAUACGUACUAAGUCUUACUAACAAAAGUAAUUAGAACAGUAAUACAAAUAAAGUGUGAUUGAUAACGAUACCUAGAAAGAAAUGAAAUUAAUUUAUAUUCAUUUGUUUGUUAAUUUACUCUUUUAAAAACUUAUAAUCAAUCAUCGUUUAAUUAAAUAAUUAAUAUAUUUAUUAAAAAAAUGAUAUAUUAUUACAGAUAAAAUAAUACAUCUUUUUUUUUUAUUUUAAUAAAAAGUUAUAAAUUCAAAUCUGAUCGUAUUUUAUUUUUAUUAAUUUUUUUAAAUAAAUUUAUUAAUCUAAAAAACAAAAAUAAAUAAAUAUAUAUAUAUAUAUAUAAAUAGAUUAGAAAAGUCAAAUAGAAAAUUGUAGUUGCUUAUUAUGUAGUGAAUAAAAAUUAAUUUGUAGAUCACCAACUCUAAAUCCCUACACUUUCAACUCAAUAUGUAUAUUUCAGCCUCCAACUUUCUGGAAAUCAUUAAUUCAUCAUUCGUUGUAUAACUUCAAACUAAGAUGCACAAAAAGAUCAUUAGAUUUGUCAAUUUUAAUAUUUUCUAAAAAUGGUAAAUUAGUUUUUCUUUUUCUAUUCCUAAUUUUUUUUUUUAACAUACCCACUAAAGAUAAUUCAAUAAAAAGAAAUUUUAUUAGAUAAAAAAAAAAUUGUAGCAAUUUAGUAAUAUACAUUAAUACAUAAAGCUUUUAUUAUGUAGAUGAAAAGACAUCAUAUUAAAAAAAAAAAAAAAAAUUCAAAAUAAUUCAACACGUGAAUAUCUUAGAAUAUUAAUUUGUUAUUAUAAUAAUUGUUAAUGUGAAGAAGCAAUGGGCCCGGGAAGCUUCUGGAGGCCCGUGAGUGUUUCUAAUAAAAUUACGGAAAUGUCUUUAUAAAUUUAAAAAAAUUUAUCUGUAAUAAAAUAUUUUAACAUUUUAUUUAAAAGUUUUUAAAUUAAAAUUUUAUUAAGCAUGUAAAACUGAUUAUUUUUAACAUAAAUGGCCAACAAGAGUUAAUUCAUAUAUAUAUAUAUAUAUUUGUUUUAAUUACUUUUAAUUCGUGUUAAAGAAAUAUUAUUGUUAUAAUAAAACAUUUUCUGCAGUAAAAAAAAAAUAAAAAAUUCUAGCGAAUAUAUAUAUAUAUGUAUAUAAAAUACUAGGGAAUAAACUAAUUAAAAAUACUCAAGAUUUUUUUAAAAUAAAUAUUAAUGUUGUAGAAAAUGGAAUUUGGGUGAAUCCUUGAAGGUAGUAUCUGCAAUAUGUGUGUAUCUAUCGUCGUUGGGCAUGUUCGUCUAUAUAUAAGUCAACCCCUCUUCGCUCUUGUACCAAAUCAUUUUACUAUAACGACUACUGAAACCUAAAGUCUGACACAUGGAGGAAAUCAAAGAGGGAGAGAUGAACACAGCUCUGGUGUACCUUAUCAUCAUCAUCAUCAUCAUCAUCAUCUUCUCCUCUCUACUGUUAAUCAAAAAGCUUGUUAAAACACACAGAGGCCAUGCAGUAGCCAAGCUUCCUCCAGGCUCAAUGGGAUGGCCUUAUCUUGGAGAAACCCUUCAACUCUACUCUCAGCACCCAAAUCUCUUCUUUACCACCAAACAUAAAAGGUAAACACAUAUCUGUCAUGUAUGUACUAACGUUAAUAUGCGUGCAUGAAAUAUGAAAGGCAUGUGGGUUGGUGUAGGUAUGGGGAGAUUUUCAAGACAAACAUUCUGGGUUACCCUUGUGUGAUGCUGGGUAGUCCAGACGCAGCUCGAUUUGUGUUGGUGACUCAUGCUCACUUGUUCAAGCCAACGUACCCGAAGAGCAAAGAGCGGCUCAUUGGUCCUUCAGCUUUGUUUUUUCACCAGGGACAUUACCAUAUGCGCCUUAGAAAAUUGAUUCAUUCAUCUUUUUCCCUCCACCAUAUCAAAAACUUCGUUCCAACCAUUGAUGCUCUUGCAGUUUCGAUUCUUCAUUCAUGGGAUGCUGCUCCUAUCAUCAACACUUUCCAUGAAAUGAAAAAGGUCCCUCUACUUUUACUAAUAUAAGUAAUAUUUUAUGUUUAUAUGUAUGCAAGUAUUGAUGGGUGACUUGAAUUUUGUUCAGUUCUCUUUUGAAGUAGGGAUAGCAGCAAUUUUUGGACAUUUAGAUAUUGGUUACAGAGAAGAGCUGAAGAAAAAUUAUCGUAUAUUGGAUAAAGGUUACAACUGCUUUCCUACAAAUAUUCCAGGAACUCCCUUCAAAAGGGCAUUAAUGGUAAGUCACAAGCAAUCCCAUUUGAAAUUACUUUUGUCUAUUCUUAAUACUUAAUCCUGUUUUACUACAGGCAAGGAAGAGAUUAAACAAGAUUCUGAGUGAGAUUAUCAAGGAGAGGAAGGAGAAGAGGUUGGUAGAAAAAGAUGUUUUGCGGUGUCUUGUAAACUACAAAGAUGAGAAAGGAGAGGUUUUAAGUGAUGAUCAGAUUGCAGAUAACAUUAUUGGAGUCCUUUUCGCAGCUAAGGACACUACAGCAAGUGUCAUGACAUGGAUUGUCAAGUACCUCCAUGAUAACCCUCAACUUCUAGAAGCUGUUAAGGUAAGAAAUUUUUCUCCUUCACUCAAUUAAUUCAUGCGAGAGGAUUGUGUUAAUUCAUUUUAUGUUCAAAUUAUCUUUUGUAGGCCGAGCAGUUGGCGAUUCGAAGAUUCAAUGACGAACAUAAUGAGCCCUUGAGUUGGUCACAAACUAGGAACAUGCCAAUCACUCACAAGGUAAUUAAAUCAAACAUAACUUGGCAAAAUCUUUACACCCUUACAUCUUGAUAUAAAUGGCUAACACUGGACUUAUUCAGGUUGUAUUGGAGACUUUGAGAAUAGCUAGUAUCAUAUCCUUCACUUUCAGAGAAGCAGUGACUGAUGUAGAAUACAAAGGUAAGAGAGGGAAAUCAACAAUAAAACUUCAUUUUUUAUCCCCAAUUUGUAAAUGUUAAUAAAGAUUGGGUUACAGGGUACUUAAUUCCAAAAGGGUGGAAGGUGAUGCCUAUAUUCAGAAACAUUCAUCAUAAUCCAGAUUUUUUUCCAGACCCUGAAAAAUUUGACCCCUGGAGAUUUGAGGUAUGAGUUAAUCAAUGCUCUUAUUGGUUCUGUGGUUUACUUCUCUGAUAUUUUUCUUUAGAGUGAUGAUGCCCUGUAGAUGUCUCUGUUUCAAACCCAGAAUAAGCUCUUUUCUGGUAUUAAAUGUGGGAUUUUAUGGGUAAUGUAGGUCGCACCAAAACCCUAUACAUUCAUGCCAUUUGGGAGUGGAGUUCAUUCUUGUCCAGGAAAUGAACUUGCCAAGCUGGAGAUGCUUAUAAUAACCCAUCACUUGGUUUCCAACUUCAGGUAUCGCUAAAAAAUACAUGUAAGAAACAUAUGAAGAUGAAUCAAAAUAGUAAAACAAGAUUAUUAAGCAGAGACUACUUACAAGAAACAGAUAUGCUUAAUAAUUUUUUCCUUUUUUCUUGAGAAAUAAAGAGGGGGAAAAUGAGAGAGUAAAUAAGUGGUGGAGGUAGAGAAGAAUUUGAUGAUGAGAGGUAUAAAAACAUGCAAGUGUUGACAAGAAUGUUUUGUUUGUUAUUGCAGGUGGAAACUUAUAGGAUCUGAAGGUGGGAUUCAGUAUGGCCCAUUUCCAGUCCCUCUUCAUGGUCUCCCAGCCAGAUUUUGGAAAGAAUCCACAACUCCAAGCUAAAAGGCAGUUUGGGUCGGCGUGAUAGAUGCCGAGCAUCCCCUUAACAAGUUUAAUCUGCCAUUGAUCACUUACCAUUAUUGUUUUUAUUAGCUUUAUCACUGUCAAUUUCUUAAGUGUAGCCCAUCCCCUUCAAAAAGUUGUGGGGGAUGAUCAGAUGCUGCAUUUUCCACCCUUUCUAAUUUUUCUCCUUCAACCCUUCCCUAUCUCACCUUUGCAACCAGAGGUUCUUGUACUAUUUAAAUAUCAUAUGAUUGAAUAUAUAUAUAUAUAUAUAUAUAUAUAUAUAUGGGAGCAACCCAUAAGAUAAACCAACAUGUCUUCUUUUAUGUGUUGUUGCAAAACAUCAAGGGCAAGCAAAAUGAAAUUGAGUAACAUCUCCUUAUGAAUGUGAGUUAUCAACUGUGAAUCUUUUGUUUAUGCAUGCUAGUCUUUUUGAGCUGAAAGAGUAAAACAUGCCAUGCCAGGAUUGUCCCGAUUCAAAAGGCUGGAUAACUUCAAUCUUUGCUGUCUUUCUCACUGACCCUACAAAGGUGUGGUUAUUAGAGAUAGGUGGCCCUGAAAGCCACCACAUCAGACAUUUUCAGAGGCUAGAUGCACCUGUUUUUGUCUGUACAGUCUUCGGCUGCAUAUUGCAGCCAGAAUUUUUCAAGCUUUUUGCUCGCUAAACACGCGCAUACACGACCACCAAUUUUCCCUGUUUUCUCCUAAAAUAAUCAAAUUAUGUGAAUUAGACACUUUAAAUAACAAAAGAGUUUUAAUGAGUACCAUAGAAGCAACUUGCCAAUCCCAGAAUCCAGUAUUAUCAGCAUACCUACAAUUGUUGAACAGGCCUUGAUGGUUCAUCCAGGCAAAACCAUAAGAAAAUAUUGACACUAAUCAGGACUUAAUCAUUCUCAUCCAGGUCGUGAAGAAGGUUGUACGCAUGAAUUUCUUGUUGGAUUAUACUGCCAAUGUGGUUGACCUCUCAGAUGUACUGUCUCAUAGAUAAGCCAUUCUUCCAAUCAUCUAAGCUACAGCAGCUUUAGGUGAAUCUUAUUGUUAACCUACAAUUGACCAAAUGCAUAUAUGAAAAUUAUACAAAAAAAAGAAAAAAAGAAAAAAAUUGCAUUUAUCAUAGAGCAAAUAGGACAGUAAUAGAGAAUCCUCUAUGUCCACUUACAGACAAUAUAUCUCUUUCAAGUACACCAUAUAUAUCAUAUAAGGAAAUGUAUAUACUAUAGGGCCUGAUCAUAAUGGCAUCUCAUCCGGGUGCCAUUUUUUUUUUAACUUUAAUACAUAAAAAGCUGAUUAAAAACAUGACCAAGUUAGCUUAAAGCAUCUGGAGAUAUGGAGGAUGCAUAUUUAAGAAUUGCUGCCACAAUCUUCUCUUUGUCUCUGGUUGGGAAUGCUUCCAACAGAACUCCAUUUUUGUAGAAGUGGAAGAGGGGCACCGCCUGCAUUAAUUGACCGUCAAUAUUAUUAUUUUUUCAUCUGAUAGAGCAGAAUUCUAGAAAUUUUUUAUUUUUGAAAAAGAAAUGCUGAUUUGUUGGUCAGCUGCAUCUGCCAAAAUCCUCCCAAUUCAAAACAAGAAGUGGCAUAUCGUAACCACAUGUGGACCCAAAAGAAGACAAAUCAUCUUUAUUCUAUUCAUUGUUUCCUCUUCACAGGUUUAAUUGAAAGAAACCUUUAUGACCAGCUGGAAUCUAGCACAUUUUGUGAGGAAUGAAGAUUAUCUUCUAAAAUGAAAACAAAAGUAAGGAAGGUAAGCUAUCUGGAAAGCUCAUAUUACUAUAAAAAUUCCAAGUGAAUGAACAUAUUUGUACCAUUUUAUAAAACCAACCCAAACAAGUUAUCCGUCAAUUUGCAUUUUUUAACAUUCAUUUUUCUAUUGAGUUUUUAAGAUUCAUUUGGCAUUCAUUCAAUUAAAUGGAACAUAAGCUAUUAAUACUAUAGGAAAUUACCUUAAUUCGAAGUCGUUCAGCAACCUCAGACUGUUCAUCAUACUCAUCAAUUACCUGCAAUAGAGACAAGAUCAAUAAGAAUAUCAUGUAGUGAGGACAUGCUCAGGAAUUAGACUGGUAGGAAUUUCUUCAAAGGAAUCUACCACAGCAAACCAUAAAUCACUACCUUUAUAUCUAACCAUUACUGUCCUCCACCAACUUUUUAUGCUUUAGAACCUUUUUCAUCUUUUUACGUUGAUUGCUAUGCAGUAUGGAAGAGUUCAGUUUAUAGAUUAUUAGCACUCACAUUAUGUUUUAGGAAGAUUACGUCAGCUUCUUGAUCACCAGAUCCCUUGCACAAUUUUGAAAAUCCCUGCUCAAUGUAUUUACAACUUCCACAAGAGGUGCGAUAAAAGUCCACUACAACCAAAGAAUCAGUUACUUUGGCCUUUUCGAGAAUUCUAAGGAAUUCUUCAUCUGUCUUAAAUUCUUUAACGCAAUCUACAGGACAUAGAUCAUCAUCUUCAUCAGCUAAUUCCUCUUGCUCUUGGUAUUCCUCAGCUACUCCUUUGAUUUUUGCAUGUCGAAAUAAAUGGCUAAAUUUUAAAAUUCCAAAACCCGCAGUUUGACUGAUAGAUGGAAUUUUGGCCCUCAUAGAACAACAAUUGACCUGAUCUCUGCUGGGAUGCCAGCUGGGAACCAUAUAAGUUUCCCUAAAAUUAAGUUGUCCACAAAUUUUCCUCUCAAAAUUGAAAGAGGCCUUACUAUAAAGAAUAUUCUCCUUAGGCAUGAUAAUGUACAGCAAAAUCACCAGAGAAAUCUAUAUACCAUGAAAAUGAAAGGAUUUAUAAAAUAAAAUUCGGGUUUCCCACUUCCUUUCUUAUUGUUUCAUUCUAUCAUCGGAUUGUGAUAGACAACACUUUUGUGAUAAACAUACUCAUUAUAUAUCACUCGCUGUUAAAAUGAAAAACAAUAUAAUUAGAAUCUUCCCCUAACAGAAUAUAAAAAAAUCUAUAUCUUCUCCCAAUGAGAAAACAGUAUAACAGCUGUAUGUAAGCACUAAAAGAUUAAUCUACUAUACAGCAUCAAAAAAGUAGAAAUUACAGACUAAAAGUUAGAAGCCAUAGAUAUAUUAUAGUGCUUUCCGUCGGUUAACUGACCCAAAAGUAAAUUCUGCAUUUUUUAGGAGCAUCUUUCAGAAAUAGACAACAGUACCCAACUUUCAUUACUAUCACCAGAGUAACACCACAAAUUAGCAAGAAUGAACACUCUAUCAUCUUAGCCCAGUAAAACAGAAGAAACAGGAGAUGUUUUACUUCGAACAUGUCUACUCCAUGGUAAAACAGAUAAGUACCACCAGAAAAGCCACACUAGCAGAUAUGGGCAGAGAACGUGCAUAUAGAAGAAAAAAGGAAAACCGAGGAAGACUAUAAACUAAACUUAAGUAGCCAAUUGCACUUUAAAAAAUUCUAACAAGGUAGGCUUAUAAGUCACUAUUCCACACUCUUGAAAACAAUAACCUUGCCAGCCAGUUGACAAUCAAUCAACCCAACAAAGUUACAGAAACAUACAAAAGAGUUUUAAAUUACAAUCUAACCGAUCACAAAAACCCAGAACGAAAAUGGAUUGAAUAGAGGCAGAGAAUGAUAAAUUUCUUCUCAGCCAACCAAGUAAUUAAUAAGCUGUUACCUUUAGAACUGAGACAAAGGUUUCUGGCAGAAAAAGCUUCGAGCAAGAAACGGACACGCCAUAUCCAUAUCCGCUCUGCUGUCCAUUCCCUAUCCGGAGGAACAUGCCUAUAGUUCUUCCCUUUUUUUUUUGCCCCCUGCAAUGGGCCAAGUUUGUUGUUGGAUCGGGCUCAGUUUGUCCGUAAAAGUGCUUAAUGUUUUUUUUUUAACAAAAAAAACACCCAGUAAACACUAUUCAAAAAUAAAUCCAGUUUACAAAGCGAAAAAGAAUGAACAAAAAUUCUCUUCAAUGCAUGUCUUGUGCAAUUAGAUAUACUUAAACUUUGUAUUAUACAGUUUCUAAUCUAUGGAUUAGGGUCAUAUACUCUUAUGAUUUCAAUUAAUCAAGUAAGCAUUCCACAAUAAUGAAUUUUGUAAAAUUAAAUUAGCUACAAGAACAUUUUAGAAUAAUUAAUAAUUAGUUUUGUAAAUUAAAUUGGUUAUCUAAUUAUCAAAAUAUACUUUUUAUUAUUUUUAUAAAAUAAUUGAUAAGAUAAGAGUAUAUAAUAAUGUGUAAGAUCUAAUUUUCUUUGUUUAAUUUAAUAAAUUAAAAUUACUUUUGUACCAUAUAUUGUAACAAAUAAGUUAUUUAUAUUUUUUAAUUUAAGAUAAAUUAUCAAAUUAUUUCUAAAAUUUGGUAGUUGUUACAAUUUAGUUUAUAAUAUAUAUUUUUUCAAAAAAAUUAUGGUUUUUAAAAUUUUUUAUUUAUUUUAAAUACUUAAUUUUUUUAAUAACAAAUAUAAAAUAAUUAAAUUAUAUUUGGAUAUUUUAAUGAUAAUAUUAAAUAUAUUGUUUAUCAUUAUAAUUUUUUAAUAAUUUUUAAAUAUAAUGCAAGUAUUUUAAUUUUUUUUUCCUUAAAAAAUAAAAGAAAUUAAAAUUUUGGAAUAAAUAAAAAAAUAUUACUGGUAAAGUAUUAAAAAUUAAAUUACAAUAAAUGCUAAAUUUUAGAAAAUAAUGUAAUAAUUUUUCUAUUAAUUUAACAGCAAAUUCUAACACUUGUCCUGGCGGGGGUUAUUGAGAUGCGUGCUCACACUCUCACUUUAUCUGAUCUCUGACUAUCGGGAGAAUUAAUUUCGUCACCUCCCCGCCCGCCCCAUCCUCUUUCUCUCGCUCUCACGUCAUCAAUCAAGGCUCUGGAUGCAGUAUAACAAUCCUAAUCCACACAACUCCGAUUGUUCUCCGACCCAAUUUCCAACAACCAAAUGGCUACUCAGCUCAAGUCCGAUGCGUUGUUGGAGCAGAUGAAGCAGCAUCUCACCACUGAUGCUGGCAAACAACUCACCAAGAAGAUCGGCCUCGUCUACCAGAUCAAUAUCGCCCCUAAGGUCUUCUCUUCUCUUCUCCUCUCCGCUAAUAUCUUCCUAUAUAUAUACACACGCGCGCGCACCUUUGCAUUUGAAUAUAUGUUGUUUUGGUUUCAUAAUCUGAUAGUACAACGUCUGGAUUUAAUGCAGAAAAUUGGAUUCGAUGAGGUUGUAUAUAUUGUCGAUCUCAAGAAGGGAGAGGUCACUAAAGGUUAGGGCUCUCUUUUUUUUUUUUUAAAAAAAAAGUUUUUCCUUGAAAUUCGGAUUGCAAUUUUAUUGAUCUCUACAUAUCAAGAUUGCAAUUUCAUCUGUACUCUUGCGCCUCUGCCUUGAUCAUGCUGUUUGUUUCCUUAUGGUAACUCAUAUAGUCUUAAUUUUCCUCUAAUUACACAAUUUUUGUUUGAUUCAAUCCAUAGAUAUGCACAAACUGUUAAGACCAGAUACUUUGCUUGUGUGGUUUUGUGCUUGUUGCUUGUACAAUUACACGGAGUAAAAAAAGGGCACAAAAAGAACUUGUUCAGUUGAUUUAGACGUUUAUAUCCCUAUUUUGUUUUGAAAUUUAGGGCCGUAUGAAGGAGGGAAGCCCGAUGCCACGUUUUCCUUCAAGGAUGAUGAUUUUCUCAAGGUUGCCACUGGGAAGAUGAAUCCCCAAAUUGCUUUCAUGAGGUGCAAACAUUUAUUUAUUUUCCUUUCUUACCCCAGUAUUGCUUUGGGAUUUGUUAACUUUGUUUGACACUAAUGUGAUCUUAUGGGGUAUGGGGUGAAUGUAGGGGCGCAAUGAAGAUCAAGGGAAGCCUGAGCGCAGCCCAGAAAUUCACACCUGACAUUUUCCCAAAGCCUUCAAAGAUGUAAGAGGAUGUGCCACUGGUUUCUCUACAUUUGGGUUCUUGUCAUAGAAAUGGUAAUGUUAGGUGAAUCCUUUGCUCUGUACCAUAGAAAUAGAAAUGGAGCUUGUCCAUGGUAAUUUCUUCUUGAUAGACAAAAUUUAUUAUCAUCAUCAUCAUCAGAUAAGUAGGUGAUACCCACAUUUGAGGCUUUUAUUGCAUAAAGUGGGUAAAUGUUGCAGUUUCCUCUUUGUUCAUUAAUUUCGACAAAUAAUUUGUUGAAUCAUGAAUGAUAUAAUAUUGACAUGGAGUUACAGAUGAGUUGCUUACCGGUUAAUGUUUUGUGGGGUUUCAUUAUUAUGAGAAAUUCUCCAUGGGAUUAAGCACCUAUUUUGCACUUUUUUGGUAAUUACCAUAUGCUUUCUUCAAAUAAUAUGUUGGUGCAGUAUGUGCUAGUGUCAUGUACUUUCAUCUUGCCUGGUUUGCAUCUUAGCACUUCUCUUGAGGUCUUGGGUUGCUAAAGCUCGAAGCCAUCCAUCUGUCUUCUCAGUUGUAGUUUCAGAUUCAGUAGUAAUCUAAGACUGUGAGGUUCUCAAACACUAUCACGAGCUAUCCUCUCUUUACCGCUGAUUUUGUUAAGAAAGGUUUUGAAAUCUGUUUUCUGGUGAUUCUAAAUUAACAAUAAGCAGAGAUCAAAUGCUGGUUUUGUAUCAACUCAGCCUAGUAUUUUCCUUGGUUUGAAACUUGUGCUAUCCCAGAAUAUACUGUGAAAUCUGGGAGUAGAUGUUGAUUGUUUAGGCUACUGGUAAAGACUGUUAGAUUAGAUGAGCUGCUGCGCUUUGAGGAUGUAGGAACCCCUCUUCUGCAUUGUUACGUAUGAGAUAAACAAGUUGUCAAUUGCUGGAGUGUUACUCAGAAUGUUAUUUAGGAACGUAUACUCAAAAUUUUAACUGUGGUUGGAUAAAUAUUCAAGUGGUACGAUAUGAAAAUUCAACUUCAAAUAAAUAAAUCUAUUGCAAGAAGAACUAAAACAAUGCAUUAAGUGGAAUUCAAAACAUAUUGUUGAACUUUCACACAAUUAUCAUGGUAGGAAUAAUAAUAUGAAUAUUAAUAAACAGCAGCGUUACCGUGCUGUCAAUGAAUUUUAUACCAAAUAGAGUUCAAACCACUUUGUUAAGAUGAUUUAGGACAGGAAGAAAUUUAGUUGAUAAUUUUUUCUUUUUCAAAAAAGUUAUUGUAAGGGAAAUAGAGAUGACGUAUAAAACAUACUAAACAUACAUAUAUACAUAUGUAAGUAUAGGUUUUAUUAUCCUUACAAUUAGCCUUUCUACAAUAAUGCAAACUUAUCUCAACACCUAAUUCUUGUUUCCCUAAAUUUCCUUUAAAAAAAAAUAAAGGAAAAUUCUUGUUUCCCCAAAUAAAGGGACAUGAAACGCACCGCAUAAGGGCUCUCCAGGUCUUGAAAGUAUUCUUAUCGGGUGAUGGUGUUUGUAUAAACAGUAACAAAGCUCUAACGAAGAAAAUAUUAAAAUAAUAGAAUAAAAAAAAUUAAAGAAUUUUCUAAUCCGUAAUAAAUAUUAAAAUCUAUACAUAUAACUUUAUGCACUACCUGAUAAUAUGUACAAUGUGUACAAAUGUAAACAUUUUCCAAUCAAAGUCAACAAUUAGUAUAUUUUCCGGGAUAACACAAUUUUUUUUUUUUUUUUUUUUUUCCAUUCAUCCAUGAAUAUAAUUCCUUGAGGUAUUUUACUUCAUCGUCCUCUAAUAUUUUUUUUCUAUAAAUGGUUUUUUUUUUUGUCUGCCCUUCAUCUUCCUCCUCACAAACAAGUAUCAAAGCAUUUCAAGUUGCCGAGGCCUGUAAAACCCAACAACAAUGACUCCUCUCCUCUCUCUCUCUCUCUUCCUUGUCGCUUUCCCUGCUUUCACUUCUCCUACCUUGUUAUUUCAGGUAUACCCUUCUCUGACAUUAACCAAAAUUAUACAUAUAUAUAUAUAUAUAUCAUAGAUGCUUGGACUGCAUAGUUUUACCAAUGAAAGAAUUUAUAUGUUGUAGGGAUUCAAUUGGGAAUCAUGGAAAAAACCAGGAGGAUGGUACAACUCACUCAAGAACUCUAUCCCUGAUAUUGCUAAUGCUGGAAUCACUCAUGUCUGGCUUCCUCCUCCAUCUCACUCUGUUUCACCCCAAGGUCUUUUCUUACUUUCUUACUCAGUAAUUAUGUCUGAUAUUUCUCAUCGCAAACAUGAAUAUCUUACGUUACAUUACAGUAAAGGAUGAAUAUAAGAUUACUGUUGUUUCAGGGUACAUGCCUGGAAGAUUAUACGAUUUGAGUGCAUCAAAAUAUGGAUCUCCGGAAGAGUUGAGGUCUCUGAUACAAUCUUUCCAUGAGAAAGGAAUAAAGUGCUUAGCCGACAUCGUAAUCAACCAUAGAACAGCAGAAAAGCGAGAUGGUAGAGGAAUAUACAGCAUUUUUGAAGGUGGAACGUCCGAUGAUCGUCUGGACUGGGGACCAUCUUUCAUUUGCCGGAACGAUGAAUAUUCCGAUGGUACGGGUAAUCCCGACACCGGAGAAGAUUUCCCGCCAGCUCCCGACAUUGAUCAUCUAAAUCUCAGAGUACAAAACGAGUUAUCAGACUGGAUGAACUGGUUGAAAACUGAAUUGGGAUAUGAUGGAUGGAGAUUUGAUUUCGUAAAAGGUUAUACUCCGAGUAUUACCAAACUUUACAUGGAGAGAACUUCACCGGGCUUCGCAGUGGGAGAGAAAUGGGAUUCUCUCUCGUACGGAGAGGAUGGAAAACCCAACGUCAAUCAGGAUAGUCAUCGGGGAAGAUUAAAAGAUUGGGUUGAGGUUGCGGGUGGAGUGGUAACGGCAUUUGAUUUUACAACAAAAGGGAUUCUGCAAGAAGCUGUGAAAGAUGAGCUAUGGCGAUUGAAGGAUUCAAAUGGAAACCCACCAGGACUGAUUGGUAUCUUACCAGAAAGAGCAGUGACUUUCAUCGACAAUCAUGAUACAGGAUCAACUCAGAACCAUUGGCCAUUCCCAUCUGAUAAAAUCAUGCAAGGAUACGCUUAUAUCCUAACCCAUCCGGGCAUCCCAUCCAUUGUAAAAUUAAUCUCGUUUCCAUUUUCAUUUCUUGGAUUUGAUGUUCUGUUUGGCUUUUUCUUUUGGGAAUAAACUGCUAAUUAGGGUUUUAUCUAUACAGUUCUACGAUCACUUCAUUGAUUGGAAUCUGAAGGAUGAGAUAACAAAAUUGGCAGAUAUCAGGAAUCGGAACGUGAUCGGCGCCGGAAGCAGAGUAAAUAUUUUAGCUUCAGAGAGUGGGUUGUACGUAGCAGCCAUUGAUGACAAGAUCAUUAUGAAGAUUGGACCAAAAAUGGACCUGGGAAACCUCAUUCCUUCAGAUUUCCUCCUUGCUACCUCCGGACAAGACUAUGCCGUUUGGGAGAAAUGAAAACAAACAAUCAGAUCUUCUGCAUGUACUACAUGAAUAAGUAAUUACAUUAAUUAUAUAUUUUAAUUAAGAAGAAAAUAUAAUCAAUGAAGAUAUAGUUUAUAAAAUGGUUAUUAAGGAUGAGACUUACGAUUUUCUUGUUGUGGUGGGUGGGAGAUUUGGAUGCAUUUGUUAAGAUUGUAAGGUGGUAAAGCUCGACUGUUUUUUUUUUUUUAAAAUUGACCCAUUGACUUAUUGACUUGGGAAUGUCGUUGCCCUUUCCUUCUCCUUUUUGUUCUUUACAAUGACAAAGCUUGACUCUAAAUAUAUACACACACACAUGCAGAUAUAUAUAUAUAUAUAUAUAUAUAAACCUGUAUAUAAAGAUAUAACUAUUGGUGUUGAUGUUACCAUAUCAAAUUACAUCAUAAAAAAAUGUUAAUUAGGAAUUAAGUUCAUUACCUAUAUUUAAAUUAAUUAUUUCUAGAACUAAUUUAAUAUAUGCAUAUAAUGUGUUCCAAAAUUAAUUUAAUACAUACAUGUAAACUAAUUUUUUUUUAAAAAAGUAAUUUAAGACAUUCAUAUAUGGGUACGAAAUUAAGUUAAGAGUCAACAUGAGUUAUAAAACCGUUAAUGUUGUUGAAAUUUUUUCACAAAUGCAAUAAAUAUCUAAAAUUUAGUCAAACAACUGAUAAGUUUUUGUAAAAGCAGUUUCAAAUAAGGUGAUUAUUCAUAUAUAUAUAUAUAUAUUAUAAAGAGUUCAGAUAUAUCCUAAAAAAACGCCAUAAUAUUUAUAAUAUCCAUAUCAGUAAACAACUAAAAAACCACUAAAUCAAUAAAAUGAUUGAAAAUUUAUUUUUAAAUAUUAAAAAAAAAAGAUAAUUAUAAAACAUGACUAAAAACUAUAUGGUUGGCAAAAAGUCUAACAAUUAAAAUCUGAUUAAGUCGCUUUUGCAACUUCCCCUCGAUGAGAUACAGAGAUCAUUAAAUUUGUAACGAAUUCCAACGAAAUGCAAAUUGAGUAUGAAGUACAGGUAUACACGUUAAUUGAUGAAAAAUUCCACUAGCAUGUUUCUAUGCUGAAAUUGGAUAUACACAAGAAAAUUUUGGUAAUGUAACUCUCCUUUUUGCUGCUUCAACAGGACCUUUAUGAAUGAAAAUUACCUACCAGGAAAAUGGUAUGUAGAAUUAAUUGAACAUCUUAACUUUUGGCUUUCCAGUAGCUCUUAUGCGUUAAUUUUCUUGGGGGAAAACAAACCAAUAACAGCCAAGAGUAUCUCAACCCUUUGAAUUGAUCGUCGUCUUAUUUGUGUCUUUAUGCAGCAAUCUUGUCUCCAUGUUAGUCUUAUCUGACGGCUUCUUCGUCAGGAUAUAUGGACAUAUGUGCAGAUAAAAUACCAAACACUUCCUCUCUCAAUAUGUAGCAAACAAAUUGAAACUCAACUUUGUCGGGUUUGUUCAUCCUCCAAAGUAGUUUCUUGCAGAUCCAUCCGACCUGAAUCAGAAAAAAGAAGCAUAUUACUUUAAGCAGUUUCGUAUCACUUACUAGAUAAGACCAGAGAGUAAAUCUAAUCUCCAGCUUAUUGAAAAAGGAAAAAGAAAUUUUGGCUAAAUCAAACUCUCUCUUCACCAGUAAUUGGAAUAAUAAACUGGUUCAUGCAAUCAAAGGAAGAAUUUCUAGAAUUAAAUACACUUAAGAGGAGCCUUUCAACAAAAUUAAACAACCCUUGACCAUUAAAUAAUUUUGACUCAUUCAAAAUGGUAAUUUUACAUGUAUGAAUCAGUCCUAAAACAAAAUGGUUGUUUAUCUUUUUUUGCCUAAUUUCUCUGCUUGAGCUAAAAGGUUUUGUAAGUCAGUAUGGUAAACAAAAGGGAAAGAAGCAAGACUCAUAAAAAUCUGUAACACCACCAAAUGGCACUUGAGGCAACAAUGUUAAACAUACCUAACAAGGUAAUCAAGGAUGGAGGUCUUGAUGACUCAUUUGAUCUUGUGUCUGUACCUGCAAUCAUUCACACAGUAAGAAGAUAACAGACAGUAACUACUUGUCUAUGAUGCUAAUAUAAGAAUAUGUUAAGUGAGAUUAUGGUCGGAAAUCUAUCAACUAGAAAGGCAGAAUACCUGAAUUUUCAAGGGACUUCAGGAUGUCUGAUUUCUUAAAAGUAUAUCCGAUGAAAUUGGUGUCUUUUGAAGUCAACAUCUGCGUCAAAACAGCAAAAUAUAUGGAAAACAAAAUUUAAUAAAAGAAGACUCAAUAGGGUCGCUACAAAUAGAUAAAAUCUAAACAAGAAAGCAGAUAUUAAUUGAAGAACAUUAUAGCAACAAAAAAAAAAGUUUCAACAUCUUGGGAAAAGAAAGACUUCUUUUGGCAGAAAUCAUUCCCGGAAGCAAACAUAUUCCUGACAAGAUUGAAGAAACCAUAGACAUACAAAGUACGCACACAAAUGCAACCUUCUAUACAGGCAUAUAUUACCUUUCUCCACGGUCCUACUUGCUGUGAAGUAGAUGGCGGGCCUUCUACCUACAAACAUGUAAAGGCUUUGUGAGAGACAGUAAUAAAAAGGAAAGAUACCCAACAAGCAUUUAAGAAGAUUAAGAAAAACUAGAAUGCAUUUUAAUAGAGUAUUCAAACAAUCUGCUUUGCACUUUAGCUCUUUAAACAAUAUGAAAGUAUCUAUAAAUGAGAAUAAUUUGUUGUCUGAUAAACAGAGAAACCUUAACUCAGGGAAGUAAGUUUCAAUAGAAUCGAGCACCCAGACAAGAGCCCUAAAGCUUAAGCAAGGAUUUGUGAAAUUGAAAGAGCUUCAAACACGCAGAAGUUUCAUGUAUUAAUAUCUUAAAAAUUUCAUCUCUAAAGCCUAUAGUUCUGAUCUGCUUACUUACAUCAGGAAACUUCUCAAAAUUCUGAGUAUCCAACUCUCCAUUUACUGUAGGUUUAUAUGCAGCUUCCAUUUCAUACAGUUUCUCCCAGUGAAUGCAUCUUAACCAUGGAUGAUCCUGAAAAACAGUUUAACAAAUUUUAAAAAGAUAUUAAACUCCCAACUUUAGAAAUAGAAAAAAAAAAAAAAACAUUGCUGAGGAAUAAUAAAAUUUCUUACAUUGCGUAAGUUUAAACCCAAAUAAUUUGUAAUUAAAGAUGAACAAAGCGGAGCUAAGCAUAUCUUAAUUCUUUCUUGAGAAGCUGUCACCUUUAGCUCUUCUACUCCUCUGGUCCCCAGCCUUUUCUCGACAUUGCAGAGCAAGUGACAAAUCAAGUCCCUAGCCUCAGGUGAUAUUUUUGGUUCGUCGGGAAAUUUAAGGCAUGUUCUCCAAUUGAUUAUCUGAUAUAGGAAAGGAAUAUUAAAAAUUAGGAAACAUCAAGGUUUCCAGUGAAAUAAUCAAGAAGCAAACAAGGGUAACCACCUUACGGCAUGUGACUCGUGGAUCAUCAGAACAAAAAGGAGGAUAGCCUAUGAGCAUCUCGUACAUGAUUGCCCCCAAAGACCACCAAUCACACUCCAUUCCAUAACCCUUCUUCAGCAAGACUUCAGGGGCCAUAUAAUCAAGAGUCCCAACAGUUGAAUAAGCCUGAAGAAAUAGAUGAGCUAGUGACUAAGAAGAGCAUAGAUGACUAUUCACGACGUGCAAAUAAUGGAAACCCUAGAAUUUGAUACGAGCUUCUCCACAAAGAGUAACCAGAAACUUGAUUUGAUAUGAACAUAGGGUCCUGAAGAUAGAAUACCAGUGCACGGCGAUUGCGCUUCCACUGCUGUAAUUCCUCUUUGGGCAUCAUCCAAGGUGAUCUAAGUGAACCUGGCUGUCCUUCAGUUUCAUUUGUAGAAUCCUGGGAGGUAAUAUCCUCGUCCUCCAAUAAAAUUGUUGAAUAUUUAUCCUCCAGGGGCUUACACAGGCCAAAAUCUGAAAGUUUCAAGUGGCCAUUUCUAUUUAAUAUCAGGUUAUCUGGUUUAAUAUCCCUACACAAGGAAAAGAACCUCAGGUUAGAAGUAUGGAGAAAUAAAAUAUGCUAUUCUAUCUUCAACAGUUGGAUUGAUAGCCAUAGAUUAAGAGCUUUUAUCACUCAAUCAUUGCUCAUUAGGAUCCCAUGUUCACAAAUAGAAUAUCCUAUUUUGGCCCGAACUAACAGAUUUACGCAGGUGCACAAAAACAAUAUACUAUUUAAGCAUUUUUAUCACUUAGAAGAAGCCAUGCCUAGCCAUUCCUUAUAAUACAUUUCCUUCUUUUGCACUAGAUCGGACAAAACCAUAUUACGGUUUUAGUGGUUGACAGAAAGAAAGCAUAUUACUCCUUUUCAUUCUCGAUAGUAUGACACCAAAUUGGUUGCCCAAAUUACCUUGGCUUGAGCACAACAGAGAAUCCCAAAAUUCAAACAUUCAACAGGUACACUAAGCACCUUAGAUACCCGAAACUUCCCUCUCAAGCUGAAAGGCUAUGUCUCUUCCCUUAACUGAUGCCCCUUCUCCUCUAUAAACAGUACAUAUGAUAUUAGUUUUAGAUAACUGUCAUACCUAUGGAUAUAGUUGUGUUGAUGAAUUGACUGAAUAGCGAGAAUGCUCUCAGCUAUGUAAAAACGCGCAACAUCUUCAGAAAGAACAUCUUCUCGCAUCAGUAAUGUCAUAAUAUCACCACCAGGUAAAUACUCCAUGAUGAGGUACAAGAAGUCAGAGUCUUGAAAAGAAUAGAAAAGUUUCACAAUGUAACGACUAUCCACCUCCGCAAGUAAGUUCCUCUCAGAGCGGACAUGCUCAACCUUAAAUGAAGAAACAAUGAGAAUAUCAUUAUCAAUUAUUUUAUGUCACAAUCCACAAAAUAUGUGCAAAAAGCAGAUUUUUGGAGUAAGAUAGAUUUUUAUUCAAAUACGAAUAAGGUUGAAUACAAUUUUGCCGUCAACACUACAGUUAUUCCAAGUAGGACAUAAUCAAGGCUUUCAUAUGCAGAAUUUUAAGCAUUUGUCAACUUCUGAUUUAUCCAUCCAUGUUCCUACAGUAACCAAGUUCUCAGUCCAAUCUCUUCUUAACAUUCUCUUCUGCAAAGUUGAUUAUUUGAUGCUAAAUAAACUUUUACUUUCUUACUGAUAAAAAAGCACAGGUUCUUUAGGAAAAAGGCUCUCCAGUACUAGACUAACGAGGCACAUCCUUUGGAAGAUAAAAACCUCUUUAACAAUCUUAAAAUUAAUUAGUACAUUAAAUAUAAUAAAUUUAGACUACUGAUUUGUCCAAGUGGGUCAGGAGAUAUUCAAUCCACUUCUACAACAGUUGUUAUAAUGUCUCUUGACUACCAUCAACUAUCAGCAAAUAAAGCCGUUAUGUAUGUGGAAAGGCCCAAUCUCAUAAAAUCCCAAAUUUUCUGGUGAAGCUAUCAAUAGCAUUUUUGAGGUCACUUCCACAGUACAGUACAGCCUAUUCUCAGGUUUUCCCUUAUACUUGCUAUGUAUGUGUUUAUUCUCCAAAACAGUUUUAUGGUUACUUUCUGAAAUUAAAGUGUAUUAGAACUAGAUUUUGGCCAUGGGAGGAAAACACGUGAUACUCUUGUGAUUCUUCUAUGAUGAAUUCUGAUUCAUGCCCGUCCAGUAGGUUGCAUUGAUUGAAUCACAUAAAUCUAUUUUGUUGAUUUAGUUUUAUAUAUUGGUUUGCUUGUUUGUUUUUCAAUAUCACAUAACAGUAGAAUUGAUGUAUAGAAUAAUGGAGAUACAGUUUGAAAGUAGAUAGCUCAUCUGCUAAUGACUGAUUCACCUGUCCACGACUAAGCAUUUCUGACUUCUUCAAUUUCUUCAUAGCAAAAAUCUCUCCUGUACUUUUGGCACGACAUAGUCUCACCUAUUUUCAGAAAGGAGCAUAGUGAUGAGCACCAAAUCACCAACAAACAUAAAUAUUUUUCAGGCACAGGUACAAAAAUGGGGAAACGAACAUAAAUCUUCUCCAGGCACAGGUACAAUAAUGGAAAUAUAAACCAUCAGAAGCAUAAAAGACUUCCACUAUCAUAUUAAGUUCAUGUCAUUGUAACUAACGGACAAGCUCAACUAGGACAGAUGAAUCCAAUCAACUAAUGAACAAAAAUUUCAAUAAGAUGCCAAGGGUACCAGAAGUUGAUAUGCUGGACAUCAUCUACGGAAAGAGAAAUGUCAACAGAAAAUUGACAGAAAUCCAUGCGUACCACAACAUUUUUCUUACAUAUUUCAUCAAUAAAAUCUAGAAUCUUGCUUUUUUUUUUUUUAUCUGCGAGAAUCAAUCUUGCUAAACAUGCAACAAUUAUAUCAAGAGUAAUGGUACUGAAUUAAGGUGUGAAAAUGCAAUAUAAGUUUUUUUUAUAUACCUCGCCAAAUGCACCUUUUCCAAUCACAGUCAAUUGCUCGAAGUCAUCAAUCCCAACUUUACGUCUUUGCAGUCUCAUAUACUCUGUCUCUCUACGUUCUAAAUUCCUCAUCAUCUCUUCUUGUUCCUCAUUCGAUACCUGAGCUUCUUGCGCUUUCCUCUGAAGUGUACGCCGUCUGAAAUAUAAGAAGGAACCAUGUCCGAUAAGGUUGUAAACAGGGGAAAAGGACGCAAUUAAGUUCACCUCUCUGUUCUCGUUUCUAAUUAGUGUUAACACACAGGUCAAAGACCAAUAUCGAAGAAAAAUGGAGCAAACAAAAGGCAAACAAAAUAAAAGUCAAUAAUAAUACUCAAUACAUCUAUCCAAAUCAAUAUAUAUUAGUAUAAUAUAUAAAAGAAACCCAAUCGGAAAACUAGAAAACUGAAAUAGACAAAUCUUAAACACGGAGAAAUAUAAACAAUAGCAUGACUGAAGUUGACCUUAAAUUGAACUCAUAAGAUACUGAUUAUACAUACUCAAGAAAAAAAAAAAAAGUGAGUGUACAGUUAACACGACGCCAAGUUUUCAAAGGAACGCCAGAAUUCAACAGAAAUGAGUUCGAGUGGGAGCGGAAAUCAAAGAGCAUAAAGAGUUACGCAAAAUUGCACCUCUCCAUUCGAUCUUGCAAUCCUUGUAAAUGGUUUUUGUAGUGAUUCUCAAUGAACUGCUUGGCGGCGGCAGCUUUCUGUCUGGUGACCGGCGAAGAAACAGAGACAUCAGGAUCCAAAUCGAGACCCCGACCUGGCUUCAUGUUCAAAGCCCCUAACCUCACCGUACCAUCAGCACCGUCCAUUUUGUACCCUCCGAGAAAAAGAACGAGAUUAAUUCUGAAGCUAGAGAACAGUAAGGAACAGUCGAUCAAGUAAACAUAUGUAUAGAAGGAUGAAAUGGAAGCUUUGGCGUCACGGUUUCCGAGAUAGAGAUCUGGGAGCUGCCAGUAUGUUUGGGAAAAUGACAGAGAAAAUGAACGUAGGCGUUUUUUAGAGAAAAAUGAACUGGCAACCAUGUAGCGGUGACUCACUGGGUAAUAUAUCCAUAUAUAUAUAUAUAUAUAUGUAUGCAGGACUUGCAAGGAGGUCUUUUGAAUGAGGUAGUUAUAUUUAUCUUUUUUUAAAAAAAAAAAAAAAGAAAAAAGAAAAACAUAUUACUGGGAAUUGAGUGUUAUCGACGGUAUCGUUUGAAUAUAUUUAUUUUUAAUUAUUUUAUAAAUACUUUAAAAUUUAAGCCCUGAAUAUAUAUAUAUAUAUUAUUUUUCUGAGGUGUAUAUUAAACAGUAAUUAAUUACAUUUACCCCCUUAAAUUUGUUAUUUUUAAUUUUUUUUAAAAAUGAAAAAUAGGAAGUCAUUUCCGUCGGCGGAGAUCUAUAGAGGUAAGAAAGUAGGUGGCUUCUGUGAAUAAAUAUCUAAUGAGCUGUCAUUGAUAUUAAUAACAUAAUUAUUAUAUUAAUUUAAUAAUGUUUAUGAAAUAUCCAAAUUACCCUCCAACUUCUUCUUAACAAGAAUUUUGUUUUUGUAGACCCCUUUUGGUUACAAAAAGCAAAAUGUUGUUAGGGAAAUCAGAAUUGAUUUAGCAAGAGAAAGUACAAUUUGUGAAGCCAAAUUUAGUCUUAUAACUAAAGAGUAAAAAGAUCAAAUUAAAUGAAAUGAUUAUAAUAAUGUUUUGUGAGCUAAUGCAAGAUAAAAUAAAAUAAUUAAUAAUUUGCAUAUUUUUGUUUUUUAAUAGCUACCAAAGAAAAUUCUAUCAACAUGUGACAUAGAGAUGAUGCAAGAUAUUAUAAGAAAAUAUCUUUUUGUGGGAAAUAUUAUAUUUUUUUUUGUGUGUAAUAUUUCCACAAAUUGAUAAGUUAAAUGGAAGUGUAAAACAUUUAUUACAUUUAAAAAUAAGAAUCACAUGUGUCAGAUGUAAUACAAGUUAAAAAUAUUGACCAAUCAAAUGAAGACGUCUUAAAAUGAAAUGAAUGAUACAUGUAACUAACUCAGUACCUAAUAAUAUCAAAGAUAACUAACUUUAUUGAAAAUAAUUAAACGUACCCUAAAUACUAAGAUUAAAGCUUAUAUUGUGUUACAAUUUUUAUGUUAUAUCAUAAUUAUAGCAACACCAUAAUACAUAUUAACAUAAUAUAUUACAAGGCAUACUACAUUUAAGUAGCCAAGAUAAGAGUUUGGGAGGAUUUUAAAUAAUCUCUAUUUUUUUAUGAUCAAUUCAAAAACUCUCAUUUGCUCUUUAAACUUAUUAAGUCAUUUAUUUUAUUGACUUCAGUAUUAAAUAAUGCUUCUAAAACAAAAUUCGAAAUUCGUAAUUUGUUUAUUUUCUAUGUCAAAGUGCAUAAUCUACAUUAUCAUUUUAUCUAUUAACUACCGCUUCUAUUUGCUAACCUCCAUCAUCUAUCAAUUCUUACUUUCGUUUAUCAACUUUUACCUAGUUAUACCUUAUGUCAUAUUUAUUUUAUCAUAUAAUUUGUAUGUUUUUAACUUUAGAGAAUGAGAAAAGAAGGAGCCGUAAUUCAAGGAAUGUCUAAUAUUUUCAUGUAUUCAAAAUUUUAGGUUGAUUUCUAACACUAUUGUUUAAGAUCAUAUGAUUCAUUAUUCAAAUAUAAUAAUUUAUGAUUCAAAUUAUACUAUUUCCUACCAUAUAAAAUAAAUUAUAUAGAUGAAUAAUAAUUUACCAUUAAUCUUAUGUGAAUAACGUGAUUCAUAAUAAAUCAUGAAAACUAAAUUAAAUCAUGUUGUUCACCUAGUUUUUCUUAAAACUAGAUCUUACCAAUUUACGUAACUUUGCUAUUUACUUCGAAGUUACAAUUUUGGGUAUCAUAUAAUCUGUUGAAUGUUGUUAUUUCGAAAGAUAAUUUAUGUUACGCACAUGUACAUCAUUUUAUUCAAAGAUAAUGCUUUUUAGUUUACUAAAAAUGUUAGUAAAAAUUUCUUAAAAUAUUAUAGUCAAUCAUGACGUUUUUACAUGCCACAAAACUUUUGAUUCAUGAACUAUGUUUUAAAUUUAAGAUCCAUUUUUAUUUGCAUUUCUUGAUUAAGAAAAUUGUUUCUUAAGUUCAGUCUUUUUUAACUUUAAUUUAACAAAUAUGAAGUCUAAAGAUUUGUAAAGAAAAAUGAUGAAACCCUAAACUGACGUUUAUGAUGGAAAUCGUCUACCAGUCUCGUCAGAGUUCAGCACCUUAUAAAUAAUGAGUUGUCAAUAGUUCUAAUUGUUGAAUAAUGACCACGCAUAGCAUGAAUGGUGGAUUCCAAUUUGUUACCACAUGCUACAUCCUACUUUUAUUAGUUAGGAGGCAAUUUUGGAAGGUAAGCUGACGAAGAACUUUCGCUUGAUUGGACACUCGGCUUCUUCUUCUUUUCCCAUACGAAAUUUCUUCUUCGUUUCCCAUAUGUAUUUCCAACCGCAACUUUCCAUUGUCCCUUCAUUCGCUACACCAAACUGCGAAGGGAGAGACCAUUUCCUUCACAAUAAUGCAUCCAGAACUAUGCUGCCUGGUGGUGGAUGAAUGGUUCUAACAAGCAUUCAUCUAGCUUGCCUGUCUCUAUCUCAAAAACAAUGGUAAAGGUGAUAUCACAAUUAUGGGUUCUGUCUGUCUCUGUAACCUUGAUAAAUAAGCUCCAGCCACCUCAUAUUUCAUUCUUUAAAACUAGAAUUAAUUGUUUUGGUUCUGGGUCAUCACGCAAUACAUAGCUGAAGUUAUAGCCUUUCCUCAGCAAGAAAACUCCACGCAAGUGUAAAUUUUUCAAACUUCUCUUUGAAAAAUCCUGUGCCUACAGCCUACAUUAUACCAACCAUCAAAUCUCUUGAACUGCUGCACAACAAUUUGCUCUAUACAUUGUAAAAAACCACAAAACUUCAAUCGUCAUUUAUGCUGGAUGAUGCGCCUCAAAUUUCUCAUACUGGCCAGUCUCCUCGUUAAAUGAAUACCUGCAUUUUAAGGGGGGCAUGCACCCAUCAAAGUAACAGGACAGAGCAUUAGGUAUGAUAGUAAAACAAAAUGGAGCAGUGCUACAUACUCUACAAGGAAUAUUUUCCCAAAAGAAAAAGAAAAAAUAUCAUUCUUUUGAAGACCAGUAAAGGAGCACCAAUAUGCAAAAACAUUUGCAACUCUUUCAAAACAAAAAAGAUAUCUAAGAUCAACAAAACUAACCCCGCCUUUUUUUGUUGGACAUAAGAAAGAGAACAUAUGAAGCCAGUAAGGGGUAUGAUAUACGUACAAAACCAAAAAUUUUACAAAUCGAUCAAGAUGGCUAUGAGUUCUCCUAAAUCCUCAUGAGACACAAGAAUUGUCGUUUAACAAAAUACUGAGAGUCUAGAACCAUAAAUCAUAAGGCUGCAAAAAAAAGAAAAAGAAAAAAAGAAGCAUCCUUGAAAAUCCUUCUAUUCCUCUCUUUGCAUACCACCCACAAGAUCGAGUCAAGAGGAUUUGGAUAGUCAUUUUUCACCUUCUCUUAUCACCACAAAUACCUAGCCAAGCCCAAAUCUCAUCCCUCACAGAGCUUGCUAUCACCCUAUCAUAUCCAAGAAACCAAAAGCAUCGUACUGGAUACUACUGGCAAACUAACAAUGCAACAGGAGAUGAUUGAGAGAUUCCGCUCCUACAUAAAUAGCAUCCAUGGACCAAAAUCUUGUCUCUUUUCCUAAGUUACAAUCAUGAGAAUCCUUUCCCUUACAGCUUCCUAAGCCAAUUGCCCUAAUUUAGAGAUUCAUUCACCUUCUAAAAUAGCCUUUCAUGAGAGGACAAGUUAGAGAGAUGAAACUAGAAAAAUCUAAUGAAAAGGAAAGCCGCAGAUUUAUAUCUGUAUUUAGUCCAAUGGUAAACCAAGAUAUUUUAGCGGAAGAUAGCUCACCUUGUACACCAGAAUACUAACAAAGAAAUUCAUGUCAACAACAACCUGCAUGGCCACCAAUUCUAAUUUGGUUAACUUAUCUUCAAACCUGAUACUACUUAGAAACAGAGAAGAAAACAUCUUAGAGAAAGUAGAGAAUCUCUAUAAGGCCCGCAAAAGAAUUGGAAAUUGUUAGCAAUAAACAGGUGUUGCACCUCUACUGUAUUCUCUCCUUCACAAUGCCAAUCCCUUGGUCUUACCUCCUUGUCUCUGAUAAUCAACUUGUUCAAUAUCUCCAUAAUAAUAAAGAGGAGGAUCACCUUGCACAAAGGCCACUGGAAACAUCUACGGAAGCUCCUUUUCCAAAAAACAAAGGAAAUGGCAAGGGGAUAAAGCAAAAGGAUUUCCUCCUAGGCUUAGCAACUGGGAUAUCAUUUCAAGCCCAUAAUUCAUUUUUAGUAGAGCACUAACAACCCAGCUAAAGUUCAGGAGACGGAGGGUAUAAUCCCAAAGCCUUCUGAUCUCUGGAAACCAAAGAAGACGGAGCGGAUUCACUCUCAUUGUGGCAGAAAAGACACCUACUUAUUAUAAUGUACCUCUCUUCACAAGAUUGUUUGUAGUCAGAAUCCUAGUGAGGGAAGAAAAAGCAAUUCUCAAGGCCACUUCUGUUCUCCAUAUCUGUUUCUAUCGAGGAUCAUAUCCUGCACUAAAUGGUUGUUGUAAUUGGAUUUGACAACAAAGUUUCACUCAUAGAGAGGCUUUUGUAUAUGUAUAUAUAUGUAUAUUGAAUACAGAGAAAGGAGGAGAAAUAUAACCAUGAAGCUAUUCUCCAUAAUGGAAAAAAACAAAGAGUACAAGAGGAGAAAAACCUGCCAUGUCCAAAAGAUGACAGCCAGCCAAUAUCUAUGCAAAGUAGGCAAACUAGUCUUUGAGAAACGCCAUGCGCCUUAAGCCACAUGGACACUGGAAAACUAACCGUAUCUCAAAGAAAGCUAAAAUGAGAAUCACAAUUUCUGAAAAUCCUAACAAUUUUCUCUAACCAUAUUCCCACAACCCAGCAAAAAUAGCUCAGCACCAUAAAGCCUUAACAUCUUUUCUCCAAUCCACGGCUUGGAUAGCUGGAGAUAAAAACACCUGAAGGUGAAAAGCAAAAACCCAAGACACACCAGACUACAAAGUAAACAAGACCAGACUCCAAGUCAUCUCAUAGUGAAACAUUCAGCAGCUUUAUAACACAUCAUGAAUGCCCCAGGAGAUAAAGCACAAUUCGACUAUCUCGCUUGGACAAAUUGUAAGUAUCAGCCUAUUCAAGAAUGCAGUCCAAACAGAGGCUUUAACCUUUAAAGGGCCAUGAACCUUCAAAAAACACUUAUUUCAAAAUAUUAUUAUGAAUACAAGGUUGCUGGUUGAGAACGCAAAGGAUUUGCAAGAAAAAAUGCUAGAAGGAGCCAAAGACCAAAUUCUACGAUCAGGACCCAAAAAAAACCAAACAGAACUGAAGAGUAGUAACAAAGAAAUCAUUUCAGCAGCUCCGCAAUCCCUGAGAUAUCUUAAAAAACAUGUUCUAUGACAUAUGAUCCUUUAAGUAAUACAAAAAGAGAAAUAUGAUCACUAUGUCUCUGGAAUAAAUUGUACAUCCUUGGGAAAUAAGUGGCUAAUGGAGUAGUAUCAACCUAGGAUCUGCCCAAAAACUGUGGGAACCAUCAUCCACCCUCAAGGAAGAAAAGAAGCAUAGAGUCUCAAAAUAGUUUUUAGGGUUUCCUGUAAAUAGUAGAAGAGCUGAUUUUAGAGUCCCAGCCAUUCCGAAGUAAACCAAACUUGAUCUUGACCACUUUGUGGCCUUAAGAAGCUUCUAAACUGGAUAUAUUGAAAUCAAGCUUACUUCAGGAAUGCUCUNNNNNNNNNNNNNNNNNNNNNNNNNNNNNNNNNNNNNNNNNNNNNNNNNNNCUGUCUGCCAUCACCACCUUGAAAUGAAUAUGGUUAUAAAAUCUACCAAAUUCCUCAAAAUCUAUCCCCAAGAAGUAAAGUCAUAAGCACCUCCAAUCAACCAGACACACAACCUAUCUGCUACAAAUCAAACUUGUUAAUGCAUUUCUCCCAUAUAGAAUGAAUAUAAGACAAAAACCACCAUUUCCAUUUAAGCAAGAGCUUGAUUGGACCUUUGCAAUGACCUUAUAAUUAAACCCUCAUCGCUCAUUAGAGCCACAAGGUUAUCUUACACUCAACCCUAUCACCCCAGAAGAAGUGAUACUGACCUUACACACUAUAAUCUAAGUACAUUCAUCAGAAUUCACUCCCUUCCAAACCAGCACCAAUUUAGAAUACCCCAAUUCACCUUCAUGUCCGGAUAGGUAGGAAGCACCAAAAGCACACACCUAAUGUUAAUCAGGGCAGCACUAUCUCAGAAAAAGAAUGUGGCAUCUACAAACAUAAAACAUGAAAUCUCAACAUUUUGACCCCCUUCACCACAAAUAGCCUGUCCUUUCUAAAAGGAGGCAAUUAAAAGCUUCAAUGCAAGAGUAAAUUGGGGAUGGGAGAUUGCCUCGUCUGAAACACUAGGAGGACCAAAAAUCAAAUGGUCCAACAUUUGAUAAACGGAAAAGAGACCAUCAAAUUGCAUUGAGAAAUUCAUCUACAGCAUUUCUCACUAAAAUCCAUUUUCCCAAGGAUAUAUGGAAAAAAAAAGAAGCAUGGAACAUGAUCAUAAGCUUAUCUAUCGUCCAAUUUCCGAAAUAAACCUGAGGUUCCCUUUCAAGUUAGAUCAACCAUUUAGCAAUGAAUGAUGUAUCUAACUUUUUGGGCCUCCCACAAAAGCUUGUUGAGUUCCCCCCACCCCUUCGUUGACUAUCUUACCCAACCUUCCAACCAAGACUUUAACAAUAAGUUUGCAAAUGCUUCCCACCAAACCAACAGAUCUAAAGUCUUUAAAAAGUCCACCCAUAAGAAUGAGCGCUAAAAAGGAAGAACUGACCACUAGCCAACUUUCUAAACAUUACAAGUUCCUAAAAACAUCAGUAUAUCAUCCUUAACUUUAGUAGGAGAAAAGGAUGUCUAUGAAGAAGCCACUUGGACCUGGGUCGUUGUCCCUGUUGCAAGAGCAGAGUGACUCAUUCAUCCCCAAAUCAUCUAGCUUUGGUCUCGACAGCUUGGUCUCACUACUUAAGUUGAAGUGGAACACUUUGGCAGCCUACUCAGCUCUUUGUUGGUCAUAAUUUCUCUAUUAACCAACACCAAUUGGGAAUGAAAGUGUUACAGGACCAGAGUUUUUCAUCCUAUGAAAGUAUUUAACUUGAUUGUAUAUUAACAUUAUGAAAUUAUUUUACCAAUAACAUCUUUUUAAAAGAUUUAAAAAAUAGCAUUAUAUAUAAACAUUAGUAUAAUAUUGUCUUAGCCCUCCUCUCUUCUCUUCAUUAGCAUUCUUAAUCUCAUUCCAAGAAUACUAGAACGAGAGCAAGAGCUGAAAUUACCUCUUCUAUUCAUUACCUUCUUCUCUCAUCUCUUCAUUUUGUUUAUUUAUUUUUUCUUGACUAGCAUGAGUUCAUAUUUUUUAUUUCAGAAAAAAUAAUACUAGAACGAGAACGAGUCCUUGAAAAGGUAACAUAGUGUUACUUUCAUGCUUUGUCUUUCAUCCUCUAGCAUCUUUAUCUAAAAUGCAAUUUUCAAAGAAAUAAAAGGAUGCCCAUUGUUCAGAGGAGGCACAUGAUGGAGGAGGUGUGCGGGUGAAUUUUUUGGAUUUUAUAAGAUUAGGACUUCAAAAGUUAUUUUAUGGACAUUUCAGCUUCACUUGGUCAGCUUGUAGGCUCUCUAACAUCAAAGUUGCCCUUAGUCCCUCCCAAUACAAAAUCAAGGACUAUUAGCUCUCUACCAACUGCCAAGCACAUCAGCAAAAUUUUAUGAGCCCUUUGAGAGCUUAUAAGCUCCUCUUGACUAAAACAUAAACCAAGCCAAACACUCUCUAAGAAACAGAAACAUUUGCGGUUACAACAAAAGAAUCACCCUAUACUAGCACUAGGAGGACCAACGUCACGAAAGAAAACCACUUGAAGACAUUGCCAAAGUCAUCCAAGCUGCCAACCAAAACGUAAAACCAGAGAAGACUAGAAAGAGGAUGAAAAUUUGACCAAGCAAGGAGGCUCAAAUUACCUCCAGAAACCACCCUGACUAACAUGUAGACCUAGUGCGUCAGUGUUCAGUAGCGUGGGGUAAUGCUGGUUGGUCACUUAUGGCUAGCAAUUUUACUUCAGAGUUGGAUCCACUGAAUUGAAACUCCAAUAACAACAGACCUGAUUUACUCUCUCGUAAUGUUUUAGCACGACUAUAAUUUUUGCUUACCCUUUAGCUUACUAUAGGCCAUAUUGAAGCAAAUGUUGUGGCUUUAUUGUAAGGAGAACAAGAAAAAAACUAUAAACAGGAAACUAACACUAACUUGUACGGGAGAACACUAUAUGCGAAAAUACCAUAUAGGAAAAUAUAUUAUAAUAUCUAACAAUUACCAUUGGCCCAAUGCUGCAGAGUAAUAUAAUCCAGUGGAUGGGUCAUAGUAGUAACCCAAACUGCUGCUGUAAUAGUACCUGAACAAGAAUUUGCUGCAGUUAGAUUGAAAAAUACAUAGUUUCUAAUGGAACUCGUUAAGAAUUUGGAUUUUAAUUUUUCAAUUAUCAUAACUACUAUUUAGAAGAACUGUAGCAUAUGAUCUCAGAAACCCACAACGAUGGACUGAACAUAUAAAUAGGUCAUUUGAACAAGAAAAAAAAGCUUUUCACUCUCAUUUAGUCACAUCACACGAAAUUUGCAGAAUCCUAUGAACAAAUUAUGUAUUGACCAUUAUACACUCCAGCUCAUGUCAAAAUUGCAAAGAAUGAUUACAAGUUCCUAGUUCUCCAAGAAAAUGUUGACCAAUUUUUUCCAACAGUAAAUAAAUUACUAAAUAAGCUAAGUAAAAUUAACUCCAUAAUUUUUUCAUUUACUUUUUACAAGGAAAUAAGUGUUAUUAGAAGGGAAAGGGAAACAAGGAGGAACGAUAAGAUAUUCUCCUAUAACAGAAAAAACUAAAGAAUAUACAUAUACAACAAAGAGACAAAAAAAGAAAAAAAAAAGAAAUCAAAAUAAUAGAAUAACAGAAAAUGAAGCUUUUAGAGACCUUGGGGGAGGAGAGAGGGUGUGGCAAAUAACUAUUGUGAGAAAUCUCAAUGACUGGCUUAUUAAUGAGUAUGUGAAACUUCUUGGCACUUUAUCUCGUGUGUACCUGGAUGGUAGCAAUGAUAGUGCAAUGUGGUCUCUGACCAAGAAUAGGCUUUUUUUGGUGAAGUCAUACUAUAAGUUUUUGACUAAACAUGAUCAUAACAGCAUCAGUUUCCCAGUUAGACAAAUUGGAAGGUGAAUAUCACCCAGAAUCUCUUUUUUUGUUUGGGAGGCCAGCAGAGAACGUAUUCUUACCAUUGAUAAGUUGACGAGACAAGACAAGACUCUGGUGAAUGGAUGUUAAUAAUACAGGGACAAAAUACAGGAAAUAAUACAGUGGUGGACAUCCAUUGUAUUAGAGACCUUGGGAGAGGAGAGAGGAGAGAGGAUGUGGCAAAUCAUACAGGAAAUUUACAUGAUUCAGCAAUGUGCAUGACUACAUGAAGCCACCCCCAGUUUUUUUUUACAAUGAAAAAUUCUUAUCUGACCAAAUAGGCUUUUUCCUUUGUAUAAGUGAUUAAGGAGAAAAUUCAAAUUUACAAGCAUAAUCCCCUAAGGGAAAUUCCAAAACCGUAUUCUGUAACUUUUCACUAACUUUUUUUUUUUAAAUAAGUAAUUUUUCACUAUCUAGAACAGAUAACUGAUGUCUUAACAAAAUCACCAGCGAACUGAACUAGGAUAACUAUCAAAUUAGUUCUUUUCCUUUGCAUGUUUACCAAACCGACACUUUUUGUAGUUGUGGAACACUAUUGUUUUGAAAACAUUGUCCAGUCAUUUAAACCAUGCAAAUACCUACCACCCGCAACAGCGCAGAGGAUGUCCACCAUCAUACAAUACUGGCAUACCGAAAUGAGAAAUCGGGCACACAUUUUUUAAAACCACUAACAAAACAAGCUACAAACAAUUUCCAACAUAAAUAAUUUAAAACAGCUAUUUCUAAGAUAUAAAGAGUGAGAAUGAAUACCCAGAAGAUUCGUCAUAAAUAUAAUCAGAAGAUCCAUCAUUCAUGGAGGUUUGUAAGGCUCCACCUACCAAGCAGACUAUGUGUCAGAAUAAUAAAGUUAAAAAAAAAAGGUUAGACUGUUACAUCAAAAGAUUUUUGGUGGAGAGAGGAAGUUUACUUUCUGAAUCCAUGUUUAAAGAAUUCGAUGAAGACUGAUUGACUGCAUCUGAAUUGGGGCCAGAAGAUAAAUUAGUCCUAUUAUUUGAUGAUUUGUCAGUAUUGUAUUCAUCUUCAUCCGCAAACAUAUCAUAAGCAUCAUCGCCACUGCUUCCAAUAUCUGCAGCCGUUACAUCCAGCUUUGAAGUACCAGCAGCAGAAUUGGACAAUAUUGAAGAGCCUACUCCAGUGUCAUUUACAUCAGGGAGCAAAUUCUUGCCCGCAUCAGAUCCUCCAUUUUCCUUUGCUCUAGUUAGCAUCUCAUAUCCUUCUGAAAAUAUGAUAAAUAGAGAGAAUAUAAAUAAGUAAUCCAGAUAUAAAUAAUGCACUUAUCAUCAUUUAACUGGAGUUCUUUUACCCAUCUUUACAGACUAAAACUCACCGGGAACAGAAACCAUAGAAGCAUCUGGUUAUCUUACACGGCAACAAACCAAAACAAUGAACGCAUAGGCUUUGGAACCAAGAAACAUUUUAUAUACAUAAACUUCCAUGUGACAAAGGAUCUCACAGAGCAUCCAAAGGCAAUCAAAAGCAAUUGCACACUUUUUCCCAAAAUCCAUAAGGAUGUGCACCCUACUUGACCAAUAAAUAAAACUGCUUGAACAACAAUGAAAAAGUUGAAGAUAAGUAGAAAAACACGAAGCUUUUCACCAACCUGCCUCCCGCUCAAAAACCUCCUGUUUCUCAUGAUAAACAUCUGCAAAAAGGGCAGGUGUAAGACAAGUAAGCACUACAAUAAGACUGGGAAAAAAUUAUUAGCUUGUCAGGGGAGGGAAACCAUGAUGCGUAGCACAGCCAUGUGUAUAAUACAACAACAAAGUAUAUUCUGUUUUCUCUUUCUACAUUUUUUUUUCCAGGAAGGAGGAUAAAAAAGGUUUAUUAGAAAAAACAAAGGAAUUAAAAGCUAGGAAAGGACUUCCUCCAAUAAGGAACAAAAAGAGAGAUUACCAAAAAAGCGCAGAAAUAAGGAAAAUAACAUUUUUUUUAGAUAAAAAUUGUAAGGUAUAUAUUAACAAGGUACCAAAAAGAGGUACCCCCCACGCACAAAAGAUUUACGAAAUAAGAAAAAUAGCCUGUGAAAAAUAUUAAAUAGCAUCCUCGUUUUGUAGCAUAGAUAAAGGAAUGUCCCAUAAAAAAAAGUUCUAAGAGACAAGGCACACCAAAGGUCAUCAACCAAAUUAGAACAGUGUUUAAAAAUUUUUGCAUUUCUUUCCAACCAAAGGACCUACAAACAUCCAUUGAGCUUCAUAAUCUUAUCCUUAGGCAAGAGAAGAAUAAUAUCAUCUACAAAUUGCAAAAAAGAAAUUUUAGAAUCCUCCUCCUCCAUGAAUAGAUUCCUCAUCUCAAUUUCCCUGCUGAGCACCAUGUUAAGAACCCACCACCAAAGGAAAUAAGAAGAGAGACACUAGGAAUUCCAUUGCCAAAUCAUUAAUGACCUUUAAGCUAGGAUUUUAGUUACCUGUGAGUAAUCACACAUAAAGUGACAAAAAUAACAAGCAUAAUCUAAUCCAAGAUCUCCAUCUAACCCCAAAACCUUUUUUUUCUAUCAUCUUAUACUGGAACCAACCCACAGUUGACUCUAUCAUAAGGCUUCUCAAAAUCCAACUUGAAAACAAGGCUAACUCUCUUCAUUUUUUUGAUGCCUUUAAGAACUUAGAGACAAGGCAAGCAUCGAAAUUUGCCUACCAACAAUUCAAGCACUUUGGUUGAGAGAAAUGUUCUCUCUUAAACCUCUCUAAGUAAUGGUUGAAAUGAGUGACUUUAGCAAAUGUGAUACUUUUUAUACUUUGUAAUUCGAGUAAACUACUAAUUCGGAAAAAAAAACACUUACUAUAUUCACCAUUCUGAAUCAACUUGUCAGCAUCCUCAGUAAGCUGAUCAAAAACAUGCUUCAUCUCGGAUGACAUCUUUUCCUUCUUGUUAUUUGAAGUCCCUUUCAACCUUCUCAAGGCGUGUAAAACCUGUAAGGCAAAGUAAAUUUAAUUUAAAUAUUUUAAAACCAUUUAUAGUAUCAGUGGAAUGUAAAACUGACAUCAUAAUCAAAAGCAUUCAAAAGUCAUAUUAUGCAGGACGUUCUAAACUUCAACCAUUCCGAACUUAAACCAACCAUGCAAGACAUGUUAUAAAUGUUAUUUUUUCUAAUUCUUCUAAAAAAAUACUAUUGGAGCUUUACUAAACAAUACUACAUUUGCUUUUUCAUUAAAAGUCAAACUUUGGAGCUGUAAUCAAUAUCAUAACAAAAAUGAUAUUAGAACAAGGUAACACCAAGAGUACCACAUAUUGCUGAUCAAAGAAAGCUAGUUUAUGCACCCUGCUGUUAUGCACCUCUAUGAUCAAAUUAUCAAUACCAAUCUCCCUCCUAUACUUGAAAAUUAAUAAGAUAUCAGACAAUGACCUAAUUAGUGAAUUAACAGAUCAGACCUCAAUUAAGAUAAAGAAAAAUAAUAAGAAAUUGUGAAAUGUUUCACAAAAAAUAAAUAAAGCAUCCAUUAACUGAUCGUAAUUCUAGUUUUUUUAAUAUUAACUAAGAAAAACAGCAAUGAUAGUAAGCAAAAUUAGUGAAAGGGAUAGAAAGAUUAUAUUCCUCCCUAUGACGCAAACCAAAUACACAGCACUUCAUCAUGCAACAUCAAACUGCGGUAGGAAAUAGUUUUCUACGAUGACAUUAAAGAGAUAAUAUUUCUCUACUGUAAAGCAGCCAUCAGCAUUUCAUGUAAUAAUGAAACUAAAUUAUAGAAUAAUUUUUCUGUUGACAUUUGCUAUUGGGUUAUCCAAUAAACCUCUGUUGCAAUGUUUUUUUGUUCCUAAAUUACAAAUACAGCCAUUUUCAUCAAUUAGAAAGAUGAGUAUUUCCAAAAAAUGCACAAUAAUGCACANNNNNNNNNNNNNNNNNNNNNNNNNNNNNNNNNNNNNNNNNNNNNNNNNNNNNNNNNNNNNNNNNNNNNNNNNNNNNNNNNNNNNNNNNNNNNNNNNNNNNNNNNNNNNNNNNNNNNNNNNNNNNNNNNNNNNNNNNNNNNNNNNNNNNNNNNNNNNNNNNNNNNNNNNNNNNNNNNNNNNNNNNNNNNNNNNNNNNUAAUUCAGAGAACUAAACUUUUACCAAAAACAAACUAUAACCGAGGGGAGAUUUAAGUGUACCGUUUCUCCUGGCUCAAGGACAUUAGCAAUGCGCCUUUUUAUCAUUCCAAUGUCUUCUGAGGAAAGAUCAUGACCUGCAUCUUCAUUGUUAUCUUCUUCGUCAUCUUCAUUCUCAAUAUCAUUUGUUGCUGAGGCCACUCGAGAAUAUUUUGGAUUUGCUUCAAUACUAUCAAGCCAUGCAUCCUGGAAAAGAUAACAUGGAAGUGAGUUGCAAUGAGAUUGGUUCUAAAUUUAAAAGAUCAACAAGAAGAUUGAUGCAACAACUUACUUUAAUUUCAUUUUCAUUGACAUAUUCAAUGAAAUUCCCCUCUGCGUCAAAGUACCCUUCUUCCCUCUCUUUGUUUAGGUUGAAUGGUUCUAUGUUUAUCCCAUCUUCAAUCAAAUUCUCAUUAUCCUGUCAUAAAAAGUUCCUACCAUUACUAUCCUUCUGAUGAAUCUGACAAGUCUCUUCCAUUUCCAGCAAAUGGGCACACUAAAAUGCAAGUGCUUUGGAAAAAAGAAUCUCAAUGUAGAUAAGUAUGCAUUACAGAUUCUAAAGUAGGGUAACCUCACAACUUCUUUCGAGAAAACAAUAGAAAUAAAAUUGAUAAAUUUUCAAGAUAACGUUGUGCAUGAACUGUUGGAUCUCUGAUUUGGACACUUCAAGGCUGGACAACAUUUGAGUUUCGGGUCAUUCAAGUUUGCACAACUUCAGACUCAAAAUAUUAUCAUUCAAUUAGGACCAGGCCAAGUUUUGGAUAGCUGUGGUCAAUAUUUUGUCACUAACCACAGAACACUUACAGCUAAAUAAAAUUAUAUGUUCCUUAAUGGCUUAGAGAAAAGGUAACAUUUAUCUCCUAGGGAAAAAAAAAAAAGGUUACAAGCUAGGAGAGGGCAAUAAGAAGAUGGCAACAUCCUUGUGAAUACAAUAAUUCUUGUUUCCUUCUCAAAAAAUACAGAAAGAAAGAAAGAAACGGAGAGCGGAAAUGGGGUCACACCCAAAACCAUGAGAGAAAAACAAUGUUCAAGAAAGAAAUAUGCAUUUGAAAAUAAACCUCAUAAGUCACUUCAGCAGCUGAGACAUCAUUGAGGCCUUUACUUUCUUCACAGAAAAGUUCAGUAGUCAUCUGACUCCGGCGCUUUGCACGCUCUUUGGCAGCAAGACGUGGAUCCUUCAAGUCUGCUGGGUCAUCUUCAGUAUUUCCCUUGCCCACCACUACAUUUUCUGCCUUCACCUUUUUACCCUUGGGAAAUCGAACUUUCUUCUGUCUGUCAAAUUUGAUAUUGAAAACUAAGCAAAGCCCGAGACAAGUAUACAACACAUAAUUGCAAGUAAAUUUUUUUUUGAAAUAUAAUUGCAAGUAAAUGAUGUACACAAAUGAAUAUGAUACAAAAUCUCCAGCACCAGUACCUACACACCGGAUCAUUAUCAUUUGUUAAGUAAUUCAUUUAAUUAAAAAUAUAAUUUAGAUUUCUCAUCUUGUGAUGCAUUGCCAUUGAAGCCACAAAGUGUAGUGGGCACCGUAGCCGAUCUCUAAAGAAAGAUAUUAUCUAUCUAUCAGUUUGCAUGUGUGCGUAUAACAUGACAAAUCACUGACAAAAGUUUCCACAAUCCUAUAUUAAUUUUAAUGGAACGGUUGCGAUGAUUAGCUGAAAGAAAGAAUUGCAUAAAAUAACUUAUUAAUGAAAAAUGAAAGGAUACAACAGAUGAAUGGGUGUGCUAAUGACAAGAUUUUGCAUCUUUAAUCCACAUGGAUAAAUUAAAAUGAGAGGUAUCAUGUUCUAAGAAAGAAGGAAACAAAUAAUUUGGUAAAUUAACACAAAUAAACCAUCCGUUAUAUUAUCCCGCCAUAGACAACAUAAAGCACAUAAAGCACAUAAAGAAAGCAGUAGUGGGAAGAAAGCGGUCUUACGCAGGAGGUUUAUUGGAGUCAUCGUCUUCCAAGAAUGGCCGCUUAAGAUUAGAGCGCAAUUUCUCCCCCAUUGAACUCGAAGUAAAGUAACUUUAACAAAUGGAAAGGUUUUCGCAGUCUACACCCUAGAAAUUCCUGCUAAAAGAACUCUAAACUCUCUCUUUUUUUCCUCUAAUUUGAUCCCAUCAAAGAAGCCCUAAAGAAACAGACGAGACGAGGGACCUGGAAGAUUGAAAAACCAAGCAGAUAAGAAUUAGAGAAUACGGAGGCUCGAUUUUUCUCGUAUGAACCGGCGAGGGGAGCAGAACAGCUCCUCGGCCAGGCUGGGCCGGAUUUGGCCGGAGCCAGCUUUUUUAAUAGUCGGGCUCAGCCCGAUUCGGUAGUUUGUGUUUGACUUUUUUGCCAAGUAAUUUUUUUAAAACAUUUUUGAAGCCCGAUCGGAGAACCUUAAUUUUUUUUUUUAAAGACAAAUAUUUAAUUAGUUUCCAAAUUAUGAAAAAUAUUAUAUUUUAAUUUUAAAUACAUUUUAUUAUAAUUUAAUUCUCGAUUACAAUUAUAACCAAUCUUAAAUAUUAAAUGGAGAAAGAGUUUUUUUGUUUAAAACUGUCAAUGGGCCUGAAAUUAGGCCCAAAUACGCAAAUAUUGCAGGUUGCUCGCCUUUCGAUUAUCUGGAGAGGUGUUUAUAUGGCACUUUGCAGAACCCAUGGCUGGCUGUACUAUGACCGUUAACUUCUUCACUUCGCUUCACUUCGCUUCACUUCCAUCCAUUUUUACCCAAAACCAAACAGAAUCCCAAAACUAUGCUCACAUAAAGCUCCCCACUCAACCUUAAAAUCCCCAUGGCUUCCAUUUCUAAACCACCGCCUUGUUUCCAUCCUUUCUCUGCCCGUAUCUCGUUCACUGCUUCUCCGCUUACCUUAUCGUUUCCCCACUGUCACUGGAAAACGCCCCCGCUUCAGCUUCGUGCUUGCGCCAUAAGAACCGGUUCCGGCGGUAAUAGAAUUGGAAGCUUGGAAUCUUCAGGCUCUGAUUUGCUUAGGAAGCCCAGUAUACUGCCGGACAAGGACCCCGGUGGAGUUUCAGAAGAAAAAGAAGAAGACGUGCAAAGGAACGCAAGUUAUAAGGAGGAGGCUGAAGUGGACGAAUGGGUCGAUUGGGAGGACCAAAUUCUUGAGGACACUGUUCCGCUCGUUGGCUUCGUUAGGAUGAUUCUUCACUCUGGCAAGUAUGUAACGCCAUAUUUAGGCUCUUCUCUGUUCCUUCGUUUUUUUCUUUCCUCAAUUUACGUGUUGAAAUUGAAUUAUUUUGUUCAGUUUCGUGAAUCAACAAAAUGUGGAAAUAAUUUGAGCAAGUUUAUGAUUAGGGCUUUAGACCGGAAUUAUCAUAUCUGCAAUCAUAAUGAUUAGCAAUUGCGGCUAUACUGAUUUUUUUUUAAACGCGCUAACUAAUUGAAAGUAUUUCUCAAUAGACCGUAACCAAUUGAGAGUAUUACUCCUGGUUCUGUCUAUCACUAGACAAGUUAUGGUUUUCUGGCUCUUCAUUAAUUUGUUCCCGGGGAUUGGUUCCUGGUAAUGGCGGUGCUGACCAUUUAGGUGUAUUUAGGAUUCAAAUUAAUUUAUAAAAGAGUAUUCAUGGCAGUGAGAGAGUGUAGGAAGCUGCCAGCAUACCUUGCUCAUUUUGCUAAGGCUCUCAAAUGCACUGAAGUUCCUGAUGAACCUGUUGCCUUUUGUUGGCACAAUCUGAGUAUUGGCCUCAAUCUUCUUUUUUUCAUUUGCCAUUUGCAUUUUCUUGGCUUGAGUUAUUGGCGUGACAACUGGUAGAUCAUGCAUCUUUCUUCUCUUCUUUGUUUUGCUUUGCACUUUUUUAUAGUAGUUGUAACUAAAUUCUUUUUCAAGGCAUAGGGAUGGUUUUAUGAUUGUGGCACUUCCUUGCUUUUUGUAUAUCUUCUUGCAGAUAUGGGAGUGGAGAUAGAUUGAGUCCUGAGCAUGAGAGGACUAUUCUUGAGAGGUUGCUUCCAUACCAUCCAGAAUUUGAGAAAAAAAUGGGCUCUGGAAUUGAUUAUAUUACAGUACGUCUCUUGCUUUAGUCACUGCCCAUCUGAUUAUAGAUGUAGUGAAAGCUUUUUUAUUAGGCGCCACUUCCCUAUAUAUACUGUUCUUUAGGCAAAACUAUGAUAGUAAGUUCUAAAAGAACUCUUCUAUUAAGCAAUUUAGACAAGUUUUCUUCAUACUUUUCCAACAAUUGCUUUGUGAUUUUAUAGCCUUGGGUAGAAUCAGAAACUGCUGGAUAGGUGUGCCCCUGAGUUCUUUUUCAUUGCGUACUGAGAAGUAUAUGCAAUCUGGAGAAGUAUUUAUGAACUAAAGAGAUUUCUUUAUUAUAGUCCUAGCAGAUACCAAUAGCCUUCUACUUCACAAAAGUACUCUUUAUAGUGAAACCAGAAUAUGAUAGUGGCUGAUUUUACAUAAACUUCUGUUUGAUUCACUAAGAGAAAGUUGGAAUUCCUGCUGUACACAAUUGCAGCUUCCAUUUUUGUUUUAUCCACCAUGUUUCAAUUAUUGGGUCAAAUUUGCUGUUUCUUUUAUUGUUUCCAACCCCUUCUGGAGCCUCUAUUGUAUCAGUCAAAUAGAUAUAUCUUUAUACUUCUAAUUAUUUCUGGGUUUGUUCCUUCCUCUCAUUUCAUCAAGCAGAAUGAACAAUAUGUGGCAUAUGCAUAUAGUGUUCUGGUUCUAAAACUAGCAAUAUAUAUGACAGCUUGCACAUCACCCAUGUUGCUUUUUCCACAUGGACUUAUUCUGUAUUUAAGGGUUAUUGCUACCUUCAUCGUAAUUGUGAGAUAUCUUUUCAUCACAAUAGGCAGCUUUUGCUGUUGUGUCUUUUAUGCAUUUGAUUGUUCUAUUUAUAGUUUUUGAGGAGGAUGUCUUAUUAUCCGCAUUUGUAUUUUCUCCCUCUUGAUUCCUGAUAAUAUUUCUUUUUCUAUCAAAAAUUACCUUAUUUUCCUUUUAUUAUCAUGUAUAAAACUGUAAAACUGUUACCUUUUUCUAUCAAAGAUGUACAUACAUGCAGUAUAAAUACCUGUAAGUACAAGAACAAAUCAUCGAAGCAGAUACGGGUCAUUUAUUUCUCUCCCUAUGUCUUUCACUCUCAAUCUUCUUGUCUCUCUUUUAUUCUAUUCUUCUUGUGCUAUUUCUCUCUUAACCCCAAUUCUACACUUUCUCCAAAUUUACCUCUGACUUGGUAUUAGAGCACUCCUUAGCAUCAUGUGCGUCUCAGAUAGUACUCGGGCUCAAGAAACCAAGAAAAUUGAGGAAGUGGUAAAACAAGAAACACAAAGUAGUUGCAGAUGUGGAAAAGAAAAUGCAUCUUGAAUUACAAGGCAUCAAGCAAUUGACUAUAAGUAUGGGAAAAACCACGGCAGCUGAACUAACAAUGAAAGAGCAUUGCUUGACUGGACCUCCUAGAGAAAUAAAAGCUGGUACGAGAUGCGUGGACCCAAAAUAGAAUUUCCCAGGUUUGCUGGAGAAAACUUGUAUCGAUGGAUUUAUAAAGCUGAACAUUAUUUUGAAGUGGAAGCUGCACACCAGAAAGUAAGAGUUGCUGCUGUGUAUUUGGAAGAUGAGGCACUAGAAUGGUAUCAAAUGCUCAUGAAGAACAGAGAAAACCGAGGUUGACCUAGGUGGGUAGAAUAUGUAGGUCACCUUCACAUCCAGUUUGGAGAUACAGCUUGCUAUUAUGAUUUGACUAAACUAACUCAAAAUGGGUCCUGAAGGAAUAUUUUAAGGCUUUGACACCUUGGUGAAUAGAAUCCCCACUUUCUUGCUUCCUUGCAGGCUUUCAACCUGUAGUACAAGCUUUUGUAGGAACUGACUGCCAGUGAAUGUUCGACAUGCAUACAGUCUUGGAAGAUUGCAUGAUGAGGUUCUUGCAACAAGACUAUUCUCAGUCCAUAUAUCCAGUCAACCGUUAUAAUCCACCAAAAACCUAUUAAAAAAAAAAACUUUGGUGCCACCUAGAUCCACUUCUUGUGUACCACCAGAAACCAUUCAAAAGCCCUGUUUAUCCAACCAAGAACCCUGUUCUUCCUACCAAACCAGAACGCUGUACCAAUUUACCUAAUUGCGGUGUUGAUCUAUUCUCAGUGGCAAAUACCCAAACAGAACCCUGUAAGUGCUAGAAAAGAAAAGGGUCCAGAGCUUAAGCUAUUUUUGUGAUGAAAAAUACCACAUUAGACACCGAUGAAACACAAGAAAUUAGUGAUGGUGAUAGUGCAUGAACAAGAAAAUGAAGAAGAGACUGACUGCAGUCCCAAAGAGGAGGUUGAAGAACAUAUACAUGUGUACAUUUCUGCUAUCAAUGGCUAUGACAAGCCAUAAAAUACCACCACUGCAAUGAGGGUAACUGGUACUUAUGGAAAAAAAGUCAUUAAAUAUUCUGGUUGAUUCGGGCAGCAGCCAUAACUUUCUAGAAGCAUGGACUGCAAAGUACUUGGGACGCAAAAUCAGUCCUACAAGAGCAAUGCUGGUAGAAGUAGCAAAGGGGCUAUGCAAUUGAAUGAAACACCUGCUGUAAAGAGUUCACAUGGAAGAUGCAAGGAAAAGAGUAUGUUGCUGAAUAUUUUAUCAUUCUGUAGGAGGAACAGAAAUGGUGCUAGGAAUCAAGUGGCUGUAUUUAUUGAACAACAUAGCCUGGAAGUUCAAAAGAAGGAAGAUGGGUCAAGUUACAAGGACAAUCAGAGGAGAACAUCCAAGAAAUACCCCAAGCAAAAAUAUCCAAACUGCUUCAGAAAUAAAAAAUACAGUGCACCUUUACUUUGUUCAUGUUUUCUCUACAAAUUCAGACUUGAAUUAGAAAAAAUCUAAGCGAGCUGUAGCCAGUUCUAGACUUGUUUCAAGAUGUCUUUUCCGUACCUUGCCUCCUCUAAGGCCACCUGACCACAAAAUUACCUUGACAGAACCCAACAAGACGGUAAACAUCCAUCCCUACAAGCACUAUAGAGAACAAAAAGACACCAUAGAAAAAAUGUUCACAGAACUAUUAGAAUCUGGAGUCAUCAAAAAUAGCAACUGUUCAUUUUCGUCACCAGUUGUAUUGGUGAAAAGAAAGAUGGAACAUGGUGAAUGUGUAUUGACUAGAGGGAGCUCAAGAAAUGGACCGUGGAAAACAAAUUCCCAAUUCCAAUUAUAGAAGAACUCAUAGAUGAAUGAGGGGGAUCCACCAUCUUUCCAAACUAGAUUUAAGAUCUAGUUAUCACCAUAUCCUAAUGGCAGAAAAAGAUGUCCAAAAAAUAACUUCAACACAUGAAGAUCAAUUUGAGUUUUUAGUCGUGUCAUUUGACUUGACUAAUGCACCAUCAACGUUUCAGUUUCUCAUUAACAGUAUUUUCGGACCUAUUUUAUGCAAAUUUGUCAUUUUCUUCCUGGAUGAUAUUUUGGUUUCUAGUAGGUCUUUGCAACACAAACAACAUUUAACAGAAGUGCUCACCAUUCUCUGAACAUGUCAUAUAUUGUUUACUUGUGCACCAGGAAGGAAAUUAGUAUCAAACAAGAAAUAAGUGUCUUUUUUUUCAUCAUUACUGAGAACAUGCUGGAUCAUUGUGUUAGGUUUUGAGAACUUUCUCCACAUCAAACUAAGCUCAUUAUUUAACUAAUUUUAAUUAAUUUGUCAUUGAAUGAUAAUUCUUGUCUACGAUUGACAGGUAGGAUAUCAUCCUGAUUUUGAAGGCUCGCGAUGUUUGUUCAUUGUUCGAAAAGAUGGAGAAUUAGUUGAUUUUUCGUAUUGGAAAUGCAUAAAGGGCCUGAUUAGGAAGAACUAUCCCUUGUAUGCUGAUAGCUUCAUUCUCAGACAUUUUCGCCGGCGUAGGCGGAAUGGGUGAGGGUAAUAUUCUCAAGCUGUCACGCCAUAUUGUUAUUGUAUGAUGUCAAUUUUUUGUUUUGUUCUUAUAUUUUGAAGUGUCUCAUCUCCAUUGGGCAAAAUUAUAUGGUUGUAGAAGCAGUUGUUGCAGAUUCUUGAAGUUGGGAUUCUUGGGGGUAGAAUUAUUUUCCUGGAAGACAAAACCCAAGGCUGACCAACUGGGAUUGGGGUAUUUAAUUCACACCAAAAAGCUCAGCUGUCUUUCACUCACUAUUUUGCUGGAUCUUAAAUGAUAGGGAUAAUAGUUUACUCAUAUUUCACUUUUGCUCAGCUGUUGCUUCUGCAUAUUGGCUGCCUCCCUCUCCACCAUGGUCUUCCCCUCUCUUGCUUUCUGUGUGAUAGAUUUGGUCCCCAGCUACCUCCCUCCCUCUCUGUCUCUCUCUUUUUUUAAUAUUUGCCUCCAAUCAUGCUGAACAUGCCUAUUUUCCAGAGAACUAUUUUAGCUCAAAUGUUUGUGGCUUUGAAGUCAAGAGGUUGGCCCGAAUUCUUUCUUCUGUUAGGAAUAUUUUAUGAGAACAAACUGCCUAUCUCCAGUUUAUAAAUUAAAAUACAAUUGUGACAUGGAUACAUUUUCCUUCUUAACAUGGAUAGCAAAUGUUAGCUGCCUAUGUGAGGUGGUAAUUAUUGACUGAGACUAUAUUUUUUAACAUCAGGUUUGCAUGAUUCAGAAAAAAAGAAAAAAGGAAAAAGAAAAAAAGGAGCAGAUUUAUAUGGGGAAAAUUUAUUUUUAUGAUAUUUUCUCUUCUAAAGCAUGCACUGUCUCUUUUAGGGGGAAAAGAAAUUGUUUUGUUUCGCUAGGGUAAUUAUGAGAAUUAGGAGGGUUCUAUAACUUAAUUUGUCAACGCCACAGCUUCCGAAACUCUUCCUAGCAGUAGAUGGUACCGUUACCCAUGUUCUUUACGUAUAGACUAGGUUCUUUAUAAUAUAAAGCUCUACCAGCAUCCUUAAAGAUAGAAAAAGUCUGUCCUAACUCCAUAAACCUGACUUUACUAACUUAUAAUAUUAAUUGACCUGAUCACUUAUCGAAUAACUUGAACAUUGAAGAACUCAAUAAGUAAAUGAGAAUCUAAGCAGUCUAAUGCUAAAAAGACUUCUUAUUUGAAGACUCAGAAACCCAAAAUAUUACUGAAAUCCGAUAAGAUUGAUUCUCUCUUUCUAAAAAAGACUAUAAAUGUAAUCACAUCUCAAACCUAUAGACAACAUAAUUUCACAUGAGAUGCAGAAAGACCUGGAAAUUAAUAAUAAUCCGAAUAGAGAACCCAAUUUCCAAGUGAACAAGAAAUUGAAUUUUAACAUAAGAAACUUAUUUAGUGAUCCAAUGAGUUGAAUGACUGGAAACUUGAUAUGAGCAGAACCUGGUAUGAGUCUAAUGGAUUUGGUAUAUCUACAUUUUGGUGGGAUGAAGUGAUUGAUUCACUCAGCAUUUUGCUUCCAGAUUAUGAAGUUCUUAGGUGUAUCUCCAGGGAUUUGAACAUACUUUUGUAUCUACCGGUUCAGUGGAAACCGAACUUGAGAGGGACGCUAAUAGUUCUGACAAGAUUUGUGAUCAGUAAUCAAAGAUUAAUAUCUUUUUUUAUUAAAAGAUCAAUGAUUAACAUUUUGAAAGGAUAUUAAUAUGAUAUCCUGCAAGUCCUAGGAUAGGAAGCUAUGUACAUAUAUGUAAAUAGUUUAUUCGUGAGUUAUGAGAUACAUUUGGGAGUAUAGUGGUUUAUAUUUUUUUUUAUAGAUGAGGAUGAGGCAGGGUUAUGUUUAGAGCGUCCGCGUUUUUCCUGAACUUGCAGGUCCGGCUUGAAUCUAAGCUUUUGUUUAUAAGAUGUUUGCACAUGGUCUUAAAUUCAUCAAACUCAGAAUCCAAUUUACUAUUUCUUGAUUCCUCCAGAAAAAAAACAUAAAUAAACCUAAAAUUGUUGGAUUGUCCUCGUGAUCCUCAACACGUGGAUGGUGUAAUUGCUAAAGUUGCCUCCAAUAAUUUGUUCGACAGACAGGGUUAUUAUAUCCUUUGGGUGAUAUAAAUAUAUGGGUAGACACGUGUUUGUCUUGAUGCAAAAAUCCAAACCAUCUUUGUUGCAACCUAAUGGAAUCAUACACAAUGCACAAUAAUACAAGUGAAAAAGCUUACACUUCGACAAAAGUACAGAUGGUGAAAGGAGUUUUUGUCUUCUUCUAACAUCAAUAAGAUCUUCAACUUCCCACUUAGGAGUUUGGAUGAAAAGGACGAGUUACCUUCAAUAUUAGGGAAUUCAUACCAGACUCAGUCUGAUUCCCUUUUUCCUUUUUUAAAAAGUACAAGAUAUUUUUAUCCACUUCCAAUCUCUUCAACAAGAUAAAUAUUAAUUAUCGUUUCCAAUUCAUUGUGUGAAAAGUACAGCUUGUAGCAGCCCCAUCAUUCUAUUGACUUUAAACCCAAGGAACCCUUAUCCUGUUUACUGGUAGAAGUUAGGUGAAAGUCAGAGAGAAAUUUCAAAUCAAGACUUUAAACACUAAAUAUAUUUUAAGAAAGAAAAAGCAAGACUGUAUUGUCAUCUUAAUAAAAAGUCAACGGUCUUGCUCUGUAAACAGGAAGGUAAUUUACACAUGGGAAUGACAGGAAAGAGGAAGGUAAACAUAACACCAAGAAUUAUAGUAGUAAAAUAAGUUUUCUUUUGUCAGCAAAUGUGAUGUAAUUGCAACUGAAUCCAUAUAUAUAUAUAUAUAUAAUUGGUUAUAGAUGAACACAAUCCCCUAAAUUUUUAGGUUAUUAUCUUUUUAUUCUUUUUAAUUUUAUUUUAAAUGUAAUUAUCUUAAAUUUUUGUCAUUACAAAAAUUAUGUAUGGAUUAGACAGGUUCUUAUUUUAGAUAGAAAGUGGUCCGUAACUGAUAAUUACGAACAAAUUCUAGUGACAAAAUUUCAAAUCUUCUUUUAAUGUAGUAACAGAAUGAAAAGGUUACAAAACUAAAGUGUAUAAUAGUUGCAACACAAGUUUAAAGAUAUUAUCUGUUUUGAUAUCAGCUUUUACUAUUCUCAAAGAUUUUCUCAAUAACAACAUAUUAAAUCUUGCACCCAAUAAAAGAUUUGACAACAUAUUAAUUCUUUUGUCAUUUGGAAACGAAGAAAAAUUGCUAAGUGGUUGUGUAUGCUGAUGUUAAUGAAACAAAAUAUAUGUUAGUCCUAGAUAGAAGGGCAUGAGCUCAACUCAUUUAAUGGAUUGGAUUGACUGACCUCACAUGUAUAGAUUCUCCUAUUUUAGUGUAAAUUUUAACAUAUGGUGAUCUAAUUCUGUUGACCACAAAAUUUUAUUUAUAUAUACACAUAUAUAUAUAUGUGUGUGUGUGUGUGUUUGUAUAACCAAGCUUACUUAGUGAAUUACUUUAUGCAAUCAUAGAUACAAUAAAUAUAUAAAUAGAUUAAAUAUUUUUAUUCUUAUUUUUUCAAAUUGGUGUCGACAGAUUUUGUUUUAGUAAAAAUUUUAAUAUGUCAUCUUAAAGUAAAAGUAAAAUAAAAUUAUAAUUCACCAAAAAAAAUAUAUGUAUUCAUACAUAACUGAUAUCUAGUUUAACAUAUUUAAAAAAAAAAAGUAUGUUAAUGAGAAUUAUGCAUCGUGCAAUUAAUACUUGAUAUGACAUUAAAAAUUGAUAGAUUUAAUGAUAAAAAUUUCAGUUAAAAAUUUUAAUUUAAUAGAGUUAAGCAAUAUUUAAUACUACAAUCUAAUAUUUAACUUUAACAUCAUGUUAAUAGAAGUAAUGUGUCGUUUUUUAUAUAAUUAAUAAACAAAUUUUAAAUUAUAAAAAAAUAAUAAACUGUAAUUUACGAAUCUCCUACCUAAUCAAUAUAAAAAAAAAAACACAUACACACGCAAUCCAAUUGUUCUUGAGAGUUAGCAUAGAAUACAAACUGUAGUUAAUUAUGUUAUGAAUGUAAUAAAAAAUACUCUUUAUAUAAUAAGACGACAAUCAAAUGAUCAAGCAUAAACCGACGCUUGCUUUACUACAAAAGAAGUGUUUGUGUUUGGUGUAAUGAAAGUAACAUAUUGAAUGGCACGCAUCAAGAUUCAAUAAGGUGUAGAUCAUGUAGAUGUGGAGUAGUUCCUUCUAAUCAUUGCUUGCUCCAAAGUUAAGAAGCAAAAGAUAUAAACUUACAUGAUCUUGAACCAAUGUGACCCAUGAUAUUGAACCAAUGUGACCCAAUAAUUAUUAAGUGUGUUUACAUAAGUAAAAAAAAGUGACCAAGUUGAAGGUAAUUGACUUUGUUUAAUCUCUUACGAGUUUAUAUUUAGAUAGUUAAAAAAAAUGGUAGAGUUGUUUGGAUCGUUGAUUUCAAAAAAAAAUUUAAUAAAAAUAUUUAAUUUUAUUUACACACAAAUAUAUUGUAUAAAGAAUAGUUAACGUAAUUUUUUUUAGAACUAAAAAAAAAUGUUAAAUUCUUAUUUAAUACUGCAAAAGUUGAAAAUCAGUUAAAAAGAUAUUAAAAAUUAGAGAUUAAAACUAAAAUAUAGCUCAUUAUAAGUUAAUUAUUAAAUUUAAAAUACUAAAAUUUAUUUAGUUAAUAUAAGUAUUCUUAAGAUAAAAUUAUCAAUACGAUAAUUUAGUAGUUAAAAUUUUUAUAUUUAAUUUAAAAAUUAAGAAUUUAAAUCUUAUUAAAUAUUUAAAAUUCAUUACUUUACAAGUGUAUUAUACAGUGAAAGAUAUCGAUCCAUAAUAUUGAUUCAGUGAGAUUUAAAAUUUAAUUUAUUAGUAUAUUAGUAAGAUUACAGUGACUAAUUUGAAUUUAAUUUCAGUGAAUUAUGAUGUAUUUAAAUAAAAAAAUAUUUUGUAAUAAUUAAAUUUUAUUAAUUAGUGAACAUUUUUAAUUUUUUUAAAAGAAAAAUAAUAAGAUGGAAAAAGAAAUUAAUUAAAAUAGGAAUGAUUGGUUGAAUUUGGAUAUAGAAUUUGAUCCAAUAGUGUUUAAUUGGAUUUGCAAUUUUGAGAUAUAAAAAAACCAUACAAAGGAUAAUAUCUAAUGAUUAAUUAUGCCCAACCAACGACACUCGCCGCCCAUUACUGUUACCGUUGAUUGUCCGCAAAGCAACGUGGACCGAUUGGAUUUCUUCCACGUAAUCUAAUCCGGUUGGCUGAAUUUCGCAUCUCGAACUCCUCCCUCGUCCUAAUUGGUCCACGUACCCUCUUAUUAAUUGUAAUUUAUUAUUUAAUAUAAAAGCGAGGAAUUAGGAAGAGACGGGUCACACUGGUGCCUCCAGGCUCCAUCUUCCACCAACCAAGCCCUAAAAAGCCGAGAACCCAUUAAAAAUCUCACAAACUUCCACUGUCACUCUUCCUCUCCCCCCUUUUAUUUUGAACUUCGGAUGUAUGUAUGCAUAUCCUUUUCAAAUUCGGAAAUCCUUUUGGUUUAAGCAGUUUAAUCUGUUAUCCAAACAUAUCAAUUUGGUUGCCUUUUGUUUUCUGAUAUUAUUUUGAUUAUCUUGUAAUCAUUGGAUUGGAUCUGGUUCCACUCAUUUGAGGGAAUGGGUUCAUGUUCAUGUUUUUCCCGUGACUUCGUCUCCAAAAUGUUGUAAGUUGGGUUUUUGGAGCCGUUAAGUUCAUCGCCUUGCUGAGAUUUGCUUGCUUUUGCUAUGGAUUUUGAUUGGAUAUAACAGUGUUGACUUCUCGCUGAUUAUCAAUACCAGGCUUCAAUCAACUUCUUUUAUGCUAUGGAUCUCAUUGGUUUGUUUGGAUUUUAAGAAUCUUAACGCAACGGGACUCGUUACUUCAAUUUCUACCUCAAAUUAAGCUUUCGGUACUACUGUUCGAUUCAGAUUUUACAAAAAUGGCAACUAAUUUCAACUUGAAGAACUUCGGUAACGAACCGCUUGCCGACGGCGGCACUUCCGGUAAUAGACCGCUGGCCAAUGUUCCCUUGACCCGUCAACCAUCCGUCUACUCAUUGACUUUCGACGAGUUCCAAUCUACCAUANNNNNNNNNNNNNNNNNNNNNNNNNNNNNNNNNNNNNNNNNNNNNNNNNNNNNNNNNNNNNNNNNNNNNNNNNNNNNNNNNNNNNNNNNNNNNNNNNNNNNNNNNNNNNNNNNNNNNNNNNNNNNNNNNNNNNNNNNNNNNNNNNNNNNNNNNNNNNNNNNNNNNNNNNNNNNNNNNNNNNNNNNNNNNNNNNNNNNNNNNNNNNNNNNNNNNNNNNNNNNNNNNNNNNNNNNNNNNNNNNNNNNNNNNNNNNNNNNNNNNNNNNNNNNNNNNNNNNNNNNNNNNNNNNNNNNNNNNNNNNNNNNNNNNNNNNNNNNNNNNNNNNNNNNNNNNNNNNNNNNNNNNNNNNNNNNNNNNNNNNNNNNNNNNNNNNNNNNNNNNNNNNNNNNNNNNNNNNNNNNNNNNNNNNNNNNNNNNNNNNNNNNNNNNNNNNNNNNNNNNNNNNNNNNNNNNNNNNNNNNNNUCCAGUGGUUAUGCAACUCAGAUGCCUUACAAAGUAGCCCUCAUUUGCAAGUCCUGGAAUGAGGAGCGGAAUAGUGGGAAUCGGAAAUCAAGGAAUGACUAGUAAUUUGGUUCAAAAUGUUACACUGCAGGGUCGAGCCAUGGGAGUGGUUGGUUUAGGAGUUUCUCCCGGUGCUGCUGCUGCAGGGUCUCCUGCAAACCCAGCUGUCAUCAAAUGGAAUUGGUAAGAAUAAUGGAGAUACAUCUUCUGUAUCGCCUGUCCCUUAUGCCUUUAAUGGAGGUUUUAGAGGGAGGAAAUGCAGUGGGGCUGUGGAGAAAGUUGUUGAGAGGAGACAGAGGAGAAUGAUAAAGAACAGAGAAUCAGCAGCAAGGUCUCGGGCACGUAAGCAGGUUAGUAUUCGUUUAGCCCAUACCUAUUUCUUUUACUUUUGAUUAAUGUUCUGGUGGAGUACUUUCCAUAUUAUAAAAUUUUUGAACCGAACCUGGGCACCAAUCCAUGUAAUGAACUCUUGUAUUGUGGAUCUAAUUUAAUAACUUAAAAAUGAAGAUAUUUAGCAAGAAACGAAAAAGAAGUCAUGGAGAGUACAUAGGAAUGAAAUGCAUUCGUCAAAUCAACCAGUAAUUUUCCAUCUUGCUUUAUGCAUAUGAAUUCUGUUGAACUGUUCAGACUCAUUCUUGACGAAAUAAAUCUUUCUUCAGUGUCUUCAAUUGGAAGGCAGUUAAUAAGCUCUUGUCUUGGAUCUAGGGACUUGUUUCAUAUAUUAAAAAACAAACAAAAGGAACAAAAAAUCCUAUGGUAUUUGACUAUCUAACAAAAGAUCCUAUGGUAUUUAAUUAUCUCUGAACUAGUCUGUGAGACAUUAUGCUGGUUCUCACUUAAAGAAGGUUGAAGCUUGGAUGUAGUUUGAUGAAUAAUUCCAGCAGUUAACCUGUUUUUUGGGUCCAUAGACAUGCAUCCUAGAAGUUUAAUGAAAAAAUAUCGAGAAUGGGGAUGGGAUAGCAGUCUGAAUGGCAAUACAGAGAUCCUGAGAGGUCAAGAUGAUACGAAGUUAUAAGAUCCACCCAAGAUAAUGAUAAAAGUGACUCAAGGAAAAUGCCAGCACAUGGAAGUUGUAUCAGCUUCCAAGGCAACGACUUAUUAAGCUCAAUAACCUAGUUCUUAAUGCAUUCUGAAAAAUGCAUUAAGGUUAACAAAUAGAAGUUAUUGUACUUUAUUCAGAAAAUAAAUAGUUUCUUCAGAGUCAGUCUUUGGAUACACAAUUGAUGGUCUUUUAUCAUCUUCUUCCCUGAUGGUCUCUUCCAGGCUUAUACCAUGGAGUUGGAAGCAGAAGUUGCUAAGUUAAAGGAGGAGAACGAAGAAUUGCAAAAGAAACAGGUAAUUUUUGUGGUAAAGAAACUACUGUAAGCAGCAUGCCUCUAUUAUAUAUCUCUGAUAAAUUCACGUACUCAUUUCUGUUUUGCAGGAAAAGAUUAUGGAAAUGCAGAAGAAUCAGGUUUUGUCCCUUUCUUUUUCCAAUCACUUUUCAGGUUAUUCAUGAUAUAUAAAUAUUUGUUUUAUGUUCAUUUGUUGACGAUGUUCAUCAGCAAGACAUUGUUCUACACUUUCAUGUUUAUCUGUUUCCAACUAUGGAGAGAAACUUCUUAUUUUUUUGGAUUCAAAAGCAGAGGAAACUGAGAGUUAUUAGUGGAGAUAUUUCUGUUACUUUUACUAACAUAUACACCAAGAGAGUGCAAUUGCAGCUUUAGAAAUCUCUCAAAAUGUUGACUAGGUCUCUUAAAUCUUGUAAGUAUAAAGAGGGUGAUAAAAAGACAUAGCUUUGGAGCCAAACUCUUAUGGUCUUAGUCUCCCUCUUUUCAUUCUGUGAAGCUAUAAUGUCGUAUGAUGUAUACAUUUGUCUUCCGCUUGUGAACAUGUAACUUCUAUGAGGUGGAAGUGAGUGCAAUCUUGGAGCAGAACUGGGUAACAGAUUAUUUAAUAGAAAUUAAACUUGGAAGGCUAUAUCAUGACCAAAAGAGGUAAUGGUGUUGAUGACCUUAAUUAGGCAAAAGAUUACAUCAUUUAAUGGAACAUGUAAUCAAAGGAAUAGGAAAGCAAUCCAGACUUGAUCCUCUUAUGGUCUUGUUCUCCUUUUUCAUUCUUUGCUCUCCUCCUUCAAUAAACAGCUUAGAAUCAAAUACUCAUGUCAUAUCGCCUAUACAUCACAAAUAGGCCUAGAAAUUAAUUGAGUCUUGUCACUGACGGUCUAAUUUUCCUGCAUCUGCUGAUACUGUAGGUGUUAGAGAUGUUGAACGGACAGCGCGGAUCUAAAUUGCGGUGCUUGAGACGAACACAGACUGGUCCAUGGUAGAGGGUCCUCAGAUUGAGAUUGUGUAUGAUAGGUAGCUGUACAUAUUACGGCAACAAUGUAGAAGCAGAGGUUUUAGGUGGCGUAGAAGAAGCUUUCUAAUAUUUUGGAAUCUACUCGGUUCUAUGAUUGAAAGGAUUAGAUAGGGAAGGGAAGCUACAUACAUAUGUUUUGCUUUAGAUUCACGUGAUAUAUGAAUAGGAGAACAUCCAUGAAUCCAAUUCUGGAUGUUACAUUGCUCUGCUGAUGGGCAUAGGCCAGAAUCACAAAUUCUUUAUCAUCUAAUUAUGUAACAGAAGGAGAGAAAAAAUGAAUGUUGAGACAGGUGUGCAAUGGUUGUUUGUGUCUAUUGGAGAUGUAUACUGGUAAUAAACGUUUUGAAGAAUUAUGAUUACGAUUGUCCAGCAUACGCCAAACCCAUCUUCAUCCUCUCCUACAUCCUUAUUCCGUACUGUAUCUUAUAUUUCAUUUACUCCCAAUUAAGUCAACAACUAUAACCCACCACUACCAUCUUUCACGUACUCCCCCAUAACUUAUUAUCCCACUUAACAUUGCAUCUCCCCAACUCUGAGAAAGUGAAUUUCAUGAAUUUUUUUUUAAUCACAAUUAAAUUUAUAAAAUUAUUUUAUUUCGUAAGACUUUUUAUACAACUCCAAAAAUUUUGACGAAAAAUAAACUUUUACUUUUAUUUUAACUUUAAUGAAAGUUCAAAGUUAUACCUAAAAACAAGGUUAACAAACUUAAUAAAAAUAAUUAUUUUUUCAUUUAAAUAAUAAAAAAUGAUAAUAACAUUAAAGAAUAACAGUCUACAAUAACUAUUUUGUUUUUAUUUUUUAUUUUUUGUAGAAAAUUUUAUUUAAAAAAAGAUAUGUUCGUUAUAACAAAAAAUAAAAAGUAAGAUUAAAUUACAACAUAAUCCAUAUUUCAAAAUUUACCUCACCUUUUUUUAGCGAAAAAUAUUUUGAAUAAGCAGAAUUUUGAUUACAGACAUAAUUACUUAAUCUUUAAUAAAAGAUACUUAAAUAUUUAAGUAAUUGAAGUGCCUUACUGUUAACCUGAGAAGGAUUGGAAAAGAAUUGCCCAGAUAGGCUGCACCACAGUUUUAAACGACAAACAAAUAUCUGAAUCUGGGAGUUCAACGGGCACACAAGGAAAUUUCUUAGCUCUAACAAGUUUGAGACACUUCAGCCAUUCCAUCUGACAAGCACUACUCUAGUGGUUCCAAGCUGGCACGAUGAAUUCUGAGAUCCAUAUUUGCAGGGAGUCAAAAUUUCAGACCAGUCCUCCCAUUACAGAAACAAAGUGAAACUAUGCGGGUCACUAAUUAAGGUCAAACAUAUAAGAUCAUAUCAUGCAAGCUGCAUAUCAAGCAACUGCAGAACCUAGAAACAGCUGGAUAUAAUCAGUUUCGAGAUUAUGUGUAUCCCUAAUAAACUUCUAAAGUGCAGGGAAUUAAUAUUGUUUAAUUCUAGCAUGGAAACCCUGAGGCACAUUCCGUGUCCUUCCAUGAUAUCAUUCUCCUUCGAUCUCUUCCUCUAAAUGACCUAGCAAGAAGCUUACCACUAACUGGCUUACAUAAUCCAACAUCAAUCACUGAACUACUCUUUUUCACUUCAGAUGAUGGGGAACCGUCAUCCAUGUAAUAGUCAAACAACAUUGCAAGACAGCGCAGUUGAUGAGAUAAUAUAUAGUUCUCUUGAUCUACAGAUACCAUCUUUAACAUAUGAAGAUUGACCUACAUGACACAAAGGAGAAUCAGAAUAACUAAUAUAUGUUGAAGAGCUUAAUAAUAAAAAAAGAAAAGGUCAAAUCAACCAGACAAAGGAAAGUAAUUUUAGCAGGAAACUGUCAAAAAGCAAAAAAAAGAAAGCAAAGGGAUCAAUCCCUCUUGCAAUCCGAAAAUGACAGGACAGUUGGGAUAAGAGCAAUCAUAUAUCAAAACAUCAGAUUAUAAGCAAUUGCAUUGAAGCAUUUCCAGCGUUCAGUUUUUGCAAAAUGCUUGAAAAUGUGAUGAGAAAAGUAAUUCAUCAUGUACGUUGUUAUAAUAUAGCUAUGAUAUUCUAUCUGUGAAUUACCUCUGCUUCCAUUGAACGGAGUUCAUUAUAUCCCCCAGAGUUAUUGCUGUCAUCAUAAUCUUCUUCAGAACAAGCAUGGAGACUCAAUGCCAAAAGAGGAGGCCUCAGGGGAUACUCCCUGCUGAUCUUGAUCUGCCAGAGAGAUGCUAUGUCAAAAUUCCAGGUAGUCAAUGAGUGAUCAGAAUAUGAAGUUAAUGACAGCACUAAUACUACCUUUGCUUUCAAUUUCACAUCCUUCUCCUUUGCAUCCAUUUUCCUGGAUAAAGUAAGAUAGUAUUCUCUGACCCCAUAGUCCAUCCAUGAAUUGUCAGCUCUUUCAUGAAAUUCACCAGAGCCUGCAUUUUCUAUCUCCACCUCACUUGGUGCUGGUUCAUCUAGAUCACAAUCAAUAUCCAGCAUGAGAUCUGAGUCAUCAUAUUUCUUGAAACUCUGUGAUUUUCCCAGGGGAGAAAUAGUGCUCUUUGAUAUUAAAGUCAAUUGCCUGGAAUGCUCCAGGUUAGGUCCUUUGUUUGGAUUGAGUUUAAUAUCAUUUGCAGAAGAUGCAAAUGAAACCAAAGAGGGAAGCUCCCCGUCUUCCCUUGCACCUUCUGCCUCUUCCCUUGAUGGACCAGAUCUUCCAUCCAUACCAACAUCUACAGGUUCCUGUGACUGUUCGAUGCUAUUGACAGGCAGAGAUGAAAUCUGAUUACAUAGGGGCCCUAUGGCUGACCAUUCAUACAAACUGCAUAAAGGAGUAUGCAGUGCCCAUGGAACACUUUCAGAAUCCAGAGCAGGCCAUUUUAGCUUUGUAAGUAAAUCAAGCUGUUCCCUGUAGUUCAAUAAAAGAAGCCCCAAUUUUCAAUCAUAAAACACACAUCAUCAAGGACAAAUGCGGUUCUAGAAAAGCUCCAGCAUUAGUAUUAAUAAUGUGCCCACAGAAUCGACGCAGCAAAACCACAUAUCAUAAUCUAGCAAAGAAGNNNNNNNNNNNNNNNNNNNNNNNNNNNNNNNNNNNNNNNNNNNNNNNNNNNNNNNNNNNNNNNNNNNNNNNNNNNNNNNNNNNNNNNNNNNNNNNNNNNNNNNNNNNNNNNNNNNNNNNNNNNNNNNNNNNNNNNNNNNNNNNNNNNNNNNNNNNNNNNNNNNNNNNNNNNNNNNNNNNNNNNNNNNNNNNNNNNNNNNNNNNNNNNNNNNNNNNGAAAACGACAGAGCAGUGACUCACACAAGAGCCAGCUGAGCCUUUUUCGAGAGCGAAUUCUUUGCACAACUGUCUGUACCCGGUUCUGCUGGCGAUACAAUUGCAGACCAGAUACAACAGUGUCACUUUUGGCACUCUCAGUGCUAGGUUCUUGGCCAGUAAACAAUGGUGGGAGCUCGGGUAAAAAAUCGAUUCCUGCCAAAUGCUGAGCCCACUUAUAAGGUCGGGAAACUCUGUUUUCAUCAAAUGCUGGACCAUCACCAACAAGGAGCUUUGCUGACUGCAUUUAUAACCAGAAAAUUUUUAUCACGGAAUAGAAAAUCAAACAAUAAGAUGCAAGUUAGGAGAGGAGAUAUGGGUAUAAAGGAAAGGAAAUGUAUACACAUUCCAUACCUGAUGAGGAAGCUCAACACCCAUGUCAUCAGGAAACAAGUUGCAUAAUAUAUCGUUUUCAGAUCCUUCAAUUGCAACACAUACAACAUUCAACUUUGACAUGUAUUCGAACCUCAAAGUGAUGAGUUUUACAGACUUGGGAUCAUACGCCUCAUCAUCAAAUAUGUGAAGGAGGACCUUAAGUGGGUGAACUUGAUAUACUCUUGACUGAUCGAUACCCUCCUUGCUUGAAAUCCUUUUUGGACGUUUUCUCCUUCUCUGGCCAUCAUCUUCUUCAUCAGGUGCAUCAUCCUCCAAUCUGGAGCUCUCUACACUGGAAGAUAGGCCUGGACCAAAGAAAAGGCCUUCGUUGGUUAGUUUUGAAAUUAUAUCAUGCAGUGGUCAAUGAAGUGAAACAUUAAAUACCACAGAACCUGAGUUAAAUUCCAAGACAAGUUGAUGGAUUAAAGUACUCAAGAUCAAGAAAGAAACGGUAACUUGAAUGACUAACCCAAAACAAUCUCAUUGUCAACUAAACGUAGUCAAUUGUCCUAACUUGAUACUUACAACAACUGAAUAGACAAGUUAAUUGUGGAUUGAUUUUCCAGUAAAAUGGUAAGGUUAGCAUUGCUGGUGGCAAGAUCUAGCUCUAACUCACCAGGAUCCUUAUUUGCUUGCUGGCGGGCUGAAGCUUGAGCAUCCUUCAAACUCCCCACAAUUUCCAGCUCAAUAUUUUCUCCAAAUGCUUCUUUUUGUGCCAACAACUGUGAGUAGAGAACGUAGAGUGGAGGUGGAAGCAACUCAGUGGAAUGGUGCUGCUUUAGUUUCUUAGUGUGCAGGAGGCCCAACUGGUUCUGUACUGGCAAGGAUGCUUUCUUAAGAGACUUGAGGUGUGAAGGAAGAGUUGACAGGAACUUUUUCCGGCUUGCAAUAGUUUCCAGCAGACUUUUCUUGUGUUGUUCCAAUCUUGCACGAAGUUUACACAGUUCUUUGCGCUGAAAAAUAAAAAGAUUUUAAGUAUUUCCAUGUCCCAAGCUUUCUGUUUCAGCAUAUUAAAGAAAGGAUGAGAAAAAACGAUAACAAAACCAGUAGAACCAGAAAUUGCUUUAAUAACAACUCGACACUUAAAAAAGCUUGUGAAGAAAAAACUGAAAUCCGAAGUUCAUCCCUGGCAUGUUCAACCCUCUUGUAGAUGAAAAGAAAAAGGGACGCAAAGGGAGUGGUAAGUGCUUGCUAACAAGAGUUUCUCGAAAAGGGUAGGAAACCAGUGGUUAAAGAAUGUUUCAGUUUCUAUAUUUGUUGAAGACAACUUAAUCUAUUAUGCGGAUCCCCGAAGUUUGGAGCAUGCUCUUUUUCGUUUUUGUCUACAACAAAAAAGCAUCUCGUACGUUAGAACUAUCAUGAGUGCCAAAAUUCAAAAGCUUCCAUCUUGUAUUGCCACUUCGUUUGUCCCAAAGUAUCCUUGUCAUGAAAAAGUAGAAUUUUGCAAAACAAGUACAGAGCUUCCAAAGAAAAAGAAAAAAAAAAAAUCGAUGAAAUUGACCAGCUACCUGGUAGAGCUCAUAAUUAAGCCUCUUUAGCAUCAGAUCAUGCGAAAUGUCACUGGACAGCUUUUGCCCUUUAAUAUCUUCAGGUGCAUCCCGCAAAAAUUCUUCUUCAGGCACAAGUUCGAUAUCAGGAUACUUCGAUUUGAAAUCUUUGCAAGCCUUUAUAGCUUUAACAUAGUGACUCUUCUCAUACAUUAAAUUAUGAAGCUGCAGAGUCGUGAGAUCAACAGGCGCUUUUGCACGCUCUGUUUCUGCCUUAACACGGUCCUCCUGUAGCAAAAUCGACCGAUUCGCCUGCAACAGAAUCAUUGAGGUAUAAAAAUGCACCAACAUUCCAAUAAUUCCAGAAACCUAAGUUUUCAAUAAUAGCGGGUGGAAAAACCUAGGGUAGAGAGAGAUAGUAAUGCUACCUGACGUAGAUUAACGAAAUUAAGGAACAUUUGCGUAAGGAUUUCUUUGAGCUCGGAUUUGGGUUUGCCCUCUUUCUUCAUAGCAAGCAUUUUGGCCACAAUCUUUUCGACUGAAGCUUUGCUAUCUCGAAGCAUAUCAUAUGCCGAUUUCUCUAUCUUUGGCGGUGGAGGCGCUACCUGCUCAUCAUCUUCUAUCACCAUCCCUUCCUCUAUCUCGUCGUCUUCCAUUAUCUCCGUUCCUCUCCGCACUCAGCUUCGUCUCGCUGUGCGUGGAAAGGACAAGAAGGGUUAUUGAAAGUUCACAUUUUAGACAGCGUUACAAAACGGUGUCGUGUCUAUUUCGCUUGCUUUGCCGCCUGGCCAGCUUUGAGUCACUGUGUAAAACGACAUCGUUUUCCUUCGGUCGUUUUGGUGAUCCUUGAUAUAGUGGCUGCAGACAGAGGUGGAGUCUGUUGCUUAAUGUUGACCUAAAUUUGAAGAGAUCAAUGGGGACGGUUGAACUGGAAAGCGAAGCUCCUGCUAUCAAGAAACUGGGCUCCCUCUUCAAGCUCACUGAAGUACACUUAUGGUAACCUUCCUUCUAUAUAUCAUUAGUCACCUUUUCGUUUCCUUAGUAAGACAGAGUUGAACGAAUAUUUAACGGAAUCUAUCUCAUGAAUUCAAUCUUUAAAGCACCGAAGUUUAUACAAUCAAAAUCUCUUCCUUUAUCUGCUGUGCUUUGGUGGCUUAACAGGGAUGAUGGUUCAAAGGAAACGCUUGAAGUGUCGCGCUUCGCUGAACGCAAUGUUAGUUUCCCUCUUUCAACACUCUCAACGGAGUAUUUCCAGAAUAGUUUGCUUUUAUCUUGUAUUUCCUCUCAUUCACCCAAGUUCUUUUGUAUAAUACAGAAACUACCAGAUGACGGUGAUUGUGUAACUUCAGACAUCGUUUUUCCAGAUAUUGGCAAGUAUUCCAGUUGUUUUUGCUUCAUCUUUUACCACUUGAUGCUUGCCUGGCAUUUUAGAAAUACAUUUUUGCUUACGAUAUUCUAAGGCUUGCUUACCUUCUUUUUGAGCUUAGAUUGUCCUGAGGAUAUGGAAUUGAUAAGAGAGAUGGAUGAGUUGGGGCUUCCUCGUUCAUUUAACACUAACAAGGAGGUAAAAGUUGGAUAAUCUUUACUUAUUACAGGUAUUUAUCUAUUUAGGUUUCAAAAGGUUGCAUAGUGAACUUUAUUAAUUGUUCGGAAUGAGGUCGUUUUAUGUUAUUUGGUAGUUUAUCCGCUUUAAUUGUUGCUUUAUCUAUAAUAUUGGCAUUAUUGCAGAGAAGGAAUGGAAUUCGUCAUGGAAAAAGGAAAGGCACGCGCUGGAAGCGGUAUCAUAAUCACAAAGAAACACAUGAUAGACAAAAGGAAUGCCCCAGAGUGAGUGAGGUGGGGAUUGUAUCUCCUUCCGUUUUUCAUGAUAAGAGCAAUUCUUUUUGUUGCAUGUCAAUGCUGGGCCAAGGUGAAUACUCUCGCUAUAAUGUUGCAGUGGAUAUCAAUGAAUUGCAAUGCUGUACUCAGGAAGGAGAAGAUUCAGCUGAGGCGGCUACGAUUGCUUGCAGUAUUGUGAAGGAACAAAUCCCAUAUGGAAUUUCUGAUGAUUUGUCCAAUGAUGGUCAGGUCAUAACUCUCUUCCUUAUGCUGAUUUAUACCCAAGGAUGACAAGGAUAUUGAUGUCAGGAUUAAUUCAGGGGCCGAGCUUUCUUGCAACCAUGUUACAGAAGAACUUGACAGAAGUUCAGUCGAUUCUGAAUGCGUAAAAGGCUCCUUGAUAGAUUGCCAUAAUGAAGGGGGAAAAGUUUGCACUGAAAACAGUGCUGAGAUGUCAACAUUUCAUGAAACAGUUUUACAUGGUGGGAGUUCUGAACUUUCUGGUUAUGAUGACACUUGCAGCUAUAACUGCUACGAGGGAUGUGGAGAUUGGAAGGUAUUUUGGGAUUCUUUCUACUUGAGAAACUACUUCUACAAUGUUCAAACACAAGAAUCUACAUGGUACCUACCCCCAGGGAUGGAACAUCUUGCAGCCAGAGAGAUUAUUGAUAAGUCAAAUGGAACAAUUGCAAAGGUUACCCAAAUGGAUGUCAGUGAAAAUUCGUGUGCUACAAUUUCUUGUCUCAAUGAAAACUCUGCAGAAGUUUGUAAUUUGUAUGCUAAGCCCAAGUCGGCUGAGGUAUUUGUAGAUGAUGACAUACAAGUGGAGCAGCCACACGAGCUUUCAGAAAAAAUUGGACUUGACACUAACAACUCUGUCCCUGAAGGGAGUAUGCCUAUUUUAAGCAGUCACUUGGAGCUGCCAGAUGAACUUAAUGGGAUCAAUAUAAAUCAAACUGAUGAAGCUUUCUUAAGCAUAGUGUCAGAUGACCUGGAGCAUAUUGACUGGUAUUUUUUCCUUAUUCCAGUACCUAUGUGAAGUAACCUGCACCAGUCUUUGUUUAGGUCUCUUUUGCAAUGUUUUUAUCAUGGUAGACUGAGUUUCAUUGUUCAAUUAACUUUGUUAUAUCUGGGGGAAAGGGUGAACCAAUUUGGUGCUUAUGAGGUCUGCUGCAGUGUUUUCAGUGGAUACCGAUAGAUAGGAACUACUAGAUUCUUUUCUGCACACAAAUGGAUUUGUCAUCAAAUUACUUAAUAAUAGUUAAGAUUAGUACAUGAUACAUAUUUCCUUGUCUAGAUGUAUCCAGUUCAGCUUAUCUGUGUGAUCCCUCAGAAGCUGGGAAAACUUGGAUUUUGACACUGUCUUGCUUGCAGCUUGUCCCAUACAUCGUAUGAGGCUAUUUCUGAGGUCAAUGGUCAUGCGGAAGAUCAGUUGGUUGCAAAUUGCGACUCUCCUAUGAUGGAAGGGAAAAAGAAGACAAGAAGAUCACGAGUACGAAGUAAAUUAUCUAACAUCAGGAAAGGUUGAAUUUUUUCCAUUUGAUUAUCAUCAUAGUCAAUUAACAAUUUGAUGAUUUAAUUUCUCAUAAUAAAUUAGCCUCUCUAUGCAGAGCUUCAGCUGGAAGGGAUUCUUGAGGAAUAUCCAGCCAGUAUUGGCAAAUACUGGGCCCAGAGAUACCUUUUAUUCUCCAGAUUUGAUGAUGGUAUAAGAAUGGAUGAGGAAGGAUGGUUUUCUGUCACUCCUGAGCCGAUAGCGCAGCAUCAUGCUUCCCGUUGUAGGGGUGGCAUCAUAAUUGACUCUUUUACAGGUGUUGGUGGAAAUGCAAUUCAAUUUGCACAGAGGUUAGUUCCCACUGUCAUUUUUUUUUUAAAGUAUAGUUCCCACUGUCAUAUGACAGUGCUGUGCCAAUCUUCACUUUUAUGGUUUAUUUAUGAUAUGCUGCGGACCUUUGAGGUAAAUAUUUUUGUAUAUAGGUCGCAACGAUUGGUGCUUACUUAAUACACAUUUUCUUUUCUUCUCGGAAAAAACAUGUUGCUGCUCUUUCAGAUUAUUAGGCCAAAUACCAUUAGCAGUAAUCAGUUGAUAGUAAUGGUUUCUUGUAGUAAUGCACUCUUGGUAACUUGGACGAGCACCAUAAUAUGUUAAUGCCUUAUUGGCUUUGAUGGCUGAAUGUAAUUUUUUAAAGCAUUUUAGUUGAAAGUAUAGCUACUUAAUCUCUAAGACAUGCUGAGGAUCAGUAUUAUAUUUAAUUUUUGUUUUUCCUCUUAAAAAUUAUUGAUGGAUGAUGUAGUAAAGUUUAUUCAUUUUCCACUCACUAUGGAUUUAAUAUUGUGAUAUUUCAAGAGAAAGCAUGUUAUUGCUGUUGAUAUUGAUCCAAAGAAGAUUGAUUAUGCAUGUCACAAUGCUGCCAUAUAUGGAGUUCGUGAUCGUAUAGAUUUCUUGAAGGAGACUUCUUCCUGUUGGCUUGUAGUUAAGGUAUUGACGCAGCUUACACUUAGAUAUUAGUUAAUUACUUUCUGAAAAGGAGAUUGUUACUUGACUUUACGAAUAGUACUGAUUUUUNNNNNNNNNNNNNNNNNNNNNNNNNNNNNNNNNNNNNNNNNNNNNNNNNNNNNNNNNNNNNNNNNNNNNNNNNNNNNNNNNNNNNNNNNNNNNNNNNNGGUUUUCCAAGCUUGUUUCUAGGAAAAACAAUAUAGAGAAGGUCAGCAAUGAGAAGGUGGAAGUAAGAUUUUGUAGAAAAUUUACCAUCACUGACUAGCUUCCACAUAAUAUUGUCGUCUCUUGAAGGAUGGAUGAGAGAUUUUUGCAAAACCAAGAAGAGAAGGAUCCAUUCAUUAGCUCCUAAUGAUUGAGAUUAAGGAGGAUAGGGACAUUCUACUGGGUUCUGAUAUUGUACACAAAAAACAGUCCCCAAUAUUGCCCUCCACGAAUCUGCUGCUUGCAAAUAGGCCAGUUAAGUACUCCUUGAGAGGCACCCCUUCGCACCAAUGGUCAUACCAAAAGCUGCUUGUGUUACCAUUACCCACCUUUUAUAGCUUUGAAACCCCUUAGCCCUGUUCCAUCAAGCCAUAACAAGAUGGACAACACCUUCCACCUUGAAUCGCAUAUUCUUACAUUUAAAUGGUUAGGUGCCACUAAACACCAUUGUCAAGACAACUAAGGGAGUGAUCCAAGAAGAUGCAGGGAAGGGGCAAUUGUUCCUUCUCAUUCUUGAUAAUAUUUUUUUACUAAAAAGAUUAGCUCAUUGUUUUGCCAAUUUAUCAAAUUAUUGCAUUAGCUAACAGAGUCUAUUAAGUCUUAGCAGAUUCUUUUCCUCAUAGAGUAAAUAUCUUUGGAAUUAGGUCUUAACAAAAUAUAUGGUUCCUUGCUCUGAGAAAUAAGCAAACCAGAAAUGACAGCUGUUCUUUCUCGGAAAGAGCAAAAGCUGUUCCUGUCUCCUAACAGUGAAACAAAAGAUUAAAUUGUUGAAAAUUCUAAAAUUAACAGAGGAAUCUUCAACUCUGAAGAAGCAGCAAGCCAAUUUCGGAAAAAAAAAAGCAGCUCAAAUAUUCAUUUUUUUAAGAGGGAAAGACAAACUAUAUGAAACUAUGUUGCUCCAAUCAAAAAGAAAGAAACAAAACAAUUGCUAUCACAAACACAUUCGAAAAUCAGACCUUCUUCACACUCUGUAACAUAUUUUCUAUCCUGCAGCACACCUUGCCCCUCCUUUCCUUCCCACUUCUCAAUCAAGUUCACACCUCUACUGCACGGUCCAACCUCCUUUCUUGGUCACAGACAUCACCAACUGCCAUAAUACACACACCGGUUUUGGUCCCUCUCUUCUCCACCACACACAAAACCACCAUUUCAUCACUUUACUCUCACAAACACCCAAACAAGUCUCCCUCAUAAAAUCUCAGCCACCAUCAUAGUCUUGCCAAAUCCAAACUGUCUUCCUCUCCCUUCCCUACCGCACUUAUGAUCCUCUUGUACCAAACAAACCUCUCCAAGCCUUUAAAAAAAGUAGAAGGCAGAAUAAUUAAUAAUCAAAAUUGACACUAAAAGCUCAUUAUUAGUUUGAAUGUAAUGUAUACAUUUGUGAGUUCAAUUCAAGCUAUGAGGAUAGAUAGCUUGGUGCAUUCGGUAAUGUUGAUGAAGCAAUAAUAAGCUGAAAUUUAAGGUUUUCAAGGUUAUGUAACCUUGCUGAAUCAACAAAAAUUUACAGGCUUGGCCUCAUGUUCAUUUUGAAGGUUUUUUCUUGCUGAUGAGAGUUUUUGAGUUUGGGUAGCUUAGGGUUUGAAGUGAACUACAUAAAGUUAUUAUAGUAAUUAUAUUAUUAAAUAUUAUAUAUAUGCUCUUUUUACUUAUUAGAAUUGGAUUUUGGUUAAAAAUCAAUACUAGUUUGAUACAAUGGUAAAGUAUAAGCAAUUAAUUGUUUUAAUUAAAAUAUCAAGGAGCAAUUUGGUAGAAAUGAUAACAUACGGGGUUUAUAAUAAUAGCACGAGAACUAUUUACCAUUUUGUUGAGAUCCUAGAAAAUCAUAAACAGUUGCAAUAGUUGAUAAGAAUUCUUAUAUGCUCGAACUGUUACAAUGGUUGAUAAGGGUUCUUAUGUACCAUUUCAUGUGUAUAAAUAUUAGUUGUAAAUCAACCAAAAGAUGUAAUUUUUAUGAAAUAAAAUCAUAGUUUAUUAUUCUCUCACUAAAUUUUCUAUCUUUCUCUUUUCCCUCUCUACUAUUUCUUCUAUCUCUAUAUUUAUCUCUUUCUCUCUCUAAUAGCCUCUCUCUCUAUAUAUCUCUCUCUUUCUAAAACAUUCUUUCUUUCUCUCUCCAUUUCUUUCUUCCUCUAAAAACCAGUCUCCCUCUCUCUAUCUCUCUUCUUCUCUCUCCCGGACUUAGUUUCUUCUCUCUUUCUAGAAAUUUUUUUUUCUAAAAUUCUAAUUUUGUCUUGCACUUUCUUAAUUCUAAAUUCUAAUCAAUCUUUCAAAUUAUCUUGAAAUUACUCUAAAAUCAUUCAAACUUUAAUAUUUUUUUCAAAUUAUGGGUCCAGUAAAUCACAUGUUAAAACCGGGUCCUAAUACAGUUUGGGACUGAGGAAUAACUAUGUGACUUUUUUGGUAAGACUACAUUGUGAAUCAAGUAGGUGCACGUUGUGAAUUCUGCCCAUUUUAGGUUUCUCUUAACUUGUAGUUGCAUAUCUCAUAUGUUUUCAGCAUUUAUCUGAUUUUCUUCUCUGUGAAUAUCUUCUGUGCCACAGGCUGACACAAUCUUCUUGUCACCUCCUUGGGGAGGACCUGAUUAUGCUAAAGUAAAGACAUAUGACAUCAAGACAAUGCUUAAGCCACAUGAUGGGUAUCUCUCUUCAUAGGAGUUUCAUAUUAUACAAAGUCUGUUAGCUUUUUUUUCCCCCAAAUAUCAAAUUUUCUGGUUCUAUCUGUGCAGAUAUCAUCUAUUCAAUGCUUCUAAGAAUGUUGCUUCCAGGAUUGUCAUGUUUCUCCCAAGAAAUGUUGACCUCAACCAAUUAGCAGAACUGUCUCUAUCUGCUUCUCCUCCAUGGUCAUUAGAGGUGAUGUUUUAUAUAAAUAUAUAUGUUUCUCUUGCUUUCUUUAUUUUUCUUAAAAGUCUAUUGCUUUCUGUUUACAGAUACUUUUGUUGGCUUUGUUUAAUGAACUGUCACGCCUGCUCAACUCUCCAAGAGAAAUUGUUUUCUCUUUCAAAUUGUACUUUGUAAUGUCACUUGGAGGUGCUUUAUGCAUGUUAUUGUGCUCUAGAGUGAAACAGUUGGGCUAAGAAUUCAUUUGGAUGCUUAUGGAUGUACUAUAACACUAUAAGUUUAUGUAGUAUCCUGCCUUACAAUUGUACUCAUAAUGUUGGUGACUCAUCCAUUUCUGUGAUAGAAAUUGAGAAUUUGACCUCAUAGUAUCCAAAUGCAGAUGCAUCAUGUGCUUCUCUUAUCAUUGCUCUUCAGUAGGUAAUCUUCUUCUGCUUCAUAUUCCAGUUGGGUAUUUGAGCAGUGACCAUGCCAAACAACUAAGAUUAGUUUUCCUGGUACCAGCAUAUUUUCCUCAAAUUAUUCUUUCUUUUGUUCUACACUACAUUCUUGAAGCAUAUUUCUACUUUUUGUUCCCUUUUCUUCCUUCAUUAUAGGGUGUCUUUAGUCUCUUCAUAUAUAGCCAUAAAUUAAUGGCCUUACCAUUUAGAAGUUUCUGACCCAGGCUGGCAGGUGUCUGUAAAGCUGAUUCUGAGUCGUAAGAUGAUCAUUAGUUUUUUAUUAUCUUCUCUCAAUUGAAGAAAUCUAUUUAUAUUCUUCUAUUUGCUAAGGGUUGAUGUCUAUGGUCUCAGGUUGAGAAGAACUACUUGAAUGGAAAAUUGAAGGCAAUAACUGCUUACUUCUGCAGCAUGGCGGUUAACGGCGAAGGGUAGAAAUCAGUUUGAUCACAUCUAGGAUUGGCGGAAGGGAUUUGAAGUCUCUCUCUCUCUCUCUCUCUCUCUCUCUCUCUGUGACAGUAAUAUCACACGUGGAUGACCAUACUAACUGCCACUGGAAAUUUCUUUCUUAUAGUUUUAUAUCUAGUCUAAGUUUUCCACAGCCAUGCUCUUCCAAGAGGCAGAGGAAAUGUUGGUAUUAGCAAAACAUAGAGUUGGGAAAGACAGAGAAUAGUAUGUAUGGGAAGGUGAUGUUUGCAGUUAUCUUAAGGUUUAAAAAAAAAAAAAAAAAAAAAAAAGAAAACGAAAUCUAUAUCUCGGCAUCUUGAAAGUCUACUUCACAUGGGUGAAGGAGUUGGUUAUUAUUUCUGGUGGGACUGAUCAUCCCUGGAGCAUGCUGAUUGUUCCUCACUUUUAUGGUUUUCAUUUAAUGUAUAACUAACUAGAGGAGAGCUUUGUAUAUGUAAUGUUGCAUUCGUGUGGUUGAUUUAAUGAGAGAUGGUUUGAGUUGAAAAAGUGAUUGAUCAAAGCUGUGUUUAUGGAGCUACCUAAACUCCAAAGUUAUGUUUGUACUAACAUUUCAAAUGCCUAAUUGUUUUUUCUCGUCCAUUCUUUUAUCUUCAAAAAAUGCUGCAUUUCCAAAUUGCUUGUUGAACUCUCUACUCACACUGAAGCAGAGUGGAGUGGAUUAUCUUAUGGUUAAUAAAAUUAAAUCUCGUAAUUAUUAUCGUUAUUUUUUUCUAUUUUUACUGUGAUUAUUUCAUAUAUAUAUAUACUUUUAGAAAGCAAAAUUUAAAAAAUUACUAGUUAAUUUACCUGUCAAAAAUGACAAAUUGCAGUGUUGAUUUGAAAGCAAGUUGACUUCGUCACUCACUCACAUGAGGUUGUGGGUAUGAUGGCGAGGAGCUGCCCUGUAAUAAACGUUGUGGGGCUCUUUCAGAAAGAAGACCUGACAUUGGAAAGCAACUCAACGCACCUCAAUCAAGGGUUUAAAUUGAGUUGGUACCUACUGAUACCAUCUCAUUCAAAUGAAAAGUUCUUAUAGUGUUUGCCACCAUGAAUUUUAUACAAAUUGUAAAAAGAAAACAAAAAUUGAAGUCACAAAUCAAGUGUAUACAUACGAACUGACCCUAAAACUUCCCUAUGUAUGUAUAGCCUUCCCCAUCUUCUUCUUCAGUCUUCAUCGUAUAUGUAUUUAUAUGAUAUAAGGUCAAGACGUACCCACCACAUUACUUUAUUUAUCUUCGCACGUCCGUAUUUGGCAUAAAAUCUCAACCAUAUUUCAUUUAAUUAUUUUUUAAAUUCAAUACUCUCAAAAAAAAAAAAAAAUCAGGCAUGGCAACGUUUCUCCGAAAAUAUUUAAAUUUACUUUUUUUUUUUUUUUAUAUUUGUUUUUUACAAAUUUUUUUUAAAAAAGUAGUCGUUAAAAGUUUCUUUUUAAAUUAAAAGAACUAAAAACUUUUAACACAUUUUUACAAUAAAUGUUUUGUAAGUUCUUUUAUACUCAAAAAGUAGCCUUGAUUCAAAUUUUCAUGUUCUUUAUUUAAAUUAAUAUUCAUAUAUUUAUAAUAUAAUUUUUCCACAAGGCAAUAACGUACAAACUAUUUAUUUAGCAUUGACCGUAAAAAAAGGGCACGGUGAAAAUAGUAAAGGUCAAAAAAAAAAAAAAAGAGGUGAAUGGUGGGUCCACUUUACAGCUGUUGAUCUGCUAUUUUUUUUUUAUAUAUUUAAUUCUGAAAUUUAGAGAUGUGAUAAAUCAUUUCACGCAAUAAAUACCCACUGACACCAUUUACGCCCGCCGCUCAAACUUUUAGGAAUAUUAUAUGCUUAAACAAAAAUUAAUACAAACACACCCACAUCAACCAUUCAAUUUCUACCGUGGCAAAUGAAAUUUAAAUUAAAACACGAGUAAAUUUCAUGUGGGUUUCAUCUAUAUAUAUAUAUUUUUUUAUACGAGACAUCAUUUGACUUUUUACACCAUUUUUUUUUUAUUUUUUGUUUUCAAUUUUAAUUUAUAGUUCCAAGUGAGUAAAAUAAAAUUUUCUUAAAACAAAGAGAUUUGGAAGGGAGUGAUUGCCGUUAAAAUGUCUCAAGCAAAAACUAAAAGCAAAUAAAAGAUAUGAGGUGGUUGGUUGUGUUAGUAGCAAUCAUAAGUCCCAAAGUCAAACUCCUUAUUUAAUUUUUUUUAUUUUUUUAUUUUGGGUUCCUCAUGGAUUUUGAUUUUUGAUGGCCGCACUACUCGUGAUGUUAUUUCAUUAAUACAUAUAAUUAAUCAUAAUCACCCCCCCAUUAACUCCUAAAUCAAACCCAAAAACAUCAUUUAGUCUCUUAAAUUCAAACAAAAACUAGUGCCUCUUUUUUGACCACUUCAUUUAGAUAAGUAGUUGUAUUUAUUUAAACAAAAUAAUGAUAAUAUAUGUCAUUGUGUAUAUUUUAUGACUUCAAAAUUGUUUUGUAUUAUUGUUAAUUUUUUUAAAAAAAUUUUCAAAAGAAUAAUUAAGUAAAUUAAUUAGGUAAUAAAAAUUUAAAAUUUGCUUAAAGUUUAAUAUUUUAAUAUUAUUAUAAUAAUUUUAUUUCAAUAUUAAUAUUUAUCUAUGUCCAUUAAGUUAUUAAUUAAAAUCAAAUUUAUAAUUUAGGAUGAUGUAAUUUUGUACAAAUAAACCACAAAUAUGCAAUAGGGCCAAUAUUUAGUAUCAUUAAGUACAUUUUAAGUAAUUAAAUCUAUAUACAUUUUGUUACUUUUAAAAUUUGUUCUAUCGAAUCUUAUCAUAUCCGAUUUUAUAUAUUAUGAUAUAAGAUUGGAAAUAGAAUUUCAUACUGAUUUCUACAAAACAAAAUCUUGUAAUCUCAACAUGAUGAUUCAUUUUGAAUUAGAGUUGGCCCAUUGGAGAACCUACUGUCCUUUUCCAUGGAGUCAAAUUUCACGGUCAAGGCAAUUCACGUGAAAAGCAGCGUCACAUAGAGGAGACUCCAUGCUGGUUAUCAACAUUACAUAUAUAUAUAUAUAUAUAUAUAUACACACACACACACACAUAUGUUCCUUCUCGUUUCUACCCGCCAUAUAAUUUUUUGUACAAUCAAUCUCUCAUUGAGUGGGAUGAGAAGAAGCAAAAGCUGAAAAGGAGAAUGCCGGAGAUACUACAAAGCGGCUCUCUGAGAUCAGGGUACAGAACUCGUGAUGCCAGUCCUGACUCUGUCAUUUUCACACUUGACUCCAACUUCAGUCUCUUCUCCUCUGCUUCUGCUAGCGUUGAUCGCUGCUCCUUCGCUUCUGAUGCUCACGAUCACGACUCUCUUGCCUCUGAAAUCUCCCUGGUACAUUUUUAUCUCCCACGCUAAUCCAUCGCUGGUUAUUUCUUGUAGUGUAUAUAAAGAUCAAUGCCAGAAGACCUAUGAUGUUUGGUGCUUCAGUUGAGUUUGAUUUUAGCUUUUGAACUUGCCAUCAUUCUCCGUUCUUGACCUAAUGUUGCAUUUUGGUGACCUGUCACUUUCGUCUUACCCAGUUGAACAUUUUUGUCUCUUUCUGUUUUCUGUGCAUGAAUGAGAAGCGGAGUUGUAGGUUUCUCCUAACUCUCGCUCUCAUGGAUUCACAAUCAAAUUCUAUCUGAAUGUGGGGUUGGAAAUCGGGAUUUCUAGAUUGAAAAUGACGGAGAAGAUGAUAGAUUCAGUCUUAAUACUUUUUAUAAAUGAAAACUUGAAAGUAGAGGAUUUCUUUAUGUGGGUGGUGUUGAAAUCUGAUCGGUUUUAGUUGUGUAUGUGAAGCAUUUGGCAGCACAUGAUCGUGAUCAACACGAGAACUUGAACAGUCCAGAUCCAGAUCCAAACAAACACGCAAUAGUCCACAAGCACAGUCGCCUUUCCAAGAAAGGAGAGAGAGUAAAAGGUACACUAGCUUGAUUUUCACCUAGGUCGUGAAACAAUUUUUUUUUUUUUUAAAAAAAAAACAACAAAAGGAAAAGAAUCACAAGGGAGAGACAUUUAGAGCUACAAAUUUGAAAUUUCAAAUCCAAGUCACGCACUUACUGUUACCAUCUACUCUAUGCAGCUCAAAAACAAAACAAUGAUGCCAAGACAGAAGAGGAGACCCAGCCCUUAGAUUCGGCAAGAAACUCAUUCUCUUUAGCUCUUAAAGGUACCUCUCUCUCAACCCUCAAAAACUUAAACAAAUUCACCUCCUUGGAUUAAGCCUUUGUUCUAGCUCAAUCUUAGUUUGCCCGGAAGUAAGAAGCUAUUAAUUUGAACCAAUUUCUUUACAGAAUGUCAGGAAAGGAGGUCCAGAUCUGAAGCACUGGUGAGGAAGGUAGACAGACGAAGACCUGCUUCUCUAGAUCUAAACAAUGUCACUGCUUCUUCCCCGCGGUUGGGAGCCGUGAAAAAAAGCUCUGUUUCAACCCGGAAGCUUGGUGCCUUUCCCAGUCCUGGAACUCCCAAUUACAGGAACGCGAGUGUCGGAAUGCAAAAGGGUUGGAGCUCGGAGCGCGUACCGUUGCAUGCCAGUGGUGGAAGGCGGCAGGUGGGUGCUGCACUGUUGCCUCUAAAUAAUGGAAAGGCGUUGCCUUCCAAAUGGGAGGAUGCUGAAAGGUGGAUAUUCAGUCCCGUCGGGGGAGAUGGUGUUGUUAGGCCCUCGUUUGCAGCGCCACAGAGGCGGCCUAAAUCGAAAAGUGGUCCGCUUGGGCCUCCUGGGAUUGCGUUUUAUUCAUUGUAUUCACCUACUGUUCCCAUCUUUGAUGGGUGUAAUAUUGGAAGUUUCAUGCCAACCUCUCCAUUUUCGGCCGGAGUGAUGGACACAGAGAGAAUAGGAUGCACUUCUGGUGGCCAUGAUGGAGGCUUCAGUGUCCGGACAGAACCUUGCAUGGCCCGUUCAGUUAGCGUACAUGGCUGCUCUGAGAUGCUGACCCCACCAUCAUUGCCUUCCCAAGGUAAAGAUUUAACUCUUUCUGGAUUAGGAAUCAGAUUCUUUUCACAGACUCUCAAAAAUGGUACUGAUCUACUCCUUAAUUAGAACAGUUAAAACUUUCCUUGUGUUUUGUACUAGCAAGAAUUGUAUUGUGCACUGUUGAAACUCAUGAACUUCAUUCUUUCACAUAAUUGCUUUCUGUUGUUAUGUUAUUUUUGGAAGUAAAAGGGUUUUGGAGAAAGAUGACUACUAGAUAUGAUGACUAAUACUCUCACUUCCAUGCAUCUGCUGAUGUCUAAAUAAACGUACAGAUGAGAAGCAAGAUGGGGACAAUGAUUCAGCCACCGACAUUUCUCGCGCUGUUUCUAGGAGGGACAUGGCAACCCAAAUGAGCCCACAGGGAAGCACCAAUUCAUCUCCCAGUAGGAGGCCUUCUUUUUCUGUCUCCACACCCUCUGUCCUACCUAUUGUAGAAUCACAGAGUAUCCAAUCUGGUAAAUCAGAGGUGAGGGAUGUGCAGGUUGAUGAAAGGGUUACUGUGACUCGGUGGUCCAAGAAACAUAGAGUCCGAAAUACUAGGAAGAGCUCAGAAAUUGUUGAUGAUUGGAGAAAGAAAGCUAUUGAUUCUUCAUCAUGGGAUGUAGCAGAAACGGCGAAGGGCCUUUCCAAGUAUAUCUUCUGUUCUUAAGCAUUACCAUUCUUGUGCUCCUGUUAUUUAUUUGGCAAGUUAUUAGGCCGUAAAACAUCAAGUCAUAGUUCUCACUAAAUAAAAAGGUCAACUCUUAAAAUUCCCAGAAUGUGGAGUUUCACCUCUAAAUUACUUCUAGUCCCAUUCAAUAGAAGCUGAAUUCUCUACUUGCUACUAAAAAUGCUUCUCUUUUUUUUUCAACUUAAACUUAUCUUCUCUAGGAAGGAAGGUUCAACUUGAACUUAAGCUUCAAGCCAUGUGGAUUUUAUUAGCAUUUUUGUUCUCUUGCCACAUUCCUCCCAUCAUUUCCGAAAAUAGCCUUUCCCAAUUUCAAGCCAUUGCCAUUAAUCCACAAUUCUAACUUAUAAUUCAGAUAAUGUCUUUGAGCCAUUUGGAUGAUUGAAAAGGACAAGGAAAUUAACGAGUGUCAAUGACUACUCAUACUGCAAUCUUUUGUCCAUUUCAGGGUCAAAAGAGAGGAAGCAAAAAUUACUGCGUGGGAGAACCUGCAGAAGGCAAAAGCUGAGGCUGCAAUACGGAAACUAGAGGUUCCUUUUUUUUUUUUUUCUUGUUUCUCAACAAGGUUCCAAGCAUGCAUGUUUAGAAUGGUGCUAACUGAUAAAAUUCGGUGCAGAAAAUGAUUCUUUCCUUUUUUAGAUUUUCAUUGUCUUCUUCCUUUAACUUUUUGUUGUGGACACAGUAAAGAAUGAAACCAAGAGAUACUCUACCAAUUCCGGAUGUGUCUGAUUAUGAACUACUCCUUGGAAAUCAUCACAUGCACAACAAGGUCUAAUUAGUCAUCGUUACAAAAACUAAACUAGAACCUGAGAAAACUAAUAUAAAAGUGAUAGCUCCUUGCAGCAGUUGCUGCAGUUUUGGUCAAAAAGCUGGGCACCAAUUAUAUCAGUCUCAAACUCUUUUCUCUCUCUGACUGCAAAUUCUGCUGGCUGUCUUUAAACUAUGAAAUACACAUUCUUAUUUAAAUUAACAGAAGAUUAUUCUUAUUUAAAAUACCAGAAGAAGGAAAGCAAGGUGAUGGACGCCAAGGAGAGCACGAAGACAAAACAUAUAGAAAUUUUAUUAAGAUCCACAACCUUGAUAUCUUGGAUCUCAAUAAUCAAAACAUUAUCCUAGUAUUUGAAUAGUAGUACUUUAUUUAUAGACACUAAAUACAAAUAAAAAUAGAAAAUCUAGUAAAUAGAAAAAUAAGCUAAAUAGAAAGAAUUAAGAGAGUAUUUGGAAACAGGAUAUUAAAUCUUCCUAUUUCUUUUAUUGUAGAACUUUCUGAACGUUUUAUUUCUACUAGAAAAGGAAGUUAAAUCUUCCUAUUCCUUUUUCAGUGUAAAGCUUCACAAAAUGUUUAUAUCCCUUUAUUGGUUAUGCAUCAGAUCUCUUAUCACUGAAAUAUGCCUACUUUAGGAUUACAAUAUCUAGCAAUCUGUAAUGAAUUCGUAACAUUUCUACAGCCAUCCAUGAUGCACCUGCAAUAUGGAUUGAUAGUGUUCUUACAUGUGAUAACCUUGUAAGCUAAGCAUGUGUCUUAUAUAUGCUCUGUGAAAGUGGAAGGAGAAGACUAUUAUCUCAACCCUAUUGACCUAAACAUGCAUUUCAGAUGAAGCUGGAAAAGAAAAGAUCGUCAUCAAUGGAUAAGAUUAUGAACAAGCUAAGAUCAGCUCAGAAGAGAGCCCAAGAAAUGAGAAGCUCAAUGCUAGCUUAUCAGCCCCAUCAAGUUUCAAAGGCAUCUCACAAGGCUGUAUCUUUUGGUAGAACCCGCCAGAUGGGUUCCCUGAGUGGAUGCUUUACCUGCCAUGCUUUCUAAUGCCUCAUGUAGACAUCUGUAGCUGCACUUCACUCACUGAAAUACCUGGUAAUUUCUCCUUCUAACAGAAUCCUGAUUCAUUUCUUUCUAAUGGUUCUUUAAUAAAAAACACAAGGGUCCAUUAUGUCAUGUUUCCAGACAUAUAUAUAUCCUAUUUGUUGCUUCACUUGUUGCGUGCAUGAAGUUGAGUUUUUCUACAGAAUAGUUGCGGGUUAUACAUUCGUACUGAUUGCACUCAUUUUCUCCUAAUCUUCUCAACCUAGACUUCCUUCUUUGGAUUUUGUUGAAACUUGGUAGAAAAUCACCCAUACUUUUCAUUUGGAUGGUUUCUGAAAAUGCAUCUUGCUAACUACUUCCACGGGCAUUUUAGUGCUUCACUUAUGAUUAUAUAGCUUUGAAUUCCCACUUGAUACCCAAACUUCGGUUUUGUUUAUUGGAUAUAUUUACUGCAUGAAUUAACCUGGCGACAGUUAACAUUACCUUCGACAUGUACAUACAUUUCAUCUGAUCCCAUAUCGGGUUAUUAUUGUAGAUUGACAAAGUGGAGCACAAGAUAAACAUUGUACAGCUGAGUGCAUAUACCAUAUGGAGAGAUUGGAAUCCUUGCAGUUUUGAUCGGUAUGAAGAACAAGUAUCUGGAUCGAAGAUCUCAUAUAAGCAAUACCCUGUUGCAGUAUUCCUGGGGUUUAGUAUCAAACGUUUGACUAAUAAAUCUUGUAUGCAUGCAUUUUACAUAUCUAUGUCCAAUUUUUUUUUUUUUUUUUUAAUCAUGACAGUUUGCCAUAAAAAAUCAUUAGCUUCCCUUUCAUAAUUAAUACUUAUAUGAAUGAUAAGAGUUAUAUAUUUUGUGCAAUGGAACUGUUGUGUUUUCCACCAUCCCUUAGUUAUAAGAUGCUUUGUAUGGUGCUGUAAACAGUCUUAAAUCUAUGAUACCAUCGUGGCUGUUUAGAUAACAACAAUGUGUAUCAUAUUAUUUUGUCACUAAAAAGCUUUUGUUAUUAUUGUUGUUAUAAGAUGUUCGAAAAAUUAAUUACAUAUCAGGUGAUAAAUUAAUCACAGUAAUGAAGAUUUAAAUGAAAUAUCAAGUGUUAUUUUGAUCCUUCUUUUAUUGACAAGCCAGAAAUAUAUUUUCAUACUGUAGGGUUAAAAAAAAUGAAUAAACCUGAUACAAUUAUACAUCCAACAUAGAAAUUUUAACUAAAUUAUACAUAUAAUAUCAAGUUGUAAUUAGAAAUAAAAUAUAUUUGAACUAACAAAGUAAACAAGACACAAACACAUAAGAACAGAACUUACAUAUCUUACAUUAGACUUUCUUUAAAUACUCUCUUAAUCUUUCCACAUAAUAGUAUAAUUAAAAUGUCCUCAUUUCAAUAUCACAAUCCCAAAAAUAAAAAAUUCACAAUAACUUUGAAAUUUUGAAAAGUAAACGAGAGUUCUAAAUUCUAAAGUAACAUUUAUAAGUGCACAGAGUAUUUUAUUUCCAAUUAAACCAUACAGUAACUUUCAAGGUUAAAUGUUUUAGAUGUUAAAAAGUUAGAAAGACCCUAAGCGGGUAGCAUUCACAUAAUCUUGGGCACAAUGAUUUGCUAAUCCUGGGGUUACUAAUCCAAUUACCCUUAUCACUCUCAAAAACCAAGUUUCCUUAUAAUCUGGACCCUUAGCAAUCGGAAGGAUGAAGCUCCUUAUGAGCUCCCAAACUGCGUUUACCCUCUUGGGUAUGGCCCAUAACAAAGAAAAGUAGUUCUUGUUUUCUUCCUGCCAUGUCACCUGCAUGCAUGCAUGCAUGCCAGUUAUAAUGCUAUUUACUUUAGGAAAAAGGGUAAACUUUUUUCAGAGAGAGAGAGAGAGAGAGAGAGAGAGAGAGUACCUUGCAAUUAUAGAAACUAUCAACAAAGAGGGAAGGCCCAAAAUGCUUGAAAAACAGGGUUUUGUCAUCAUAAGGUAAUCUCGGCACUAUAUCAUUACAAUACACACACCUGCAAUAUCUCACACUGUACUUUCUCAACUUCUCCUCCAUGAACUCUCCAAAUUUUUUGUCCCCAACCCUUGGCUGCCCAAACGUGUAAACCCCAUCUAGUCUCUCCAGCAACCAUUCCUCCUCGUGUAACAUUAACACUGCCACAAACAAGAUUGCCAGUGACCCACCCAAGCUAUGCCCUGUGACUAUAAACUUGGCCUUGUCAUUAUCCUGCAAUAUUCGUUUCAAGAUCUGCCUGAUUGAAUAGUAAGCAAACGGAGGUGAGUUUGUGGGUCGUUGAAUCUCCUUGGGCCAUCCACGGUCUUUUUGUAAGCCGAGAGCUUUCAUAAACCCAGCAUGGAUCUUACCCACAUUCUCUAUCUCAAACCACGAGAUGUCCACGUCUGUGCUCCACCCGUCUGCAUCAAAUGGGUCUGUUCCUCUGAAUGCCACCACUAUGAGAUCUGGCUCACUUUUUGUGUCUCGGGCUAUGAAUGCUUGUGUUGAAAAUCGUUGCUGAUAAUCUGCCCCAAACUUUUUUCAAGUUAUUACUAGCUUUUAUCUUUGAUAUUAAAAUCAAAUUUCACUUUAGUUUAACCAUCAGAGUUUCCUGAAUUAUUUGUUUGCUAAUUCUAAUUAAUAAUACAAAGAACUUUAAUAUUCGUAUUGGGUUCCCUGAGUAGAUCCACUAUAUCCUAAAGUCACAACUCUUAAUUUUGAUUUUUCUUCUGCAUAUUCUCCCUAUGCCCCUUAACAUCUAUCAUCAUCUUUAACCUAUGGCCACUAAACGUGACACCAUCUACCCUCUUCGUUGCUGCCCCUGCUUCCUCAAUUAUAACCAUCCCUAACAAAGCCAAAUAUUUGUCCCUCCAUCUCAAAAUGAAAUUUGUAAUAAAAAUAUAAUUAAUUUGUAGCUUUUGCUUAAAUGGGAUUAUGAUAUAUUAAACAUAGACUUCAUAUUUGAUCUUAAAUAAAUUAAAUAUAUGGGAUAAUGGUGUAUCAAAUAGGACCUUUUCAAGAUCUUAAAAUUUAUAAUUCAAGUUUUUAUUUAUUAAUUAAAAUUAGUUAAAAUUAAACAAGUUGAAAAAGUGAUUAUCCCUACUACAGAAAAGAAUUAGAUAGUAUGGUGUGAGGUUAAGUAUUAACUUAGCUAUUUACGUAACACUUUUACACGAAGUUGACAACUCCGAAUUCAAGUUUCGAUUGUUUCAUUACAUAGCCACAGAUAAACUUAUUAUUAUUCAACUUCUGUCAAUGCAUUAUGAUAAAUUUAUCUAUGUUGACAAAGCUACCUACAAUUAUGUUCCUCUGAAAAUUUGGCCCUAGUUGGAAUAGAAUCCAUAAUUUCACCCUCUCGAGUCAUGUUAUGCUCUUGUAACAUCACACAUUAACUUUUGCCUAUCGUAGCUAUUAUUACUCCAAACAUGGCAAACUGUGACUUUUCAUCUAAAGUUUUUUCCAAACUAAGACAAGACCGCUCGAGUUUUGUAACCAGAGGCUUUUGGUAUGAAGUUUCUCUUGAGAAUUAAUCACAGAGGAGGAAGAGGAAGCUACCAAAAAAAUUUCUUUACUACUUCAGGAUUGCUGGUGAAUCUAAUGUUCAUGCUCCAUCAAUUAAGUGAAGUUAUAUAUACAUAUAUAUAUAUGGGUGUGUGCGUGUGUGUGUGUAUAUAUAUAUAUAUAUAUAUGGGUUUCCCUCAUCAAAAAACUGGAAAUCCCUUCUCUUUAUCAUUUUACCACAGAUUUUAUAAUUUCUCUGCAUAUUUGUAAUAUAUUUUCCCUAAAAAUAUCCACAAAAUGAAAACGAUGAUCACCUUAUUCAGGUCAUGCACGUCUAAAUUCCAUAUUUUAGACACGAAGUUCUAGAUUAUGUCAUUGAUCCAGCUCGCCAGGCAAAAUAGAUUAUGAUUGACAGGAUUUAAACUAAAGUUAUAACUAUCCACCCUCGAUUAUCUAAAAUAAUGCUGUACAUAUAUAUUAUAUAAGCGCCAACGUGAUUAAACACCAUUAGUCUAUUACUUUAAAGAGAGAAACCAACUCUACGUAGGUGACUUAACCAGUACUAUUAUGUUUACGUGAUUUAUAAAUUAUUAAGUUAAUGCCGUAAAUUAUUAUAUUAAUUAUUAAAUUACUAUAUUAGUGUUAUAAAUUAGUAUUAUAAAUUACUAUAUUAGUAUCACAAUUAUAAAAAUUUGAUUAGUUGAUUUUUUUAUGUAAUAAUUUUUAAUUCUUUUUAUAUUAUGUAAUUGUAUUUAUAUAUUACCUAUGAAUAGAGAAGAAUAAUCAUCCAUGAAUUAUUUACAAACUUUAUUGUUUCACAUGGUAUCAGAGCGUUUUUCCUAAAAAACCUCUUAAAUCAAAUCUCGUAUUUCUCUUUGUAAAAUCAAAUGGCUGAACUAACUCCUUUCAUAUCCAACAACUAAAUACCACCAAUUGUCAUCCAUCAAGAUAACUCUACAUUUCCUAUUAGUACCAUAUUAGAUGAGAUAAACUACUCAUUAUGGUCUCAGCUUAUGGAGAUGCGAAUUGGUGCUCGAAAUAAAGCUGGUUAUCUUACUGGAGAAAGGAAAAAAACUAUACCUAAAGACUUAAUUACAAAACAUGAGUAAUAGAAAAUUAGAAAGUAAAGAAUUGGCUUAUUGACUCAAUGAGUCCAUCCCUCAUGCAGCAAUUUAUUUGUCUUUCCACAGCAAAGAAAAUAUGAGAAGCUGUAUCAAGAACUUUUUAUGACAGAUCAGAUUAAACCUAUUUAUUUGAGUUAAACCUGAAGACAUUUUCUACUACACAAAAUGAUAGAUCAUUGUCUAUUUACUAUAAUGAACUUGUUGCUAUUUUUCAAAAAAUUGAUCAUAGAAUUGCCUCUUAAGCAGAAAUAGUCAGAGACGUUGUCUAGUUGCAUUCUGUAAUGGCUAGACUUCGAGUUUAUAUUUUUUUAAGUGAACUUGAUUCUGAGUUUGAUCAAGUUCGUGGAGAAAUCUUGCGAAAAGAUCCAAAACUAGAUUUAGAGAGUGCAUAUGCAUAUGUAAGAAAAGACUACCAACAACGACAGACAAUGGGAGGUUCUCGAGUGAUCUUAGAAAGCUCAGCCAUGCUUGCCAACCGAAAAUUGCAUGGAUCAUCCUCGACGUCAGCAAAAACUCAAAAUAAUCAAUUUAUUGGAAAGUCCAACAAUUUUAUAUGCAGCCAUUGUGAUGAAACAGGUUAUUCUAAAUAACAAUGCUAUGAAAUCGUUGGUUAUCUUGAAUAGUGGGAUUUCUUAAACAAACCACAGAAAAAGAUUGCAAGAAAAGAUAUGAUGAUAUCGUCUAAGGAAGUUGAAUGUAAUAUGGAGGAUAAUUUGCAGCCUAUAGCAAAUGUUGCUCACCCAAGUAUUAUUAAUCAAACAAAUAUUUUUUCUACAACUUCUAAGAAUAUAACUUGGAUUAUUGAUACAGAUACAUCUAAUCAUAUAACUAGAGACUCUAGCGAGUUACAAUCCAUUCGCUUAUCUUCUCAAUUCGUUAUAUCUACAGCUAAUGGAAGUAUAACCCCUAUUACUAGAUAAAGAUAUACUAUUUUAUCUACUUCUCAAUUCGUUAUAUCUAUAGCUAAUGGAAGUACAACCCUUAUUACUAGAUAAACAUAUGCUAUUUUAUCUAAUACACUCACCUUGGAUACAGUUCUUAUUGUCCCAUCUCUUGAAUAUAAUCUUUUAUCUGUGAGUCAAAUUACCUUAUCUCUUGAUUGCACAAUAACUUUUUGGCCUUUUUUUUGUGUAUUUUAGGAUAUUCUGACCUGAAAGAUCUUGAUUAUGAUAUUAAACGAGACAAACUCUACUACUUGAAAUUGACAGAAAAUGGAAAACAAAAAGUUAGUUGUGCAUGUCAACUAGUAGUGAAGAGAAAGCUUGAACAACUACAUAAUUAUGGUAUAGAAAAUUGUGGCAUCUUUCUUUUAGAUAUCUUCAAAAAUUGUAACUAUAUUUAUUUUUGAACUUAGAUGUUUCUGAUUUUUAUUGUGAUAUUUGUGAACUGGUUAAAAGCCAUCGCAUUCCUUACUUACCCAAUAUGAAUAAAUGUUCUGAACCUUUUAUUGUCGUACACUCUGAUAUUUGGGGACCUGCAAAGAUUCCUUCUCUGUCUAAAGCUUUAUAUUUUGUUACGUUCAUUAAUGAGUGUACUAGAAUGACCUGGGUGUCCUUACUUGAGAGAAAAAGUGAUGUUUUCACAGUUUUUCAAGCAUUUCAUAGUUUGGUGGGAACUCAAUAUUAAUGUCAGAUUUCGUGUUUAGCAAUCUUACAAUUAAAAGAGCUUGUUGAUGCAAAGUUUAAAANNNNNNNNNNNNNNNNNNNNNNNNNNNNNNNNNNNNNNNNNNNNNNNNNNNNNNNNNNNNNNNNNNNNNNNNNNNNNNNNNNNNNNNNNNNNNNNNNNNNNNNNNNNNNNNNNNNNNNNNNNNNNNNNNNNNNNNNNNNNNNNNNNNNNNNNNNNNNNNNNNNNNNNNNNNNNNNNNNNNNNNNNNNNNNNNNNNNNNNNNNNNNNNNNNNNNNNNNNNNNNNNNNNNNNNNNNNNNNNNNNNNNNNNNNNNNNNNNNNNNNNNNNNNNNNNNNNNNNNNNNNNNNNNNNNNNNNNNNNNNNNNNNNNNNNNNNNNNNNNNNNNNNNNNNNNNNNNNNNNNNNNNNNNNNNNNNNNNNNNNNNNNNNNNNNNNNNNNNNNNNNNNNNNNNNNNNNNNNNNNNNNNNNNNNNNNNNNNNNNNNNNNNNNNNNNNNNNNNNNNNNNNNNNNNNNNNNNNNNNNNNNNNNNNNNNNNNNNNNNNNNNNNNNNNNNNNNNNNNNNNNNNNNNNNNNNNNNNNNNNNNNNNNNNNNNNNNNNNNNNNNNNNNNNNNNNNNNNNNNNNNNNNNNNNNNNNNNNNNNNNNNNNNNNNNNNNNNNNNNNNNNNNNNNNNNNNNNNNNNNNNNNNNNNNNNNNNNNNNNNNNNNNNNNNNNNNNNNNNNNNNNNNNNNNNNNNNNNNNNNNNNNNNNNNNNNNNNNNNNNNNNNNNNNNNNNNNNNNNNNNNNNNNNNNNNNNNNNNNNNNNNNNNNNNNNNNNNNNNNNNNNNNNNNNNNNNNNNNNNNNNNNNNNNNNNNNNNNNNNNNNNNNNNNNNNNNNNNNNNNNNNNNNNNNNNNNNNNNNNNNNNNNNNNNNNNNNNNNNNNNNNNNNNNNNNNNNNNNNNNNNNNNNNNNNNNNNNNNNNNNNNNNNNNNNNNNNNNNNNNNNNNNNNNNNCCAAGAGAUUUCCAAAGUAAUAAUAAAUUUUUAGUCUGGAUCCAACCACGACCUUAAUGUGUAGACUUAAUUUGAAGCCGCCCAUCAUAAUGGAAGUUACCUACUUCCAUUAUCAACUUUCUAAAGAUGAACAGGGGUUUAUAAUUGCUUGCAAGGAUCGCAACAAAUUAUUUCUGUUCAAUUCUCAAUAUAUAUAUAUAUAUAUAAUUAUAAUAUCAUUUUUGUUUAAAAAAUGAAAGAUAAUGUGAUCGUAUUAAUAUAUUAAUAAAUAAUUGUCUCGAAAUUCUAACUAAACGUUACACGUUUUACACAUGAAUUCUUAAUUAUUUUCUAAUAAUAAGAGGAAAGAGAGGGAAAUUAAUAAUUAAUGAAGUUUUUAAUUUUCUUUUAAUUAAUUCAAAGUGCUAAAUGGAUGGAAUAUUUUUCUGCCCACCGUCCACCAUGUGUGUUAAUUGGGUAUGUUUCCCCGUAAACAAUGUCACGACUUAUGCAUAUAUAUAUAUAUAUAUAUAAUACUAGUUGACGCCUCUCAAUUAAAUGCUCUCUUUCUUAUAUUGGGUAUUUUCAAAACUAUUUUUCAACAAUCGGUAUAUAAUAUAUAUAUAUAUAUACAUAAAAGGUGCCAAAUCAAUUGGACAUGUAAGUGCCUCGAUAGCCCAAUAAACUUUACUAGUUGGGCUCAUCCAACAUUGGGAUUUCUUUGGAUUGGACUUGUUAUUCUUAAGCCCAUAAUCCAAACAUUUAUUUGUUUAUCAAAUGUGCUUAAAGUAUAUUUUCAAAUAUAUACAUAUAUAUGUACAUAUAUAGAAUGUUCGGAUUAAUAUAACAAAUGUUAAAGCUUCGUUAGCUUUAGUCCAAAAUGAAAAAGCUUUUCUUGUUUUAUUGAAAAUUCAUAUAUAUAUAUAUAUAUAUAUAUAUAUAUAUAUAUAUAUAUAUACACACACACACACACAUUAUAUGAUUAAAAUUCAGGGUAUGUCUGUAACAAAUUCAUAUUUUUUACACGAAAUUUAUUAAUUUUGUAAUAUUAUAAAAAGAUUUAAUAACUAAUUACUAGGCAAUUAUACUAGGUAUUAUAAUAAUUAAUUAUUAAAGUGCAUUAAAAUAUACUCCCUCUAUCGAAUACAAAAAAAAUGAGUGUGUAGUUAAUUGCAAGUAAUAAUUUCAGUCUCAUGAACUGUAAACUAACCAAUAUAAUAUAAUGACAAUUUUAUCAUAACAUUAUUAUAUUUUUACCCAAAUAAAUUAUUACGUUGCAGCCUUCUUCUUCUUCUUCUUCUUCUUCUUGAAAAGUAAAAUAACUCAUUAAAUUACCAGCAGGAGUUCUUUAAUUUUCUUGUCAACUCACACCUAAAAUAUGUAUACGUAUGUUAUAAAGAAAUUUAAUGAACCUUAGAAACUUCAAAGAAGGGAAAAUAACAAAAUAAAUGGUGCCCUCUGCUCACAAAAAAAAAGGAGUAAUUAGGUGAGGAAAGGACCACUUUAUCAGUGUGGAAAACUGAAUUAUGAGGAGGACCAAGAGGGGUCAUAAUAGUUGACCAUUCCAAUUGCACAAAUACAAUGGUUAUGGUCACCCAAUUUUAUUACGGUUUUGAAAGCUUGUGAUAUUUCCUCUAAGGGGGUCAUGGGCAUUGAAUAUUUGCAUAUAUAUAUAUAUAUAUAUAUAAUCUUUAUAUACAUAUACAUAUAGAGAGAGAGAUAGAGAGAGAGAAGGGUAUGGAAACAGAAUUAGGACAAAGCUUGGCAUGAGUGUGUGGGUAUGCAUCCCUCCUAUCAAAAAGAGACAGUGAGAGGAAGAAUAUUGUCACAAAGGAUUAGAUUGUGUCUCUCUCCAAUUGUCCCCUUCUAGAUCUAAUCCAACAUAUUUUAAUGCUUUGUUCACUUUUAUUUUAUAUUUUUUGUAUGUUUUUUUUCGAUGCUCUUAAAGAUUUUUAUCAUUACAUAUGCAUGAUGCAUUCAUAUUUAUACUGAGAUAAAUUAUUAUUAUGAUUUCAUUACUUUAACUCAUCUUAUAAUUUAGUCUUAAAUGAAUUUUUGUUAUAAUUAUCUUUAAAUUUUUUAUAUAUUCUAAAUUAUUAAUAAUGUUUGGUUUUUUAAAAAAAAAAAAAUUAAAAAUAGACUUAUAUUUAUUUGAAAAACACAAACAAAACUAAAGCUAGCUUCAUCUACUUGUCUCGUGCUCAUCUUAAUCAAAACCAUAUUGUUUUAGAGUAAAAAAAAAAAUUUAGAAGUUAAAUUGAACAAGGGAAAUUUUUUUUCCAUACUUAGCUCAUCAAUGAGUAACACAUACUUAUAACGAGAAAAGUGACAAACCAAGGUUGGAGCUACGACUCAUAUCUAGUACGUAACUUUUAAGUAGGCCUUUGGACCAUCAAGGCCAAAAAAGAAAAUAUUUUUCUUACUACGACACACAGUUGGUUGUAGCAUCCUCGUCCUCCGCUUCUGUUGUGCCGCCUUCGUGAUUUUUGCUUCCCUGCAUGGCACUACCACCAUUACUCAUGAAAUCUAUAGACUUUGUUCAUCUAUCAAAGACACUUAUAUAGUCAUCCAUAGAUGAUUAUGCAAAUUCUCAUAUGUUUUCAUCCAACUAGUAGUUUAGCCAAAAAAAAUUAAAAAUAAAAUAGUUUAUUUUUUAAAAAUAAAUUUAUAUAUUCUUUAAUUAAAUAAUAUACAUUCAUUAUUGAUAACACAAAAUUUUAUUUUUCGAUUGAAACUAAAGACGAAUAUAAAAAAAAAUAUACAAAAAGUAUGUGAGAAAUAAAAUAUCAAGAUCUUACAGUGUGAUACUCAAACGCUCACAUAAUCACAAUUAACUAAAAUCUGCAAUCUCAAUGAUGUCGUUCUGUAAGAAUUAAACAAGUCAAGAUUUAUAGUUUUUGAAACAUGAAAGUGUCUUUAAGUAAGAACGGUGUACCGGCAAAGGGUAAAUAUUAUUAAAGGACAAGAACCCUCAUAUAUUCCAAUACCCAAAUUUCUUAAGACUCAAUAGUGCAUUUACAUAAUUGAUCUUGGCAACUUUGGGGGAUGUCUCACAUGGGUAUUCUCUCGUAAAUUAGUUGACUCGUCCUUCCUCCUUUUCAAUAAAAAAAAAAAGAAAGAAAAUCCCCUUUUAAAAUAAAGUUAUAUGAUUAUAUUCCCAAGAUUGAGUGGGAUUAAAAUAGAGUUAAUAAUAGAAUGGAAUUGGGUUUGUUGUUGAGGGCAUGAUUCUUGAGACAUGAUCACUUUUGCAAUUCGACUCUGCAAGGGAAGCAACCUGCCUCCCCUUCGUUUUCUAUUUGUUUUUGUUUGAAAAAUGCACAUCUUAGUUGGAUCUCAUCAUCUCCUUUUCCUUAAAAUAUUUGCUCACCAUCUUUUCAAGUUUUCUUUUUAUAAACUUCUUCGCAAUUAUUGAUGUAUAAUUUUAUCUAUUUUCCAGGACAUAGUGAUGCUGUUUAUUGUUAUAUAUACACCCAUAUACAUAUAUAUAUAUAUAUAUAUAUAAGCUUAUUAUAAAGAAAAUGUGCUCUUGGUGUGGGUCAAAGGUGUGCGUUUGCCAGCUGAUGUUCAAGCAGUGUCCCUCUAAGUCCAGCCCAUUACUGGCGCCCUACUUAAUAACUACUGCCUAAAUCUCAUCUAAAUGAUCAAAACAAGUGGUUAUUAAAUUUAGACAAUUUGAUGAUUUAAAAUUUUAUGUUUUAAUUUACAUAAAUAAAAUUGCAAUUGAGAUUUACCAUUUAAAUGUGAAAAUUUCAAGAAUAUAUAGUUGAAUUUCUUGUUUUGAAACCAAUUAAAUUUACUUGAACUCGCGCAUGCAUAAUCAUAUGUGACACAAUAAUAAAAUCUAAUGUUUCUAUAUUCCAUGUUGUUUGCCAUCAAAGUAACUAGUACAUAAGAUAGAUUUGAAUUUGGAAUUUAUUAGUUAAAAGAAAAAUUUAACAUUUUACUUAUUUCAUAUAAUGGUCGCAUAACCAUUGGGUCCAUCAAAGCGUAAAACACCUUAGAACUUAAUUCAGAAAGUGACUGUCCAUAUUAAUGAGUUUGACUUAUAAAAAAUUUGGAGAUACACUUAAUGAGUCUAAAGGAUAAUAAUGAUAAAACUAUAAUUUGGUUUCCGCCUCAACAUAAUUAUAUAAAAUUUAACUGUUUAUGACUUGAUAGGGAGGGAUGAAGGAGUUUUGGAGUUGUUUGUAGAGAUCAUAAUAGUAAUGUUAUGUUUGCGGGAAUAAGGAGUAUAUCUUUCCUUUCGACAAUUGAUCUUGUCGAACCUCGAACUAUAGUCUAUGGAUGCAUGUGACAACAAGGAUGAGAAUCACAAAGAUGCAAGUUGAAGGAGAUUCGCAAUGCCUCAUCAAUUUUUUGAGACCUCGACAAUCAUUUCACUCGAAUGUUAGUUUGCUUGUUGAUGAUUUAUUUUUUUUACGUAAUUUUUUAUUUAUGUUUUUAUUUUUUGAAUUUUUAAAAAUUGUAAUUUAGCAAUCCAUACUUUUCAAUAUGGAACUCUUUGUAGUUAUAUGAAUAAAUUGUACUCUUCAGGAAUCUCCAACUUUGUUGUUUCCUCUCUUAUUGCAACGUGUUUCUCCUCGGAUCUAAUUUUAGUUAUUAUAUUAUUUUCUCCACAUACAAAAUUUGUACAUUUUAUUCUCGAAUUACAAACGUAUUUAUUAUUGUUAGAUUAAGUUGAAAUUUAUGAUAAUUUAAACUCAAUUUCAUACCGUAAUAAAAAUAUUCAAUACUGAAAUACUAUAUUUUAAUAUAAUUUUGUAUAUGUUUACAUCAUAUUUUUUUAUUUAAAAAAUUAAAAUGAGAUGGUGUGGAUUUAGUUACAUGGGUGAAAUAUAAAUGGAGAGGAAGUUUAUUAAUUGGAGGUGAAUAAGAGAAAGUUGAAGAAGUAGAAUGUAGAUAGGAGGGAUCACGUGGUUGGGUGGUGAGAGAAAGGGACGUCAUCACAGCUUGCCACCGCUUUGUCAGUCUUCACGUGGAUUUCCCAUGCAUCAUUCUCCCCUUCUCCUUCCCCUUCGCAUCUUAUAACUGAUAUACUCACCCACUGCACCACCUAAUACACAUGCAAUUCUACCCUUAGCCAACACGUGUUACAAUAAAACCUUUGUCUCGUAUGCCUUUCAUAAAACUAGUCUCCAUUCUCCUAACGCACCGGAGCGGCUAUUUUUUCCCUGGUUAACUAUGUGUCAUCAAGCACGGAAUUCUUCUUGUCCCAGCGCUACGACCAUCCGCAAAACAAGGUCAUCUUCCUCAGCUCUAGAUUUUCCGUGGAUUGGUUUUUCGAAUGUUAGGUCUAGUCUGUCAGUCCACUAAAAAAUAUGAUGGGAUUUAUAUAUAUGCUAUUUUGUUGGGUUCCCCACGCUACUUUUGCCAAUUUGCUACUCUGUCAACUUUCUUUUAUUUGUAAAAUAUAUAAUAUAUAUAUAGGACAAGAGUUAUGCCAUUUCCAUAAUCAUGCAUGUCCUCUAGACAGGUGGCUAAUGGCAAUGGAACUGUAAUUAUGAGUAAAGAUCGACAGAUAGAGAGAGAGGACAGAUGGUCGUGUGAAGAUUAAUAAUUUGAUUUUUGAACAGUUGGCUAUCUAUUGAGCCUGGAUUAAUUAUUCCAUAACAUCAUAACGUGGAUUACAAGAGUAGUCUAAUAAAGGUGCAAUAAAGAUAUUAGUUAAAAGCGUACAUAUAUGCACCAUGGUGUAUUUAUACAAUCGACCCAAACAGUAGUGACAUGUUUAGGAAAAUGGUUUUGAGCUAAUCAAUCAAGCAUCUCCAUAGUGUUGAGAAGGUUGGCAGAGUUUUCGCAGCUGUAGUGGAGCAUAGGUAGCAGCAUUGGAGAUUGGAACUGGAAAGCCAAUCCCAGGGGGAGACCUAUUAUUAGCCGCAGCUCUCUCAAGCGACUGCACUUGUGUCUUCAAGAACUUGACAUAGUGAAUUGCUUCAUCUAACAUGGAAGCUGUGUCCAUUUUAGUUCCUCCUGGCACCAGUCUUUGAAGUAUCCUAAUCCUCUCGCUUAUCCUCUCCCGCCUGUGCCUCGCUGCAACACUUUGAGGGUCCUUUGAUAUCUUCACAUUCCUCCUCUUUGGUGGCUUCACUGACUCUGGGUCUAUAUGAAUCGGUUGCAUGGCUGCAAUCCGGAAUAUCAUCUCCCUCAUAGCCGCCAUUGAAUUCCGCUUAUUCUCCUCACCGGAUAAAUCCCCGGCAGUCUCUCUCCACCUACCGGUGCUCAAGAAAGCAGGCGCAGAUGGGUCUUGAACUGGGCUACCGCCUGCAACUGGGAUCCCGCUGUGUGGUAUGUUUAGGAAGGAGUUGGUGGGUGAAGCAGGAUGAUCAGGAUUAUCAGCAAAAUGUAGCAUGUUAUUGAUACUGUUAUUAGUUGGAGUUGCACCUGGGAGGUCGGUGGUGGGUAACUCAUGAGCGAGGUCGUUGUAGGCCCCAAGGAAAUCGGAGACCUUGUCCAUCUGCAUCAUCGUCAUCAUCAUCAUCUCCAUCUGACCUUCUGCUGCAGACUUUAAGGGGUCAAUUUCCAUACCUUAAAGAAAAGGAGUUGCCGCAGAGAGAAAAAGAAAGGAGAAAAAAACGAGAAAUAUUAACGGAUAGACAGAGGGAUGGGGAAGAUAAAAAAGAAGAGAGUAGACUAAGAGUUUUAUCAGAAUUUGCAGUGAAGGAAAUGAAGUAGAUACAGCAGGGGUAAGAAGAAGAACAGUACUGAGAGAUUUUUUUGAAAAAGAAAAAAAGAAAAAAAAAAAAGCAACAGGAAUAAAAUAGUGAUAUCGGGAACAGACCAUUGCAAUCUAGUGGGGUGACUAUAUAUAACAACUCCUCCUUCAAUAUUUUAUCACGUAUAAAUGCUUUUUACAAUAAUAUAAUAUUUUUCUUUUCGCCCUUUUGUUAUCAACAAAGCUGGUGAGCUUUUCUUUCCUUCUUUUUUUUUUUUUUUCCUUCACGUGAAUUUAUAAUAUAUAGAUAAUAUUUACGUUUGGUUGUUGGUAUUUCUAUUUGAUUAUAAUAAAAAUUAAUGGUAAGUAUACAGAUUUAAUAAAAUUUUAAAAAAUAAAAAUAUUUUUUAGUUUUUUAAUUUUAGAAUAAAUAUCUUCAAUUAUUGAAAGUGAAACGUUUUUUUUUUUUAAAUAAAAGUCAAAAACUCGUAUAUUAUAUUAUGAUGAUUGGUUAGCUUAGGUACAUGGCUAGAAAGGCACAAUAUAGAAGUAAGAUAAUGAGUCGUUUUUUAUAUAAUUUUAGUUUUUAGUAAAAACUGUGUUACCCUAAAAUAAAUUAUUAUUAAAAAAAAUCUAAUUGUAACACGACUCAUUUAUCUCCAUCAAAUCUACGAUAAUUUAAAAGUUUUUCAAGUUAUGAUAAGUUUUUUAACUUUCGGGAUGGGUUCAAAUCUCUUUAUGUUGCUCGUAAAAACUUUAAUUUACAAUGUUUUAGCAAAACUGUAGUGUAUAGUUAUAAAUUUGAAGAUUUCAAUCAUUGGCAAUUGUUGAAAAUAAAAUAUUUUUUAUUAAAAAUAGUCAAAAACUCAUAUAUUAUAUUACAAUGAUUGGUUAGCUUAUGUACAUGGCUAGAAAGGCAUAAUAUAGAGCUAGGAUAUUGAGUCAUUUUUUAUAUAAUUCUAGAAUUUAGUAAAAAUUGUGUUGCCCUGUCAUGGUAAGAUAAGUUAUUAUUAAAGAAAAUCUAAUUGUAACACGACUCAUUUGUCUCCAUCAAAUCUAUAAUAAGUUUAAAGUUUUUCAAGCUAUGAUGAGUUCAUUAACUUUUGGGAUGGGUUCAAAUUUCUUUAUAUUGCUCGUGAAAACUCUGAUUUACAAUGUUUUAGCAAAACUGUAACGAAGAACUACAAAUUUGAAGAUUUCAAUCAUUGGCAAUUGAAGAUGAAAAAGAUGAAUGAUGAAAGGAAUGAGGUGGUGGCUGUAAAUUAGAUGGGGUGUAUGAUGUCUUAGGCUUUAUGGUUUUUGUUAUAUAUUUUUAUAUUUUUUAAUAUAUGUAUCAGAUCGGAUUCGAAUAGGUUUUUUAAAAUUUAAACUGAAUCCUACUCAUUCCAAUUGAAUAGAUCAAAAAACAUAAUAUAAUUUAAUUUAAUUCAACUUGAUUAAAAUUUACAAUAGUUGCUAAUGAAAAUGAUAGUUUUAGUACAUCAUUAAUAUUUUUAUAAUCUCCAUGAGUAAUCAUCAUUUAAUUAUUUUCUCAAUAAAAAUUUUAUCAUAUAUAUUCAUAGGGAAUUUUCUUUUUAUAAACAUAUUUGUAAUAUUUUUUAUUGAACAUUGCUAGCAUUCAUCUACAUGAUUGUAGUUAUAUCUCAUUUUUUUCAUCAUAUACAAUUUAAUUAUUUAAAUAAUGUGAAUAAUAUUGUUUCUUGAAAAUAAAAGUAACUUUUGUUAUUAAAACUAAUUUUUUAAAGUAAGAAAUUUUAUUGAUAUAUUAUAUAGAUUUUGUGAAAAUUCAUAUGACAAAAAAUGAGUUGCAUUAAGCCACUUGAAUGUCCAUGGAGAACAAGGAGGAACGGAAAGGAGAAGCAUUAGUGAAAAAAGUCAUGCGUCUAAAGAACAUAAACAACUAGGAAUUCCACUUUCAAGUUAUGAUGCGCCUCCCUGUGCACUAUGCACAUGUGUUACAUGCUAAAAAAAUCCCCCUUAAUAUUUCGAUCUAACUCUAUCUCUUCAGUUUUGUUUAACUUAUUAUGAUUCAUAUCUACUUAAUUUUAAGUUUUCAAUACUCACUAAUGUCAGGAUCAUUAGAGGUUUAAUUCAAAUAAUAUUUGUGCAAAAAAGACUGUUUACAAUAUAUCAAAUUAAUGCACACAUAUAUAUAACCAUGAUGUAAAAUAUGACCUAAAAGACUCCUAUUAAAAGUGAGUAAACUCUAUUAACAUAAGAAUUAUCACUUUAUAAAAUCUAAUAAUUCAUAUUUAUUAUAUUAAGAAUAACUUUUAUCAGUAACACUUAUUAACAAAUUCAUUAUAAAUAUUCUAAAUUAUUAUAAGAAUUAUCUGAUUAUUUAAUGUUAGAAGUGUAUUGACUUUUCGCUCGUAUAUAUAAUAAUUAUUUUUAUUAAUCCCGAAAGAUGAAAUUUUAUUAUCAUUAAUCAUCAAAAUCAUGUGUUUAGAAAAACAGGUAGAGAUCGUAUGUGCUUAUAUAUUUUUAGAAUUACGAUUUUUCUAUGGUAGGGAUUUAAUUAUAAAGAAACAAAAUAUAUAUUUAUUUUCUGAAAGCGAUGAAUUUAAAUUAAUGUGAACGAAAUACAUUAAGAUUUCCAAUUUGUUUUUGACAAUAAAUUUAAAUUAAAAAAUUUGUCGUGAGAUAUGCUUUCAAGUGGGCCAGCAAAACAGUUGAUGAAGGGGUAAGAGGAGGUGCAUGUACCAAUUCACGUGCCAGGUGUCAGAAGCUCCGGGCCGUCAGAUUAAGCGGGAUCAAUUUACGCUAACGUGGUGAAGCUGCAUCCUAGCAAAACCCUCCCUAACGGGGAACGCUUUCCGAGAUGGAUCAGGUACUGAAGCAACCUGCUUCAUGUGCUGGAAUUUUGUUUUAACGAACUUUUUCAUUUAUCUUUUUAUCACACAGUUAUUUAUUUCUCACUUCUUUUUUCUUUCUUUUUUUUUAAAAAAAAAAAAUUAUUUCUUACUUUUAAAUCUUUAAAUCUCAAAAAAAAAUUUACCCCCCCCCCGGGGUAAAUUUCUGAUUCCACAACCAUUCUUAUGUAUGUAUGUAUAUAUAUAUAUAUAUAUUCACUCUCUUGGUGUAGGUCACAAAAAUUAUUUGGGCCGAUGCAUGCAUGGAAGACAACUCAAGAUUCAACUUACGUACCCUUAAUGUUACGGAGUAGUAUAUAUUGUAUAUAAUGAUUAUGUAGGUAUAUAUAUAGAUGUAGCAACUAGGAAUAAUUAAACAGCUGGUUAUUUGAUUUGCUAUUUACAUUUUUUUACCGUGUCAGGGAGAACCCAGCAACAACUUAGUGCAAUAAUACCAAGAGACAUUGCAGGUUACUGUCUGCUAUCGUUUAUAUAGCCAGCUCCCGUAUUUGUAUACAUUGAUAUCAUUAUAAAUAUUGUGUAAGUUUGGUAUAUAGUUAGCACGAUUUUAAAUAUAAUAAGAUCCUAAUUAGCCUGCAUAUGGGACCUAUUCAGCACAUACGACCAUAUUAUAAAAGACAUAUAUUUUAAGUUGAUCGAUAUGUGUUAAAAUANNNNNNNNNNNNNNNNNNNNNNNNNNNNNNNNNNNNNNNNNNNNNNNNNNNNNNNNNNNNNNNNNNNNNNNNNNNNNNNNNNNNNNNNNNNNNNNNNNNNNNNNNNNNNNNNNNNNNNNNNNNNNNNNNNNNNNNNNNNNNNNNNNNNNNNNNNNNNNNNNNNNNNNNNNNNNNNNNNNNNNNNNNNNNNNNNNNNNNNNNNNNNNNNNNNNNNNNNNNNNNNNNNNNNNNNNNNNNNNNNNNNNNNNNNNNNNNNNNNNNNNNNNNNNNNNNNNNNNNNNNNNNNNNNNNNNNNNNNNNNNNNNNNNNNNNNNNNNNNNNNNNNNNNNNNNNNNNNNNNNNNNNNNNNNNNNNNNNNNNNNNNNNNNNNNNNNNNNNNNNNNNNNNNAAUUAAUUAAUUAUGGUGUUAGCGGAUUAAGAAUAAGAUAGAUGCAUAUAAUGUAUGUAUAUGUAUAUGGAAGAUGUGUUUUACAUAAUUAUAUUUAUAUAUAUAUAUAUAUAUAUAUAAAGUCCCAAGAAGACAUGUUCUCUGCCAAGAAAAGUUGGAUUGGAUAAAAAGAAUCCAGGGUAAAGAGAUCUUGCUGUUGGGUUGUUUUUAACUUGCAUUAUCACAGUUGCACCACCUUAUCUUCUUCCCCACAUCUCAUUUAUUUUUUUAAUUUUUUAAUGUUCCUUUUGUAGCAUUAAAUACUCUUCUAUACAUACAUACAUACAUACAUAUAUAUAUAUAUAUUUUAAUAUUCCUUUAUUGCUUCUCCCACUUUCUUCUCCACCCUCCUUUCCUCAUCGGGAAUUGAAGGCAGCCUGAGAGAAAAAGCAAACAAAACCAUCAUUUUUAUUAUUACUCAAUAUUUUAAUACCAUUAUUAAUUAAUAUAUAUAUAUAUAUAUACGCUAUAUGGUCCCAAAUCUCUCUCUACAUGAUUUUCAACACUUCAAAUUGUAUAUAAAUAUAUAUAUAUAUAUAUAUAUAUGAUCAGACAGUCAAAAGCAUCUUCUUCUUUUUUUAGCCUGUGCGUAAAUUUAUCGCUACUACCAUACGCCAUUCAUCUUCUAAGGAAAAGAGUGUAGGAGGAGAAUUUUGAAUGUCCAGCACGCUUUAUUUUAUUAUAGUUCUUGCUUCCUCCUUCCUCCUCUUCUUCAUAGCUUGCGUGAUCAAAUUGUGUUUUCUCAUUUCACAAAUUUGCUUGCUGCCUUAAAUGCCAUGCCAAAUACCAAAACAUUCUGGUGGAAAUUGAAUCUGAUAAAUUACCCUUAUGCAACCUUUGGUUAAAUAUAAUAAAAGAACGUUAACCCAAUAAACUAAAUUAAAAAAUAGUUUAAGAUCAAGGCAAAAUAUAUUGAUAUCUUAUUUGAUUAAUACAUUUCUUCUAUUGAAUUGUUUGAUAGUAAAUUAAUAAUAGUACAAAUUAUAUGUUAUGUGAUUAUUAAAAUGCUCUUUUUAUACUUUUUUUUUUUAAUUUCAAAUUAUUAAUGUAUUGUCCAAACUAAUUUUAUUGUAAAUUAAAUUAAUUAUAAAUAUAAUUUUUUGAUUUUUUUAUUUUAAUUUAGUAUAAAAAUGAAAAAAAUUUGACGAAUGAUGAAAUUGAAAAUAAUUUUAGAAAAAAUGGAUCAAAAUUUAGAUUAUACGGGUAUUUUUGAAAAAAAAUCGGAAACCGGGGGUCGAAAUACAAUUUAAAAAAGUUUUACCACGUAAGAUGUCCGGUCAGCAGCCCCGACGAACCGGGACGUGUCGCGUGGCAGUGGAUGCUGACGCAGUGCCGCACGGGCGAUCUGCGUGUCCGCAAUUGAAUGGCUCAAAUUCGUUUCCACACGCACAAACGGUCCGGAUGCAUUUCCUCCCCAAACGUGAUCGAACAAUCAGAUUUAAACGCGAUCGGACGAUACAGAUUAGAUUGCGAUGAAUGGCUCAGAUUAGAUCGCGAUGAACGGUCCAGAUUCACUCCCUAUUUAAUCGCGAUCAGACGGUUUAAAUCAAAUACGAUGGACAAUCCAUAUUAAAAGGUGACGAGUAUAAAUAACCAUCUUUCAUACCAAACCCUAACCCUAGCUGCCAAUCACCCUCGCCGAACAGAAGACAAGUCGCCGAGAGGAGAGCUGCCGCCACCCGCUGCCGUGCCAGAACUACUUCCGACUACCAAAAGAGGUAAAAAAAAAAAUUUUACUCGAAAUUUAAUUUUGAACACCCCCGUAACCAAAUUGGAGCAAAAGGACCGGUCAAUUGGUCGCGCUGCCGUCACGAAAAAUUUCACAAAACGCCUCCGAUGAAGUCCUUCCCGAUUCCCAUUCUGCAUAAUUUUUUCACAAUUGUGAUUACCGUUUCCUUCUCUACAUGUUGACUGGAGCAAAACACCCAACUACAACGUGAGCUGGAGGAGCUGCCGCACCGGAGAGCGCCGCCACCGGUAAGUUUCGAUUUUUUGUGAUUUUUCGGUCAACCGAGACCUCUUAACGUAUUUUCUCGCAGGUAUUGAUGCAAAACCGACUAAAUUCGGACAAAAAUUCAAGGCGCCGUGCCGAAAAUUCAGAAUUAGCCAAAAUGGGCCAUGAUACUGAUUUUGGGUUGUUUGGGAUAUUUGUAGAUACGUAUAAAGUGUUUUAAUUCUCGAAGAAAAAUUUAAGGAACCUGAGGACCACCAGUAGGCGCAAUCAAUAGCUUAGCCUUUCGAGCAUCAAAUUGAGUAAGAAUCCAUCAUCUUAUUCUCUGUUAUAGAAUUGAAAUCUAAUUAACAAUAAAUACAGUAUUUUGUACAAUUUAGAAAAUAUUCAUAAUUAAUUACGGAUUGCUAAUGGAGCCAUAACCGAAAAUUAUUUACUGUUGUUCCAUUGAUUGUUUUUACAGUUUAAAUAUAUGAUAGUGCUUUAUUGAUUGAUUUUAUCGUUUUGAAUGCAUAUGUUGUUGUUUUAUGUGUUUACGGUUGAAUUAAAAAAAUGGAGGUUAAAGGUAAACGAAAAAUUUUUGUGAUUAAGUGAAUGGAUGAAACGACAGUCUCAUUAGAUAUCCUCGGAGAUGGUGGACGGAACGUGUAUAUAGAAAAUUCUACCGUGAACGUUGUCUCAUACCGGAUGGAGUAUCAAGACUUGGUAAUUUGGCGCUCAUAACGGACGGGGUAUAGGAACGACUCGCUUCACCCUCAUACCGGACGGGACAUUGAGAUUUAGUAAUUUAGCGCUCAUACCGGACAGGAUAUGAGGAUGGCCCGAAAUUGAGAAUGUAUAAAGAAAGAGUUCAUGCGUAGUGGAGAUAUCCCUAUGGACCCCCAUGAAUACCAGUAGGCUGGUGAAAAAAUGGCAGUUGUUGGUUUAAUGAUUUGAAUAUGGAAGUAUAAUGUGUGUUAUGUUGCCGACUAUAUAUAAAAUCAUGAUAUGUAUAAUGUUAUUGUUUCUAUAGAUUAUUUUUAUUAUUGAUAAAUAAAUUUACUUAAUUAAGUGUUCUAUUAAUUAUUUUAAUUUUCUAUCAAUCUUAUUUUCUGUGUCAGUGAGUUGGGGUAAUAUUCUUACUAGAUUAGUGUAAAUCAUUCCUUAUUUAAUUACUUCAAUUUAAAAGGACCAGAAUCCAGAACCCGAUCCACAAGAGAGUUACGAGUAGAAUACUAGUUUUAUUUACUUUCCGCUUAUUUUUUUUUUUUUGUACUUCUUUCAAAAAGAUCAUUCCUGUAACACUAUUCGGUAUUUUAAGUUAUUGUGUAAAUAAUAUAAAUCUUAAUUUUUUAUUACACUUCCGCACUUAAAUUAUUAUUUAAUUUUUUUAAAUAUUUUCGAAAUAGUUACAAUUAAUAUGACUAUGAAUAGGUUAAUACUUUUUGUUAAAACUAUUAUUAAUUAAUUGUUCAUCAAGAUAUAUAUAUAUAUAUAUAUAUAUAUAAUAUAUAUAAUGGAGAAAAGUUAGUACUAGGCUAUAAGCUAGAUUAACUAGAAAAUAACCCAAAUUAAAUACCCUAAUAAUCUAAAUAUAGUCUGUUUUUAAGUUUAUAAUUAAAGAAUAUAACUGUACGUUUUCUUUAAGUAAAGUAGGAUCAAUUAAGGUUUAAAUGAAACUUUAUUUGAGAAUUAAUUAUAAUAAAGACUGUAAAGAAAAGUAUAAACCUCACUCUUGUUUAGUUAGACAAAGUAAAGUAUAUUAUAUACAAAUUUGGUCAGUAAAAUAAAACUAAACUUAUAAAAAAUAAAAUAAAAUAGUUGUGAAGCUGCUGCAUACAUGGUAGGAUAUUUUAAAAAUAUAUAUAUAGCUUUUAUAAUAUUAAUAAAAUAAUCCUAACCCCUUAAAGGAAUUAAAGGUAAAUUAACAAGUAAUCUGCCUUAUUAACCAACCGGUAUCCAUACGUGGGAAAGAAGCACUAACAAUCAAGAAUAUGACAUAUUAAGGGUAUCGUACUUGUAGAAUUUGUCAGAAACUUAGAACUCAGCUGUAACUAUUUUAAUUAGCCAAAAGUAUGAGAUUUAAUUUAACUACAACUAACAGUCGAGAUAUGACGCUUCUUUUUAGUAUGGAUAAGUGCCGUUCGGGGCACUUGUUCAAAAGCUUUGGGCCUUGAUUUAGAGUCCAAUGCUCAAUGGUCUAAAGAAGACAAACCAAAGGAGACUGAAAAACGAGAAAAUAUAAGAAUGCUGCUUAUGGGACAAAUGGACUUAUGAUUAGCCCCUACAAGCACGAAUAGUCUUCAUACAACUUAAAUAGUUCCAAACAAACCAAUGGCAAUAACACAGGAUUGAUUAUCCACAGACAAGUUUGCUAUCUUAUUUUCAUUAAUGGUAUGAUAAAAAUUCAGAUGACUUUCUAAAACUAUUAAUUUAAAUAAAAUAUUACAUUAGCUUAUAUCCAUUAUAUCAAAUUUCUCUAAAAAAACAACAAUCCGCUAUUCCAUGAAAGAUGUUGGUACUAUCAACUAAUCAUAAUAAAGAAGUUUAUUUUGUGGAAUUCUCACUUUCCGAUAAUAUCUCCUUUCAUUCAAAACUAAAUAUGCAUGAACUUUCCUAAUUAAGUCAUGCCAUAAAAAUAAGAGUUAGAAAGUGAGGUAACUGGAUUAUGGAGAUUGGUCAUACCAGGCUGAAGUUCUGAAGCUCUUGGCUGCAGUUUAACUUGGAACCUUCAAUCCAGAACUCAUGCAGUCAACUUAAUCACAUGACAUGACAUUUCUUAUUGCCAAGAAGAAAAACGCACUACAUAAGCUGCAUCUUCAAGAUUAAGAAAAAGAAAUCACCGUGCAGAAUAACUGCCACAUGCAAAUUUAAGGUUGUUGAGGCAAAACAUUUUGCAUGUCUAAACAUGCAAACAAUGUUUAUGAAUUUUGGGAUCACAGUAUCAAACCAUGACAUCCUCUGAAGCACGCGGUAGUAAAUUUCCUUCUGCACUAUAAGUUAGGAAGUAACAUUAACCAGUUUGGAAAAAAAAGAAAAGCAUGUAAAAUCUCUUAAGUGUAUAAAAUCAAAGAAAAUGAGAGGAUGAUACAGCAGAAUCCUGGAAAUUUAAUCAUAGAAGCGAGACAGUAUCUUCCACCAAUCAAUAAUCUUGUCCAUAAUGGAGGAGCUGAAAUACUUUUCUCCACAGUUUACAACAUACAGAACACAGAUUACAGCUUAAUGCUAGAAGGUCAUUGAGAAGUAUGAAAUGCUAAGAAAAUCCUCAAAUUGAUGGAACCAGUAAUAGUUAUUUGGAAUAAAGAUAAUGAAGAAUGCAUUUGAGAAUAUUUCCAAGAUUGCCAGUGACAAAAAAGACAUGCCAAAUUGUCGCGGAGUGGUCAAAAAGUUUUUUAUAAGUAUAUCAUAGAUUUAGAUUAUUGUCCUAAAACGUCAGCUAUAUGCAGAGAACCUAGUCAAGAACAACCAUGAAAGAUGAGGAAUUAUAGUCAAAGGAGGCCCUAUGUGCUUGCGUGAGAAUGCAUCCCUCAACCAUCUUCUUCUUCGUCUCCUAGAGGCUUGAAGGUUAUGGAGUUCAAGCAUUGUGUUUCUUAAUGUGUCUUGGGUAGUUGAUCCUUUGUUGACGGAUGAGAUUUGGGCCUAGAAUUGCAAGACCGAAAAGAAGCUUAUUUCGGUCUUCCAUUUAAGUGAUUUGAUAAGAGAGAAAACAAGAGGAUGAUGCACAAUAAGAUCUUAACUUAGAAUACUAUUAUCUUAAACUUGUUUAGUUUAUUUAGGUAAAUUUUGAAUCUUAUUGUGAUUUAAAAACUUCUUGUAGCAUAUCCUUCCUCUUGAAAAGGAAUAGAACUUUCUUUCUUAAUGAAAAAAGGGAAGAACCCCAAGUCAUUGCCUUUUGCUCAGCACUUCCUUUCACCAAUUAGAGACCUUCAACUGGUUACUCCAGUAAUUCUAAUGUUCCAACUCAUAAGAUUGCCGCUAGAUCAAUGAAAAACGACAUUCUCAAUCACAUCAACGAUCACUAGCCCCAAAUUUAAAAAUAUUGCUUCUAGAAGAAGCCAUACUAGAAGCUCAAGCUCUAAUCGCCACCAAGAGUUGGAGACAUCGACGUACCAGACACCUUUGACUUAUUUUUCAGGAAUUUAAGCUAUGAAUUAACCAAUUUGCUUCAUUAGAUGCCUUUGUUCUAACAAACUGGUUCAAACAUGGUGCCUAAGGUUUUCCGGCAGGUUUUUAUUGUUCUUUUUAGGUUUUUGGUCAUAUUUGCACCAAAUACACAUCUUCAAAGCAUAUUAACUACCAGAGCAAUUAAGAAUGUUCAAAGGUGAUAGCUUUAACAUGGAGCCCAAUAAUUCAACACGUAGUUACCCAAUUAGAAAGUAUAUAUUAGAUCAAGCUUUUGGCUAUAUAGAUGCAUACAGAACAUUCAAAUACUUCCAUCUAAUCAAGUUCCACUUCAGUUUCAAUGUCUUAAAAUUGAUAUCUAUGCCAAAAGCUUUCCAAUGGUCACUGCAUUUAUGAGAAUUGUUAUCAGCUGGAGAUUGAGUAUGGUCCAAGUUUAAACUCAAAUAAAAAAUUUUGCAGAUACCGUACAAACUUCUUAACUCGAGCUUAAAGCUUUGCCAAUAGUAUGUUUGAAGAAGUGAAGAUUGAAGUUUCUCCUCCUUUAAGACAUAUAGGUAUUUACAGAGAUUGCACACUGACAAUAGGAAAACUAAGUAAUUGGAAAAAUAGCUAUAUAAGAAAGACCCACACUAGAAAAUAACUGUGCAAAAUAGAUAAUAUAUUGUAACACACCUCUCACAUUUGGAGCAUAUAUGUCAUAUAUAUCAAAGUUUGCUACAAACAAAAUUUACACAAGCUAAGAAUAUGCAAACAUAUCAACUAGUUGGUCUCCUAACUGCCCGUAAGUAGUCUAAAUCGCAUCCUGUCAAAGUUUUUCUUAAAUAAAAUGAUAAUUAGGCUCCAUGUGUUUAAACCAGAUUGGAAGCAAUAUGUAUUGCAACUUCGCCAACACAUAAUAAAUCCAUUGAUUGUGAUUGUAGAAAAUCAAGCUCAUGAGAUAGAUGUUUCAACCAAAUUAACUCACAAGUGAUAGGAGUCAGAGUUUGAUAUUCUGACUCAACAGCAGAUCUGGUAACCACAGUUUGCUUCUUGCUCUCCGAAUACACUGUGUCACCAUCCACAAAAAUAUAGUAACCUACCAUUGAUAAAUGAUAAAAAAGAAAAAACUAAACCAACCCAAUCAGAAUCUUAUAUAUUUGGAUUUAAAGUAUGUACAUAACUCUAACAGAGCAAUCCACGACGUAAUACACCUUUGAGACAUCACAAGAUACAUAAAAUGGCCUCCCAAUGAUUUCAGAUAACUAUCCCAUCUGCCUACAGCUGAACAGGUUAGCUAGGCCCCAUCCUUUUCCAGUUUGAAAUUAGAUAAGUUAAAGAUGGAAGACUUUCUAGACCUAAUUCUCUUGUGAUGAGGUGAGUCGUCGUUGGAGAAUUUAGCUAGUCUUCAAAUCUCUAAGAAACUAGCCAAUAUAUAAGAAACUAGCCCGUGUGAAAUUACGGCUCAGCAAGGAAACUCUUAACUUCAACUUGAGGCUGCCCCAUCAUAUCCCCAUCCAAACAUAAAUAAAUAAAAUCAGUCAUGAUCGUAAUUUUUUUUAAUAAAAGAGAGCAACAAAUUGAACAGUUAAGAUAAAUGAAGACAAGGGAAAACUGAAGGCCUUGGACGAGAGCCAGUAAAGGACAGAGCCAAAGGAGGUGGAGGGAUGGCAGAGCUUGGAGGAGGCAAGGAAACAUGGCCAACAGCAGACAACCUGUGUGGGAGCAAUGCACAUGAUUUGUAAUGGAGUUGUCUGCCCCUGUUUAUAGAACCUAGCACCUACUGCCACCAUCAACUGACAAUGAUACAAGCAUUAGUGACUCCAUGUAUUUACCAUCAAAAUCUCUUCAAUAGAAGAGAUGAAUGUUCAUUUAUAAGGUGGCCGAAUUAUAGGUAGUUGGAAGUUGCUGUACCACGUUCGAGUUAUCAUAAACAACCUCACUUUUUAUUAGAAUACAACUUAGGUGGAAAAAACAUUCAUACAAUAGAUAAACAUUUACCCAGUCAUGGUGGAGUUAGAAAACCAAAUUAACAAUCGGUCAUACAGAAAGACUGAAGAAUAGAAACUAAAAUAAAAUAAAAUAAAAUGGUGAUAAGCAUAGAGUGGACAAAGAAAAUUCCUGAUUAGGGCCUAUAUGAAAGUGUCCUAGUUGGGUGAAUAUGUAUAUUUGACAUUCUCAAAACUAAAACUUACAAAAGACAAAAGAUUAAUGAUUACAAACCAUAACUAAGGGGGGGAUAACUAAAAACAUCCAAAAAGUAAUAGGAAAUCCUAAUCUCUAAAAGUAAAAUAAAGAUCUCUUUUUCAAAUCUGAUUUCUGACAAAAGACUCCAUUCAGAUCUAGUUUAUCCAUUUCCAACAACCACACAAAAGAAAGGAAAUUGGCAAAGAAGAAAACUCAAACCAAAUAAAAAUGAAGGGACAUGAUGCAGAAGAGAAUUAAUACCCAUUUUAUCAAUGAAAUAAGAUUCUAAACAGAAACACUUCUAAGUAGCAGAAAGAAACUCAUGCCCACAUGAUACUUCAUGAUUUACUCAUUUUCCGAAAACUCAAACCAUUCAUACAACUCACUAUUAAUUACAAAAGAAAGUCUGACGAUACCAAAACCUAAAUGUGCUAGACCUAAAAUUGUGGAAAAUGAAGAAGAACUUAUCCUACUAAAUGUUGCUAGCUAGGAAGUUAAAUGAGUUACUUGGCAGAAACAUGCACAAGAGACUACGUGAAUUUCUUGUAGUUUAUCUAACUCAAGCAGGGUUGGUUGGUUUAUCAAAUUUUUGUGCAGAGAAACUAAUUACAAUGCAUGACAAGUACAUGAAACUCAAGAUUUAUUCUGGGAAAAACAACAAAUAAGAGAAAAUCAGUUAUUUAAAGCUCAACCAACCACAAAAUGAUUCAAAUAAACCAACUUAAUAUAAAAUCAGGAAAGCAAGAUUAAAACACACUAAACAAGCGAAACUCAAUCCUGCAACAUAACUCUCGCCAAUCCAUCAUGAGGUUAUGAUGUCCAAUCAACUGAGCCAGAAUUGAUGAGCCAAGGGACAUUACCAUACAAUGCCAUUAAAAAAUUAACAUGCCUCACACUCCUAAGAUUCAAACCCCAAUUCUAGUCUACGCCAGACCUAACCUAAUGUACAUAUUGCAUCAUACUUUGAAUUUCAAAUUCUCACUUUCUACAAACUUGGGGAAAAAAAUCAUUAACCCCAGAAAAUGCAGAAAGUCUCUUGUAAGAAUAUAUGUAAGACCCGUGCAUCCUAAUCAAGAUCUUUGUCAAGCAAAGGAAAGACAUGCUAACUAGACCUAGUACUCACAUGACAUAGAAGACAAGCUUAGCAAUGAAACUGAACUAAAAGUUCGACAAAACAGAGAUUAAACUACCUCAAAAGGACGAAACAUCACAAAGCUUUUAAAAGAAAUAGAUAGAUGUACAUGCCCUCAUUUGAAAACGGAAUGUCAAGUCAGCCCCAAAUUUUAAUAUUUGACACCUAUACAGUCCAGCUUUCACUUCACGAAUCAGUUGCUGCUCGAAAAUACCUAGGUUUUGAAAGAAUAAAUUGAAGUCAGCCUACGGCUUAUAUGUCAGGUUACAACCGAAGUAUAAGUAUGACCUAUGAAAAGAAUAAAAGCAAAUAUCAUUGCUGCAUUGAACCGUGGAGGAUUGAAGGACCCAAAUAGAUUUCGGCCAAAAACAUACAUUACAAAGCAAGCACUAUUGAAUCCUAAAACUCGUGUCAAAGUGAACAAACCACAUCUGGUAAUGAAAUAAGAAAAAAAGAUCAAAAGAGGGAAAUGCAAACUUCAAGCAAGCUGACAGACACUAUCAAACCGUGGACGAUUAAAACCAUGAUAAUAACAACUGCUACAGCAACAAUAAUAAUAAAGGAAAAUUCCAAGAAACAUAUUCAAAGGGACAUGAAUGCUCGGAGAUAUGAUUUUACCUGCUUGUAGAAAACCGAGACUCAAGCUGCAGUUCUGGUGAGGACCGAGACGCACGAAUGCGAAGGACAAAAGAUCAGAAAGGUAGACAUGGCGCGCCUGAGCUCCCGCCGGUUGAAUACAAAAAGAUGGAGAUGUUGGAGUCGAAGAUGAAAUGAAGAUUCAAAAGAUAAUAGCAUCAUAAACCAAGAAGGAUAGGAGAGGGAAAAUUUGCAGUAGUUUGUAGGAGUUAAUUCAAUUUCCAUGUAAUGUUCGCUCGAAUAAUUUACUCAACUCAUGUAGUAAGCGUGCAAAGAAGAAUAAUUUUCGCUCGAGACUGUUGGCGGCAGCUAUUGUUAACUGGUUGGGCUUUCGUUGGGCAUGGGCUUGGGCUUGGGCUCGGGCUUGGGCUCGGGCAUCUUUAAUUAAAUGAUAUGGGUUGAGGAAUUAAGAUAGAUUAAAACUCUUAUAACUAUAUAGUUUCUUAAAUUAUUAAAUUAUUUAUUAUAGACUACCCCAUAUAUGAAAAUCCAAAUAAAUUCCAUAAAAAUUCCAAAAAUAUUACUGCUGAUAUCCUCUUUUUGGAUGAAAGGGAUAUCAUAAUUUUUAAAAAAUUUUAUUUUUAAAAAAAUAAUUAGAAGCAUGUAUGUUGUACCCACAGUGGUCUGCAUGGUAUAAAGAUAUAUAUAUAUAUAUAUAUAUAUAUAUAUGGAAAUUGUCAUUAAAGUGGCGUACAAAAAGAAAUGUGAAGAGGCGUCAGUAAAGUUGGCAUUUUUUAUAAAUUAAAAUAGCUAAUUUUUUUUUUUUCUCUUUUUAUUAUCUUUACUUUAUAAUUUUGCAAAUUCGCUUCUUCUAUUCUUUUAUCUUCAUUAAAUUUUGUUUUUAAUAAAUCACUUUAAAUUUUAAGUUGAUAAUAUUUCAAAACAAUAACUCAGUUCUUUAUAUAAUAUAUUAAAAAUAUAGAUAUAAUAUGCAAAAAGUAGUUUGUGGGAAAUUAUAAAUUUUGGGAAAAAAAAAAAAAAAAAAAAGUAAAAUGUUUUAUUUUGGGGUCCAAUACACGGCUGUUGAGAGCAAAGCAUUUGUACACAAAAAGAGUUGCUCUUUUAAAGCAUCUUUUACCGGAUGAUCCGUAUCCACUUUUGAAGACCCAUCACCAACGCACGCUGCUUUAUUAUUAUUAUUUUUUUUUCCUCUUGCACACAUUACAAAUUAUGUAUAAUAAUGAAAAAUCUUCAUCGAACAUCACACGUUCGGCUUGUAGUCACGUGCCACAGCAGCAGCAUCACACGAGAAAAGACAAUGGGUGAAACGGAGGAGUAUCUAUAGUGGCAAGAGAACUAGGGUUAGGGUUUAAAAAUUUACAAUUUAAAAGGAAAGGGUAUGAUUGCAGAACGACAAAGAUAUCCUAAGAAAUGUGUCUAUAUACCUACUUUUCAAUAUCAUGACUCUAUGAGGACUUUAAAAAAUAGAUGCUUCUUUUAAUUACUUUCGCUUUCCCAUCACAGAGUUUCUGUGUUUUAUGCGUUAAUAUCCCCAUGAAAAUGCAUAAACAACAACCGAGAAAAGCAAAGGCCCUGUAGUCAAACUUUAUCUGAGAACUUUACUUGUAUGGGUAUGUUGUACAAGAGACAAGUAAAGCCAAUAAAGCAGAUGGGUUUUUGGGCAAAAGUGUUUUUUAUUGUUUUUUUUUUUUUAUCUACCAGUCAAGCCUCUUGUUUUCUUUAUUUGUGCGUGUGUGUGGAAGAAGCAAAAAGAGGUUGGAACUAGUAAAAGAAAAAAGAACACAGGAGAUGGAUCCAAGGAUAGUUUUCAAGAUGUUGAUCGGAUAUACUUAAAGUAGGAAAAGGCAAAGGUUUCUGGCCUUCUGGAGAAGAGUAUAGAAGCAUUGAUGGAAACCUUUCAAUUUUACAUUUUUACUCACUUCUCUUAUAUUUCGCUUUCAUUCAAUAACUCACUCUCUAUUCUCCUUCUAUUAUUAUUUUCAAAAAACCCCAGAUUUAUUUUUGUUUCUUCCACUGCGUGACUGACAGACAGUUCAUAGAAACGAGAAAGAUAGAAAAUUAAUAAUAGCAUCCAUUAAGAAAGGAUACAUGAUAACCUUCUUUUUUUCUAAAUCAUAAGCAUGCUUUCUUUUUUCUUGGCAAUAAUAAUAAUCAUAAUUACACUGCUAAUUGGAUUUUGAACGUAUUAUCAUUUGGUGUCAGCUGCUCUUUCUUUUUUUUUUUAUCGGUUUCUGAAUUUAAAUGCUUCCAGUUUUUAUUCUUUUUCUCUCUUCUCAAAGAAAGAAGCCAGGGUUGUACGUAUCACCCAUUAAUGAGACUAAUCAGAGAGAGGCCUAGAGAAAUUGUCCAUGGAUAUCAACUAGCCCUGAACCUUCUCAGCCUUUUCUUCACUACCCAGAACUGAAAGGAAAGUCAUCAUCAACAUGCUCCCUCUCCCUCUCCCUCCUUUGUCUUGCUUGCAUUUAUGUGAGUGAAACAAAGAUACAUAUUCAAUAACAAAUUAAAAAUUACGAGAGAAAAAGAGAGAGAGAGAGAUCUGCUUCCAUCCAAGAGCUAGGAAGCACUAAACUGCACCAAUUAAAUUGAAGAAACAGGAAAGAGAUGAUUGAUGUUUGGUGAUUCUGAACUGGCUAGCUUCAAUUUUUUCGAUGAUCAUUCAUACUUCUUACCAAAAGCCACCUGCAUUCAUGGCUGGGCAGGGAAUAGAAGACAAUGAUACCGGCAGCACUAAAGUUAUAUACACAGCUACAAACAUUCAGACGCACGCACUCACAUAUUUCAUCAACAAUAUUAUCAUCAAGACUCUCUAAGGAAGAACAAGGAAUCAAAAAAGAAAAAUAAAAAAUGGAAACAGAAAAUUAACUAGAAGAAAAAGAAGUAAGAAGCUAAAGAUAUAAUAUGAAUGGUUAUGAUGAGGAAAUAUUUAAACUAACAUGUUGAAGGAGGCAUGAGAUUCAACCCUAGGUCAUGAUCCUUUUCUGAUAUCAACCGAGCCUUGUUAGUCUCCGCAGUAGCCUGAGCAGUACCAUAUUCUGGGUGCACUCUCUUCUUGGAUUGCAGAGGAACGCCGAAGAGCUUGGUUUUGCAGUUAGGCUCUUCAAGAAUCGUCACAGUGCUCUGUGAUGUGUUGCUUGGAGAGUUCAAGACCUGAACUUGAGCAGAUGUUUGCUUAUUACUGUUAGUAGGAUAAUACCCAAGAAGAUGGUUCAUGGGCUUCUGCACCAGGGAACCGUUAACAAUGGAAGCAGGCGUGGAGGACGGCGGGUUACAAAGAAGCAAAGAGGAGGGGUAAGAAUUGCUAGGAGCAACUGGCUUGACAUGGUUCUGAACAAAGUAGAUGAUAUCAUUAUAAAGCUUUUUCAUAUGUGCAAGCUCCGACAUGAGCAUGUUGUUGCUUCUCCUCAAUCUCUCGUUAUCCUCCGUCAAAGCGGUGAAGGAAGUGUUGUAGCUGCCGGCGAGACCACCGACGGUACGUCCUGUUGGAGAAGAGAGGGGUGGGGAGUCGCACCAGUUGGGUUGGUCGUCGGAGUCGGAGGGAGAGAUGCUAACUCGGCUGGGGAAAGGGAAGAAAGUUGGGCCAUUGACAUGAGGGAGUGGAGAAGAAUGGGGAUGGUGAUGGUGGUGGUGGUGAUUUAUGGCUACCUGCGGCUGUGCUGUUUUCCUUCGGUGGAUCUCACACAACAAAUGCUUCUCUCCCUUCUUGAAGAACUCGUUUGCAAACUCCCAUCUGUCAGGUACAAUCUUCCUAAAACCCUAGUUCCAUCAACCACCCAAAAACACAAAACCCAAAUCAGUAAAGCCAUAGAAUUAAUAUAUAGCAUAGAAGAAAUGUAGGUAGGUGGGUAUAUAUAAUAUACAUAGGUGUUAAGCUGACGAACAAAGCUGGAGAAGUUGUUGUGCUUGAAGUAGUUGGGUAGGAGGUCACGAGCGAACUCAGGAGGACGCCAGACGACGAAGGUGGUGUCGUCUUCACCCCAAGAGACUAUAUGAUCAGUAGAUGGAUCAUCUACCAGCUGAUAGGUUUUGGUGAGGAAAGGUGCUGGCACAGAUUUGUGUGAAUCAAGUGAGAGUAAUAUGCCCUCACAGUUAUCUAACAUGAGAGCAGCCAUUAAUCAAACCUACCAAAUUCCUCUUCCUUCUUUUCCUUUUUCCCCGUUGGUUUCUGAAUGAAAGGUGAAUGUGAAAAUGUGAAUACUGAACCGGAUGGAGAUGGAUAAAAACGUUCUAGUUGGAGAGAGAGGGAGUGGAUGUGUGUAUAAUUUUUUUUUUUUUUGAAAGUAAAAUAAAUAUAAAACUAAGAAAAGGGUAAAUGUAAAUAUAAUGUAUAGAAGCGUAUAUAUAUAUAUAUCUAUAUAGAUAUAAUAUAUUUGUUUCCGACCUCGGUUAUGUAGUGAGAGAGAAUAUGUGUCUGUGUGUCUAGAAGUGUGAAAUGAGAAGCUUUGGGGUUUCAAGACAAACCCGUGACUCUGACAAUCAUCCCGCGCACACCCACUUAAAAUCAGGAUGGAAAUUGACAAAUAUGCCACGCUUCCUUCUUUCUUCUUCCUUCUUCCUUCUUCCUUCUUCCUUCUUCCUUCUUCCUUCUUUCCUUUAUUACUUAUUAGUCAACCCUCCUUUCCUAUGUCAACAAACUUUCUUUUUUUCUUCUUUCUUUUCCCCUUUCUCAUUUUCAUCACCUCUCUACUAUUAUAUAUCUACAUAUAUUUAUACUCCUAUACAUGUAUACAUUUUCACCUUUCAAAUAAACCUUAAAAUUGACCCCUUUUCUUUUUUCUAAACAAAAAAAUUAAAUUUAACUUUAAAUUAUUGUUGUAAUCAUUAGAACCCUCGUAAUCAUAUUGUUUUUUUUAUUUAAAUACAUUAUUAUUUACUAAAAAAUUUAAUUUAAUUACUAUAAUCUCAGUAACGCAAUAAUAAAUUAGAAUCUAAAUUUUUUUAAAUCAAAUAUUAUGUAUCAAUUAUAAUAUAUAUAAAAAAUUAUAAUUUCUAAGUUUUUAAUAGAUUUUGAACUUGUUAUCUUUAAACAAAAUAUAAAAAUUUUAUAUUUUUUCAUGCAAACUCUUUUUCUCCCUACAUCUUUAACAUUCAAGUUCAAGAUGUACCUAACAAUGUAUAUUAUAAUAGGAUAAUAUUAAAGUAUAUAGCUAGAAAGUGGAUGGGCGUAGUAGUAAAAAUACACUUUAAAAUGUUAUGAAUAAAAAGGAAAUUUUAUUUGCAAAUUUGUAGUCUUGUAUUUAUUGUCUAACAUCACUUGAUUUUCUACACAAACAAUGUAUGUAUGUAUGUAUGUAUGUAUGUAUGUAUGUAUGUAUAUAUGUGUAUAUAUAUAUAUAUAAGUUAAAAGAUGCAUCGAACUACGUGAUGUGAUUUAAAGCCUGUUGUUUCGUGACGACAUUUCUUCUUCUUCUUCUUCUUCUUCUUCUUCUUCUUCUUCUUCUUCUUCUCCUUCUUGAUCUCCUCUUCCAUUUUCUUCUCUCAUAAUAUAUAUUCCAAACAUCAACACAUGCUCUCUGCUCAUUACAAAACCUUUAUCCACUAAAUUACAAUUCUAUAUAUAUAUAUAUAUAUACAUAUACAUAUAGAGAGUGUUAGUACCUUUCUUUUAGCUUGCUCUCAGCCUAUAUUUUUGGCUCUUGUUUUUCUCGGCUCGGCUUCUUGCGCUGACGUGUCUCAGGUGACUGAAUUAUUGGCCCCAAAAGUUGCUUCCAUCAAUAACUCUUUCCUUCUUUCUUUCCCAUUUUUCGUUUUUAAAAGAACAACUUUGCCUUUCUUUCUUGGAAUCACCCGAGAAAAACUAUUUGUUUUUCAAGAACGCAACACAACACAAACUAUAUACAUAGAGUCUCCCUCCUUACUUUCUCAGGGUAUUUUUCCUCACUAAAUUAUUAUUAUAUUCGAAAAUAAUAUAUGGGUAUAUUGUAGAAAGUGAAAAAAAAAAAAAAACAACAACAUAUAAUAUUACAAUUGGGUGUUAUUAAUUUCAAUAUAAGAGGGAACUAUAAAUGAUAAUAAUGAGCUUAGGUUUCCAUGAGUGGGUAUUGGGGGGGAAAUCCCUAUAAUUAAAAAGAAGUUUUAUGUUGAUUUACUGAAAUGGGGGGCAACCAGUGACAGUAGAAGUAGGGACCCAAAUCCAAAGGUGAAACAAAUGGAGAAAAUGAUGACUAAUUAUUUCACUUUGAUACUCAACUUAUUAUUUUCUGAUCAUUCUCAUGAUAUAUAUUCUUAAUUUAAACUGUCCCCAUAUACUAUAUCAUAUAUAUCUCACUAUAAUAAUGACUUCAUUCAUUUACCCAUUAUUUUCCUUGAUUUUUCCCAUCUUAAAAUCCAAAUUCUUCCUAAUAAUAACCCAUAUAUGUAUGUAUAUGUAUACAUAUAUGUACACACACACCCCCACUUAUCUCUAAAAAGAAAAAAAAAGAAAGAAUCUUCCUAAACAAGCCAAAUCUAACAUGACAACAAAAAUAAUGAAAAUAAGAAUACCCAAGCCAAAAUUUUUCCAGUUUUGCUAGGUUAUUUUUAUUUCAUACAAAAGAAAUUAUUGGGCAACCGCUAAUCGUGCAUAUUUGUAUAUAUUGAAUCUUGAAUCUAACUAAAUUGAAAAGAUAAAAACCAAACUUAAAUUUGUUUACAAUUUCGUAAAAUUUUCUUUCUGCAAUAUUAAUAUUAUAUUUUAACUCUUUGCAUCUUGUCCAGAAUUUAUGUAUUUUAUUCUUAAAGAUGGUUUGUGUUUCAUGAAUAAUAUUAAUAAAAACUGUGCAGAUCUAUAGUUACAGAAAUAUAUUCAUAUGGGUGAUAUAUACAAACGGGAAGAAAUCAAGUGACAUUAUGAUUAAAUCGCCCUUUACAUAAUUUCAACUUAGAGAGGGAGUAACUUUACUUUUGAUAGUCACUGCAAAUUUGCCUUUUCUUAAUUUAACUUGUAUAUUGCAACGGCUCGUUUCUAGCACAGAGUUCUUAUGUCAUGAGUUAAUUAACUACAAAAAUAAAAAGGCCAAAUUCCAAAGCAAAACCUUGCUUGUAUACAUACACGAUGUAGCUUGUAUAUAUCUAGUUAAUUAAUAAGCCAAAAUAGAUCAGUAGUCACAUGUGUGUUGUUGGGUGAUCAGAGAAAAGAUCAUCAUCAAGAGAAAACAAAAUUAAACAUUUUAGUUUUAAUUUUUGUAGCAUGUGACAUGAUUAUGAUUUUUAAAACUUAGUAUAUAAUAAAGUUUAAAAAACAAUAAGAAGGGAAUAUUGUCAGUUUCAAGUCCCGAUAUUCAAGUGUAAUUGGAAAUGCCUUUGAUGGGAAGGAUAAAUAGAUCACUAAUUGGCAUCCUAAUAGAGUAAACAUUAUGUAUAUGUAUAUAUGGUUGUGGAUUAUCAUCUUUGUAUUCUCUGCUCUCUGCUUCUUCUAAUUUCUUAAUCCUCCACCAGCCUUGUGUACUGAUCUGCAAACAUUUCGCAGCGGCUGACAAGGAGACAGCAGUAGUUUCUCUUGUUUAUUAAUGUUUGAUGGGUGUGUUGUGUGCAUGUAUGCCAUUCUCGUGAGUCCUUUUUUGUUGUUUUCCCUCAUAAAUACCAUUUAUAUAUUUAUUACUAUGCACGUAUUUUUUAGAUAUAUAUACACACACACACACAUAUAUAUAUAUUCGUGUAUUUACAUGCAUGCAUAUAAUUAAUUUCAGCUGGGAAUAUCUGCCUGGUUAAUAGCUCAACACACCCAUCGUCUCUAGAUGCUUCCCCAUAUAUUUAUGCUUAUUCUCAUCACCUUAUCCUUUUUUAUGGUUUUUGUAACUGACUAUAUAUAUAUAUAUAUAUUAUAAUAUGUGCUAUUUGCUGAUUAACCUAAUUAUGGGGAUAUAAAUACUUAUUAGAUCUGGUGGGUCCUAUGUCAUUCAUGAUCAGGAUCAGCAGUUUAUCGGGUACUAAUUAUAGUGGUAUAUGGUUUUGAUGGAUGAACAGCUAAUUAAGAACACAACAAGAAAGAAGAAAAAGAAAAAGAAAAGGAAAAUGAUGUACGUUAGAAAGGAUAUAUAUAUAUAUAUAUAUAUAUGCAGUGUGAGACAACUAUGAUAAUAUAGAGAGAGAGAAAUUAGGGGGCCCACAAAGUAUAUGGAAAUCUAAACCCCCAUCUCUCUACAAGUUGUCAGCAACUUAGACAGAUCCUACCGAGCCCACGAACAUCCAUCACUGCCAAAAUCCACAAAACAAGACACUCCAGUACUCUACUCUAUAGAUAUACAUAUACUUCACUAUAUACACACACAUUUACUCUAUGCAUAAAUACUUACUGUAUUUACUCAUAUACAGGUUGAUAAGAGCUGAGCUAAGAAGAUUCUAUUCUAACUUCUAAAACGCAGUGAAAGUGAACCCCACCCUCAAUUCUCACAUGACCACCGCCGAUUCCUUUCAGAAAAGAAGAAAAGAAAACUGCUUGCUGCAUGCUUAUAAUAUAUAUAUAUAUAUAUAUAUAUAUAUGCAGAUAUAUGUUCUUUUUUCUGGUAGGCUAGGAAGAUGAGAAAAAAACGAGAAUUCCAAGGAGAGACAACUUAAAAGACAUACUAAAAGUGUAUUAUAUGUAAAUUAAUUAAUGUAUAAUUUAAGCCAAAAGAAAAAAAAAAAAAAAAAAAAAAAAGAUGUUCAGUAUAGUAUAGGUGUGUGUGUGUGUGUGGGUGUGUAUAUAUAUCUAUAGGUAGCUCCACGUCUCUGUAUUUGUAAUUCGAAAGCGAAAAGGAAUCAAAAUGAGUAUUCAAUUAAGACAAAUGUACAAAGGUUCCUUCUUCUGUCUCUUGUUGCACUCUCUUUUGUCUCUUCCUCUGACCAUUUCUUGCACGACGAACAACAUACAGCCAUCCUCAAGCCUUAUUUAAAAAUAUAUUUGUCUGUUUAACCUCAUAUCUUACAACUUUCAUUUAUUUAUACACGCACAACAAAUGGCACCCACCUCUCUCUCUUCUCUCUUUUGCUCACAUAUAUAAAUAAUGAAUUAGCUAGGGUUGAGAGAGAGAGAGAGAUGUGUGGAAGGAAGAGGUGUUAGUCAAAAAGAAACAUGUGCAGAGAGGGAGUGGGUGGAUUUAUAUGUGAGAAUUAAAGAAAAUGAUGAAGAGAGGUCACGAGGGAAUGGAAAUUAGAUAUAAAUGAAUGGAGACAAGAUGAUCAUGUAUGUCUAUCGAUUUUACCAAUGAACUUGAGAAACCAAAGAAGAAAAAAAAAAAAAAAAAAAGUACCCUCGAAGCCUUACUAAUUUGUCCUUUUUUAUGUUAUGUGAUUGAAAUCUACUCCUUCUAAAUCACCUCCCUACUGAGUAAGUAAAAAAAAAAAAAAAAAAGUUUUGGCAGUGCCAUGUACUAUCACCACAGCAUUAUUAAUAAUGCAUUCAAUAAUGUGGAACGUCCUAUUCUUUUUGUUUCAGUAAUAAUUUUACACUGCUAAAACGUUACAAUUUUGAAUAUACUUUUCAUAUAUGUAAAUGUCAUAUCACUCCAACAAAAGGGUAGAAUAACUACAUAAUUUUAAUUAACUUAAUUCUAAUUAUGUUUCAUUAUAUUAAAUAACUAAUUAGUCGUUCUAGUUAAUUGGAAUAGGCAUGGAGAAAAAAAUUGCUUUGAAUAUUUCAAUCAUAUAUAUAUGAUUGAUAACAUGUAGUAAUUAUUAGAUGUACUCAAAAGUUUACUUCUUUACAAAAUAACUAUGAAAAUUCAAAAUUUUACCACAACUAUAAACCUAAGUGAAUAAAAAAGAUUCCAGUAUGAAUUUUAACCUAUGGUUAGACUUAGGUUCAGUAUAUAACUUGGGUGGUGGUGUCUUGCUGCAAUUCACAAUAAAAUUUUUAACCUUUUAAAAACUAGAGUUUAUAAAGCAUAAUGGUUUUAUUCUUUAUUAUUAUUAUUAUUAUUAUUAUUAUUAUUAUUACAUUUAUAACUACAUUUACCAGAAAUAAAUGUAUGAAUUUUAACAUAGUUAUAGAAGUAGUAAUAAAAAUUUCAUGAACAAAUUUCAUGAUAGGGUCUUGGUAAAUGAGAUAUCUGAAUUUUUCAGCUACUUGUUCUCUAACAAGUUAAAAUUUCAAACUUUGUAUUUUUUUUCUAAAGAAUUUUUCUUUAGAAAAAAUAAAUUUUCUCAAAAAUAUAGUAUGUAUAUGUCCACCAAAAAAUUACACCAAUAUACACACAUAAAAAUGUCUAAAGAAAGAAAGGUUGUUGAGAUUAAAACCACAUAAAAACAACAUUUUGUGAAGUAAAUUUAUAAACCCUAAAUAAUCACCGUAUUUACCAUCAAUUAAAGAUAUCGUAACUUAAGAUAGAAGAAUUAGUAGUAAGAUAAUAAAUAUCAACUUUAUCACUUUUAAGUAACUAACAAACUGAUUAUUCCAAAAACUUAAACUAAAAAAAAAAACAUAAUUAAUUGUUUAUAUUCUAAUGUAUCCCAUCACACAGGUGAAUAAACUGAGCCCACAAAUCGUGUAUAUGCAUCUCAAUCAUAUGCAAAGUUAAAUAAAAUGGGCUAUUAAAAUUUAAAUAUUGAACAUCCAAUUUUGAUACUAUCUUAAAUAAUUGAUUGAACUGAUUAUGUAAAAAGUUUAACUCGAUACGAAAUGACAUAAUUAAUUAAUUAUAUUUUUAAUCACAUCAUAACACUAGUAGAUAAUGUAAGAAAAAACUUAAUUUUCGCCAAGAAAGAAAGCAAUAAAAUAUUCUCAAUAAUAAUGGCCUUAAAAUUCACUUUCAAAGUGAGCAAUCUUAGAUAACAUUCUACUCUUGUGCAUAAAGGAAAAGAAAACAAAUAUAUCGAGACCAUUCAAAUUUAUAUAUAACUACUAAUAUGACACUCGUUACUCAAUGAUAAGUGAUAAGGUUUGGUGGAUUCUCUACUCUAUAUUUGCCAUAUAGAUCAUUUGUUAGUCAAAUUGAUUAGCUCCUAUUAUUCUAUUCCCCCCAUAUGAUCCCCUCUCCCCAUAAACUGCUAGUGCAAAGAUCAUUCAAAAAAAUUUUAACAGUUUACAUCCCCUAAUCAGACAUCCUUCAAAAAUCGUAUUUUUAUCCAAUUAUUAAUUACCAUAGAGAAAUCUGUUAUUGAAUUUUUUAAUUAUCGUAUAAAGGAGUAUAUAUUAACUUGAUGACAUUUUUCCACUCUGUUAAGGUUCUAACUGUUAUUUACGAUAUUGGAAGAUUUAAAGCUUAUGGGUAAAUAUAAGUUUUUUUUAUCACGGUCCUUGAAAAUGCAUUAUUCUCUGUACGAUGAAAUUAUUUAUAUAUCUUUGUUUCGUAUAUAUGUUUUCUUGAAUUAUUUGUUUGCACGAAGAGAAUUAAACUAUUUUGUUAAGUAAAAAAAUGAUUAUUAAUUAAAUUUGAUUGUAAGUUGAAUGUCAGUUUUUAAGUUAGGUUUGCCACGAUGCUAUGCCUUUACUAGAUAAUACUUGAUUUGCAAACCCUUCAUUUGUUACUUGGUUGGAUAUCUAGCAAAUGAUCUAAUAUAACACUAUUGGAUAUCUAGCAAAUGAUCUAAUAUAACACAAUGUAAUUUCAAUGCUUCCAAAAUUUAUAUAAGCAAUAGCUUUUUUGCUUAUUCUUCAUACUAAUUUGCAGGCAAAUUUAGUGCUUUGUAGAAUUAUAAGUUCAACAGUUUUUGAGUCACUAAGAGUUUAGAUUUUGAACUACAAUGCAUGUCGCAAUUAUAAUAAACAAUGAAGUGCUUUACACUAAAUAUUACAAUAACUUGAAUGGAAGGAACUUAAUAGCAAAACGACCCAGAGCAAUCAGCUAAUUGAUCUAAUUUUAUUUUCAAGGCCCACUACGUAAAAAAAUCACUACACUUGGUGUUUAUCUAAAAUUAGAGACGUGAUGGGAAGUCUGAUCAAAUACAUAUAAAUGGCAAAAAAGGAGGAGGCAGUGAGGUGAUCGUUAGACAUGGUAAGAUAGGGAAGAAUGUUUUGGUAAGAAACAUUAGAAAAAUGUUGUAUUUGAUUUUAGUUGAAUCCAUGCAAAAAGUAGUUGUAAUAUUCCCUGCACAAAAGACGUUAAAAAGCAGCUUCUAUCAGAGGCCUAAUCCCUUCAAAUGGGUCCAGAAAAUAAUUAAAAGGGUUUCCAUAUCAAAACAUUUAGACUUUCAUGGCUUCUUAUCGAUGCAACAAAGCUCAUUUUAACUCACUUUAAGAGACUAUAACAUUAAAAGGAUAGAACAACAAGAGACGUCUUUCCAUUCCACUAUCCUUCUUCUUUUCUUUCCUUUUCUUUUCUUCCACUUUCAUUCACUCUUUGUUAAAGACAUGAAUUCAAGUUCUACCUGAAAAGGAUCCUACAACAAAUAAACGUGUAAACUUUGUCAUACACACAGCUCAUAUAUAUGUACACACACACACACGCACAGAGUAUAAUCUGCUAUUGAGAUAUUAGUAAUUAAUAAUUAAUCGUUCCCCACCAAGCUAAAGACAUUUCACUCUUCUUCAUGCAUGCAUGAUACAAAAAUGAUAACAUGUGAUAGUGGGUGGGUUGUAAUUAUAAUUUAUUUGCUUUUAAUCAGUGCAAUGACCAGGACACGGCCGAUCUCGCAUGUCCAAAGAUGGGUCCCAAAUUACAUUAAUUAAUUUUUUUUUUUUGAGUUCAAAAGAUACAUAAUUAGCGUUAAAUAUAUAUGAGUUAAACAUGAUUAAGUACCAUAAAAGUAGACCAAAAAAGACAGUGGAAGUGGAAGAAGAAAAUGGUGGGUUUUGUUUGGUUAGAAGAAGGGAACAUAAAGUCUGUAGGAUCACAUGCUUAUCACCUUCCUUUUCCUCUUCCCCUCAGCUCGUCUCUUCUUUUUAUACUGUGCCUACAAAUGAAUAUAAUGUAAAAGUGUUUAAGAAAAUCAAAUUUGAAUUAAAGAAAAAUAAAAAGAAAAGAAGACCCCACUAGAAUUUGAAGGCUGCUUCUGCUGCUAAUUCUACUCCUCAAUCCAAGGGAUUCCCCUUUGAUGAUCAAAGCCUCUGCAUCCAUCUGGGUCCCCCCAUCAUCCUCACCAUCAUUUCAUGCAUAUACAUGAAGACCCACUACUCUCAUCUAUUACUUACAAAAGCAAUUUUUAAGUGCUUAAAAGUGCCAUUUUUUCCAUGUGACGCCCAAUAAUUCCGCAUACUAUAUUUGCCAAUCUAUUUUUUUAUAUACAUAAUUUAUGUUUAUCUUUCUGCCUUAUCGAUAUUCGGUGAAAAGGAAAAAAGAACUGUGUAUAAUUUUGUAUUGAUCGGAUGGUAAUCGGUUCUGGGGAAAUGCAUUUAUCUUUGAAUCAUUUGGAGUGUUGGGCUGAUGCGAACUGUCCAAGCACUCUCAUAUAUAUACAUACAUAUAUAUUCAUUGGCCCUUUUCAUUUUUUUCUUCAGAAAAUAUUGUAAUAUGAUUAAUAAUCAUAGAAAUAUUAUUGCCACCUAAUUAUCCACUGAGAAAUCCCUUUUUUGAUGGUCAAUCAUGUCAAGCAAAAAAGAUUUUCGGUGAUUAUUGGAAUUUGCUUAAUAUUAGGAAGGAGCUUAAAAGGCAUAAAAUGUAUAAUUGAAAAUUAAUUUGAUAAUUUUCUAUUUAUAGUUGCUAUACGUGUGUAGUAAUAGGUUUUAAAUUUGAAGACUAGGGACAGUAAUAGUUCUUUUCAUUUCUUCAUACAAUAUAUUUAUAAAUGUCUCAGGAAGAAUCUAGAAAUUCUUUCUUCUUCUACAUCUUUACACAACUUUGACUAUAAUUUUACAUUUAUCUAUAUCUUCUCUCUUUUUCUAUAUAAUUUUAUAACCUUGUAAAAUCUUUUGUCAUCUUUUAAAAUUCUCUUUUAGUAUCUUCAAAAUUUUUUAGAAAAUUUUUAGAUUUUUCUAUACUCAUUUAAGUAUAACUUAGAAAGAUCUCAUCGAUUUAACAUUCCUCCUUAACGGCCUCUUUUGUGACUCCAAGCAUAAUCUGCAGUUCUUCAAACUUUGCUCGUGGUAUUGCUUCAUGAAGAUGUCUACCACUUAUUCUUUUAUCUUACAAAAUUUGAGCUUUACCUUCUUCGUUGUGAUUGUUUCUCGUAUAAAAUGAUAAUUUAUCACAAUAUACUUUCUUCAAUUGUAGAAUAUUGGAUUUUUCACUAUGAACAUUAACAAGGCCAUAGAACAUGGAAAAAUAUGUGUUUCACACAAGUCACAAUAAAUCUUCUAGAUAAGGUUUUCCAGCUAAAGAGCUAAUACAUUAUAAGUUACGACCACAAAUUUGCAGUUGAGGCAAGAGUUUCAAAUAAGUACAUCUAAGAUGAAUACUUAAAUUUGAUCCAAAUACAGUUUAAGAGAGAUAGGAUAUUGCAUGGCUAAACACAUCAAUAAUGUAAAUCUUAGAAACAUGGUUGCAAGGAUACUAAAAAUUUGCUGCUUGAAUACUAUUAUGUCAUUAAGCCCAUAGAGUUGGCCAAUACUCUGAUUCCAUUGAGCCAAUAGACCAUCCAAUCUUGACACUUUGGUGACCUAUUAUUUUGAACCGCUUGCUAGAAAACACAAGCUCGAAUUUGACUCCUUACUAUACACUUCGAUAACCAUAGGAACUGAGCCCUCAACUAACCCAUGAAUGCAACUUAUUUAACCCUCUUCCUCUCUUUUAUUAUCUGAAAAAAGAAAAAAAUGGUAUUAGCAUCAUCCUUCCUAAGUCCCCAUAAGCUUGGAUCUUUUCCUUAUAAAAGCAUUUUCCUCCACCUUAAGAAGCAUCUGGCGUUCCCAUUUCUGAUUCCUAAAUUUUCAAUACCAAAGGCACCAUUACAAGCCACUUCUUGACCUGUAAACUACUAUCUAGCUCCUUAUUAAUUUAUAAAGUUUAAUUAGUUUUUUUUUUUUUUUUUGUACAAGUUAAUAUCUCGUGAUUCAUUAUUAAGUUAGAGGUUUAACCUAAAACUGUCAUGAUCUUCAACCACAUAAGAAUCUCUUUUUUAUUUAAUAAGCUUUAGUAUUAGAUUUAUGAAAGUGUUAAAUAUUCUAAAAAACUUAAGACUUCCAUUAUUCAAAUCCUAAUGUCAAAUUGUGAUAACCCAACCAUAAAGCCUUUGUCCAUUAACCUAUCAUAUUUGCUAAAGGGUAGAUAAAUCAUUUACAUUACACCAAGUGAACCUUCUAGCAAUCUUGGUGUCGAGCAUGUUUAUGGGUGUUUUAGCUUUUGCCUUUUCACCCAAAGACUUAAUAUAAACUUUAACUAUUUCCUUUGUAUUAAGAUUACUCUUACAGCCUUGAAUAUCUUUUCUUUCCCUAUAAAAAUAUGUUACUUACAUGCUGAUAAAACCAAAUUAAUUAAGCCAAAGGAACUUCAAACUCUAAUGUCUUCCUCAACCUCUUUAGUGCCCAAUAGUGGGAGUAUAGUUACUGAUGUAACAAAUAACAUAAAUAUACUAAUUGCUUUAAAAUAUAUUUCUCUCAUUAGAUUAUAUAUGGCUUGACAUCAACCACUUAUCUAAAUUCAUGCAUAGUCAUUUAUAUAGCUUCAUUGGUUUACUAUCAAGAAAGUUUUGUAUUGUCUCAAAUGAAUAGUUUAUUAAGGUGUUCAUCUCACUAAAUAGACACCAAGUUCUGCCUCCUUGCCUAUUUAUCAUCUAACUCAGACACCAAAAUUGUAUUUAUCUUUAUCUUUCCAAGACUCUCAUAAUCUAUUGUCAUCUUAUACAUUAAUAAGAGGGAUUAAAUAUAUAUAUAUAUAUAUAUAUAUUUAUAUAAUUGAUUCUUUCAUUUUCUUGGGUCCCCAUCUAUGGCAAUGUUAAGCGUAACACUGAUAUUUUAGCAAUAAAUCUAAGUUCAAUUUCUUAGUGUAUUGACUUUUUUUAGAAAAUGAGAGCAUGCAGAGUAGUUUAUUUUAAGAAGUCAGGAUAUAUCUAAUACAUUCAUGAAAGAAAAUUAUGCACUAUCUUAUAAAUUACUUUUGAAUAAAUUAAAUUAAAAAUAAAAUCAUAUUUAAAAUGACGCACUAUUUUAUAUAUAACUAUGAAAGAAAAUGACGCAUUAUUUUUGAAUAAAUUAAAAUAUAUAUAUUUAAGACAAUAUAAUCUCAGAUUAUACAUAUAUCUCAUUUGAUCAUAUUCUCCACUCCAAGAUGAAAUAUAUUUUCGAUAUUUUUACUUGGUCAAGGAUAAAGUCAACAGAAGUCAAUUCCAAUGGUUCUAGAUUGCUAUACAUUGUUAGUUAGCUAUCUUCUUAUGAAACCUCUUCCAUCUUAGCUUUCUCAAUUUUUGAAGUCCGAAACAUGAUAGAGAAUAGGUAUAAUCCUAAAUUAUACGUAUCCUAUCCUCAAUUCAAAGCAAUAUCCAAAAUGUAAAUAGAUUAGAGUCAUAUAUCUUGUAAAGCUAUUCAACUAUAAAUAUAAGGCUGAUCAUGGACAGCUUUUCCAUCCAACUUAUACCUCUUAUUCCUUUAAAAAGACAAAACUUAGGUCUCUAUAUCAUAUAAAAUAUUAGUGAAGGAGGACUGAGAAGAGGACCCAGAUCUGCUGAUCACAAGUGAGCAAGUGAUAAGGCUGCAGGCUGGUGCUGGAAGCAUGAGGUGUGGGGAUGAUUAUAUAUGCAAGCACAAGAUACAAAAGUUCAAGUACAUAAAGAAAUAGAAUAACUUUAUACGUAGAGAUGUAUGUAUCACGUGUAUUGAAGGGCCAAAGAAACAAUAUUAAUUCAGGAUUAAUAAUGCAUGGUACAAAUAUAUGAUGAUGAAAGGAAAGCAACCAAAAGUAAAAGAAACAAUGGCUAAAAGAGAUAAUACAAAGUGGAGGCAAGCCAAUACAGAUAUAUCCUGGCCCCUUUGACCCCAUCUCAUCCCAUCCCACCUCAAAAAAAAAUAAAUAAAUAACAGCUUUAUAGGGAAUAAGGAGGAUUUUGGAUGAUUGAACUGAAGUAAAUUAAUUAAGUCACCUAGCUAUUUUCCUUAAUUUUGAAAAUGUCAUUCAUAUCGCCAUCCAAUAUAUAAACAUAUAUAGCUAGCUUUUACCUAAGGGUUUUUCUUUUUUUCUCUUUUUUUUUUUCUUUUUUUUUGUAAGAAUAAUUAAAGAAGAAGUGUACAUAGAAAAGGCGAACUGGACAAUUGACAGUACUCUGAGAUCGGGUGGGGUUUGCGGUGGGAUGUGUAAGUGGAUGUGGAGGUGGAAAUUGUGAGUACGUGUAUCUGUGUGUGUGUGUGUGUGUGUGUGUGUGUGUGUAAGAAUAAUAAUGAAAAGAAGAGAAUAUAGGAAUUCAUAUGAAUAAUAAUUGAAAGCAGAUAGUUAUAAUCAUGGGGGAAGCAUAUUCACUUUCCUCUUUGUCAUCACUUUCCAAGGCAUGAUUAGAAAAAAGGAUCAUCUCUCUCCCUUUUCAACUGGUAAAGCAUUCUCUACUUUUGAGCCUUCUCUAAUUCUAAGCCACAAAAAACUAAUCUUGCUCCUCAAGACUCCUAUAUAUGUAUGUGUGUGUGUGUAAUGUUAAAGCUAAAUAAAUCAAUAAUUAAAAUAAGGAUUUUAGCAGAAGGUGUUCAAGAUCCUGGUGAUCUAAUUGCUGACAUUAACGACUUACAAUAAGGCUCAAGCUUUUCUGAGCUGAGGCUCACUUGCUAAUUUAAGCUUAAGCUGAUAAAUGAUGAUUAUCAGAAUUAUAGUACCGCAUGGAGGUCGGUGAAAAUGACAAGUGCUGUUCAACUACCACAGCUUACUAGAUAAGCUUUGUCUCCCCUGAUUAAGUCCAUUUUGGACCGAAAGUCACACAAUUAAAACAGUGAUUGUGUAACUAUUAACAGCAAAUUAGCAGUGAAUAUCAAAUCCUUGGGAUUGUGAUCUUUUGCAUGCGUAUAUCAAAUCCUGCAACAUAAAUCUAAACCAACUUCACAUCCACAUGUCAUUUUUUUCUUAUCCAAUUUCUCAACUAUAUCUACCUACUUAAUUGAUCAAUCUAUACUCUCAAAAUCAGACAAUGUAUACAUAUAUAUAUAUAUGUAUAUAUGGUGUCAAUUCACCAAACUCUAUGCAAAAAUCAAUUUUUAAUAAAAAUGAAAAUCCAACAUUUAAACACCCUUCUAACUUUGAUACUAUGUUCAAUAAUAAACUGAUUGAUUAUUUCAAAAUCUUAAGUUAAUAAUAUUUAUUUUUUAAGAGAGCAUAAUUAAUAAAUAAUAUUAAAUUUAUUAGAGUCAAAUUAUUUCAUUUAUAUGUGUAAAUACCUUAAAGUUUUAAAUUAUACAAUUGUAGAGUAAAAAAUAAAUCUAAAAGACAGAUGCUUGUUGUAUGACUCCGAAACUUUAGCAAAGAAAACAUAUCAAUCAAUUUUUUUUCAACGUAACUACAUAUUCCAUUAUGAAUACUAGUGGGGACAACUGCCGCCACCAGUACUAUAUAUAUAUAUAUAUAUAUAUAUAUAUAUAAAUAUAUGCCCCCCCCAAAAAAAACCUUGGGUUGGUUUCAAGAAGAAUUGAUCUUGCAAAGCCUAGAAUCUUAAAGGCCGCGCCCGAUGCAGAAAAUUGCCCAUUAAUUUGUUUGCCAAGAUCCAAUAAUUACUAGAUUCAAGAUUUUUUGUUACUUCAAUAACGUAAAAAUAAGUCUAAAUUUUACCAUACCAUGCGUCAAGUACUUGUCUAAGGGUUAUAUUGCGUACCAGGAAAAAUUAAAAAAAUGGUGUCCGCCGAAUAUAAAUUUGCGCAAGAUAAAACAAUAUACAAUUACUUUAAUAUUUCUGUACUAUUUAAUUAUUACUAUAAUUUAAGUUUAAAUUAUGAUUGGUAGUUAAUACGCUAAUUAACUUUUAUUUGCUAAAUUUUUAGUCAAAAUUAAAAUUUUAAAUCAAUGAUGUUAGAGGUCUACUACUUUAAAUAGUAGUACCACACGUUUUGGUAAAAAUAUAUAUAUAAUCAUAUUGGAAAACCAACUACGGAUGCGGGCAAAGACGACUACAGCUGCCUCACUCUCCAUUAGAACCACCAUUAAAAUUCAAGCAAAACAACCAUCAUUAUCCUAUGCUAGCAGAGAAAAACUAGUGAAAUCAGUUUUAGAUUCAAUCCCUGAUUACACCAAAUAAACAUAUUUGCGAAGCCAAACCACUGAUUCUCGCAUCAGAAGCUGUUGGUGAAAUGUACAGACUAGAAGCAAUAUCAUUUUUAUCCUAACAGGUGGGAUAACUCUGUUUUCCUCGGAUUAAUAGGUAGUUCAGGCGUAAGGAGAUCAAGGAUGCUAAUGAAGCCUUGGCAAGUGGUUUCCAAUCAAUCCAAGAGAUCGGUCAUUAUAUUGGAAGGAAAAUAAGUAAAGAUGUUAUACAUAAUAUGACUAUUCCAUUAAAAAAGUUUCUUUAAGUUCAAAAUGAUCAAUAUGUAGAAUCAGAACAAGUGAUUACUGAGUUUAGUGCGGGAACAUACAUUUUAAAUUAUAAAGAGAGAGUUAGAAAGCAUAUUUAUUCUACCUCAAAUGGAGAAAUGAGCGAUGUGUACCACGCACCUGAAUUUAUGUAUAGUAAUGUCUAUCUCUUACCAAAAACAAGCUAUUUAUGGGUAUUAUCAAAAGGUUAAUCCAGAUCCAAUCUAGUUCCUUUUUUGCUCCACAAUGACCAAGAUGAAGAGAGAUAAUCAAUGUUCAACAAACACACAAGAAAAAUGAAAAAAAAAAAAAUAUAUAUAUAUAUAUAUAUACAUAUAUAGAAUGAGAUGAUUACCAGAUAAGGUAUGGAGAAUUCAUGGUGAAAGCUGCUUAUUUGCUUGACUAAUACACCAUUGGUUUCAACCUCAUAGACAUUCGCCCUCGAGUGGAAGAGUCUAUGUACAGCAGAAGUACAAGACCGUCAUGAAGUUAUUUUGUCAUUAUAGAGUUAUGAAGUGGAGAACAACUAACCAAUGUAUACCACCAUUUGGGAAGACAAAAUGAAAACGAAGAGAAUGAAAUACAGUUUGAAUGGUGGAGUAUGGAGAAAAAAGAUUACAAUCAUCAAGUCUCAAAUGCUCUGUAACUAAGAGCUCUAUAGUUCCAGUUAAGGUGGGGAAUUAUAAUGGAAGCUUACCUGGUAGCUUCGAUGGAGGGCUGGCCUGACUUUCUCCUUCAAAAACAAAAGAAUCUAGAUCAGUAAAGCAAUUGUUUGAAAUUGACCUUCAUUUUUUGCCUCCAUCGUUGUGGAUCUGGUACAGAGAGGAACAAGCUGAAAAAUGGGAAAAAAAGUAGUAGCUCUUGAGAAAUGGAAUCGGCAGCUUCAACGUUCCCUCCACUUUGUUGAAGAAGUGAUGCUUCAUUACCAUCCCACAUCCCCAACCAGUGAAAGAAGAUAUUCAUGAGAAGAGAGUCUGUUUGUUACACUGAUAUCACAUCGUCCAAGGACAGAGCAAGAGCAGUGAUGGUAGAAAUGACGAGGAUGGAUCUCCUCAUUAAACAUGAGUGAAAGAAGCUUCAGAGAACCGUUUACAAGUUGAAGAUUCAAUACAUUCAGUGAGAAAGCAAUUAUUUUGGAGGCUACGGAAGGUAUUGUUUAAAAAGCCUAGUGUCAGGAUAAAGUGGCUAUCUAGAGAAUUAAUCACGUGAAUAGACCAAAUGAACUACCCAACAGAAUAUUAUAAAUUGGGCAGAACUUUUUCAUUUUUAUGGCAAAAAAAUUUCAUAAAAAUACAAAGCGAACAAUAUGCAGAGACGGACAGUGCAUAGCAAACUGCAUCAGUCAGUAACUACGAGAGCCAUUGUCCAUAUAUGAUAUGUGUGUAUGUGUGUCAGUUUAACCACUCAUGAUAACAAUAUACAUAGAUAUAUAAAUAUUUAUAAGUAUACUCUUUUGUGUGUCUAGGUAGACGAUAAUCUUCUGUUCUCAGCUGCUUUCUAUAAACAUAAUUCAAUCACACUACCAAAACGUUCUCCACAUCACAGAGGGAAACCUGAACUGCAAUUUUGGUUAACAGAUGAACCACCCCAGUACUAGUGCAAAGCAGGAGUUAGAAAGAAAUUCUCUCUGUAUUACCACCUUCUUUUCUUCACUUCUAGCAAAAAUCCAUCAGUUUCCAGCAGAUGGCUGCAGAACCUAAUUAACAAGGAUCUGCCAAUAUCCUGUUUUAAACAACAUACCAAGGCAUUCUAGAUGCCACAACACCUAAAAGUAAUCUGAAACAUGCUGUAAUAAAGUGCCAUAGCACAGUGGAAUGUGACUCAGAGACUUUUUUUCUAAACAAAAAAAGAGAAAAAGAAACAAUCAAUUCAUAAUGACAGGUAUUAACUUCACGCAAACAGAGUUAGGAUUCAAGUACGGAGAAUUUCAAGAGUGUGCACGUUACAGAGUUCAGUAUUAGCAAUCCAAAACCAUAGAAAUCGAAGGACAACUAUAAUCAAAAACUAAAAAUUAACAAAGUUGUUAAAACACUCAAUUAACGGGAAAAUAUUUAGACAAUUAUAAUCAUAACAAUAUAUGUAACGAAUAGAGUAUCACCUAUGUAUAUAUCGGAUAUCUAGAUGCCUAUUAUGUCUAGGAUACUAAAAUAGGAAAACAAUGAGGAAAAUAGAAUUUGCAACUAAAAAAGAAAUUAAUAGAACUAAUAAAAUAGAGUAAGCCUCUCCUAAUAAUAAUCUAAGAAGCCAUUUCUAGACCUACAUAUUAUACACCUUAUCAUAUAAGCCUGAUUGUCCCACAUCAUAGAGAAGGGCCUUUCAAGAGAAAUAAAAUGAUAGAAAAAAUACUUUUAAAAGAGCCCAUACACAAGCAUCCAAGUGACAAGAACAAUGCAUAUCAGACCUAUAAUAUUAGAGCAUUAACAUAUAUCUAUUACAUGUAAACCUCCAUUCCAACAAACUUAGAUGACUGACACAAUGGACAGAAACUAAGCUUACUUUCACAGUCUUUACACACACAAAGAUGCUUACAAGGUAACAAAAGCAUGCAAAUAUCAUUUACCCCGCAAACCUUGCAAGUCAUCAACUCUUUCAUGUCACUGUUAUCCUUGCAGAGCAGGUGAAAAUCAAUCGCACGACCGUUGCAGCAUGAAGCUGUAUCAUCUACUUCACUGUCACCACAUCCUUCUUUACUAUCUCUACUUUGAGCAUAAACUUGCUGAAGAUUGAACUUGAGGGCAGCAAUCAUGUUUUCGUUAUAUCUAGCCUGCUGCUGCCAAGCACCUGCUUCCAUAGUCAAUUGUUCCAUUCGUUCCUCAAGUUCCAUGUUCUUUUUGUUAAUAAUCUCCAUCUCUGCUUCUUUUUCCCGCAGUUUUUGGAUGACUUUCUCUUCCACGAAUGAGACAGUCUGAAGUUGGUCAGCCUGAACCUUAUCCAGGACAGCUUGUCGUAAUCUUUCACCCUAAAGAACAGCAGAACACGUCAAAGAAUUUAAUCGAAGGAUGGACAGGAAAGCUGAAAAUGAGCUCCUUCACAAAAAUUUUCACACUAGGAUAAUAAAAUUAAAAGCAAAAUACAGUGUAAUAUUCCGUAGUUCAGGGUCUUUCAGAUUCUACUAUUUUUAGCAAAAUACAGUUUAAUAUUCUGUAGUUCAGGGUCUUUCAGAUUCUACUACUUUUAGCAACUUCAAUACUCAUGGUAACCAUUUCUCAAGCAAUAUAACACCGUUAAUUUGAACACCUGGACUACCUGAUAUUUUAAAAAUUUUGACGCGUAGAAGGUAUUAACAAUUGAAAUCUUCAAAAAGAAAAAAAAAAUCUAUAAGUUUUAUUAAUUUUAGUACACGCAUAAACUUCCCAAAGAUUCUCAAGUGGAAAUCUUGUUUUUCUUUUAACUUUAUGUACCUUAAGUUUUAUUGUCUGGUUUAUUUUAGUUCUAAUUUUAGAAUAUUUGACUUUUUUAAUUACGAAAAUUCUAAUAUGAGUCUUUCAAGUGUCAAUUUUGUAAAGUUCAGACUGUUCAAACUAAUUGUUACGUUAUCUUAUUAACGGCCAACUACAAAUACUAAAACAGCUAAAAAUACAUGUAAUGAAGCUUAAUAACAAAAUAUGCUCUGCCCCAAAAUAAACAAGCAGACAAAAAUAUUUCACCUUGGAAAGAUUAACAAUGACCUACCUCCUCUAACAGCUAGACGUAGAAACCUAUUAGAAAUUCAAAAGGGGUUCAGUACAUUGCCUCAGUUCCUAGUAUACUUGGACAGGAAAGAAUUUAGAAGAUUGCCCCAACUCCUAGUUCCUAGGAUUGCUUACCCAAAGCAAGCCAAGAUAUCCACUGUCCUCAAACAUUUAAAGAAAAAAGACUUCAACACCAACAAACACAAAACUUCUCUGAUUUGGUGCCAAUGCAACAUAUUCUCUGAAAAUUUCCAAAUUUAAUUUAAAUGUUUAGCAUAGAGAAGAGAAAGCAACUACUCAUUUAUCAGUUGCCAAUCUGUCAAAAUAAGUAAUUAACCAUUCAGUAACAACAGUCAAAAAAAUAUCAAAAAAAUAAUUCCCUAUCAUUUACACAAUCUUGUCAUGGCAAUUAAAUCUUAAAAACCUUGGACCUUGAACCUUUCUACAGUGGAAAAUAAAAUAUGGAAAGAACACGCAAUCUCAAGGAACAUAAUGCACUUAACAUCCACAUAGCACAAUAAACACAUUGGACAUAAUUACCGCAAUUACUAACCCAAUUUGAAAUUGAAGCCAAUAAAAAACCAAUUUCCCAAUUCAACAUUACUUAAUGAUUCCUUGACACGUGGGAGUACCUGAACUUUGAGGAAUCUAUCAAUUUCUGCAUCUUGUCUCUGUAACUCGCAGUCAAUGUCAUCACCAAGGAGUGAUAACAGAGCUGAGUCAUUGGAAGAGGCCAUGCGGUUAUUAUCAAGUGACAAACCCAACCCAGUUGACACAGACCGUGCUUGCAGAAAAUCAACUGAUGAUAUCUGUGAAUUAAUCUCAAAAAAAUCUUGCUCCUUUAGUCUCUUUCUCUUGGAUUCUACUCCGUAAUUCCACUGCAAAUCAGGCCCGUCCCUACCAUCUGUCACUGGGGCAGGCCCAGGUGCAAACCCGAUCACAUGAACUAGAAUAACAAAUACAAAACACCAAAACAUUAUAAGCUGAUCUAUAAAAGAAAGAAAAAAAGAAAAACCAGCUUAAAUUAACCAAAACCACGCUGGUGCUAGAGAAAUAUUAAAUAUUCUCUCUUAUUUAACUUUUUUUCUUUUGGCAUAGUUCCUAUAAAGUUUCUCUCAAUUUAGAUGAGUUAAGCUCGUAUCAGCCAUAAAGCCCCGAACGUACAGACAUCCACCUAACAAUUUGUUCUAAAUUACCUAGAAACUAAAAGAACAAGAACUCCACUAUUAUUAAUUUCUAAUUUUUCUCGACUUUCAGCAACUAAGAGCAAUGUAAAGAGAUUAAAUGGAUGAAGAUAGAAAAACUUACAGGGAGGAAUAUAUGGUGGAUGUUGAGACUGAUCUUGUAGGUUUGUGGAGCUGUAAUAAGCGACUGCCGGCGAAAUCUGAUCAUCGACUGCAUAUAAAUUCCUGAAAAAUUGACCCAAAAAAAAUUCAAUAAGGAAUAUUUUAAAGUUUAUCAAGUAGCAAAAAAAUUAACAUAUCGAUUGUUUCUCUUAGCUAGGGUUUUGGAAUGAUUUAAAUUAAAGCUUUAGACAUUCAAGAUAUUUACCUGAAAGUUUUGGUCUGCGGUGGUUGGUGCUGCUGCUGUUNNNNNNNNNNNNNNNNNNNNNNNNNNNNNNNNNNNNNNNNNNNNNNNNNNNNNNNNNNNNNNNNNNNNNNNNNNNNNNNNNNNNNNNNNNNNNNNNNNNNNNNNNNNNNNNNNNNNNNNNNNNNNNNNNNNNNNNNNNNNNNNNNNNNNNNNNNNNNNNNNNNNNNNNNNNNNNNNNNNNNNNNNNNNNNNNNNNNNNNNNNNNNNNNNNNNNNNNNNNNNNNNNNNNNNNNNNNNNNNNNNNNNNNNNNNNNNNNNNNNNNNNNNNNNNNNNNNNNNNNNNNNNNNNNNNNNNNNNNNNNNNNNNNNNNNNNNNNNNNNNNNNNNNNNNNNNNNNNNNNNNNNNNNNNNNNNNNNNNNNNNNNNNNNNNNNNNNNNNNNNNNNNNNNNNNNNNNNNNNNNNNNNNNNNNNNNNNNNNNNNNNNNNNNNNNNNNNNNNNNNNNNNNNNNNNNNNNNNNNNNNNNNNNNNNNNNNNNNNNNNNNNNNNNNNNNNNNNNNNNNNNNNNNNNNNNNNNNNNNNNNNNNNNNNNNNNNNNNNNNNNNNNNNNNNNNNNNNNNNNNNNNNNNNNNNNNNNNNNNNNNNNNNNNNNNNNNNNNNNNNNNNNNNNNNNNNNNNNNNNNNNNNNNNNNNNNNNNNNNNNNNNNNNNNNNNNNNNNNNNNNNNNNNNNNNNNNNNNNNNNNNNNNNNNNNNNNNNNNNNNNNNNNNNNNNNNNNNNNNNNNNNNNNNNNNNNNNNNNNNNNNNNNNNNNNNNNNNNNNNNNNNNNNNNNNNNNNNNNNNNNNNNNNNNNNNNNNNNNNNNNNNNNNNNNNNNNNNNNNNNNNNNNNNNNNNNNNNNNNNNNNNNNNNNNNNNNNNNNNNNNNNNNNNNNNNNNNNNNNNNNNNNNNNNNNNNNNNNNNNNNNNNNNNNNNNNNNNNNNNNNNNNNNNNNNNNNNNNNNNNNNNNNNNNNNNNNNNNNNNNNNNNNNNNNNNNNNNNNNNNNNNNNNNNNNNNNNNNNNNNNNNNNNNNNNNNNNNNNNNNNNNNNNNNNNNNNNNNNNNNNNNNNNNNNNNNNNNNNNNNNNNNNNNNNNNNNNNNNNNNNNNNNNNNNNNNNNNNNNNNNNNNNNNNNNNNNNNNNNNNNNNNNNNNNNNNNNNNNNNNNNNNNNNNNNNNNNNNNNNNNNNNNNNNNNNNNNNNNNNNNNNNNNNNNNNNNNNNNNNNNNNNNNNNNNNNNNNNNNNNNNNNNNNNNNNNNNNNNNNNNNNNNNNNNNNNNNNNNNNNNNNNNNNNNNNNNNNNNNNNNNNNNNNNNNNNNNNNNNNNNNNNNNUUUAUACACAUCGUCAAAUAACAAAACAAUAAUUGUCACCUUUUCACCAGCCCAUUAGUAUCAAUGAGAGUUUAUAGGGAUGUCCUCGCUACACUGACUCAUUUUCUUUAACAAUUUCAAUUAUGGGUUGUCCCCAUACCCCGUCCGUUAUGAACACCAAAUUAUUAAAGCUCAAUACUUCAUCCGGUAUGAGGGUGAAGCGGGUCGUCCCCAUACCUCGUCCGGUAUGAGUGCCAAAUUACCAAGUCUUCAUACUCCGUUCGGUAUAAGAUAACGUUCACGGUAGGGUUUCCUAUGUACCCGAUCCAUCCACCAUCUCUCAAGAUAUCUAAUAAGGCUGUCGUUCAAUCUAUUUAUUUAAUCACACAACUUUUCCGUUUUCCUUUAGUCUAUAUUUUUCAAAUCAACCAUGCUCACAUAAGCAAACAAAUAUGCAUCAAGGAGUGCAAUCAUAUCUCAAAUUUUCAAUUAAACAGUAGUCACGUAAGACAGCAAUUCAUGCAUUCAAACCAUAAAAUUGAUAAAUCAGAUACUAUCAUGCUUUUAGACUGUAAAAUAAAUCAACAGAAAUUAACAGAGAACAAUUUUCGGUUCAGGCUCCAUUAGCAAUUCAUAAUUAAUUAUGCACAUUUAUUUAAUUUGCAUAAAUACCAUAUUAUUAUUGAUUUAGAUUUCAAUUAUAUAAUAAGGAAUAAGGUGAGGGAUCCUUACUCGAUUUGACACCCGAAAAGCAAAGCUAUUUACUGCGCCUACGGACGGUCUCUAGGUUCCCUGAAUUUUUAUCCGGGAAUCGAAACGCGCUAAUAGUACCUACAAAUAUUUCAAAUAAACCCAAAAUCAGUCCCGGAGUCCACUUGACCAAUUUUAGAAUUCCGGCACGGCGGCGGUCCACCUCGGGUCGGCUGUUUUUAACUGUUUUUGGCUGAAUUCGUAUCUAUCCUUGCGAGAAAAUACGUUAAAAAGCCUCGAUUGGUCCAAAAAAUACAAAAAACCGAAACUCACCGGCGGCGAGGCUCUCCGGUGUGGCGGCUCCUCCGGCUCACGUUGCAGUUGAGUGUUUUACUCUGGUCAACCUAUAGAGAAGGACACGGUGAUCACAACGGUGGAAAAAUUACACAUAACGGGAAUCGGGAAUGGCCUCAUCGGAGGUAUUUUGUGAAAUUCUCCGCGGCGCCGCCGCCGGGUUUCGCAGGUAUUUUUUAGCCAAUUGGCAGGUAUUUUUACUCAAAUUUGGCCAUGGGUGAGCUUAAAAUUGAAUUUCGUGCAAAAUAGAAAGUUUUUACCUUUUUUAGCUGUCGGAAAAGGUUCUGGUGCUGCAGCGGGUGGUGGUGGUCGGCUCCCCGGCGGCUGGGUCGUCUUCUCCGGCGAUGGGUUAUGGCGGCUAGGGUUAUGGUUUGGUGCGGAUUAAGAUUAUUUAUGUCCAUCCGCUUUUGAUCUGUGACGUCCAUCACAUUUAAUUUGAACCGUCCUAUCGCGAUUAAAUAGAGAGUGAAUCUAGGCCGUUUAUCGCAAUCCAAUAUGGGUCGUUCAUCGCGAUCCACUCUGUACCGUCCGAUCGCAUUCAAAUCUGACUGUCCGAUCGCGUGUGGGGAGGGAACGCAUCUGGGCUGUCCGUGCGCGCGGGAACGGAUCUAGGUCGUUCAAUCGCGGGAACGUGGAUCGCCCGCGUGGCGUCGCGUCAGCGUUCGCUGCCACAUGAUGCAUCCUGACUCACCGAGCGUCUGAUGUGGCGAAACUUUUCAAAAUUACGUUUUGGUCUAUAUUUUCUGAUAUUUAUUUCAAAAAUACUCCUAGAACCCAAAUUUUCACUUAUUUUUUUAAAAUUAUUUUCAAUUAAAUUUUCCAUUAAUUUUAUUUUAUUUUUUACUCUAAAAUAAAAUAAAAAUUUAAAAAUUAAAAAUUAUUUUAUUACAUUUAAGAUAAAAUUCUAAAUUACAAAAAAAAAAAAUCGGGUGUUAUAAUUAAUAAUAAGUUAAAAAGAUUAACUAAAUUAAAAAAUUUGAAAACUACAUUAUCAAUUUGUCUAAAAAUUGUGGCAAAUAACAAUUUAAACAAAAAUUAAUAGUUUAUCGUUUAAAUUAUUAUUUUUGUUUAUAUAUAUAUAUCGUUCUUAUUGUAAAUUUUGUAAUAAAAUUAAAAAAUCAAUAAUAAAGUACUGAGAGUAUAUUAUACAGCGCAAUGUCAGUAUGUAUACAUAUUAUUUUUAUUUAAUUUAUUAAAAUAGAAACUAUUACACCUUGUUCUUAAAACAAGCUUUACCCCUUAUUCCAUUGAUUAGAUUAUCAUUUAUUAUGCAAGAGGUGCAUGUGCAGUACAUGGAAUUGCUUCGCACAGGGACAAAAGACAUCCAUUCAGAUGCUUAGGGAUUAUUGUUGUUGUUAUUAUUAUAAUUAUUAUUACUUUUAUAUAUGCCACACUGUUGAAUCACUAUAUUUAUUUUAUUAAUUUCACUUUUUUUAUAUUUUAGUUCUAAACAAAUUUUCAUAUGGUCAAUGCUUUUUUAUCUUAUUAUAUAAGAAUUUACAUGCUCUUUUUUAAAAUAAAAUUUUAAAAAGUAAACAUUUACAAAUAAAUCGGGUAAAUUUAUAAAAUUUUAAAAUAAAAAUUAUGUAAAUCUACUUAUAAUUGACAUAUCAAUAAUAUACCACUUUAAAAUUAAAAAUACCCAUCAAAGGCUCAAAUUUUAUAUAAAAUAAACAUUAUUAAGUAACAAAUUUGACGGCAUAAGAUAGAAUUUAUAAAUGAAUGAAAUAUAAUUUAGAUAAUAGAUUAUUGACUUGUACAUUAAUAUGAGUAAAAAUAAAAUAAAAUUAAACAAAAGAUAAUGCAGAUGAUAUGUCUCACACAAGGCACAAAUAGAAUCCCCGAAUCCGAUAUGCUUUCUCACUAUCCGGGCACUUGGGCAGCCAAAAACCUCCCACAACCGCGUUCUAUCUAUACUUUUUCUCUGCCCGAACAACUCAAAAAGCUGCCCGUCGAGCUGUAUCUCAUGAUCUUCUAUCUAUUCUCAUCUCAUCUCCACUUUUCCCUCCGACAAAAGAACCCAAGGAAAUAAGAAUAAUACUGUCACUGCCAUAAAAGAAAAUAUGUCCAUCAUGUGAUCUUAACUGAAAUUUUUGUCAAUCAUAGGUGCAGGACUUCUUGAGUGAAAUUGGGACAUUGAGUUUCUUGGGAUCGAAGGUUAUAUCGCACUCGAUUCUCUUGUAGAAUUUGGGCUUAACCAAUUUACCCAACACAUAAGCUCUGGAUCUAACCACGAAACUCAAUUUCAAUGGCACCGGCAAUGCGGUAGUGCCCGUUGAGCUGCUAAGACCUGCUCCACUUCCAUAUAAAGGGAUUUUGUUUCCCAUUACGUUCACGGCCACCGAUCUGUGGCCUUUCCUUGAUUGAUAGAACUUCUUCAUCUGCAGUACCCAAUUGAUCAUAUCAGAUAAUUGAAAGCCUGAAUUCAGAUAUCUCAGUAAUUAACAAGAAAUGGCGUAGGGAUAUCUUAGACUUACGGUUCCCGAGCCUAUAACGAUUUGAGAAUAGGAUAGAUCUAGCGGAGUUGAUGUCACAUGGACCCCAAAGAACGUGCCAGUGUUGCGAUAGAUCAUUCUUACAGUCGAGUUCAUUGUGAUCAUAUCAGUGGCAACGCCUGUGAAAUCUGACCCAGCUUGAAUUUUGAAUUGCUCAAACGUAAUGCUCUGCCAAAAUUAACCACAACCCAUUUCACUAUUCACUCCGUUAACACUUUAAAAAAAAAAAAAGUAGAGCAGAAAAAAUACAAAUCAUCUAACCAACCUUCAUAGUGAUUUUGGGUUUCUGUGGCUUACUAGCACCCCAGAGAAUCAAAGAGAAGAAAGAGAAUAGCACAAAGAAUCCGAGAAAAAAAGCGAGAAUAUAGCAGCGACGAGGGAGUCCCUUUCGACGCCCUUCUUCUUCGAGCAGGCCUUCUUCUUCGAUCACAGCGCAUUCCUUCCAUUGUUUCUGGCCCUUCCUGUCGCCCCGAGAUCCAUCAUUAGGGUUGAUCUUGCGGGAUCCGGGCUUCAAUGAGCCGGAGAACCGACUGGAAGAGGACUCCCGCGAGUGGCGACCAACGGAAGAGUGCGAAUGAGGAGGUGACCCCAUGGGACUGAGCACCGGCGUCGAGUGAAACGACGUCGCUGUCUUCUCCCCAUCGUGGGAGUCACGAGACGGGCUCUGCACAUAGUAAACUGGUCGGCGAGGAGAUCGCGUCGGCGAGGAGGGCGCCAGGCUCGUCACCUCCGAGUCCGUUUUAGCGUGCAUCUUUCUGCACGGGCUUUGCCUUUUAGAGGGGAGAAACACUGAAUUGUGUAUCUACCAGAAGAAAUACGCUACAGAGGCUUUGUUCUGCAACCUUUGGAUGGUGACUUUAUUUUUAUGGAGUAGGAGGAAAUAAGCUGUGGCUGUAGCUGUAGCUGUAGCUGUUUCAUCACUGGAGACUAAUUAUAUUUAUCAAAAUACGGUUUAGUAAGGGUUAAUUAACACUUAAUAGCAAUAGUUAUUCGGAUAAUUUAUUUUACCUUUUUAGUUGAAUAACUUGUGGGGAUAAUAUUUCCUCGUCAUCCAAGGUGAAAUCAAUUUAAGAACAACAAAAAAAAAGCGCCGACCAUUCUUAUUCAUGUUAAUAAUUCUGAAAAAAAAAAUAGUAAUUUAACUUAAUAUUGUUUUAAUCAAGCUUUAAAUCUCGAUUAAAAAAUAAAUUUAAGCUUAAAUUAAUAUAAUAAUAUUUGGGAGGAAGAAACUGGGAACAAGCUGUAUAAUGACACGACAGAGCACAUUCCAGUUGGCACCGUUCCGUCUAGCAUUUUGGCUGUGCUUCGCUUUCUUUUCAAUUUCCCCUUUUUUAACUACAAUUUAAAAUUUUCUACACUCGCGCGAGUACCAUAUUUAUUAAACUCGCGUAGGGUCUUUGGAUUAGUUCGUUUAAAUUUUUUAUGCUAAUAAAAUAUAGACGUACGUUGUAUUUGGUUUAGAUAUAGGUCGAAUAAAAAUACUAAUACUAGUAUGUUUUAAAUUUAAGCUAAAUUAAGUUUAAAGUUUUAAUUAUAUACAAUAGGUAAUACAAUCUAAAUAUGAUAAAUAUUUAAAUAAAAGUAGUAAUCAUCAAUUUUAAGUCUAAGUUAAAUUAUAUGUUUUUGUAAUUUAUUUUUUACAUGUAAGAAUGGAGAUGGUCAUCCAUCCUUGUUAAUGCAUACAUAUUAAUCAUAUUCUAAUAUAAUAAAAAAUUACUUAUACGGAAGUAUAAUUUGAUUUAAAUUAAUAAUUUUAUAUAGAUAAAAUGACAUAUCAAUAAUUUAAUUAAAUAAUAAUUGAAUAUAUCAUGAAAAAUAAUAUGAAUUUUUAAAAUUUAUUUUGUGUUAUUUUUACUUUAUUUAUAUUAUAAUUUUUUUAAGUAUUUCUAAUUUUUGUAUUCUAUAUAAUUUGUAAAUGUUAUAAUUAAUAAACUCUUAUUUAAUUAUAAAUAUUAUCAUAACGUACAAUAUAACUAAUAAAUUAUUAGUAAAUUACACAUAAACAUACAUAAGUUAUUAGUAUAUAUUACAACGUAAGUGUAUAACAUAUCAAUGUCUGUGUUAUAUCACAAUUGUAAACAUUUAAUCCAUUAUGAUUUAUAUCAAUUCAUAUAUUUAGUGUCUGAUACUCUUUAAUACUAAAUGAUAUCUCAAAUUUUUUAUUUAAUUUAAAAGAGUAUAUAGUUUUUUGUAAAUUUUUAAUUUGUAUCAUAUUAUAACAAUAUUUUGAAAAGUACAAUAAAAUAUAAAAUUAUUGAUGAGUAAUGUUAUAGCUAAUUAGAGCUUAUUAUUUGAUCCAGCAUAAAACAAUGAUAAUAUAUAUAUAUAUAGCUCAAAUGCUUAGUUUGAGGUCUCAGCAACCCUAAUGGCCAAUAGAUGAUGCCCAUUUAGUAACAUAAUUGAUAGUGGAAUAAUAACUAUAAAAAUAAAAGUAUUAUCAAUCAUAUUAAGUUUAUCUCUCUAAGUUCAUUGCUCAUUUACAUAUUAAAAUUAUGAAUUGAUAUGUCAUAUUUUUCAAAGUAAAUUAAAUUUUAAGAUGAUAUAAAAAUUAUAUGCACUUAUAUUUAUUGUUGUCUUUCAAAUAAAGUGAGUAUACAUGUGAAGACAUGACUUCUCUUAUUAAAAUUACAUACCUUGUUGAAGGGUUUUAUUCGAGUUAUUGACUGAUAUAAUGUGAUAUAUUUAGGUGAGCUUAUAAAAAUGUAUAAAAUCAUAAAUUUAGAUGCAAAUAUUUGUUAACAGAGUUUGAGAAUUGUUACGAGAUUCUUAAUGCUUAUGAUAUUAUUGAUUAUUUUGCAUUAUACUCGAUUUUUUCUACUGCUAAAAUUAAACAAUAAAUUUUGUAUAUAAAUUUUAAUUUUACAACAAUAUUUUUGUGAUAUAUUAGAGUGUAUUAUUGUGAUAUUUUUAAAUCACAAAAUAUAAUAUAAUACGAGAAAUAGAUAAAAUUUUUUAAAAUAAAGAGAUUGGAUAUUGUUACGAAGCUACGUCACUAACAAUGAGAAUAGAGAAUAAAUUUUUUUUGAGACUAUAGGCAAUUUUUGACACUAGAAAAGACAUUGAGAGAAAAAUAAUAAAACAUUAAAUCUUUAUUUUUAACAACUAAAUCUUGAGAUAGAGAUUAAUAACUACUUAUUUUUUUAUUAUUUUUCACCACAAAAUAAUUUAAGGAUUAUUAUUUUUUAAGUGUUGAUAAAUUAGAGGUUUACAGCUAUGUAAAGACAAGUCAAGAUGUUAAUAGGUUAACAAAUGCCAUUAUUUUUGUAUUAACGACAUUUAAAGAGAAAGAUUAAAUUAAUUUAAAGUUUAAGCCAAUAAAAAGUAAUUAAAUUAUCCCUUAAAUAAUUAUUUAAAAAUAAAAGUAAAGUUGUUAUGUAAUCACUUAUGAAUGUGACAAAAUAACUAACAAUAAGAGCGUGUGAAAUAAAAUUACGAAAUUGCCCAUCCUAGAAAUUUCUAUGCGGACGCAAUCCCUAGAUUCUUUCACUUCUCAUUUCGUCCGUUUCCAACACUAUUAAUAUAAUAUUGUUUUUGCCCAACAAAAUUUAAAAAUACCGGUAAAUUCAAAAUUCACCAUGGCUUCCCUUAGUACAUUGCAAUUGAGACCCAACUAGAGCCGAACAAGCAGGUGCCGCAGAUAAAACACCAUCCAAUCAGCUAACGCCACGUAUCCGAACAAACUCCAUGUUCUCCCAAAAUCUUGCACGUGGUGCAAUUCCCGAAUUUCAAAUCCCUGUCAGCGUGUCAUGGCCCGUAUCGGAAACGCGUUUCGCGUUUCGCCAAGUAGUUCCGGGUUUCUUCGUUACGGGUAAUUCAAUGUGUUAUCCAAGGGUAUUCCUGUAACUUCACUUGCUUUCCUUUUUUCAUAGACACCCAAAGCUCGUAACCCUAUCCGUAAUCCGCUUCACUUUUUAUUAGUCGACAAUAAAAAAUAAAAAACAGACCUGCUAAUCUCUCUCCCCAUAAUUCUCUUCCCAACACCUGAUAUUCGCCGAAGUCUUCUCCCUCUAACCUACCCUGUUCUUCUAUGCUCCAGUGGCAACUAAAAUGACGAANNNNN
Molecule: long non-coding RNA, 183354 nt
Filed under: Carica papaya (papaya)
Lineage: Eukaryota; Viridiplantae; Streptophyta; Magnoliopsida; Brassicales; Caricaceae
Description: long non-coding RNA (CPAP_LNC008773)
Source: RNAcentral